This 184106-nucleotide long non-coding RNA is filed under the name Gossypium barbadense (sea-island cotton). RNAcentral describes it as "long non-coding RNA (GBAR_LNC012203)". The record is from RNAcentral. Lineage: Eukaryota; Viridiplantae; Streptophyta; Magnoliopsida; Malvales; Malvaceae.
GGAAAUAAAAAGAAAAAAGAAAAAAAAUGAAGUUAACAUCUUCACAUCCCUCGUCUCUACACCAAACACUUACAUCACUUGAUUAAGAAUAAAUUCGGUAGAGUUUUGGGGGGAGAAGGGGGGGGGGGGCAUGAAUGACAAUGGACCCAAAGAACGAAAGAGAAAAUGAUAUUGUACUUCCCCAAGCCAUUUCUUUUACCAACUCAAUCCUGAAAAUCAUGCAUAUGAUCUAAAAGGUAGUUGGCUGCAAGUUCCUCAUUCUUGUUGCACGCAAAGAACACUUGGAGCACAGUUGCACGGUCAAACCCCAUUGCUUCAAGCUAAGCUGCAAGAGAUGGGGAAUGAACAAGAGAAUAAGGAGACUACAAAAGUAUUUGUAGGCAAAAGAUCAAUGCAACAAAUUUGAGUUUAUUAAACAUCUAAAAGUAAAACCAUUGCCUAAAAGAAAGAUGUGAUGCAUAUUUCAUAACUCAGAUAAAGGCCAAGGAAAUGAAGGCAUUUCCAGAGGCAGUGCGGGAGAUAGCUAAAUAAUCCAUGAUUACAGAGAAUAGUGAACACAUCCAAGUCAGCCCUUAUGUAAAAGAUGACAUACCCGUUCUAUGGCUUCACGUUCCUCAGGUGUGACUUGCACAGCUUGUGGCAUCGCCUCAGCUAAUUGCCCCAAAAUGUUUCUUUACAACAGGAGAUGUCAAAUAAACACUUGAUAUACAUACACAGUAUAUAAGUUCAAGAAAUGAGCAACUAAAAACAAGACUCACCCCUCUCCACCUUCGGCAGGUUCAUUGAUCAAGCGAAGAAAGUCACCCUGAUGCUCUUGAAUAAGUCUCAUUAAAUUAGGAUUUUGUUUCCCCAACUCUUGUAGCAUAGGCUGCCAAAAUUUUAAAAAAGGGAGACAUUGAGGAAAGGUGAAAGAUAAAAAACAAAAAAUGAAAAGACAAUGAAAAACACACUAGGAUUGAAGAGGGGAAACAAGGGACCAGAGAAUAACCUGCAAUAUUUGUGGGUUGGCUUGCACCAUUGCUCGCAAAGCUUGAAACUGAAAAGAGAAUUGCAAACUGAGUGUAGUUCUAGGUAGGUAUUUACAUGACAGUCAUGCUAACAAGCCCAUAUACAACCAAAUGAGAAAGAGAGAGACCUGUGGACUGUUCCGUAAAAAAUCAAGAGUGCCAGCCCCAGCACCACUUGCACCCAUGUUGGGAAGGCCCUGUAUCAAUAAAAGGCCAUCAAGUCACUGGUUAAUUUGCCCGUCAUCAAAUUUAUCAAAUGUCUACCGCAUGACAAUUUUUACCUGGGGAAAGAGGUCUAAUGGAUUUGCAUUUGGUCCACUUGUAGGAAUAGCUGCCGUUUGCGCAGGCUGUUGAGGUUGUGCUGCAGGGUUAGUGGCUUGCCCAACUACAGGAGCACGGGCCACAGGUGGAGCUUCAGCUUGCUCGGGGAUGCCCUGGCAUUUGCAACAAUAAUUUAUGACACGAUGGCAAGCAGCAGCUUAGGAAACAAAAUGCAUGCUUGUUAUAUUUUUUUUUAAAAAAAAAGAAAAGAAAGAUAAGCGUGCAGUAUACAAUAUCAUUAAAACCCACCAUAAAACAAAUUAAAACACACCAGAAAUCCAAUAUUCCUGUUCACUUUUUUUUUUUGGGGGGGGGUGUUAAGUCAAAAAAGUUAUCAUCAAAGGAAAAUUCACAAUUCCCACACACUUAUCCACCAAGUCAAAAAGGACCAGCAAAAUGGAACAGAGGAGGCAUAUUUUGGGUGUGCAGAAAUUCGAUCAUCAUCGACCAAUAAAUCAUGGCAAGGAGAAGGCCAAGUUUCAAAUAGAAUUACAUCAAAUUAAAAAUGACAAAAUGGCAUAAUCAUCAUUCCAAGAAAACCUCUCAGGAUGAGCUCAGCUUAUUAGGCUAUCCCCACAUCUACAUUAAGGAGAACAACAAAACAACAGCAACUAGAAGCACGCAAGAAAGCACAUAUUCUUCAAGAUACAAGGAAGGUACUUACAGAAUACAAAUAUUCAACAGCUCUCUCUGGGUUAUUAUAAGCAGCACGAAGGGCACGGACAACAGUGUCCCUGUCCCAGGUCCCUCCACCCAUAUCAAGAAUCUGUUGGAUUGUUCCCUCUAAGUUACUCCCUGCAACCAGGUUAGAUGCUGCUUGGCCAUAAACAUCAGAAUCUGACCUGUUUCCAAAGACAUUAUUCAAGAUAUUACAGGUAUGCAAAGGAAAACAAGGAAAAACUCAAGAUCUCUCCUACUAGAAGCAAUUCGAUUAAAUCAAAAGCUUCUAUCCUUCAAAUAAGAAGCAUGAAAUUUACUAUCAAGAAUAAGUUACUCACAAAGGAGUACUUGAAGCAACAGGAGCAGAUUCAGUGGCAGCUGCAGCCCUGAAAAAAAUUAAUAAGCAAUUAAUCAAUUGCAAAGGUACUGUAUCUGACCAAAAGUGUAGAAUAGCAGGACUUACAUAGCUGACGUUGCAACAGGUGCAGUAGAAGCUGGUGCUGGAGCUGUUGGCAGAUUACUUGCCUCAGGAGCCUACAAAGAAUCCAAAAUCACUACUCACUCCACAAUAAUCUUUGGAUACAGGCUAAGUUUUCAGAAGCGACAUAUCCUAGAGAUUGUAUUGUGGGGGGAAAACAGAUUUAUAUUCAUACUCAAAAAGAAACUUGAUCAAAAUUCACAUGAUGAUUUUGUGAGAGUUCAUAGCUCAAGCUAAAUUGUUCUAGAUGGAGUCAAUGAGGAGAGAAUAGGAUAAAGGCCAUUUGUUUUCAUGUUGAUAUGCUACCGGAAAAGAGAAAGGAAAACAAUUGUGAAAUUGAGAAACGUGGAUAAAAGACUAUGUAGCUAAUCCAUAAACAUUUAAGGUGGUCAAAUUUGGUAAUAACACCAACUCAGACUACAAAUUAUGCAUUGUGUUUAUAGUAGUGAAAGAUUGAAAGCAGUUGGACAAAAAAAAAAAAAACUCAAACCUGGGCCAUAUCUGAACAACCAAAAUCUUAAAAGCAUUCCAUUUGCUACCUAUAUCUUAUUUAAUGAUUUACUCCUAUUCAAUUAUAUUUGCUCAAGAUGCUUAGCUAUCACUUCAACUUCUAGUUCAUAGCAUUGAAGUAAACAACAUCCACAAAAAUGGCAAAAACAGAACCCUCAACACUUUUCACAUCAUAUCAAUAGCAAAUGCCUUUAGAAAUAUAGCUAAAAAGGUACAGUAACAAUCACUGCUUACGAGCAAUUAUGGAUGCAAGUAGCAGUAAGAGGUGACAAUUAUAAUCUUACUUUCUUUGUAGGAGCAGUUGAAGCAGUUGAACCCUCACCAGAUGCACCCUUAUUCUAGUUUAUUUAAGCAAAAAGGACACUAUUAGUAUGAAAAUGACAGUCAUGAAAAACAAAUUCAGAUACAAAUACAAGUAGGUAAGACGUCAAGAAGUAGCACAAAGAAAAUUUUCUAGUUUAGCAACAAAUUGAUUUAUAAGAUGCACCUAAAGGAAAGCAACAACCAGAUUUCAAAAGAAAAAUAUAAUGAUACAACACUCCAUCAUAAGUUAUAACUAAGAUAACUUUCAAGUUCAACAGCAGUGUGAAAAACAAUAAUGUCAGUUAGGCAUUUAUUAGGACAAAGUCAGCAUACUUUGGUCAGAAAAGUUAGAACGAGUUAGAUAAAUUUUACAAACAUAAAAAUCAGAAUAUUGUAACCAAUCUACCUUUGUCAACAUGAUCACAAUAAAGCUAUUUUCAGUGACACUGUUUUCAGCCAGUGUCGUGUCAUCUUUAAGGACCUUUCCCUUAUAGAUAAGCAUUUGUUGUGCAGCAGGAUAAACAUCUGCCCCUUGAACAGUUUCUAUCUUCUUUUUUACAUCCGCAACCUGAAAGAAUUGGCAAGCAUUAGCAGCAGAAUUGUAUAAUACCAAGUGACAAAGUAAUGUAAAAGGCAGAAGUAAGAAGGCAGAAUGCAUUUUAUCUCAAUACUUUCAUAUCGGUGCAUGUGUGUGUGUGUUUAAACCUUAAAAAGCAUAAAAAGUAGCAAAAAACAAUAAACUAAUAAUAGCUUAUUUAUAUAGUUAGAAAAUCCACAUCAUUCAAAAAACACACCCCUUGAUUAGAUGUAACCAUAGAAUGCAGAACUUGAUCCUUUGUUAUAGAAUAUCUAUUAAAAGGAGCCGCUGUACAUUUAAUCAAGUGUUCAUAGCCACACUAAUUAAAAAGAAGUGAAAGAGCAUUGCAAAAUAUGAGACGCUUAUGGCAAUGUUCAAAGCUUGCGUGUACUCCAGUUCAAACCUAAAUCUAGCAGACUAGCACACUACAACUGGCAAUUACAUGGCAAUCUAUGCAUCAAUAUUCAAUGAUACAAGGUAAUGAAAUACUACUACAAAAAUAAAGCCCACAAAUCAAAGUAUUAUUCACUAAUUUCAAUGAAUUAGUAAAAAGCAUUACGUAGGAAGAAGAACUUAUUUUCUAAUUGUCACCGGAAGAAAAUGGUACCGCUGUUCAAGCUACACGAGUAUCAGUCCACUAAAACUUAAUCGAAGUUGCUAGACUAUUCAACAAGCUAAAUCAACAUAUCCAAUAAAUUAGAGACUAAAAUUGAAGAAAUCAUUCACGAUCUCCGAUUUUACAUUUCAGGCAUGGUAAUUCAACAACGUGCAUAAUAAGUCCAAUUAAUACUGUCCUAAAUGAACGCUAAUAAAUGUUCAAAUAUAGGGGAAAACGGAAAACCCUAGUCAGCAAAACGUAAAAUCCCAGGAAAAAGGGAGGGGGAGAGAGAGAGAGAGAAGCGAACCGCAUCUUCGGGUUUGACUUCGAUAUUGAAGUGAGUGCCUUUGAGAGUUUUGACAAAAACCUUCAUCUCCUGCCAAUUUCGAUCUUUCACUCCGUUUGUCAAAAUCCGCCGAUCUUAUUUAUAUAUGGGAGAGGGAGAGAGAUGUUGACAAGCAAGGAAUAUCUUGUAGUACUAGAAGAAACUUGCUUCUAUUCCAACUCUAAAGCCGAGACGUGCGCUGCUUCUGUACUUUUCGAUUAAGUGAUGGAUGCUGUAAUCAUUUGACACGUGUAUUAGUUUUUAUCAAACGGUAACAAACCUUCUUUCCUUCUUUUUUGUUAUUUUUAUUCUAAUAUUUUCUUAUCCAUUUGACUGGAAAAAAAAAAACUCUUAAUCUUUUAUUUUAAUAUUUUCUCGUUCAUAUAACUCGAUAAAAUAUACUUUCAUAUAACUCGAUAAAAUAUACUUUCUUUUUUGUUUUUUAAUUUGUUUAAAAUUUCUCAUUAGUCCUAGUAGCUUUGGUAAAUUUGAAAUUUAGUUCUUCUAUUGUUAUUUCUAAAAAUUAAUUUAUCUACUUCUCAGAUUUCAAAAUUUAUAUCCAAUUAUUAAUAUUAUUAAAAUUAUUUUAUUAAAUUUAAGUUCAUUAUGUGAUUUUUUAGUAGACGGACAAGGUUUCCAAAAUAAAAGUAUAGAGACUAAAUUUCAAAUUUAUGGAUAGUAUAGAGAACUAUACAUAUUUUAACCUUGUGAUUUCAAUAUGUGUUCUCAAUUUGAUUGAAUUAAAAGCAAAUUGGUAAAAAAAUAAGUACAAGUAAUGGUAUGAGCCUACUUUACUUACAAAAAUCAUGUGUCUUAUAAGAAUUUGUCAUGUAUCAUGUUCUUAUUAGUAACUUUAAUUUUUAUUUUGGUUAUCGAGAUGAAAAUAAUAAUUCAAGGAUAAAAGUAGAAAAAAAUAUAAUUUAGGGGUCAAAUCGUGACAUAAGCAAAAGAUUUAUAUUCAACCGUUCAAUUAACAUUAGUAUCAAAUUCGAUAGUUGAACAACUCUUACUUCUAUCCUUUAUUAAAAAAAACUUAUAAAAAGAUGCAUAUAUAUCUACAUUGUAACUGCUUAUACUUGAUCUGGAAGUCGAUUGGGUGUAAGAAGCCAAUCAGUUGCUGAAGUAACUUAAAGAGAUGAUUGAAAACAACUAUUGAAGCUAAAAAUAGAGCAAGUGUGGCAAAGUCAAUGGAGAAUACGAGUGUUAAAAGCACAUAAAUAAAGUCAAUUGGGCUCGUACACAACAAUCCUACUUAAAAAAAAAAAAGAAGGCCAAACAUGGAGCCAGGUUAUGAAUCCUGAGUCAAACUAGCAAAAUGCAGCACAGUGAAGCCAUGUCUCAAGACAUGCCCCCCUGUUUUAGAAUUUUAGCUUCGAAGUUUGAGGUCUCAAGAUAAUGAAACCAUGUCUCAAGUCCUUGGACUGGAUAUUUACUAAACUAGCUCGAUGUGUUAUGUUUCGAGACAAAAUAUCUAUGUCUCCAGAAUUAAGGCAUUAUGUCUUGAAACCAUAGUGUAAUGUCUUGUGACGUGCACCUAAAGAUGGAUGAAAUUUUAUUUUUAUUCUUGAGAUCUCAAGACAUGUUCUUGAUAUCUCAAAGCACUAACCCAAAAAUGAAAAAAAAAAGGUAAUGUAAGUCAUGUAAUUGAACCUUUAGAGGUACCCAAACACAUGCAACAUGCGACCAAACCAAUUCCAACAUGUUUAACAUGCGAAAAUAAAGCUAAAACAUACAAUUGCAAGUCAUCUAACAUAAUAAAUUAUUAUUUGGCUAGGCAAGUAAAAUAAAGUUAAAAAUCAUUCAUUCACCAUAUAGAAUUAACAUUCCAAAUCCAAAGUAAAGGUGACCAAAGGAACCAAAAUAAACCAAAAUAUUUCAUUCCAUGCCAAAUAUACCAAGCGUAUCAAAACCUUAAAGAUAUAAGUAUAAAACAUGUAAAAGGGACCUAGGUAAAUGCCUAUAACCUAAUGCCAAAGAAAAGAAUUACAAAAGUUCAAUGAAUGUAGUUGAGACUUAAGAGCUCAAAUGUUAUGACGACAAGAACUACUACUUGCAUGUUCUCCCAAUAUUUAUGCAUGGUACAAACAAACUGCACGUUGAGCAUAUAAAGUAUAUUGGUGUUAAACAUAAACCAAUCUCAUAAUAUAAAAUCAUUAAGCAAUAAAAGCAUACUCACAUCAAUAAAAUUAGAAUUUGAAUAAAUUUGUAACGACUCAGUUUCCAGUGGUGUCGAAAAAUGCAAUUUCAAGACCUUGUUUCCAUAAAUCGAGCCCGUAAAUUUUUGGACAAGUAAUUUAGCUGAAUUAGGGCUUAAUUGAGGUCUAGGGACUACAAUCACUAUAGAUUUUUAAUUAGAAAAUGGAUUAAGCACUUAAACUGCAAAUAACCCAGGUUUAAAAUAUCAAAUAUACCAUGUCUAAACAUUAAGAAGUGGACGACAUAAGCAUGUUAUCAUUAGAUUCAAUAAAUUAAUAUUAUAUAUAUUAAACUGAGGUUAAUUACUUAAUUAACUAAGUUAAUUAUAAUAUAUACGUGCAAUUCGGUGGGGUGAACGAGAAAAAUCAUCCUCCCCAACCGAACCAAAAUAAAAAAGAAGAAUAAGACACAUUAACAAGAGUUUCAAGCUUUUAAUCAAUAAUUGGUUAGUGCAAUUAAGUCUUUUUCUUGCAAUAUUUAUGUUUUUGAGGUCAUGAGAGUUUGAUUUAGAUAGCCCAUGGACCAAUUUGUAAAAUUUUUAAAAUCUUGAAAGAUGCCAUUAUAGAGAAUUGAAAGUUUUAGGAGUUAAAUUGAUAAAUUUUAAGCUUAGAUGUGAAAAAGGACUAAAUUGUAAAGUUUAAUUGAUAUGUUUGUACAUUAGGGGCUAAAGUGAAUAAAAUGUAAAAUUUAUAGUAGUGACUAGAAAUAGGAGGCCCCUAAUGAAUAAUAGUGAAAUCAAAUUUCAAUUUGUAACUUUAAAUUGAAAGUUAUGCUAGUCUUGGUUUUAGGGACUAAUUUUUAAAAUGUGUAUUUUUGUAAUAGGUUGUGAUUUGGACUGGAAUUUAAAAUUAUGUAUUGUCAGAUUAUAGUUCGUAGCUAAAGACGAUGCGGGAACGUCGAGAGGGAAAGGAAAGACGAGAUCCAAUGAUGAGUAACUUGAGUGUUCAGUUAAUAUUUCUAUUAUUCAAAUUACUUGAAUUGAUGCAUAUUUCUAUUAUUUGCAUGGUAGGAUAUUGAGGUAAGUUAAAUAUGAUUGAUUGAAUCAUAUUUGUAUGAAUUUGAUUGAUUAUAGAGAUAGAUGACUAAAUUGAAUAAAAUUAAAUAUAGCAUAACUUGAUAAAAUUAUGAAAUUAGAUGUGAAUUGAGAUAACUCAUGUUAUGCUAUGUAUAUAUUGAUUACUCGGUUAAUGAAUUGGAGAUAUGAAAUGCAAAAUUGAGCUAUAUUAUGAAUUGGAUCAUUUGUUGCCACUAUUCGGGCAAAGUUGAAUAUAGUUGACGUGCCAUAGAAUAUUGAUCUACCGUGAUUUGGUGUAGUAGAUUAAACUAAUUUUUGUAUUUGAGGAGCUUGAAUACAAUCACUUUUGUCAUGUUUUGGUCGAGUUUUCAUAAUUUCAUUUAUAUUCAAUAAAAAAUGUAACUUGAGUCUUUUAUUGACUUUAGGGGUCGAAUGACGCUUAAGCAUGAGUUAAUAUGCAUUGUGAGUGUGCAGAAGACUAUUAGAAGGCGUGUUAACUCGAUACUGGUCACUAUGUUGCAACACAGAGAGUUUGAUGUAGCAACAUAGGGACCAGAAUAGAAGAAUUCCAAGUCUGUCUUUUGUGUCAAGACAUGGCUUGAGGAUGUCGCGACACACCCUUGAAGAUACCCUGAAUAUGAGCAUACUUCCCUCGAUGUCGCGAUACUUGCAUUAGGGUGUCGCAACAUCAGUCAUGUGCGGGAAGCACUUAUGAGCUGGGGCGUUUUGGUCUACACAAUUAAAUGUUUAACACAAGAACGUUAGUUGAACUAGGGUUGAGGAUGACGACAACCCUAAAUCUAUAAAUAGGCUCAUUUAACACUUGUUAUAGAUGACUUUUGAUAUUCAAAGUUUUUCUUUGUAAUUUAGUUUUUAAUUUUUUUUCUUUCUCUUAAGGUUUAGAUUUCUUUUCAGUUCUUUUCAUUCGUGUUCUUCGGAGAACUAGAUUUGUAGACGCAAUCAAACGUUUGAAGAUUUUCGCGCUUCAUCAAUCGAAUACAAUCUGGAUUCUUUAAACUUUAUUCUUGAUUUAUUUUUCAUGCAUAUAUUUAUAAUCAAGUUUACUAUGUUUAUGGAUUCCAUGAAGAACUAAUCCUCUUAUGAGGGAUUAGGGAGUGGAGGUGUGAUUAAGUAAUUGUUAUCAAGGGUUUUCUUAGCAAAUCAGCUGUUUGGGAAAGAAAGAAUUUAAACCCUAGGCUUGACGACCCUAGGAAGUCAUUUAGGUGGGAAUUAACCCAAAAUUGGUAUGGCCUGUCCGUGAACACCUUAGCCCUAAACCGGUUUGGACUAUGAGGUCGAAAGAUAAGUAGUUAUUGUUGACUUAUUAGUUUAGUGGAAGAUCGAGAGAUCCUGCUAGGAUAACGACUAGUUGAUUGAAUAGAAACCUGAAAUAGGAUUUAGUUAUAAUCACCAAAGCGAGCUAAUCACUCUUAUCUAGAUUUGAUUAAGUUUAUAAAUUAAGUUUUCCAAAGUCUACUUUAUUUAUACAUCUUUUAUUUCAUCAUUUAUAAAAAUCCAAAAAUUCUUCUUUAUGUUUCAUCGUACUAUAAUUUAUUUAAACUAAUAUUUAAUUUUAUUUGCAUUUAAGUUAACAUUAAUUUAAUACUCACCUCUCUUGGGUAGAUCAUUGGAGUACUUACCUACUUUAUUGUAAAAAUUAUAUUACAACCUGACCUGUAUACUUGCUGACAAUGGCUCAAUUAUUUAUCUUUUGUUACAGUAUUCAUACUUUAUAUGUUAGUACGUUCAGAGGCAGUCAAGUUGUUGGUGCCACUGCCAAGAAGGCAACGUUACUAAAUUGAUUUUAAUUUCUACGUUUUAAUAAGAAUAAUUAGAAAACUUUGAAUUAUAGAUACGAUUUGUAUUUUUAAUAUUAUUAAUUUAGUUGACUAACUCCUUUCUUUUUCUUUGUUAAUUUCAGUAUAUGCCUCGGAAGAGAGUAAUGCUUGUUUAGUUAGUCACUGAUCCAUAGGGAGUAAUUCGAGAAAAUCAUUCAAACAUGGAUGAAACUGAUUACAUGCGGUUCAAUGAUAAGAUGGGCUUUGAUGACGAAAUAUACAAUGAGGGAGUACAUGAAGAAUGGGAGAUCAUGGAAAAUAAAAAAUUGUUCAUGAUCGAGAUGAGCCAAUGCAGAAAUGAAGCCUCAACAUACCAGUGGAGUAAUGAACAAGGUACUAAUAUAGUCGAACAUCCAUAUGAGUUCAUUGAUAAUUUGUAUGAGGCACUUGAAGAAGAUCAUGAUAUGCCCAAACAUUCGAACAAGCCUUCUAGUGAUUCGUGUGGGAUUCCUUCAUGUGAAACCACCAGGACAAACAACUCUGAGAUAUUGUCACACAUGUCAAAUAUGAUGGUGUAAAUGAUUAAAAUGAUGCAAGAAGUAUACGAAGCGCUGCUUUCUAGGAAAGAGGAAUGUCUAACACUCACAACUUGGAUCAAGAGAACCUUUGUAUUAUCAAUGACCAUGAUGAGAAUUAUGGUGAGAUUCAAUUGAAGAUUGUAACUGAAGACCAUGGGGAUGAAUUGAACAUAGUUGAAGCAGUCUCUGAUCCAAUUAACAUAGCAGCAGAACUAAUCGUAAAGGUAGAAGUGGAAGCUAAACUAACCACUAACAUGGAGCUUAAGCCAAUAUUGAAUGAAAUUGUAGAAAAGCCAAUACACUUUUUGGUCAUAACAAAGAAGGUGCUAGUCAAAGAAGUCGAUGAGUUUGAUCCAUUCGCUUCCAACAAAAGCAAUAAAGCUCGAGGGAUCAAAACUUCAUGUGACAUGGAGAGAAGGAAGCUUGAGGCAAUAAUACCUUGGAAAGUGAUUUGGGGUUGGCUUGGAUUUACCAAAUGGCUUGUAAUGUGGAUGUCGGGCUGAUUGAAAAUAAGACAAUAUCAUUAGAAUCAAUCGAAGAGGCUGGUUCAUAUACAUCAACAGAGAAACAAAUGUCGAAUCAAAGUGUCAAGAACUAGUUGGAAGUUCUUCUACGGUGGCGAUAUAGGUUAUCUCAAUUUCUAAAGAAUUUCUAGAUUUUGUUUAAUUUUUCGGUUUUCUUUAUUUUUUUUAUUUUGUUAUUUUUAGUUUUUAGCAAGUUUUUUUUAGAAGCAGAUACUAUGGUGGGACAAAAUUGAAAAAAAAACUCAAAGAAGCUAGAAACUGGGCUUGAUGUCACGACAUCGCACCCUAAUGUUGCAUCAUCUUAGGCAGAACACACAUUGCAACAUAAAAGGCCCAAGUUCAUCCGAAUAUUUUUAGACAUUCUGUCAUCCAUUUUCAACACUUCUUCUUUUUCUUUUUCUUCUUCUUUUUAUUUUUAUUUCAUAUUUCUUGUCGUAGUAUUUUUUUAGGUACCUUUUCGUCUGCCUGAAGCACACAAAUCCUAAGAUUAUCAUAACAACAAGGACCCGACGCACUUAAGGAAGUUUUCUUGUUUGCACUAUUUUUCGUUAAAGGCAAUGUAUGUUCUAUUGUGUGGGGGGAUGUGUAUAGGAUUAUUUUGUGUGUUUUUGUUUAUGUGUUUACUUUGCUUUAGUUUAUUAUUAUUUUUCAAAAAUAUUAUUGUUUUGUUGCAUAGUGCUUGGAUUAUAUUAACAUAGUGAAUAGUGGUUGAAAAUAAUAAAACAUGUAAUGAUUUUUGUCAAUUAUGAAUUUUUUAUUGAUAUGAGAUAAUUUGAUUAUUUUAAGGGAAAUUGAUUAGGUUACCUAGUUAAAUUGCAUAAUAGAUUAGAAGUACCUAAGUAAGAAUGUUUGAUGAUGCCAUAUGAGAUAUAAGUUUUAUAGAUAGUCUUAGAGACAUGAAUGCUUGAAUUGAUUAUUAUUCAUUCAGUUUAAUUUGAAACAUGAAAGAAAUUAUGUCUGGUGGGAUGCUUAGGGAUGACCUAAGACAUUAUUUGAAUAGUUAGUUCUCAAAUGACCAUACCUUAACGCUAUGAAUCCCUACUCUCCUUAUUUGAGCCUUAUAACUCCUUUUUGAUGAACCAACAAAAUUGAAACCCAAAGACAACACAUAAAACUUGAACUAUUUUGUAAUAACCCUAACCCGUAUCCGUCGCCAGAGUAGGGUUACGAGUUAUUACCUAUCAAUUCACAACAUAUAGCAUACAUUUACCAAACAUAAAGUAUUCAUUCUUAUAAAUCAUUCAACACAAUCACAUUGUCCCUUAUAAGGGCCUAUGAGGCUUUAAACAUGCUUUAGAAGUGGCUCGAGACUAAAUCGAUAACAUAUGAAAAUUUUGGAAACUUAGAAAAAUUUCAACCAUACAGAGGUCAUACGCCCAUGUGAAUAGGCCGUGUGCCUCACACGACUACAAACACGCCCGUGUCUCUGGCAGUGUGGAAAUAGGGCAUACAUACUGACUUGGGUCAAACGGCCAACCACACACCCGUGUGUCUAGCCCGUGUGCCUUUCGAAGUGGCCACACACGCUCGUGUGCUAGGCCGUGCCAAACCUAUAGGGUAUACUAACUUAUGCAACAUGGACAAGUCACACGCCCGUGUGCUAGGCUGUGUGCUAAUUAGGGGUUAUACUAACUUGUACCACAUGGCCAGUCACACGCCCGCGUGUGAGACUAUGUGGAGCUUACUGACUUCAAUUCAAUUUCAACACCAGCAGACAUACGGCCGUGUAACAUGACCGUGUGUCACACACGGCUGAGACACAAGCCCGUGUCUCUACCCGUGUGGACAAAAUAGGCCAUUUGCAAGGCCAAUUUUCCACCCUAACUUCAAAGUACCUACACAAGGCAAAAUGGUACCAUUUCAUUAUACAAUUAGGCAACCAAAAUCAUCAACCAAAUGCACAAUUUAUACCAUUAUAAUUUCAUCUAUUCCAAAUAUCAAAUCACUACCAUUUACUUAGCUAAAUACAUGCCAAAACAAUAUCAAACAAUAUGACUCAUUUACCAUAAUUUACAUGACCACUUUAACUUUCAUAAUGUCUUGGUUACUAACCAAAAUAAGCUAUCACUCAUGAAUAUAUUUAUACAAACCAAAACAUAUACAUUUACAAGCCAUUUCUAAUAGCCAAACACAAAUCAAUAUUAAUAUCAUUUACAAGCCAAAUCUUAUGGCUAUAAUCACAACCAAAAUACCACAUCUAGCCUAUACAUGCCAUGUACCAUAAAUGUAUAAUUCAAAAGUACCAACUUAGAUGUUUGAUAGUGCGAUGAUGUUCCUGAUGACUCUCGGAUCUGAGCUAGCCUUGAUUCACUAUAAAACAUAAAAGAAUAACAUGAAUUAAGCUUCAUAGCUUAGUAAGCUCAUAUGUGAAUAACUAAAUUCAUCGAAUCAAUGCAAAUCAACCAAUUACACAUGACAAAACCAUAUCCACAUUAACUACAAACCUUUCUGAUGUCUUAAAACAUGAUCAAAUACCAUCUCAUCAAACUUUCACUAUUUAAUACUCGAAUAGGUUCUGUACAUACCUGUAUCGCCUCGUACUAACCUUUUCCUCAACCACAUCAUUCGUUCACUCGUUGAACCAUUUAGAAUAAAAAUUAGAUACUCAAGAAUCUUGUAUGAUAAGUACCUAUACCAUGGCCUGUAGCCAAAUCAAGGUAACUUAUCUGAAGAACUAUUAUCAUGGCCUGAAGGAAAAUCAUUCGAUAUGCUUGGCCUAAAGCCAAAUCGGUAAAAUACGCACCCGAAGUGCUAAUAUCAUGGCCCAAAGCCAACUCAACGUAUCACUUACUGACAUGUCAAUAGUAUCCAAAACUAUUCUUAUAGUUCAACCGGGCUUUCACACUUUUUGUUUCUAUCAUCAAAUGGACUCGUAGAGUAAUUUUCACACUUCAUACAUUAUCCAUAAUCCCAUUUUAACAAUUUAUGCAUUAUUAAAGCAUUUUAACAUACAUUUAUAAUGUAAUAACCUUGCUUUUCCCCUAAUUUAAAUUCGAAUUCUUUCUUUCUUGAUCUAUAUGAAUUCAAAAUUAUCUUAUUUAUUCAUCUACUCAUUCAAUUAAUCCAAAAUACACAUUUGGACAUUUUUACUCAUUAGCCACUAAAUCGCAUUUAAUCAAUUUAGUCCCUAUUUCACAAAUACAAAAAAUUCACACAAUUUAACAAAACCCAUGCUUGGCCAAAUUAUAUAUAAGUCCCUAGCAGCCCAAAAAUUUCAUUUAUUUCACAUUUUAACCAUGCAAUUUGCAUAUUUCACAAUUUAAUCCCUAUUAUGCAUUUUCAUAAAAAAUCACUUUACAAAACAUGAAAGUCUAUCAUAAAAAAUUCACAUUUCAUCUUCAAACACUAAAGAACACAUAAAAUCAUCAAUUAUAACUCUUAAAAUCUUUAAAAUUUUCAAAAUUAACGGUAGGGCUAGCUAGAUUAAGCUGCAAUGAUUACAAAAACAUAGGAAUCAUAAAAAACCGAGCUAAAAUUGUACCUUAAUCAAGCUAGGAGUGUGUUGAAAUUUUCAAACCCUAAAUUAGCUUUUCUUCAUGCUUCAUUCGGCCAAGGACGAUAAUAAUAAGAUUACUUUUGUGUUAUGUUUUAUUUAAUUAACCUUUAUUAACCAAUUUACAAAAAUAACCUUAAUGAACAUUAAUUAUUUCACUUCAUGCCAAACCAUUAUCAUCCAUUAACUCUCUAAUGGGUAAAUUAUCACUUAAGGACCUUAAAUUUAAGGUUUUAUAGCUAAUAGAUACCUUUACCUAUUAGAACAACACUUUUGCACUUUAAGCGAUUUAGUCCUUUUUAUCAAAUUGAGCAACCAAAUGCUAAAAUUUCUUAACGAAAAUUUCACACCAUUAUAUAUUCAUGCUAUAAACAUUAAAAUAAUAAUAAAAUAAAUAUUUUGACCUCGGACUUGUGGUCCCGAAACCACUGUUUUGAUUUAACCAAAAAUGGGCUGUUACAACUCGGGUAUUAUUUUCUUACCAGUAAAUAGGUUUGAGUAUUGUUUUCUUAUAGCAUCCUCGGGUUCCCAUGUAGCUUUUUCAACUUCAUGUCGACGCCAUAAUACUUUUACUAAUGUGAUUCUCUUAUUUCUCAGUUCUUUAAUUUGACGAGCUAAAAUUCUAAUCGGUUCUUUAGCAUAUGGCAUAUCAGACUGAAUUUUAACCUCUGUCGGGGAAAUGACAUGUGAGGGGUCGGAUCGAUAUCUUCACAGCAUCAAUAUGUGAAACACAUUAUGUAUCUUUUCUAACUUAGACGGUAAGGACAGCCAAUAUGCCACUGGCCCAACUCGUUCAAUAACCUCAUACGGCCUAAUGAAUCGCGGACUCAAUUUCCCUUUCUGACCAAACCGCAAUAUCUUUUUCCACGGUGACACUUUCAAAAACACCUUAUCCCCAAUAUGGAACUCAAUAUCUUUCCAUUUCAAGUCUGCGUAUGAUUUCUGUCGAUCCGAAGUUGCUUUCAAACUAUCGCGAAUUACUUUUACUUUUUCUUCUGUCUCUCUAAUCAGAUCAAACCUGUGAAUCUUAUUUUAACUAAGCUCACUCCAGUACAAUGGUGUUCGACAUUUACGACUAUAUAGAGCUUCGUAUGGUGCCAUCUUUAUACUCGAUUGGAAGCUAUUAUUGUAAGCAAAUUCAAUCAGCGAUAGAUAUUUCUCCCAGCUACCUUCAAACUCAAGAAUGCAACAACGUAACAUAUCCUCAAGUAUCUGAAUAACUCGUUCGGAUUGACCAUCUGUUUGCGAGUGAAAUGUAGUGCUAAAAUACAGCUUUGAACCCAAAGCUUCUUGCAAUUUCUUCCAAAAUCACCAAGUAAAUCUUGGAUCUCUAUUCGAAACAACAGAUAGGGGAACACCCUGUAAUCUCACAAUUUCGAAAAUAUACAACUCAAAUAAUUUAUCAAGCGAGAAAUCUGUACAUACCAGAAUGAAAUGAGUUGACUUCGUCAAUCUGUCAACAACAACCCAGAUCGUAUCUUUCUUUUUUGGAGAUAAGGGCAAACUCGAUACGAAAUCCGUUGUUACUCUAUCCUACUUCCACUCAGGAAUCAUAAUAGGCUGUAAUAAACCUGACGGCACUUGAAGCUCAUCUUUGACUUGCUAACAAAUCAAACAUUUCAAAACAAAUUCUGAGAUAUCUCGUUUCAUGCUGUGCCACCAAUAAUAUUGUUUCAAAUUGUUAUACAUUUUUGUGCUUUCUGGAUGUACUGAUAAACAACUAUUGUGUGCUUCGUUUAGAAUCUUCCGAAUCAGCUCAAAAUUUCUUGGUACACAUAUUGUAUCACGAAACAUCAAAUAGUCAUCAGGCCCUAUUCGAAACUCGGAAUCAGAAGUCAACUCACAUUGAGCUCGUUUUGCUGGCAAUUCAUUAUCAAAUUUUUUAGCCUCACAAAUCUACUGUAGAAAUAACAAUCUCGCUUUCAACUUGGCUACUAUCGAACCGUCGUCAGACAAAGCUAAUUGUGUGUUCAAAGCACAUAAAACAAAUAAGAACUUUCGACUCAAAGCAUCAGCAACUACGUUCGCUUUCCCCAGAUGAUAGUGAAUCAUUAAUUCAUAGUAUUUUAGCAAUUCUAACCAUCUUUGCAUUCGCAAAUUCAAAUCUUUCUGAUUUAUUAGAUAUUUCAAGCUUUUGUGGUCGGUAUAAAUAUGACAUUUCUCACCAAACAAGUAAUGGCUCCAAAUUUUCUAUGCGAACACUAUCGCGACUAACUCUAGAUCGUGCGUCGGAUAAUUCUUUUCAUGCAACUUCAACUAUCUCAAGGCAUAAGGUCCAACUUUGCCUUCCUGCAUCAAAACACAACGCAGGCCAUUUAAUGAUGCAUCAUUGAAAACUACGAAUUAUUUACCCGACUCAAGCUGAACUAACAUUGGUGCCUCUGUCAAUAAUGCUUUCAACUGUUCGAAGCUCUGCUGACACUUUUCUAACCACUCAAAUUUAACAUCUUUUUGAAGCAAUCGUGUCAUCGGAGUCGCAAUCAUCAAGAAGUCUUUCACAAAUCGUCUAUAAUAGCCGGCUAGUCUUAGAAAACUAUGAAUUUUGAAUACAUUUCUCAAAGAUCUAUAAUCGCAGAAAUUUUGCUCGGGUCAACUUGGAUACCCGCGACUGAAACUAUAUGUCCUAGAAAACCAACCUCUCGUAACCAAAACUCACAUUUGCUGAACUUUGCAAACAACUGUUUAUUUCUCAAAGCUUGUAACAUGAAUCUCAAAUGCUCGGCAUGUUUAGGUUCAUCAUGAAAGUAAAUCAAAAUGUCAUCAAUGAACACAACUAUGAUUCGGUCUAAGUAUAGCCUGAAAAUCCGGUUCAUCAAGUCCAUAAAAACAAUAGGUACAUUUGUUAGUCCAAAAAGCAUAACAAGAAAUUAGUAGUGUCUGUACCUUGUUCUAAAUGCAGUCUUUGGCACAUUUAAAUCUUUAACUCACAACUAGUAAUAACCCGAUCUCAAAUCAAUUUUCGAAAACACUGUUGCCCCUUUUAACUUAUCAAACAAAUCAUCUAUUCAUGGCAAAGGGUAUUUAUUCUUGAUCAUCACUUUAUUGAGCUGUCGAUAGUAUAUACACAUUCUCAUCGUGCCAUCUUUCUUUUUCACAAAUAACACCGUUGCACCCCAGCAAGAGAAACUCGGUCUAGCAAAACCUUUAUCUGUCAACUCUUGCAACUGAGCUUUCAAUUCUUUUAACUCUGUCGGAGCCAUUCUAUUCGGAGCUAUCGAUAUCGGUGUUGUUCUCGGUACUAAUUCAAUACCAAACUCAACCUCUCUGAUAGGUGGUAAACCUGAUAACUUUUCGGGAAAUACAUUUGGAUACUCGUACACAACUGGUACUAAUUCAAUCUUUGUUUUUGUCACUUUUGUAUCAAGUACAUAAGCAAGAUAAGCUUCACACCCCUUUCUCACAAAUGUCUGAGCUAACAUAGAUGAGAUCACAACUGGCAAACUAUUCAAAUCAUCAAAUUCAAUUCUAAUAGUCUCAUUAUUCUGACAUUUCAAUUCAAUUAUCUUUCAUCUACAAUUCAUUAUGGCAUCAUGCAUCGUUAGCUAAUUCAUACCCAAAAUCACAUCAAAUUCAUCGAAUGACAACAACAUCAAAUUAGCCAGAAAACAAAAAUCCCGAUUCAUUAACGGAUAAUUCUUGUAGACUUUGUCAACUAAAACACAUUUGUCUAAGGGGUUCGAUACUCUAAUCACAAAUUUAGUAGACUCUACAGGAAAAGUCUUACUAGAUACUAAAUUCAUACAUAUGUAAGAAUGGGUUAGUCCUGGAUCUAUCAAUGCAAUCACAUUAGUAUCAUAGAGAGUGAAAGUAUCAGUGACAACAUCUGGAGAUGAUGCUUCUUCGCGAGCGUGAAUAACGUAGGCUCUAGCAGGUGCUCUAGUUUUAAAUCUCACAGCUGAAUCCUUUGUCGCCCCUCUACUACCACUUACAUUUUCGACGAUUCUAGGUGGUCUACCUCUAUUCGACGUGUUACUUGAUCUCACAUUUUGAACUUUAUCUUUCUCAUCCAGCUUAGGGCAAUCUCAGAUGAAGUGAUAUAGCGAACCACAUUUGUAACAAACUUUAUUAUUUUUAUUCCAGCAUUCUCCAAAAUAUCGUCUCCCACACUGCUGACACUCGGGUUUGUUGUCUCUCACACUUCCAACACUCGAUACUAGUGUAGCUUGAGCUUUAGAACCUGAGUAUUAUUUUAUGUGAUCUUUGUUUGAAUAUUCAUUUGAAGCAUUUGGGCGAGCGUACGAAUCUCUAGAUUUCUUUGAUGAAGAUUGAUACGGCUUACUCAUCGAUCUUUUUCUCGAGUCUUUAGCUUCUGAAUCUGCCUUUCUUUUUUCUUUGCUAAGAUCAUCGGCUUUACAAGCUCUUUCAAACAGAACAAAAAAUUCUUUUAAUUCUAGAAUUCCGACUAGUAGUUUUAUAUCUUCGUUCAACCUGUCAACGAACCACUUACACAUAAUCUCUUCGGUAGAAACAUACUCCUUGGCAUACUUACUCAACCGUACAAAUUCCCUUUCGUACUUAGUUACAGUCAUUCGGCCUUAUUUUAAUUCUAAAAACAUUUUUUGCUUUUGAUCAAGAAAUCUUUGACUGAUGUAUUUCUUUUGGAAUUCGGAUUGAAAGAACUCCCAAGUAACCCGUUCUUUCGGAACUACAGAUAUCAACGUGUUCCACCAUUGAUAUGCGAUGUCUCUCAGCAAAGAUACAACAUAUUUAAUACAUUCAUCAAGAGUACAAGACAAUUCAUCGAAUACUUGAAUCAUAUUUUCAAGCCAGAACUCAACUUUCUCAGGAUCAUCAUCAACAUUCAAUCUAAAAUCUGCAGCCCCAUGUUUGCAGGUCUUGUCAACUGGAGGCUUAUUCAAUCUUAAAAGCUCAAUUCCUUGAGGAGCUACUAGAAUCGGUUAGGGAUUAGGAGGGGUGGGAGGUUGUUGAGCAGUCGGGUUCGUAUGAAUGUAUUGAGUGAACCAUUUGUUUAUCAUUUGGAAUAAGGCUUCUUUAGCCUCACUAACUACCCGUCAUGGGUCUAGAAUCAGAUGGCAUUAUCCCUUGCGUGGGAGCAGGUAUAUGACUCUCAACCUCAUCGGUUAUAGCUCAAUUAGGAUCCAUUACUAUAUGAAAACACAGUUUAAAAUGUCACGAGUCAUCUCACUAUCUCAGUUUAUAUAUAUGGCAUGUAUAACUAAACUUACAUACGCUAUGUUAGUCCUAGAAUCAACUAAAUCGUAACUCUGAUACCAAUAAAAUGUAACACCCCUAACCCCUAUCCGUCGCCAGAGUAGGGUUACGAGGUAUUACCGAUCAAUUCACAACAUAUAGCAUACAUUUACCAAAUAUAAAGCAUUCAUUCUCAUAAAUUAUUCAACACAAUCAAUUGUCCCUUAUAAGGGCCUACGAGGCCUUAAACAUGCUUUAGAAGUGGUUCGGGACUAAACUGUUAACAUAUGAAAAUUUUGGAACCUAAAAAAAUUUCAACCAUACAGAGGUCACUCGCUCGUGUGAACAGGUCGUGUGCCUCAUACGGCUACAGACACGCCCGUGUGAACAGACCAUGUGCCUCAUACAGCUAUAGACACGUCCGUGUCUCUGGCCGUGUGGAAACAGGGCAGACAUACUAACUUGAGGCACACGGCCAACCACACGCCUAUGUGUCUAGCCCGUGUACCCUUGGAAGUGGCUACACACUUCCGUGUGCUAGGCCAUGCCAAACUUGUAGGGUAUACUAACUUAUGUAACACGGCCAAGUCACAUGCCUAUGUGCUAGGCUGUGUGCCAAUUAGGGGGUAUACUGACUUGUACCACACGGCCAGUCACACGCCCGUGUGUGAGACCGUGUGGAGCAUACUGACUGCAAUUCAAUUUCAACACCAGGGGACACACGGCCGUGUAACAUAACCGUGUGUCACACACGGCUGAGACACACGCCCGUGUCUCUACCUGUGUGGACAAAAAUAGGCUAUUUGCAAGGCCAACUUGCCACCCCUACUUCAAAGUACCUACACAAUGCAAAAUGGUACCAUUUCAUUAUAUAAUUAGGCAGCCAAAAUCAUUAACCAUUUCAUCUAUUCCAAAUCUCAAAUCACUACCAUUUACUUAAACAAAUACAUGCCAAAACAAUAUAAAAAAAUAUAGCUCAUUUACCAUAAUUUACAUAAUCAUUUUAACUUCCAUAAUGUCUUGGUUACAACCAUGCCUAAACAAACCAAAAUAAGCCAUCACUUAUGACUAUAUUUAUACAAACCAAAACAUAUACAUUCACAAGCCAUUUUUAAUAGCCAAACACACGUCAAUAUUAACAUCAUUUACAAGCCAAAUCUCAUGGCUAUAAUCACAACAAAAAUAGCACAUCUAUCCUAUACAUGCCAUAUACCAUAAAUGUAUAAUUCAAAAGUACCAACUUAGAUGUUUGAUAGUGCGAUGAUGUUCCCAACGACUCCCGGAUUUGAGCUAGCCUUGAUUCACUAUAAAACAUAGAAGAAUAACAUGAAGUAAGCUUCAUAGCUUUAUAAGCUCAUAUGUGAAUAACUAAAUUCUUUGAAUAAAUGCAAAUCAACCAAUUACACAUAAAAAACCAUAUACACAUUAACCACAAACCUUUCUUAUGUAUCAAAACAUAAUCAAAUACCAUCUCAUCGAACUUUCACUAUUAAAUACUCGAAUAGGUUUGGUACAUACCUAUAUCGUCUCGUACUAACCUCUUCUUCAACCACAUUGUUCAUUCACCCGUUGAACCAUUUAGAAUAGAAAUAAGAUACUCAAGAAUCUUAUACGAUAAGUACCUAUACCAUGGCCCAUUGCCAAAUCAAGGAAACUUAUCUGAAGAACUAUUAUUGUAACACCCCUCACCCGUAUCCAACAUUGGGAUAGGGUUCGAGGCUUUAACGGACUUAAACAUUCACAACAACACAUAACAUAUUACCAACCAUGUAUGGAAAACAAGCAUAUGCACAUCACCAAUAUCAAACAUAACAUAAAUAGCUAGAUUUAUAAGUCAGAAUCAUUAACUCACUAAAGACCAAUAUAUUUGGCCAAAUUAUAAUAACACAUGUUAUAAAAACUAGGUCCCUAUACAUGCCACUCACUUGAUAAUUCUAGCAUAUGUGUUUAUACUGUCAAGGUGUUGGCUUCAUAGUGUGAUGCUGCCUCCGAUGAUCUCCAACCCCGAGUUAACCUGACAACACUAAAAGAAAUAGAAAGGAGGGGGAAAGCUUUACGCUUAGUAAGCUCGCAUGAAAAUAAUAAGCAAUUUACUAACAUGCUUUCCAUAGUAAAACUAACCCAAUUGUACAUUUACACAUUUUCUGGUUAAGCUACUUUUUUGAGUCACGGUCACUAAAUCAUUUAUAUCUGGAGUUACAGAACUCCAAAUUAAAUACGUAAAUUUUCCCAGAAACUAGACUCAUAUAUCUUUCCACAAUAAAAUUUUUAGAAUUUUUGGUCUAGCCAAUAAGUACGGUUUAUUAUUCAAAGUCUCCCCUGUUUUGCUAUUAGACAACUUCAACCUUUCUUAACUAAAAUUUAUUUAUCUCAUAGUACAAGACUCAGAUAAUGUUCCCAUUUCUUUCUCCUGAAAGUAGACUCAUUAAGGAUUCUAAGAAUAUAAAUUAUAACCCAUAAUUAUUUUUCUACAACAUUUAACAAUUUUUCCAAGUCAGAACAGGGGAUCCAGAAUUCAUUCUGACAUUAUCUCACAAAAAUUAUAAUAUCACAUAAUAUAUAACUCUUUUACUCCCCCUGUUUCUUUUAUAUGAAAAUAUACUCAUUAAGAUUUAAUUCCAUAAUUUACUUGAAAUUUAAUUCAACUUACACAAUUUUUAGUGAAUUUUCAAAGUCACACAACUGCUGCUGUCCAACACUGUUUUACUACUAAAAUUCACCAUUAAAUAAUUUCACUUAAUCCAUUUUGUCUUAUCGAAGUCCACUCAAAUAUCGAGCAUAUUGCUCAAAAUUUUCUUAAACAUAUACCUGCACUUAUUCAUCAUAUAAUCAUGUUCACAUGUAUUUUUACUUAAUCGAUUUUCCCAUUGAACUCUUCGGAAUAAUAACUGAUACUCAGUUGCCUGCACAUAUUUUCACACUUGUAGCCAAAGCUAUCUGGUACGCAUAGUAGCCUGCACUUAGUACUACACAUGCGACCAAUUAUCCGGUACACGUAGUAGCCUGCACUUAGUACUACACACAUGACCUAACCAUCUAAUACACGUAGUAGCCUGCACUUAGUACUACACACGUGAUCGAAGUUAUCGGGUACGCAUAGUAGCCUGCACUUAGUACUACACAUGUGCCCAAUUAUCCGGAACACGUAGUAGCCUGCACUUAGUACUACACACGUGACCUCACAAUAGAUCAUUCGUAUCGUUUCUAUUCCAAAGGCUCAACCGGGAAAUUCCUCACUUUCCAACAUGUUACAGUUUAUUCAUAGUCCUUUUUCAAUUUGCAAUUUACAACAAAUAAUCAUUCUAUUGGCAGCCACAUUUCAUAUGAUAACAAAAUAUAAUAAAAUAAAAAGAAUCGAUAAAUUAUUUACGUACAAUCUUACCUCAGAUUCAGAAAUGGCAAUUUUUCAUUCUAGUCCAUAACUUUGUAUUUUUUGAAUUUAAGCCCAAAUCUCGAUUUCCUUGAUCUAUAAUAUCACAUUUAGCCUAUUAAUUAGUCACACUAUUCAUAUGGGUCAAAAAAUCAUAUUUUUACAAAUUUUCAUUUUGACCCCUAAACUUUUGCAUUUUUGCACUUUUGCCCCAAGGUUCGGAAAUUAAACUUCUUCCUAUUUUCUUAUGUUUUAUGACAUGCUGAUCAUUUUUCCCUUCUAUGACAACAUCAAAUUCUCACUCUAACAUGUACUUAUGAACAUUAGGUAUUUUUAGCGAUUAUACUGUUUUACUUGUUUUCACAUAAAAUCACUUAGCAAAAGUUGUCUAACACAAUUUCAAGCUUCAUAUUCUACCAUUAAACAUCAAAAUACAUGCAUAUCAUUCAUGGGUAAAUUUUUAAACAUAAAUCCUAGCUCAAAAUAAUGGUAGAAAUGAGUAGAUCAUGUUACUCGGAUUUCAAAAAUACAUAGAACAUUAAAAACGGAGCUCGGAAUCACUUACUAUUAAGCUUGGAAGCUUGGCCAAACCCUAACCAUGGCUAUUCUUAGUACAUUCUGCUGUAGCAAGAAGAAAGGGACACAUUUGGAGUUUAAAAUUUGUCUUUUAAUUCAUUUUACCCCUAAAUGACUAAAAUGCCCUUCUUAUUAUUCUUUCAAAAUUUACCCAAUCAAGGCCAUUUUUGUCCAAAAAGUUAUAAAAUGGUUUAAUUAUCAUUUAAGGACCUCCCAUUUAAAAUUUCCUAACAAUUUGAUACCUCUAACAUGUAGAACUCAACUUUUGCACUUUUUAUAAUUUAGUCUUUUUUACUAAAUUGAAUGCCCAAACGUCAAAAUUUUCGAACGAAAUUUUCACGAAAUCAUUUCAUGAAAUCGUAGACCAUAAAGAUAUAAUAAAAAUGAAAUUUUCCUCAUCAGAUUUGUGAUCCCGAAACCAUUGUUCCGACUAAGCCCAAAAUUAAGAUGUUACAAUUAUCAUGGCCCGAAGCCAAAUCAUCUGAUAUUCAUGGCCCGAAGCCAAAUCGGUAAAAUACAAGCCUGAAGUGCUAAUAUCAUGGCCCAAAGCCAGCUCAAAGUAUCACUUACUGACAUGUCAAUAGUAUCCAAAACUAUUCUUACGGUUCAACCGGGAUUUCACACAUUUAGUUUCUAUCAUCGAAUGCUCUCGUAGAGUCGUUUUCACACUUCAUACAUUAUCCAUAAUCCUGUUUUAACAAUUUAUGCAAUAUUAAAGCAUUUUAACAAAAAUUUAUAAUGUAAUCAUUACAUACGAACUUACCUCAUAUUUAGAAUUGACGGAUCGGGUCGACUACUCGAUAACCUUACUUUUCCCCUGAUCUAAAUUCGAAUUCUUUCUUUCUUGAUUUAUAUGAAUUUAGAAUUAUCUUAUUUAUUCAUCUACUCAUUCAAUUAAUCUAAAAAUACACAUUUGGGAAUUUUACACAUUAGCCCCUAAACUUUCACUUUUAAUCAAUUUAGUCUCUAUUUAACAAAUACAUAAAAUUCACACAAUUCAACAAAACCCAUGCUUGGCUGAAUUAUAUAUAGGUCCCUAGUAGCCCAAAACUUUCAUUUAUUUCACAUUUCAACCACACAAUUUGCACAUUUCACAAUUUAAUCCCUAUUAUGCAUUUUCAUCAAAAAUCACUUUACAAAACAUGAAAGUCUAUCAUCAAAAAUUCAUAUUUCAUCUUAAAACACCAAAGAGCACAUAAACUCAUCAAUGAUAACUCUUUAAGUUUUUAACAGUUUCAAAAUUAAAGGUAUGGGCUAGCUAGGUUAAGCUGCAACGAUUACAAAAAUAUAGAAACCAUAAAAAAUCGAGCUAAAACCAUACCUUAAUCAAGCUAGGAUUGUGCCAAAAUUUUCAAACCCUAAAUUAGCUUUUUUUCAUGCUUCAUUCAGCCAAGGAUGAUAAUAAUAAGAUUAAUUUUGUGUUUUGUUUUAUUUAAUUAACCUUUAUUGACCAAUUUACAAAAAUAACCUUAAUGAACAUUAAUUAUUUCACUCCAUGCCAAACCAUUAUAAUCCAUUAACUCUUUAAUGGGUAAAAUAUCACUUAAGAACCUUAAGUUUAAGGUUUUAUAGCUAAUAGAUUGUAACGCCCCAAUUUUUGGGCCUGAAAGUAUUGGGCCUUCAGUUUGGGUUCGGGUGGAAAAUGGCCCGAAUAAUUUGGAUGUUAUUAUUAUUAUUUUGUAUGUUUAGUUUAGUAAUUAAAUAAAUUACGAAGGGUUUAUGGUGUGGGAAAAAAGGCCCAAGAGUAAAUUUAAUUCGAGGUAAUUCCUGAAUUUUAAUUUUGGGAAAGAGGGUUCUGGCGAUCUGGGCUUUUAAAGUUGAGGUGGUAAAAUAGGAAACAAAUAAGGCCUUGGUAAAGUGGCAAGGUGGUGCCACUAAGUUCCUAAAAAAAAUGGUGUCUGGGAAGGAAUUAAAGGUCCAGGGUUCAAGUUGCAAGGUAAACAUAUUGUUACUUUUUAAUUUUAGGUAUGUGUUGGGCAUGUGAUCACUUAAGUGAAUUUCGGCAAGGGCCUUAGGGAGGUUGGGCCGAUUGUUUUAGUUGAUAUUAGGGUUAGGUUCUUUUCUUUUUCUGUCUUGGAAAAUUAGGGUUAUCCAUUUGAAAGCUUUCACUGCCAUUCAUCCUUUCUGAGUUCUCACAAAAGCCGAAAAUGCAAAUUCCUUCUCCUUGGUGCCGAUUUCUUUUUCCUCUCUUUUUCCUCUAUUUUCUUUCUUCCUUUUUGCUUUUUCUUCUAGCUGAAACCUUUUGAUCACCUUACUCACCUCCUCUGUCAAUCCCAUCCUCCACAAAACCUCCAUAGCUAGUUGCCAUAAAAGCCGAAAUCUCGAAAACUCACUUCUUGUGCCGAUUUCUCCAAGCCAAAAUCCUUCAGUUAUAUUUGUUCUUUUUGAUCAAAUUUCAUCUUCUCUAAACCCUUAGUAUCUAUUGGAAACAUUACUUCAAAGUUCUAGCCUCAAAUCGUCAUCUUAUUCAUCACUUAAAAAGCCGAAAUACCAUAGAUUUAGGGACUUAUAGCCGAAACUUCAGAUCUCCUGGAUUCAAGUUCUACUAUCAUUUAGAGGAUGGAUCUACAUCAGAUCUGCAUAGAAAUCAAAGAGGAAUAAGUGGUAAGUGCUCAUCACCUCAGAUCUAGUCUUAUUUUACAAUUUAGAAAAGCCGAAAUCCCUAAAAUCUAGGGAGGCUGUCGAUUUGGGAAUAGGGCUUUAAGGGUCUUUAACCGACAAUUUCUUUUGGUGAUUAGUGUCUUCAAGAGGUUUUAUUGAAGGCUUGGAUCUUUGGAACAACUAGACUUAGAUCUAGUCAUCGAUUUUCGGCAAAAAGGUAAGAUUCUAAAGGCUUUAGAGGCAUGGUUCGAAUAUGGGUUGCUGAAUAUUGGGAUUGGUUGUUGUGGGUUGCAAACCAAGAAUUGUGGUAAUCAAUUGUAGGACAUCGUAAGGGAUCUCAGUAGCAGUCGUCACGAAAUAGGUGUGUAUCGAACACCCUUUCAUAGUUCAAUUCGGCAAAAGUCGAAAUACCAAAAUUCUGGCAUUUCGUGGGCUUGUGAGUGUGCGAGCACUCGCAAGACAUUUAGAAAUCAUUAGAUCUGAAAUCGCAAAGUGGAAAGUUAGUCAUGUGUGAAAUUUUGUGUACUUCAGUAAUUGGGCCUCGAUAGGCUAAAAUUGGGCCCAAUGGGCUUACGGGCCCAUACGGGUAAAAUAAUAAAAAAAUAGGCAAUAAGUAUGUUCUGUUAGGCUGUGGAAUUGAAACUGCUUAAACCGGUAAACUGGUCAUAAAACUUGAAUUAAAUGGGCUUAAAUUGCUAGUGGACAUUGUAGGGCCCAUUAGGGGUUUUAGGGCCCAAGGGCUAAAAUUGUGAAAUUGAGACAAAUAAGUUAUUGUGAUGAUAAAUGGGCUAGUAAGGACCGUAACAUUCAUGAGAACCCUUAAAACUGAUAAAAUUACUGAAAUACCUUUAUAGGUGGAAAAUUUACAGAUUUACCCCUAGGAGAAAAAUUACUGAUAUACCCCUAGGGUUAAGGUUGACCUGAAUGCAUGUUUGACUGUUACUAUUUACUGCAUGCCAUGUUAUUAUUAUCUGAUGUAUGGGACUGGGUUAUUGAUGGAGGAAGUACUGAAAGUGGCUUGACUACGUACUGGAGGCUUUGCCUCAACUUACUGAUAUCUGAGCAGCAAUGCUGCAACUGUGGAGUGUAGGGCUGGGUGGGUUGAGCUACUCCCCACAUGGAGUGUAGGGCUGGUACGGGUGGAGUGUAGCGGUUGGUUAUAGGCUGGCUUGGGCUUGCAUACACGAAUAUGUCUGUUCUGUUCUGGAAUGGGCCUAUGGGCCAUACUGUUAUCUGAAAAGGGGCUAAGGCCUAGGUUACUGUAUUGUGAAAAGGGCUUCGGCCCAGUACCCACUGUUAUCUGAAUAGGGCAUAGGCCCAAUGGGCUUGAGCUGACUUGGGCUUUGGAUGGGUUUUCCAUUCACACUGAGUUUUCUAAACUCACCCCCUUUCUCUUCCAUCCUUGCAGGUGAGCCCUAGUUGGUGGACCUGGAGCUGGGCAGGAUUCAGAGUGGCCACGAAGAUUAAAUUUCUGGUUUUUUUUUAAAUAAGUUUCAAUUAGCUUCCUUUUAAAUUUCGCAUUUAUUUUUGAUUAUUUCUAUUUUGGUUAAAGUUGUAAUAAGGCCACUCUAUUAUUUUUAUUUUGGGUUUUUAAAUUGGUUAGCUCUAGGGCGCGUUUUAUAGAAGUUACUUAUUUUCAAAAUAUCAUGAUAACCGAGCAAAGCUUCCGCAACGUAAAUGUUUUCAAAGGAAAUAAAUAUUUUAAAUAGAUUUAAACUUAAUCUGUUGUUGGUGGACAAGUAAUAAGCUUAAAGUGUGGCAAUGGAGGUGUGCAUGUUUAGGAUUGGAUCAUGGAAGAACUAAGUACUUAAGCACUCUAAUUGACUCACCUCCUCUUUUCUUGAAUCCUACCUUGUGCGCAGCUUCCAUUCACUUUAAUUUAAAAUGAAAAUGUUCUUUAAACACUAAGAAAGAUUUUAGAUAAAACAUGACUUCUCUAAUAACGCUUCAAUGUGACACGCCAGAUUCGGUCGUAACGUCUAGGCCGGGUUUGGGGUGUUACAUAAAUACCUUUAACUAUUAGAACAACACUUUUGCACUUUACGCGAUUUAGUCCUUUUUAUCAAAUUGAGCAACCAAAUGCUAAAGUUUCUUAACGAAAAUUUCACACCAUUAUAUAUUCAUACUGUAAACAUUAAAACAAUAAUAAAAUUAAUAUUUUGACCUCAGAUUUGUGAUCCCAAAACUACUAUUUUGAUUUGACCAAAAACGGGCUAUUAUAUCUUCCCUAUCCAUAGUCCUUUAAUACAUUAUGAAAUAGACGCCAGACCAUAGAUAUUGAGGGUUUAGGUAGAUGCAUUACAGUGGUUCCAAAAUAAGAAGAGCGACAAAGGAAGAAACAAUGUGAUAAGUGAUUAUAGGUCGGGCAAAAAUGUUCGAAAAUGAAAAAAAAAUCGAAAGUAAAAAUGUGUGAAAAAAGUAUAGAAUAGAAACAAAAACAUUGUAACUGAGAAAAGAGUAAAAAGUCAAGUGAAAAAACAAAAAGUCACAAAAGUGAGCAAAAAAAUCAGUCAUCAGUGCACCAAAACUCGUUAAGUCGAGAUAAGGUAGGUGAGAAAGGGAGACAAAAGGUGGUGAGCUUGGAUGGGACGUUAAGGGGGAAGAUAGAGAACAAUGUCAUAUGCCGAACUAUUUCUAGUGUUUGAAUCGUUUUAAGCCAUAUCUUUCUGUGAACUCAUAUUGUUCUAAGCCUUAAACAGUUACAAGCCUAGAAGACCAAUGUGACUUAAGUGUUAUCUGUGCAUAAUAUUAUGGAAUUGCUAACAAUUACACUCAAUGAAUAUUUUAAAAUUCACAUGAUUGUGUCUACUACAUGUCUUUUUUAUUUAUGCUAAUGGUGAUAUUGUUAAAUAUUAGGUCAUGGGAAUUACUUCUAAUUUGUUAGUAAUGUAACUUUGUAAACUAAUCUUGUUUUGCAUUAAAAAAUUUCAAAGUAUUGAACUAUCAAAAUUAAGUUACUUGUGCGAUAAUAAUUGUUAUACCUUUCAUAUUUGCAAUCAUGUUCUUAGUAGCAAUAAAAUGUAAGGGAUGUCUUCUUAUUACAUGCUAUGUGUCUAGACUUGAUUUGUUUGUGGACAAGCAAAAUUUAAGUGUGAGGGAGCCUAGGUGUGUGGUUCUUAUUUACAACCAUCUUCACUAAUUCUAGCUUGUUUAAAGAAAGAAACCAAGUAGUUAUUUUUUUUUAUGUUUUGUAGUUUGGUUUACUUUUAUUUACAACUAAAAUUUUUCCCUUUUUGUUUUCAUACCUUCUUUUUUGUUUAUUUUAAUUAUAUGUUUACAUUGCUUGAGGACAAGUAAUAACUUAAGUGGGAGGGAGUUUAAUCUACCAUAAUUCUGUGUAGCAAAUUAAACUAGUUUUCACAUUUAAGGAGCUUGAAUACAAGCUUUUUUUGUUAUGUUUUAGUCGAGUUUUCAAAAUUUCAUACAUUCAAUAAAAAGUGUAAUUUGAGUACGUUAUUGACAUUAGGGCUGAAUGAGGCCUCAAGAUGAGUUAAUAUACUUUGUGAGUGUGCAGGAGACCAUUAGAAGAUGUGCUAACUUGAUGGUAGUCGUUGUGUUAUAGCACGAAGAGUUUGAUGUUGCAACAUAGGGAGUAGAAUAGAAGAAUUCCAAGACUACCUUCGAUUUUGCGACACGGCCUGAGGAUGUCGUGACACACCCUUGAAGAUACCCCAAAUAUGAGUAUGCUGCCCUCAAUGUCCCGACAAAGGCACUAGGGUGUCAUGACAUUAGUCCUGUACUGGAAACAUUUACUAGCCAAGGGAGUUUUGGUCUGUACAAUCAAAUGUUUAACACGAGAGCAUCAACUGACCUAGGAUUGAGGACUACGACAACCCUAAAUCUAGAAAUAGGCUCAUUUAACACUUAUUAUGGAUGACUUUUGAUAUUCAAAGUUUUUCUUUGUAAUUCAAUUUUUCUUCUUUCUCUUAAGGUUUAGAUUUCUUUUUAGUUCUUGUCAUUCGUGUUCUUCGAAGAAAUUGAUUUGUAGACAAAAUAAAAUGUUUAAGGAAUUCUAUGCUUCAUCGAUCGAAUAUAAUCAGGAUUCUCUAAACUUUAUUCUUGAUUUAUUUUUUCAUGCACAUAUUUAUCAUCAAGUUUACUAUGUUUAGGGAUUCCAUGAAGAAUAAAUCCUCUUAUGGGGGAUUAGGGAGUGGAGGUGUAAUUAACUAAUCAUUAUGAAGGGUUUUCUGAGCGGAUCAACUGUUUGGGAAAGAAAAAACUUAAGCCCUAGGCUUUACGAUCCUAGGAAGUCAUUUAAGUGGGAAUUAACCCAAAAUUGGUCCAGCCUAUCCUUGAACACCUUCGCCCUAAACCGGUUUGGAUUGUGAGGUCGAGUGGUAAAUCAUAAUUUAUACAUAUUUCUAUCCCAUGCUUAGCACAUUUUAUGGAUGAAUUUUUCUUAAAAUUGGUGAAUUUGAUGCUCCUAAUGCCUUAAUUUCAUAUUUUAUACUUAGGUGAGCAUAGGAGAGUGAAAGGAACGAGAAACGGGCCAAAACGGAAAAAAUUGGCCAACGUACGAAAUCAACACGGCCUAGACCUCCUCACACGGGCAAACCACACGGCCGUGUCAAUUUGGAAGAAUCGAAGCACGACUCACACGAGUGGACCACACGCCCGUGCCUAUUUAACAGGCUUCACCACAACCUGAAGUAAUCGCACAUGGACGUGUCACACGGGCGUGUCCCUAUUGAGCCCAAAUUGAGUCCAAUUCAGAAAAGGCCAAUUUUGAGGGUUCUUAAGCAUUCUAAAGCCUAUAAAUACACCCUAGAGGAGGAGAAAAAGGGGACACUAAGGAGGAAGCAGGGAACUGCUCAAGGAAAGUCGAUUGAUCUAUCUCAGAAGCCGGAUUCAUCAUCAAGACUGAAGAUCUCCCCUUAAUUUCCCUUCAGGAGUUUUGGGUUUUUCUUUAUGUUUAGUAUUCAUUAUUCUUCUGAGAUGUUUAUCUUUUUAGUUAUGAACUAAAACCCUUAGAUACCUAAGGGGGAUGAAACCUAAGAUGGAUCUUGUUAUUAUUAUUUGAAUUGUAUGAUAAAUAUUUGACUUGUUCUUAAUUAUGUGUUCUUAAUUCUUUGUUUGAUAUUCCAGGAUAUUGAUUCAAGUUAAUAUCUUAUUCAGAGGAGCAAUAGACCCUGUCUAAGAGUAAAUUUGUCAUAAUUAAGAGGAGUUGGUUGCGCGCCUAGAGAUAGGGUGACAAGAUUUUGCUGGAUUAGGGUGAAACCUAAUAAGGGGAUCCAUAGAUUGAGUUAAUGCAACCCUAGGGCGUUAAUUGGAAAGAGAUUUAAAUUAUUCAAACUAGGGUUAGACAUUGUUUGUAUUGAGAGAGAUAAUAAUAUAACUUAGGGAUCUCUACGGAACAAGUUGAAUGAAUAAAUCGUCCGAUUCAGAGUCAAAUAACAAGUGAAGUCUAGGUGGAUUUUUCCUUAGGUAUUGUCUUAAUUCAAUCGUUUUUCUAAAAGUAAUUCCCCAAUCUAUUUUCUGUGAAUUCUUAGUUUAGUAAAUUAGUUAGUUAAAACAAACCCCAUUAUUCUUAGGCUGGAUAAUAAAAAGACAGUCAUUACUAGUACAUUUAGUUUCUUUGGGUUUGACAAUCCGGUCUUGCUAAAGUUAUACUACUGUUUGAUAGGUACACUUGCCUUCAUCGUGAUAAUAGUUAGUUUCAAGGAUGAUUCAUUAUAAAUAUUUAAAACCUGUCAUGAAUAUCACAUACCAAGUUUUUGGCACCGUUGCCGGGGAACUAAGAUAUUAGGAACACUCGAUUUUUAUUACUUUAGCCAUUUGCUUUUACUGCAAUUUAAAUUUUAUUCUAAUUUUUAUUACUAAUUCUUCUUUUUCCCUUUUUCUGGCAGGUUCUUAUAGUUUAUGACUAGAAUAAACCCGUUAGGACCAUUACUUUUUGAUAGUGAGAUCGAUCGCAUAGUUCACAGAAACCAAAGAGAAAUAAGGCGAAACUUAAGAUACACAGAUGACGAGCAAGAGGACAAUAUUCAAACCACAACCGAGGAGAUGGCUGAAAACUAAGAAAAUCUGCUACCUCCUGCAAUUGCUGUUAAUUAAAAUCCUGCUCCGCGCACUAUGUAUGAUUAUGCUAAACCUAAUUUAACAGGAACUGAGCCAAGUAUAGUUAGACCUGCUAUUGUUGCAAAUAAUUUUGAACUGAAACCUAACACAAUUCAAAUGAAACAACAAUUUGUUCAGUUUGAUGGUUUGCAGGACGAGGAUCCCAACUCUCACUUGGCAAAUUUCCAAGAAUUUUGCGAUACCUUUAAAAUUAAUGGCGUUUCUGAUGACGCCAUUCGCCUUCGAUUGUUUCCCUUUUUGUUAAGGAAUAAGGCUAAACAAUGGUUGAACUCGUUACCACGAGGUUCAAUCACUACUUGGGAACAAAUGACCGAAAAGUUUCUAUUAAAAUACUUUCUGCCGGCUAAAAUGGCUAAAUUACGUAAUGAUGUCUCUUCUUUUGUGCAGAUGGAUUUAGAAACACUCUACGAUGCAUGGGAGAGAUACAAAGACCUUUUGAUAAGGUGCCCUCACCAUGGGUUACCGCUUUGGCUACAAGUUCAAACGUUUCAUAAUGGCCUGAAUCUUUCGACUCGGUAGAUGAUUGAUGCAGCCGCUAGAGGAACCAUAAAUAAUAAGACACCUGAAGAUGCCUAUGAAUUUAUAAAGGAGAUAUCACUGAAUAACUAUCAGUGGCAAGUCAUUAGGACAAAGCCAACGAAAACAGCCGGUGUUUAUAACGUCGAUUCGGUUACCAUGAUCUCUAAUUAGGUAGAACUCUUGAAUAAGAAAAUUGAUGGUUUUCUUAGUUCUUCACAGGUUCACCCAGUAAUGCAGUACGAAGCAAGUGGAGGUGGAUCAAGCAGUUCAGAAUACCAACUUUAUGGCCACAACAUGAACAACGAGCAAUUAAAUUACAUGGGUAACAAUCCUCGAUCUUAAAACAAUCCUUAUAGCAAUACUUACAAUGCAGGUUGGAGGAAUCACCCAAAUUUUUCAUGGGGAGGCCAAGGAAAUCAGAAACCAUCACCCCCUCCAGGCAUUCAGCAACCACCAUACCAGUAGGAGAAAAAGUCAAACCUUGAGGAGAUGCUAACUAAAUUCAUCUUGGUGUUAGAGACUCAUUUUUAGAAUACCGAGACCGAGACGGUACUCAAAAAUCAACAAGCAUCGAUCCAAGAGCUUGAAACUCAAAUUGGACAGCUCGCUAAGUUAAUUUCCGAACGACCACAAGGUAGCCUGCCACACAACACUGAAUCUAACCCAAGGGAGCAACUCAACGCGAUUUCCAUUCAAGAUGAGGAAGGGUUAGUUGCAAAACUAAGGCCAGAAAUGGUGGUAAGCAAAAAUAAGAAUAAGGUUGGCCAAAAUGACCCAAAGCCGGGAAGUACAGAAUAUAAACCUCAUGUGCCACACCCCAAAGCGACAAGGAAAGACUGCUCAGAUGAACAAUUUGGUAAAUUCCUUAAACUCUUAAAAAAUUAUAUAUUAACUGGCCGUUUAUUGAAGCUCUAUCGUAGAUGCCAAACGCAAUGAAAUUUUUAAAGGAGCUUUUAGAAAAUAAGCGGAAGUUGGACGAGGCUUCGCAUGUGAAGCUAAACGCAAUUUGCUUAGCUAUUCUACAGAAUAAGCUACCCAACCAAUUGAAAGAUCCAGGGAGUUUUACAAUUCCCUGCUUAAUUGGUAGUUUAGAUGUUAAUAAUGCAUUAGCUGAUUUAGAGGCUAGUAUUAAUGUCAUGCCUUACAAAAUGUUUAAACAACUAGGGAUUAAAAAACCCAAACAGACUAGGAUGAGCAUUCAAUUAGCAGAUAAAACUAUAAGAUUUCCUAGAGGUAUUAUUGAAGAUGUGCUAGUUAAAAUCGAUAAAUUUAUACUUCCCAUUGACUUCGUUGUUCUAGACAUAGAGGAAGAUAGCAACACUCAUUUGAUUUUAGGAAGGCCCUUUUUAACAACUGCUAGAACAAUUAUUGAUGUUGGCACAGGUGAGCUCACACUUUCUGUGGGAGACGAAACAAUCACCCUUCAAGCUCGCAAUUCUGGCAACAUAUCAGAAAUUGAAGGUGAUUGUCUAAACCAUUCUAUUAAAACUGACAAUAUGGUGAAACCUACUUUGCAGGAAAUGAGUUUGAAGGAAGUAUAUGAGCCAUUUUCAAGCAAUAGUAGAUGGCCUAUUCAUAAAGAACAAAGGCUACAAAUCGAGGAGCUAGAUGAAUGGCAGACACAUAAACCGAGAACACAGGAUAAACCAAAACUACGCCAGAACAAGCUCAAUACCUUUUCAACUCAACUUAAGGUUGGAGAUAAAGUUUUAUUAGAUGCCGCAGAUCUUCACAUUGUCACUACCAAACAGAAUAAAGAAAUCCCUCUUACGGUACUUAGCAUUUUCCCAUUCGGUACAGUCCAAGUAAGUCAUCCCAAGUUCGGCACUUUUAAGGCAAACAAUACCCGCCUAAAACCUUAUUUUGAUGAGAUUCAUCGUAGGAAUGAGGAGUAUAAACUCCUCGAACCACCAUGGCCAUUCAAUGGAGAGGUAAGUCGAGCUUAGACUAUAAAUAAGUGCUUCUCGGGAGGCAACCCGAGCACUAACUGUAUUAACUUCUUUAAAUUUUAGUGUUUAACACCUAACUUGCUAACGAAGCUCUUGAAUACAAGUUUACCACACAGACACGGCCAAGCACACGGGCGUGCUUAGGACCGUGUGGAAAUAGGGCAAAGAUUUUCCCCAGCACGGGCUACGAUAAAUAGCCACGGCUGUGCGACAUGGCCAUGGGUGAACCUGCCAAAACACACGGGCAUGCGACACGCCCGUGCCUGGAAACCGUGGCCGAACCUGUCAAAUUAACACGGGCGUAUGACACGCCUGUGCCGAGCAACCGUGGGCAAACCUGUUAGAUUAACACGGGCGUGGGCCUACAUACACGGGCGUGUGAGAAGCGAACGAAGACAGACAUGGCCGAGCGACACGGCUGUGUGCACCCACACGCCCAAAGAACAUGGGCGUGGGCCAAAUGUCAGACGCGGCCAAAUUCAAAAUUCGCGAAUCACACAGGCAAAAAUUGGGGCACACGGGCGUGUCCCCUGGCCGUGUGUCCCAAAAUCUAUAAGUACCCUUCACUAUUCAUCAUCUUCUUCACCCAAAAUCCCUAACCCUAGUCGCUGCAAGUCCACACGGCCUCCCUGCCAUGCCCGUGCGCUGCCUUCAACUUUAUUUUCGACGCCCAUUCUUAUCUUUUUAGAGUUUGUUUACUCUUUUCUCUUUUAUUUUACUUAGUUCUAAUGUUAAUUACCAUGUUAAUCUUCAUUUAUCCCAUACUAAGAUGAACAAGCAAUGUCGCAACAUGCAAAAGUGAUGUCACGACCUUGGGGUUAGAAAACUCUAGGUUGCAACAUCAAUGUAACACUCCUCACCUAAUCCGGGUAAGAGAUGCUACAUUUAAACACUAAACCCACCACUUAAACAUAUUCUUGUUUCAUUCUAAUCAAGGUAACUUAUAGCACAAAACAUUUUCAUUCACACAUAAUUUACAUUUUUUUUACUAAUAAACCUAGGUACAUGCCAAAUUGAAGCAGCAAUCGUCGAUUCUUUUCAAAACUUAUCCAUCACCUACGAGUUUAAAAAAAACUCGUUAAGCUGCGUGAAUAGCUUAGUAAGUACUCAACUGAAUUCAAUCUUACCUUAUAUAUAUAAAAAAUUAAUUUUAAUAAUAUUUAUUCACACAAUUUCUUUCAAUGAUGUAGUUAAACUUUAAUUCAUUUCCUAAACAUAAAAUCAAUUACAUUAACUUUAUAAUUUAUAGUUUUUAGUUUAACAUAUAUUAUCACUAAUUAACUUUCACAUUCACGUAUCAAUGAUUUUCUCUCAUUUUACAAAAAUAACAUAAACACUUAAUUUACAUGUUCACUUUUAUUUUUAUUUUCACAUAUUAUUACACAUCCGCACACUUUUACUUUCACAUAUCACUUUUGAAUUCUUAAUGAAUCUCAAAGGAGUUCAAUAAUUUCGAUACAUGCAAAAAUCUAGGCCAAAGACAAACUCUUGGUCUAUAAUGGAACUAUGAUAACGAGAAAUCUAGAAAAAUAUACAGGAACUCUAGUAAAAACAUCACAUAACCCGAUCCUUCUUGUCUAAUCCCUUCCAAACUCUCGUAUCACUAAUUUGGUUCCCAUCCGAACCCCCAGCCCCUCUCAACUCCAAAUCAUUUCAUUAUCAUACAUCAUAUUUCCUCUGAGUUCACUAAGGUAUUUCUUCAUAUAUCACUUUCAUAUAACAUGUUUGAUAUAUUACACAUAUAUUGUAACACCCCUCGCCCACAUCCGACGCCGGGACGGGUUCGAGGUGCUACCUGACUUUUACUAACACUUCCAUACUAAACAGGGCCAUGAAAUCUCAAAUAAUUAAAAACUUUUAUUUUCACAUACAAUCUGUCCCAUAUACGGGCUUACGAGGCCCAAAACAUACAUCCGGAGUGGUUUGGGACCCAACCGAGAACUCAUGAAAAACUUAGAAAAUCUCUUGCAUCAAGGCUUCAUACGCCCAUGUGGGUAUAGAGCACACGCCCGUGUGCUAGGGACACGCCCGUGUCCCAAACCCGUGUCCAAAAAAACUGGACAAAUACAAGGCUAUUUUCCAAGCCAUUUUGUCACACUCACAAUAGAUACACGCAUACUUAUACAAUAACAUACAACAUGGCAAAAUUAGGUACUUAAACAUUCCUAACAUGUCAUGAUUAUGGCAAUUUCACAUGCAAUAGAUAUCAUAGAUUUACUCACAUCUUUACCACAUUCAUACUAUAAUCAUUAUAAACUCAUCACAUAAUACCAUAGCACAUGCAUGCAUAAUUAAAAUAGAUUUACAACCCCAUAAUCAAAAUAGGCCAACACAUAUGGUUAAAUCCAUAUCACAUACUCUAAUAUUUAAACUCCUAUACAUGCCAUAGGCUCAAAGUACUUGAAAUCACUACACCAAUAGCGUUAGCUUGACAGUGUGAUAAUAUCUCUGACAGCCUCCAACCUGAGCUAACCUGAAAACUCUAGAAAACAUGGGAAAAAAGAGGGGGGUAAGCUUUCGCUUAGUAAGUUCAUAUAAAAACCAUAAGCAACUCAUUAACUUGUUUUAUCAAUGUUUACAACAUAUUCUCAAGUUCACUACAAGCUGUCUUUCUGAGCAAUGGUCACUAAAUUAUUUAUAUCUGGAGCUACAAAACUCCGAAUUAAGUUCCGUUAAUUUUCCCUAAAACUAGACUUAUUUUCCUUUCUUCCAUAAAAUUUCCAUAAUUUUUGGUUAAGCCAAAUAGUACAGUUUAUUCCUCAAAGUUACCCUUGAUUCACUGUCUGACAGUUCCGACCCUUCUGUACUAAAGUUCGAUUAUCUCAUAGUACAAGAUCGAAUAAUGUUCUUGUCUAUUUCUAUUGAAACUAGACUCAUAUGUUUACUUACUAAUUUUUUUCUAAAAUUUUUGGUUGGGCCAAUUAGUACAGUUUAUUAGUUAAAGUCUCCCCAGUUUCAGGGUAUGACCACUCUGAUCCCUGUGCACUACAAACCGAAUUUCUCCCUGUACAGAAUUCCAACGACCAUUCCGUUUAUUUCCCCUAAAAAUAGACUCAAUAAGGAAUCCAUGCAUGUAAGGUAUGACUCUUAAUAAUUUUUUUAAAAUUUUUGGUGAAUUUCUAAAGUCUGAAUAGGGGAUCUCGAAGUCAUUCAGACCCUGUUUCACAAGAAUUAAAAUAUCAAACAAUAUGGAAUUCUUUUUCUUCCCCUGUUUCUUUCAUGUGAAAAUAGACUCAUUAAUCUUUAAUCCCGUAUUUUAUUCUGCCUCUAACUCAUUUUCCACUAUUUUUAGUGUAUUUUCAAAGUUACACUACUGCAGUAACUCAAAUCUGUCAAGGCUAAAUUACUCAUUCAUGAUCAUUGUUCACAAAAUUAAUACAACAUCAUUUGUAUAAUCAUCACCGAGACAUUCAUAUCACAUUUUCAUUUACCAUCUUACCAUUUUGUUGUUAUGUCGAGUUUUCAACCCGAGGGUUAAGUACAUACCUGUUCAAAGUAUCCAUUUCACAACAUUUAUCAAUACGUCCCUUUCAUCUCGAGUAUUCCUCCAUUUGAGUAGAACUUUACCCAUUGAAUACAUCGGAAUAUAAUUCGGAUACAUGGAAAGUUUGCACAUAAGUGCCACAUAUGUAGCUAAGCUACCAUGUAACCCGCCCAUAAGUGAACUCGGACUCAACUCAACGAGCUCGGGCGUUCGCAUCCAUAAGUGAACUCGGACUCAACUCAACGAGCUCGGAUGCCUAGUUACAUCUCACGAACUCGGACUCAACUCAACGAGUUCAAACAUUCGCAUCCAUAAGUGAACUCGGACUCAACUCAACGAGCUCGGAUGCCCAAAUAUUCCAAUGACAUGUCACUUGUAUCCUAAUCUAUUCCUAAGGUUCAACGGGACCUUUUUCCCAAUCAUGAGUCUCAACCAUCUUCUACGGAAUGCCGAUACCAAUACUUGGUAGUAUUUCACAUUUUCCAAGUAUAUCAUAUAAUUUGACAUAUUAUCAAACAAUUAUCACAAGUAUAAUAUCUCAUAAUAAUUAUCAUAUCAUUUAAAUAACAUCAAAACAUUUAAAAUAAUAACUAUGUUACCAACAUUUACAUAUGAACCUACCUCGAUACCACAAAGGUGAAAAAAAAAGACGUAAUUAUCCCUUAAUCGAUUUCUUUCCGUUCUAGGUCCAAAUCUCGAUUUUCAUCAUCUAAAAUAUCACAUUCAACUUAUUAAAACAAUUUACUGAUCAAAUUAGUCCAUUGACACACUUGAGCAAUUUUUACAAUUUUGCCCCUAUAUUUUGCCAAAAUUACCAAAUUACCCCUAGGCUCGUAAAAUAAUUUUUAUCACAUUUCUUUACUCCUUGAGUCUAGAUGAACCAUUUUCAUAACUAUAGCAACUCAUAAUUUCAACUAUUUCACACAUUUACAACUCAUUUUACAACUUAGCAAUCUAGCCCUUUUUAAGGUGUUUUCAUGCAAUUUCUUUCACAAAAGUUGUUUAUUAGACAACUAGGACUCAUAAUCUUCCAUAAAAACACAGCAAACAACACAUUUACUCUAUUGGAAAAACCCUAGACUCUUCAUCAUUUUGCAAAAUAGACCCCUCAUAUGAAAGCUCAUGCUUUAGGGGUUCCAAAAAUGUAAAAAUCAUCAAGAAAGACAUUAAAAAUCACUUACUAGCAAGGGAUGUAAGUGGCUGAUAUUUCAGAACUUCAAAACCCCUUUCUUUUCUGCCAUUUUCGGUGGAGGAGAAGAGAAAAAUGAUAGCUUUUUCUUUUUAAUUUGUUAAUAAUAAAACUAGUCAAAAUUGGUGACCAACUUCACCUAAUUUUGACUUUUCAACAAUUUUUUUUUUGUCUCCCAUGGCCGGCCAUCACAAUUUCAAUGGCCUAAUUUCACUUUAAAUACCCCCAAUUUAAGAUACAAGGCAAUUUAACACCUUUAGGUAUUAAAACUCAACUUUUACCUUUUACGCGAUUUAGUCCUUUUUCGAAAUUGGACUAGAAAUCGCUAAAAUUAACUUACCAAAAUUUACAUGCACUUAUAAAAUUAUAUUAUAACACAAAAUAAUACUAAAAUAAUUUUCUCUGGCCUCGGAAUAGUGGUCCCGAAACUACUGUUCCGACUAGGCCCAAAAUCGGGCUGUUACAUAUAUAACUUUGUAUCAUAUUACUUAUUCACUUUGAAUUACAUAAACACAUUCACUACAUUUUUAUUUCACAUGUUCACUUUAUGCACUAUUCAUAAAAAUACAAGCAUAACAUAUAUUCACAACAGUUACCACUUUUGAUUUCAAUUCACUAUCAUUAAACACUUUACUUUCUUAUAACGCCUCACUUAAAUAUUUUAUUUCACUAUUUUAGCACACAUAGUAAUUUUUAUACACUUAAAAAUUUAAGUCUUUAAUCACAAUAUUAAUUUCACAUAACACCUUUUAUACACUUUAAAAUUUAGUCCUCUCUAUAGUAAUUUUACUAUACCACUUCUGUUCACUUAUCAAUUUAUGAAAAAUAAAUAAAUUUUCACUCUUAAUAAUUUAAUCCUUAGUUUCAUGAAAUUCACUAAUCACUAAGUUAUCACUUUAUUAUUUCUUACAUUAGUGACAUACAUUUAUUUAUAUAUUCUCUACUAAAUUCAAUAUUCAUAAUCAUAUGUAUUUUUUGUUACAACAUACCUUUGUUUGUUACAUUACUAAAUUCAAUAUUCAUAAUGGUAUGUUAUUUUUGUUACAUUACUAAAUUCACUACUAAAUUAUAACUUUAUUAUUUCUUAUAUUAUCAACAUACUUUUAUUUCUCUAUAGUAAUACAUUGAAUUUAUUCCUUUUCGUCAUUUUCGCACAUUCAUUUAUGCAACUUUUAUUAUGCAAUCCGUACAAAGUUGUAUUAAGCUAGCAAUCCAUACAAAGUUAUCUUGAACUAAAAUAGGAACUGAUUAAAUAUAUAUAUAUAUAAUUAAGACUUAAGUAAUUUGAAUCAAGUUUCAAUUAAACCCUAAAUAAUCCAAAUCCAAAAAUAACCUGAUCCCGAACCAUUUUGCCACAUCUUAGUGUAAUGUACAUGGCCAACAAGUUCUUCAAAUAGCAAAAUUUUACAUGUUUUGCGACCAAAAAUUUCAGUGCAUAUAUUCGAACAAUUUCCACGGUUCUAUUGUUUCCAUUGCCAACUCUAACCAUUCUUACGGGCUACUAAAUUCACACACAUUUUAUUCAUUUAUGUUUAAAAUAUUAUGUUUUAGUCACUUACGUUAUCGUGUUGUAAUAUUUUAAUUACUGAAUAUUAAAUACUGUUAACAGUGUAACGGUAAACUGAUGUGACACGUUAAAUCAUCAUUUCAAAUAAAACUUUUAAUUAAAAUAUACAAUUGAUUAUGCUCAAGAUAUUGAGAUUGAGAUUUAUUUACAUUAUAUGAAAUGAGAUGCUAAUAUCUUGAGGGCGCAUCGAUAAUUUUGAUAUUCAAUAAUGUAUUAGGAAUACACUGAAGGUGUAAUACAUGGCCAACAUGUUUGGAAAAUAGAAAAAUUUUACAUUUUUGCGACCAAAAAUUUCACUGCAUAUUUUUAACUGUUUCCACGGUUCUAGAGUUUCCACUGCCAACUCUAACCAUUCUGACGGGCUACCAAAUUCAUGCACAAGGUAUUUUAGGGAAGAGUAUUGAUCGAAAAACUUGAAAGUUGGUGGAGCUCCUUGUGGCAAGUGCUUAUAAUAGCAUAAAAUAUGAAGUACAAUACACACAAGCUUAGAAAGAAACUUGUAUAUAACGUUAUAAAUAAUGGGUCCUUCGGAAAUAAAAAGAAAAAAAGAAAAAAAAAUGAAGUUAACAUCUUCACAUCCCUUGUCUCUACACCAAACAACUACAUCACUUGAUUAAGAAUAAAGUCGGUGGAGUUUUGGGGGGAGGGGAGGGGGAACAUGAAUGACAAUGGACCCAAAGAACGAAAGAGAAAAUGAUAUUGUACUUCCCCAAGCCAUUUCUUUUACGAACUCAAUCCUGAAAAUCAUGCAUAUGAUCUAAAAGGUAGUUGGCUGCAAGUUCCUCAUUCUUGUUGCACGCAAAGAACACUUGGAGCACAGUUGCACGGUCAAACCCCAUUGCUUCAAGCUGCAAGAGAUGGGGAAUGAACAAGAGAAUAAGGAGACUACAAAAGUAUUUGUAGGCACAGGAUCAAUGCAACAAAUUUGAGUUUAUUAAACAUCUAAAAGUAAAACCAUUGCCUAAAAGAAAGCUGUGAUGCAUAUUUCAUAACUCAGAUAAAGGCCAAGGAAAUGAAGGCAUUUCCAGAGGCAGUGGGGAAGAUAGCUAAUAAUCCAUGAUUACAGAGAAUAGUGAACACAUCCAAGUCAGCCCUUAUGUAAAAGAUGACAUACCCGUUCUAUGGCUUCACGUUCCUCAGGUGUGACUUGCACAGCUUGUGGCAUCGCCUCAGCUAAUUGCCCCAAAAUGUUUCUUUACAACAGGAGAUGUCAAAAAAGCACUUGAUAUACAUACACACUAUAUAAGUUCAAGAAAUGAGCAACUAAAAACAAGAAGACUCACCCCUCUCCACCUUCAGCAGGUUCAUUGAUCAAGCGAAGAAAGUCACCCUGAUGCUCUUGAAUAAGUCUCAUUAAAUUAGGAUUUUGUUUCCCCAACUCUUGAAGCAUAGGCUGCCAAAUAUAUAAAAAAGGGAGACAUUGAGGAAAGGAGAAAGGUAAAAAAGGAAAAAGAAAAAAAAAAGCUGAAAAGACAAUGAAAAACACACAACGAUUGAAGAGGGGAAACAAAGGACCAGAGAAUAACCUGCAAUAUUUGUGGAUUGGCUUGCACCAUUGCUCGCAAAGCUUGAAACUGAAAAGAGAAUUGCAAAUUGAGUGUAGUUCUAGGUAGGUAUUUGCAUGACAGUCAUGCUAACAAGCCCAUAUACAACCAAAUGAGAAAGAGAGAGACCUGUGGACUGUUCCGUAAAAAAUCAAGAGUGCCAGCCCCAGCACCACUUGCACCCAUGUUGGGAAGGCCCUGUAUCAAUAAAAGGCCAUCAAGUCACUGGUUCAUUUGCCCAUCAUCAAAUUUAUCAAAGGUCUACCACAUGACAAUUUUACCUGGGGAAAGAGGUCUAAUGGAUUUGCAUUUGGUCCACUUGCAGGAAUAGCUGCCGUUUGUGCAGGCUGUUGAGGUUGUGCAGCAGAGUUUGUGGUUUGCCCAACUACAGGAGCACGGGCCACAGGUGGAGCUUCAGCUUGCUCGGGGAUGCCCUAGCAUUUGCAACAAUAAUUUAUGACAAGAUGACAAGCAGCAGCUUAGGAAACAAAAUGCAUGCUUGUUAUAUUUUUUUAAAAAAACAAAAGAAGAAAAGAAAGAUAACGGUGCAGUAUAUAAUAUCAUUAAAACCCACCAUAAAACAAAUUAAGACACACCAUAUGAUUGAAAUGGAAAUCCAACAUUCCUGUUCAUUUUUUUCCCCUCCGGGGGGCGGGGGGGGGGGGGAGGGGUGAAGUCAAAAAGUUAUCAUCAAAGGAAAAUUCACAAUUCCCACACACUUAGCCACCAAGUCAAAAAGGACCAGCAAAAUGGAACAGAGGAGGCAUAUUUGGGCGUGCAGAAAUUCAAUCAUCAUUGACCAAUAAAUCAUGGCAAGGAGAAGGCCAAGUUUCAAAUAGAAUUACAUCAAAUUAAAAAUGACAAAAUGGCAUAAUCAUCAUUCCAAGAAAACCUCUCAGGAUGAGCUCAGCUUAUUAGGCUAUUCCCACAUCUACAUUAAGGAGAACAAUAAAACAACAGCAACUAGAAGCACGCAAGAAAGCACAUAUUCUUCAAGAUACAAGGAAGGUACUUACAGAAUACAAAUAUUCAACAGCUCUCUCUGGGUUAUUAUAAGCAGCACGAAGGGCGUGGACAACAGUGUCCCUGUCCCAGGUCCCUCCACCCAUAUCAAGAAUCUGUUGGAUUGUUCCCUCUAAGUUACUCCCUGCAACCAGGUUAGAUGCUGCUUGGCCAUAAACAUCAGAAUCUGACCUGUUUCCAAAGACAUUAUUCAAGAUAUUACAGGUAUGCAAAGGAAAACAAGGAAAAACUCAAGAUCUCUCCUACUAGAAGCAAUUCGAUUAGAUCAAACGCUUCUAUCCUUCAAAUAAGAAGCAUGAAAUUUACUAUCAAGAAUAAGUUACUCACAAAGGAGUACUUGAAGCAACAGGAGCAGAUUCAGUGGCAGCUGCAGCCCUGAAAAAAAAUUAAUAAGCAAUUAAUCAAUUGCAAAGGUGCUGUAUCUGACCAAAAGUGUAGAAUAGCAGGACUUACAUAGCUGACGUUGCAACAGGUGCAGUAGAAGCUGGUGCUGGAGCUGUUGGCAGAUUACUUGCCUCAGGAGCCUACAAAGAAUCCAAAAUCACAACUCACUCCACAAUAAUCUUUGGAUACAGGCUAAGUUUUCAGAAGCAACAUACCCUAAAGAUUGUAUAGUGGGGGAAAACAGACAUUUAUAUUCAUACUCAAAAAGAAAUUUGAAGAUCAAAUCAAAAUUUGCAUAAUGAUUGUGAGAGUUAAUAGCUCAAGCUAAAUUGUUGUGCUACUGGAAAGGAGAAAGGGAAAACAAUUGUGAAAUUGAGAAUCAUGGAUAAGAGAUCAUGUAACUAACUCAUAAACAUUAAAGGCGGUUGAAUUUGGUAAUAACACCAACUCAAACUCCAAAUUAUGCAUUAUGUUUAUGGCUCAAAAGUGUAACAUAGUAAGCAGUUGGACACAAAACAACUCAAACCUGGGCCAUAUCUAAAAACCUAAAAUCUUAAAAGCAUUCUAUUUACUGUCUAUAACUUUUUUGAUGAUCUACUCGUUCACAAAUUAUAUUUGUUCAAGAUGCUUGACUAUCACUUCAAGUUCUAGUUCAUAGCAUUGAAAUAAAGAACAUCUACCAUCAUGGCAAAAACAGAAUCCCAACGCUUUUCAUGUCAUAUUUAUUGCAAAAUGUCUCAAGAAAUGUGGCUAAAAAGGUACAGUGACAAUCAUUGCUUACAAGCAAGUAUGCAUGCAAGUAAUAGUAAGAGAGGUAACAACAAUCUUACUUUCUUUGUAGGAGCUGUUGAAGCAGUUGAACCCUCACCAGUUGUACCCUUAUUCUAGUUUAUUUAAGCAAAAAGGACACUAUUAGUAUGAAAAUGACAGUUAUGAAAAAUAAAUUCAAAUACAAAUACAAGUAGGGAAAAGGUCAAAAAGUAGCACAAAGAAAAUUUUCUAGUUUAGCAACAAAUUGAUUUAUAAGAUGCACCUACAGGAAAGAAACAACCAAAUUUCAAAAGAAAAAUAUAAUGAUACAACACUCCGUCAUAAGUUAUAACUAAGAUAACUUUCAAGUUCAACAGCAGUGUGAAAAAUAAUGAUGUCAGUUAGGCAUUUAUUAGGACAAAGUCAGCAUACUUUGGUCAGAAAAGUUCGAACAAGUUAGAUGAAAUAUUACAAACAUAAAAAUCAGAAUAUUGUAACCAAUCUCACCUUUGUUAACAUGAUCACAAUAAAGCUAUUUUCAGUGACACUGUUUUCAGCCAGUGUCGUGUCAUCUUUAAGAACUUUUCCCUUAUAGAUUAGCAUUUGUUGUGAAGCAGGAUAAACAUCAGUCCCUUGAACAGUUUCUAUGUUCUUUUUUACAUCCGCAACCUGAAAGAAUUGACAAGCAUUAGCAGCAGAAUUGUAUAAUACCAAGUGACAAAGAAAUGUAAAAGGCAGAAGGCAGAAUGCAUUUUAUCCCAAUACUUUCAUGCCUGUGCGCAUAUAUGUAUGUAUAUAUGUAUAUAUAAACCUUAAAAGCAUAAAAAGUAGCAAAAAACAAUAAAAAUAAUAACAGCUUAUUUAUAUAGUUAGAAAAUCCAAAUCAUUAAAAAACACAACCCUUGAUUAGAUGUAACCAUAGAAUGCAGAACUUGAUCCUUGGUUAUAGAAGAUCUAUUAAAAGAAGCCUCUGUACAUUUAAUCCAGUGUUCAUAACCACACUAAUUCAAAAGUAAUGAAAGAGCAUUGCAAAAUAUGAGAUGCUUAUGGCAAUGUUCAAAGCUUGUGUAUACUCAAAUUCAAACCUAAUUCUAGCACACUACAACUAGAAAUUACAUGGCAAUCUAUGCAUCAAUAUUCAAUGAUACAAGUUAAUGAAAUACUAAGACAAAAAUGAAGCCCACAAAUCAAAGUAUUAUUCACUAAUUUCAAUGAACUAGUAAAAAGCACUACGUAGGAAGAAGUACUUAAUUGCUAAUUGUCGCCAGAAGAAAAGGACACCGCCGUUCAAGCUACAUGAGUAUCAGUCCACUAAAACUUAAUCGAAGUAGCUAGACUAUUCACAAGCUAAAUAAACAUAUUCAAUGAAUUAGGCACUAAAAUUGAACAAAUCAUUCACGAUCUCCGAUUUCACAUGUCAGGCAUGGUAAUUCAACUACGUGCAUAAUAAGUCCCAACUAAUACAGUCCUAGAUGAACGCGAAUUAAUGUUCAAAUACAGGGGAAAGCGGAAAACCCUAGUCAAUAAACGUAAAAUCCCUGGAAAAAGAGGGAGAGGGAAGCGAACCGCAUCUUCUGGUUUGACUUCGAUAUCGAAGUGAGUGCCUUUGAGAGUUUUGACGGAAACCUUCAUCUUCUGCCAAUUUCGAUCUUUCACUCCGUUUGUCUAAAUCCGCCGAUCCUAUUUAUAUAGGUUAAAAUGUGGCAGAAGUACCUAUACUUUUUGAAAAUUGAGAAUAUAGACCUUGUGCUCUUAAUUCAAGUGAUUUAGUUUUUAUACUAUUUUAAAGGGAUAAAUUUUAAAAUUAUAUAUGAAUUAUAGUUUAAUAUGUAAUUGUAUAUAUAAAUUUUAAUUUUAUGAAAUUUUAUAUAUAAAAUUUUGAUUUGAUCUAAUUUUUAUAAAUAAUUAAUAUAAUUAUUGAUAUAACAUCAUUUUAUAUUUAUAUGUUGCAUACAUAAAUAAUUAUAUUUAUCCUAUAUAAAAAUAAAUUGAUGUAUUAUUUCUUUAAAUAUAUAUGAUUAAAUCAAAAUUAAAAUUUCAAGUAUACAUUUGAAUCACAACUAGAGUUUCACAUAUAUAAUUGCACUAAAUUAAAGUUUAUGUAUACAAUUACACAUUAAAUCAAAGUUUAUAUAUAAUUUUAAAAUUUAUCCCUAUUUUAAAUUUUAGGUUUAAUUGUUAACAUUAUUAUUAUUUUGUUAAAUUUAAGUUAAUUACAAAGUCUUUUUUUUUAAUUACAUGGGUAUCAAUUGAGUGUUUUUAUUUCAAAAUGUCAUAGCAAUAAACUUAACAAAAAAAUUAAUAAUGUUAACAAUUGGACUUAAAUGAAUUUUGAAAUCUAAAAAGUAGAGAAACUAAAAUCCAUAAUUUAGAAGUAUAUGGACUAAAUUCCUAAUUUUUUAAACGUACAACGACUUGUAGCAUAUUUUAACCAUUUAUAUAUAGGAAAGGGAGAGAAAUGUUGACUAUCAAGGAAUAUAUGGUAGUAUUAAUGUCAUGGGGCUAGAAAUUUAGUUUGGCAAACCGAGCGGCUUUAGGCAAUUUCUUGGGUUGAAAUCUCAUCCAAGUCAGCCUACUCUCGAAAAAUCAAUUUUUUUGCAGAAAUUCUCUAAGACACCAAAGCAAAAUGGAAGCAAACUAAAAACGAAAGAGAAAAGAAUGAAAAAGAAAAAGCCAAAGAGAAAUAUCGCACACCAAGUGUUUGAGUAAAUGCUCUCAAUAUAUUUAUUAACUCAAGAAUAGAAUUAUUAGAAAUGAAGGGAGAGGACUCUAUUUAUAGUUUAGCUCCCCCAAAUCCAACUGUACAGAUCGAAUUACAUCAAUGGUUGAGAUUAGUUCUUAUUUACAAUAAGAGAGUCUUAAGGGAUUCAAAUUCUAUACAUGUUUAUCCUUUAGGAUUUACAAUAAUUAUCUUGGUAAAAUACAACGUUUACAAUUUAGCUAGGAUCCUAGUAGAUAGGCCUUGAGUCUCUUCCAAGCAACGAGUCAAUCUUGUCAGGCCAAAUGAUCCCCAAUGAACAAGAGGGAACAUCAAAGUAUGCUUUGGUUGCGCGACCCGUGACACUAGAAGAAACUAAAGACACUACUACUUUUUUUUUCUUUUUAAUAAUAAAAGGAACUUGGAUAGAAAAGAAAGAUUACAUAAUUGUUUUCCUAACGGGAGGGCCGAAGGCCUCUUCCAAAAUAAGAGAGAAUCUUAUCAGGGAUUCAUUAUAAAAAAAAAAAAGUAAAACCAUAACUACUUGGACCAUCUAGAGGGUCAUAAAAUAAGAAGGUUGUUCCUUAGUCUUGCUACAACAUUUGUCACACUUGGUUUUCUUUAAGUCCCAAAAAUUAAUAGAGAGCUAAGAGUUAAUUGAAUAAAAUAGUAAGUUGGAUGGCUCCACUGGAAAACUUGGAAAAUUUUGGUGGUUGACUGGUAAUUAGUUGGGAACCAAUUCUAGUUUGGUUACGCUGGAACUAGUGAUUCUUUAGUGGGAGACAAAAUGAUGGUCGACGGAUGGUUACUUAGGGCCUUGAGUCGUGCAUAAGAAUGGUUAUAUAUAUAAGAGAGAAGGAUUAUUUUGAAGGCAGAAUUCUCCUCAUUUCUGUUUUACUUUCAUUCCUUCUCCAUCAUCUUAUUUAGUUGCUCUGAAUGAGAGAAAAUUGAUGAAACAUUGCAUGAGGCAGUGAUCGUAAGAAUUGAGGUCAGGGAGUAGAGAAUCUAAGGAACUGGUAAGUCUUUCUAUCUUUUUGUAUUCAUGGAUUGAGAAAAGGAAGUAAGGAUUUCUAAAAUCUCUGGAAAGCUUUUGAAUGAUACUAAAUUCUGAGUUUUAAUAUUUGAAUACUUUCGGUUUAACUGAUAUAUAUGGUUGUCAUACUUAGCUUCAGGACGAAAGGAACUCUAGUGUUUGGACAAGCUAAGCUAGUGAGGACAAAAGACUUAAGGUGAGUUUCUGAAAUCUAUUUAUUUAGGUGUUGUUUGUUGUCGUGCUACUAAAAUGUUUUGCUUGGGUGUCUGUUUAGAGUCCAGUCUGAAAUCCAUAGUUGUAUAUGAUUACGUUGAAGGGUAAACUAUGCAUGCAUAAUACCAUGGAUAUAUAUAUAGAUGAUUGUUGGUAUGCUCUCUAAAUGCACGACGUGGUUGUGUAUUUAACCGCCUCUGGAUGUACUAACGUCUAGAGUAUAAUUCUUGCAACCAAAUAAGAGUUAGGCGAUUUCUACAAGUAUAUAAGUCAGGUUUUAAUAUAGUUUUUUAUAAUGAAGUAGGGUUUAGGGAUUUCUGAGGAUCAUACCCAAGGGAGGCGAAUAUUAAAUUAAUAAUAACUUCGACAUUAAUAAAUCUAAUUAAUAUUUUAAUUAAAUUAUAUUACAAUAAAACAUAAAGUGAAGAGAAGUUAUUUUAUAAGAAAAAUAAAUAAAUAGCAUAAAAUAAUAAAAAAUGGAAAACUAAUUUGUUGAAUCACUCAAAUCUAAGCAUGGAAGACUAACUCGCUUCGGUGGUCAUAACUAAUUCCUAUGUCGAGCUCUACUCAACCAACUAGCCGCUAACUUAGCAAGAUCUCUCGAUCUUCUACUAAACUAAUAAGUCAACAAAAACUACUUAUCUCUCCCUCACAGUCCAGACAGGAUUGGGGUAAGGGGUUCACGAAUAGGCAAUACAAAUUUUUGGUUCAUUGCCACCUAGAUGACUUCCUAGGGUUGUCAGGCCUAGGGUUUAAGUUCUUCCUAUCCCAAAAAGUUAAUUUGCUAAGAAACCUUACAUAGAAAUUAAUUACUCUCACGUCUACUCGCUAAUCCCCCCACAAGAGGAUUAGUUUCUCAUGAAUCUUAUAAGCAACAUAAACUUGAUAAAGAAGAUAAACAUGAAGAAUAAAUCAAGAAUAAAAGUUUAAGAGAAAUCCUAAAUUGUAUUGAUGAUUUGAAAGCACAAAAAUCCACAAGAGUUUUAAUGAAUCUACCAAUCAGAUUCUCCACCGGACAAAAGUUAAAAUAAACUAAAAAGAUAUCCUAAUUACAAAGGACUAAAAACUGAAAACUAAAUAAAAAGUUGCAACCUAAACUAGAAUAAAAGUUUAAAGAUACAGAAAAGCUGUCUAAGAAGUGUUCAGUGAAGCCUAUUUAUAAAUUUAGGGUUGGCUAUCGUCCAUAGCUUUAGUCUAGCGGGCGUUUUUACGUUAAAGUUCAUUGUGCGGACUAAAACAUUCUUAGCUUAUUAAUUCUUCACAUCAAGCCGGUGUCGUGACACUAGUAGCAGUUUACUUUGCUCAGGUUCAGAUUCAGGGCUGUGCCGCGACAUCCUCUAGCUAUGUCGUGACAUCAAAGGAAAUCUUGCUGUUUUAGGUAUCUUGCUCACUCUGUUGCGUCGUUGAACCUUUGCGUUGCAACAUGGCGACCAGCUCUUGUUCUCAUGCCUUCGAAUGGUGUCCUACACGCUCACCAAACACGUUAGUCUUCCUUUUCGCCUAUUUUGGCCCCUAAAGUCAUAUAAAUGAAUUAAAUCAUGAAAAAUUAAGUAAAACAUUAUGAAAUUUCUUUUAUUCAAGCUAAGUAUGAAAAAUGGUUUAAUAAGCUACAACAAAUUACGGUAGAUCAAACUCCUCCACACUUAAGUCAUUGCAUGUCCUCAAGCAAGAAAACAUAAAAAUUGAAAAAUAAAAGACAAAUCUUGAGCGAAUAUGAUACAAAUACCAGUUUUGGAACACAUAGCUAGGAAUAAUCAUAUAUACAUGUAAUUCUGGCAUGAGAUUAUUAUAAUUACAUACUCGUCUUUACCUUGUUGUUAAUAUAAGACAUUGCCAUUGUUAUUUCAAUUUCUGUGUGUAUAAAUAAACUUAUUAAUAAUAAAGUCCUGAGAAUAAUAUGAUUAUUCUUAAAAAGUCCUUAGGCAAGUAUUAUUGUGGGUUUGGACAGCAAUGAUGCAUUGAGACUAAUGUAUAGCUGAUUGAUGACAAAAUGUCGUCAUUGACAUAGGGAUGUCAAAAUCAAUACAUGAGUAUUUAUUAGAGAACAACAUAUUGGAUUGAGCCACUGUGAGUAUGUUUUUUAGAUUAUUAUGUAAUAGUCACAACAUUACUCAUAGUAAUAACUACGUAUAUAAUCCUCAAACUUGAGAUCAUCAUUGUCCUAACAUCAUGAGUUGUAUAUUUUGAUGUAGUCAAACGUCUACUAUAAUAGAUUGCACUAUAAAGAAUGAUAUUAGAUAUACCACAAACCAUGUAGUGGGAUAUGAUUGAUCAAAAUAUGAUUUAACCCUCCUAUAUAAUGGGAGUAAUAUCUGGGGCCACUUGAUGGAGUGAUACUAGAAAUGCAUGGCCAUGCUCAAAUAAGUGGAUAUGAGAUACCACACUUAUUUGCUUAUUGUAGUCUACUAAAAAUAUCAAGAACUAUGAGAUUGGACUAUACAAGUAUGACUAUACCAUGACUUGCAUCCAAUAUAGAUGUAAAGGAUAAAAGAAUAUAAUACAUGAAAAGUUUAUCAUAGAAAAUUUAUGUCGAAUCACAACUUCUUGUAACUUAGGUAGCAAUGAUGCAUUGCUAGAUGCCAUUCAUUGCUUGUAACAUUAGAAAUGUUUUAGUAUUACUACUAGUGUUACAAUAACCUACAAGGUCACACCCUACGGUUAAAGCAAAUAGACUUCAUGCAAAACGUUCGGCAUAUACCCUCCUAUAUACAUCUUUGGCAAACAGUAUUGCCUGACGGACAAUAUCACUUGGUUGACUGUGUAAUAGGCCUAUUUUGCCCGGCCCGGGCCCAAUACAUUAAAUAGUCCAUUAUAGUCCUUUUUUUUAAACAAGCCCAAACUAAACAUGGCCCAAUGGCCCAAAGUGUUAAACACUUUCAAAAAAACCCUAACCCUAAUGCCCUUGUGCGCCGCACCCCUCUCUACCGCUACUUGCUCCCCCAUGUGCGUCCUCAACGUGCCUACCAUUGCAGCUCUACGACAGUCACCUGCAAACACGCACAGCAGGAGAAAACAGUAAAGAAAAAAAAGAGUAAACAGUAGCAAAAACUGGUUGUAAUCAGCUAUAAAGCCACACAAAAACUUUGUAAUCUGUACACUUUUGGAAUUAAAAAAAAAAGAUUCAAGCAUACCAAAUAAUCAAUAAAAAAUAGUAAGCAGAUCGAAGAGAAAAGAAAAGUCAAAAACGUGCUAAGGUCUUUAUUUUCAUUUAUUUAUUUAUUUUAUUUCUUCUCCUUUAUUUUCCUCCUUCGAAUAUAUAUACAUACGCCUAUAUUUUCUUUAUUUUCCUUUAAAAAAACAAUCUAUAUAUACAUAAAUAUAUCAAAAAUAAAAAAAUAAAAAAAUUACCUUUUUUUCGAGUUUUGGUCGCCGUGCACGGUGGUCAACGGCGGUGGUCAACAGCAAUGGUCCGCCAAAAUUCUCAUUGGGCCCUAGGGCUCCUUCAGAGAAAAACAAAGGGGGGAGAGGUUUUUUUUUUUGAAAAGUGUUAAAAGUGAUUUUUUUAAAAAAAAAUGGCCUUAAAUAGACCUUCAAAACGACACCGUUUUGGGCAGGCCUUUUAGGCACCAAAACGACGUCGUUUUGCCCUGACCCAAUCUGACUCGACCCGUCCGGCUUAGGAUCCGCAUGUUUUUAAGAGGAAGGGUUAUUUGCGCUUUUGAUCCUUCUAUUUUUUCAUGGUUUUGCAAUCACUUUUUUUAAAAUUUUAAUUUUGGCCCUUUAAUUUAUUUUGUUUCCAAUUUAGUCCCCCUUAAAGCUGUGUGUUUUGGAGGGAAAGGAUUAUUUCCCUUUUGGUCCCUCCUUGUUAUUUGAUCAUUUAAAUCGGUCCUUUUCUCUUUUAUUUAUUUUCAGAUUUCCCCCAAACUUUCUAUUUUAAAUUCAAUUUCAUCCUUUUUUAGUUAUUUAGCCACUUUAUUAUUAAAAUUAAUUAAUUUUAUCAUUAUUAUUAUUAUUAUUAUUAUUAUUAUUAUUAUCAUUGUUUCAUUUGUUUUAUUUUACUUUCAAUUUUUAGGUCUUUUUUUUGUUUUAUUUGUUUCUCUAUUUAAUUAUCCUUUUUUUUGGUUUGUUUAUUUUUUACAUUAUUGUUAUUUCAUUAUUUAUUUACUUAUGUAUAUAUUUUAUAUAUAUAUUUUUUCAAAAUUUAUAUUAUUAUUAUUUUAAUUAUAAUUAUUAUUAUCAUUUCUUAUUUUGUUUUAUUUAAUAUUUUAUUUUAUUUUAUUUUAUUUUAUUUUUUUAUUUUUUAUUUUACAAUUAGCUUGCUUUUCAUUUAUUCAUUUACUUUAUUGUCAUUUAUUUUCGCUUUAUUAUUUUUGCUCAUAUUAUCACAUCUAUUAUUUUGUUGUUACGUGUAUUAACACUGUGAUUUGUUUACACAUUUUUACUACAAAAUCGUGUUACAUUAAUUCUUGCUCGAUACAUAAAAUUUUGUUUUUUUAAAUAAGUAAUGUUUCGUAAUUCGAGAUUCAAAAAGUCGUUCCUUUACUUACGAGGUUUCGAUUUUCUCGAUGAAUCCAAAUAAACGAACGUUUUUAUAGCAUAAAUUUUUAAAUGAUCUCCGGAGUUAUGAAAAGAUUGUGUUCCAACUUACGAAAUAUGAUUUCUUUUUAAAACUAAUAUAAUCAAAUAUCUUUUAAAAUAAAUAAAUCUUUUAGCAUUUAUUUGUGAAUCAGGAAUUUAAGAAAUUGUGUCCUAACUUGCAGAACGUAAUUCUUUUUCUCGAUUAACGUGAAAUAUGCAUUUUCUCAAAAUUUUCAAUCGAAUAAUAUUUUAACAAAGGAUCGUAUUUUUAAUAUCUUUUCAAAUUCUCAAUCUUCGACACUAAAACAUUUAUUAGUCAACUAGGUACCAAUUUUGGGCGUUACGAGGGUGCUAAUCCUUCCUUGUAUGUAACCGACUCCUGAACCUAUUUUCUUGGAUUUCGUAUACAAAAAUCAUUGUUUCAACAAACAAAACAGUUUAUUAAAAAUAACCACUUUUCGAGGUGACUCGAUCACACCUCAUCAAAAAGGAUUGGUGGCGACUCCCAUUUUUUGUUUUCAAAAUCAAGUUGACCUUAUUGUAAAAAAAAAUGGUUCCACUGGGGACUAAAAAAAAAGAGUCAAGCCAUAAGUUGACUACUUUUUGUCUUUUUAUCGAAAACUGAUAAAUUGAUCUAAAUCUACGAUUCUUUUUGUCGCAUUUCAUUUUUGUGGUUCAUUUUGAUAUGUUUGCUUUGUUGGUUUGAGCCUUUUCAUACAUUUCUGCAUAUUGCAUUGCAUGACCGCUCAGUUAUACCUUUUAAAUGGGAGUGCGAAACUACUCUUUCGUGAGGUUUUCACCUCUGCAUGGGAUAGUGGAUCGCUUUCGGGAUACACCCGUACCUAUGUCUUCGUGAGAUUUUCAUCCCCGUGCAGCCAUAGGGAAAUGUAUUCCCCUGAACUGAACUUAGUCUAUAUGAGCUCAUAAUGGGUGAGGAUCGAGGAAUCUGCCGGUUUGGGUACCUUUACUCUAGAACCGAACCCCAUAUAGCGAGCCCUAAGAGCCCACCCUAGGUGGAACUAUACCAAAUCCUAGUAGUUUUUGAAUAGGUGCUCUAUUUGUUAUUUAUUUCUUCUGUACUGACAUGUUUUGUUUUGUUUUGGUUAUGAUUGCAUUGCAUUUUCAUCAUAGAAAGAGGUGUUAAUUCACGUUCAGUUGCUAAAUAGAGAGCUUGGCAUGGAAAACGGAUUUCUUGAUAAAGUGGAAAAUAAUUCGGGCGUCCGAAUAUGGUCCGAGUAAACACGACGAUAGAAGGGUGAUAGUCCGAUGAAGAAGUACAUGACUUUGCUUCGUUGCCCAAGGAUUCAAGCCGAAAAGGAUUGUUCGAGAGCCGUCAAUGUCCCAGCUUCCUUAAAGAAGCUAACGAGUAUUACGAGGAUAAGUGAACAAUGGGUUACAGCCUGGAUCAAGCAAAAAGGAGCUAUGUAGAAGCAUAUAUUAGAAAAUUUGUGAGAUUUGAUCUUAAAAUCUGGAUAAAAAGAAAGGGAUCGAUGUCUUCAUGUUGAAUAUUAGGGCAAGGCCGAAUAUAUAUCUGUUUUAUGUAAAGAGAUUUGUUUUCUAGUAAAGUUGUUCUAACAGAAUUGAAUCAGAAUCAACGUCUCUUUUUUGCAUUCAUUUCAUGCAUUUGCAUUGCAUUUCAUCAUAUGCAUUAAAUUUCAUAAAAAGGACCCUGAUUAAUUAAAAUUAUGAUAGUUAACUUGGAAACCAACGAAAACCCACUAACUAUGUAACACUACGGUACCCGCUGUAAGACGAAAGUAAUGGAUCAAAGAAUGGAAAAAUUAGAGCAAUUGCAAAGAGAUAUGCAAGACCAACCGCAGGCAUAGAUGCAAGAACAACUAGCCAAAAUUCAACAGAAUAUGAGGGAUCAAAUGCUUGAAUCCCAAAAAAGUAUGAUGAGCCAAUUGACGUAGUUACUAGCUAGAGGGCUCGAAAAAGGGAAAGGCCCAGUAGUCAACGGUGAAGAUGGUAAUAAAGACCCCAUCUAUCCCCUAGGUUUUACCCUAAUAAGUGCACAGGCCCAACCAGACACGCAUCUACAAGGGGCAUCCAUUACUGUCAGGCCCCAACAACAUCAAGCCGGUACCUCGGCACCCAUGAACUACCCGACGGGCUCAUGUUCCAAUCCGAGGAAUAGUCCAACCAAUCAUGUAGUUCCUGAUCUAGAAAAAAUGGCAGAAAUAGAAAAAACAAAGGUUGAAUUUCCUAAACAACUCGAAGAUCGGUACAGGUGAUUGGAGGAAAAAUUUAGAGCAAUGGAGAAUGCUGAUUACCAUUGCGGGGUUGACACCAAAAAUCUGAGUUUGGUUCCAGAUUUAGUACUCCUGCUGAAAUUCAAGACUCUAAAAUUUGAAAAGUAUAAUGGGACUAGUUGUCUUGAAGCUCACAUUAUGAUGUUCUACCAAAUAAUGACAAGAUACGUUGAUAACAAUCAAUUGUUAAUUAAUUGCUUCCAAGAUAGUCUGAUUGGGUCAGCUGCCAAAUGGUACAACCAACUGAGCCAUGCCAAAAUUCAUUCAUGGAAGGACUUGGCACAAGCUUUCAUGAAGUAAUAUGGCCACGUGACAGACAUGGUGCCCGAUAGAAUUACACUGCAAAAUAUGGAAAAGAAGCAAAGUGAAAGCUUCAAACAAUAUGUCCAAUGAUGGAGUGAAGUAGCGACACAAGUCCAGCCACCUCUUUUGGAGAAAGAAACUACGAUGCUUUUCGUCAACACUCUAAAAGCCCCGUUCAUUACCCAUAUAUUGGGAAGCGCUACUAUGAGCUUCUCAGAUAUAGUAAUAUCCGGCGAGAUGAUUGAGAACGCAAUCAAGAGCGGAAAGAUAGACGCGGGAGAAAGCGCUAAGAGGUCAACCCCAAAGAGAAAUAAAAAUGAAGUGAAUAAUAUAAGCAAAUGGUAUUUCAAAUCGGUCACUGUAAGCCAGCCGAAGGCCAUAACUACUAGCUAUCAGGGCCCUUUCAGGAAAGAAUUCAACUCGAGGCCAAACACAGAAUACCUAUCCCAAUAUCAUAUAAAGAGCUAUAUCGAAAUCUAUUUGAUACGCAUGUGGUAUCCCCUUUCUACUCGGAACCCAUACAACCUUCGUUCCCUAAAUGGUAUGAUGUGAAUGCUCAAUGCGAGUACCAUACAGGAAUAGCGGGGCACUCAAAUGAGAACUGCACCAUAUUUAAGAAGUUAAUCGAAAGGUUCAUCAAGAUGGGCAUCGUGAAGUUUGAUAAUCCAUUAGGACCUAAUGUGGUAGAAAAUCCAUUACCUGGUCAUCCGGACCUAGGAGGUAGAAACCCCCACUGAAAUGGGUUUUGAAAUAAAUAAUAGAUAUGAAAAUUCAGGGAAGAUACCCAAAGGGAUGGAAAGUUACUGUGAGUUCCACGCUGAAGGUGGUCACAAAAUCCAAGAGUGCACUGAAUUCAAAGUUUUGGUGCAAAGUCUAACGAAUAAUAAAGAGUUAGAAUUCUUUGAAGAAGUCAAAGGUCCGGAAUGAAUGCUGAGGAAUUUGAAUACAAUAUCAAAAGAGGGAUCUGGAAAAGAUAAUUUAUCAGGGAUACUUGGAAGUGUUUUGAAUAAUGGGACUGUGGGAGAGAUCUUUGUAUUUUUAAAGCUAAUUCAGAGUAAUGUUCAAAACACACUUAUUGCUCUAAACUUAGGAGUGAUGGGAAUCCUUUUGUGAAAUAGGAUUAUGUUCAAAAUCUUUAUUUCAGUAAAAUGCAUCUUUGCUAUCAUUUUGAGCAAAUAUUCUUUCAUUCUUUCUAUUUUAUUCAUAAUCAUACUAUACAAAUAAAUAUUUUUAGAUUCUUUUAUCUUUUGGACUCUCUUUCAAAUAUUCUUUUAUUCUUUAUUCAUGAUCAUACCAUAAAUAACUAUUCUUAGAUUCAUUUAUUCUUUGGAAUAUUCCUUCGUACCUACAACAAGUCUCCAGAUAUCAACGGCAUAAGCGGCACUGCUACUGACCCAGAGUCUCCUUUUGAGCAAGAUAUGUGUCUAGAGGGAUCUCAGGACUUUGAAGAUGGUAGAGAUUGUAGCUUAUCUCCUGGUUUGUUAAGGAUAGUAGAAUAAAAUGAAAAACAAAUCCUACCUUACAAAGGGUCAAUAGACAUCGAGAGCUUAGAGAAAGAGAAAAAGGUGAAGAUCGGAGCCUAUAUCACCACAGAGACAAAGCGAGACGUCAUUGAGUUAUUCCAAAAAUUCAAAGAUGUUUUCGCACAAUCGUAUUAAGAUACGCCUGGGCUACUAAGACGUGUGGAUGCUGUUAAGGCUAAGAAAAUCUUAGAAGAGGUCCAUAAGGAUGUCUGAAGAACAUAUGCUAAUGGUUUUACAAUGGCCAGACAAAUCAUGAGGUUCGAGUACUACUGGUCCACCAUAGAAGGGGAUCAUAUCAGUUAUGCCGUAAAUGCCAAAAUUAUAGAGACAAGAUUUAUGUACCUCCUUCAUUUCUUUAUAGACUUUCUCUAUGUAGGGCAUGGAUGUUAUUGGGCCGAUCUCGUCACAAGCUCCUAGCAGACAUCAUCAUCUUUGUGGUCGUUGAUUUCUUCAAUAAGCGGGUGAAAGUCACUUCAUACUCCAAUGUCUCAAAGUCAACAGUCAUCAAAUUCUAAAAAAAACACAAAAAAACACAAAAAAGAGAAGAGAAAAGAAAAAAAAAAGAAAAAGGAGAGGCCAAGGCGAAAAUCGGCAAAUGGCGUUUUGAGACCAAAAGGGUUUUAAGCUGAAAACCUGUAAAGAGCAAUUCAAAUUUUGAUAAAAAAUGGGGCAUGCGGUAGUCUCGCUGUCUCUAAAUUAACAAGAAAGAGAGAUGUCAUGUCUUGGGGCAUCAACAGAGUACUCUAGAUCUCCUAAACAUAUGUUGAGCUCCAAAUGGUCCUCAAGAAGUUCGUACAGAGAAGCUUAGGCUACGAUAUCUGGGGCACCUAGUCUUUAUCUUACCCAUAUUGAAUUUACUAUCUUUGAUUACUUUAUUCGUUUUAAGAUGUGCUCUCAAUAAAUUUUCUUCUUAUUGCAUUUACUUAAUUUAUUUGUUUCGAGCUAUGCUCCCGAUCAAUUUCCUUAUUGUCUAUUAUUAUGAUCUUUUUCAAGCAUUUCGCAUUGAGAUAAUGAUUAAUGGACUAAUAAAACUUUCAUAAAAGAAGUUAUGCAUAUUACUCUAGAGGCUUUUAAAUAGUACAAGAACCUGAAACAGGACUAUUGUUUAGAACUCACAAACUGUGACAGCUCUAAUGUGACCCUAGUCGGAAAGCGGUUUCGGGACCGCUAAACCGAGUCACCAAAUUAUUUGAAUAUGAUAUUUAUUGUCUAAAAUAUGUGAAUAUGAAUGUGUGAAAGUUUGAAGCUUCGAUUUAGUCGAUUGCAUGUGAAUUUAGUAAUAGGACUUAUGUGUGACACUUUUGAAAUGCGAUAGGUUAAUCUAUAAGGACCUAUUAAUGCAUGUUGUAUAAAAGAUGGGUUUACAUGUCAAAUUAGCCAAAAAUCUAGAUGGUGGCUGGCCAUGCUAUGGGGUAAAACAUAUUAUAGACAUUUUGUGUUAAUAUGUGUGGGAAGAAUAAUAAAACAUGAGGGGAGUGGGAGGAGAAACCAAAGUUGUUUCAUCCUUGCUCCCCCAUUUUGCCGUAACUUGAGAAAGGAAGAAGAAAGGAGUUCUCUUGCUUCAUGUUCGGCUGGGAUGAGGAUUAGGAAGAGCUCAAGAGCAAAGGGGAACUAAAUCCGAUAAAGGAAAGGAAAAGGUGAUCGAAUAGCCGUUGAAAUCGUUCGACGACAUCCGAGGUAAGUUUUCGAGUAAUGGAACUUAGUUUAUGAUUUGAUUAAGUCAUGACAUAUAGCAUAACUAAUAAACGGAUAUAUAAUGAUUCUACUUGAAUUAUAUAUAUUGAGGUGAUUAGUUUAUACUUGUGACGGGUAGCCGAAUGUGCAUGGAGAUCAUGUUAUAGGCAAAUCAAAAUCAUGCUCUUUGUAUGUAGCUAUUGAGCCGAAAAUGAUAAUGCUUGAUAAGUGACUUGUGUUUGAAUUCUAGUUAUGAAAAUGAAAUAUAGAUGUGUCAUGAUUUAUUGAUAUGUGCAUGAAUAUUCGGAUGAUAACCGGGCUAAGUCCCGAAGGCAUUUGUGCUAGUGACUAAUUUCGGGCUAAGCCCCGAAGGCAUUUGUGCGAGUUACUAUAUCCGGGCUAAGUCCCGAAGGCAUUUGUGCGAGUUGCUAUAUCCGGGCUAUGUCCCGAAGACAUUAAUGCUAGUGAUUAUAUCCGGGCUAAGACCUGAAGGCAUUUGUGCGAGUUGCUAUAUCCGGGCUAAGACUCGAAGGCAUUUGUGCGAGUUGUUAUAUCCAGCUAAAUCCCGAAGAUACUUGAGUUUGGAAGUGAGUGAUCUUGCUGUAAUAAUUUCAAUUAAUACGCUCAUAAAAUCCAAACGAUAAGGUAUGUUUCGUAUAUGCAUCGGAAAGGUCAAUUCGUUUUAAAUAGUAUUCGUUCAAUUGAUUAACGAACUUUCGGCCUUUAGUUAGGUUUGAUACCUUGUGUAUGAAUAUGUUGAUUGAAGCGUGAAGUAAGUAUGAUUAUGAGAAUGUGCAUAUAUGAAGUUAUUCAUUUAGCCAUAUGAAUGUUAUACUUUAGUCAAAACUAAUUUCAUUACUCAAACUUACUAAGCAUAAAAUGCUUAUUCCGUUGCUUUGAUUCUCUGUUUUAUAGAUUUUGCUCGUCAGCUAUCGGACUCGGGAUUGUCAAAGUCGAAGUCGUCCACACUAUCAAAGCCCUUUUGGUACUCUUUUGGUUGAACCUUGAUAAUGGCAUGUAUAGGACUGCCCUUUGUUGUUAGUCAAGUACUUUUGGUAAUGUAUAUAUUUGGAUAGCCAUGCGAAAAUGGCUUAUAUAUAUAUAUUUUGAGCAUACCAUUAUAAUCAUUUUGUAUAUUGUUCAUUGAGUGUAUGGAAAUGCUUGGUAAUGAUUAGCCAUUGGAAUGGUUAAUCACGAUCAUUUUGGUGCUUUGUAUGACAAAUGGCUAGUUGAUCCAUGAAAUAGGUAAAGCCUACCUUAAAAAUAGAUGCUGACAGCAGCAGUGAAGUGAAUUUGAAAAAUCACUAAAGAUAGUAGGAAUGGUAUUAAAUAGUGAAUAAAUUAUGUAAUUUAACCUCGAUGAGUCUAUUUUCAUAUGAAAGUAACGAAACAAUCAUAUGAGCCGUAUUUUAUGAGAUGUUUAAGUUUUCGUGAAAUAGGGCCAGAACGGUUACUGGAUCCCCUGUUCUGACUUUGGAAUUUUACCAUAAAUUAACCAGAGAUAAUUAGAAGUCAUGCUUUAUAUGUACGGAUUCCUUCUUGAGUCUAGUUUCAUUAGAAACAAACGGCAUAUGUAUUGAAGCCCUGUACAGGGAGAUAUCUAAAUCGUAAUGCAUGAAGGUCAGAGUAGUCGAACCCUGAAAUAGGGGAGACUUUAACUAAUAAACUGUACUAAUUGGCCUGACCAAAAAUUCUAGAAAAAACUUUGUAGAUGUAUAUAUGAGUCUAGUUUCAGGGAAAAUUUACGGAUUCAGUUUUUUAGUUUUGGAGCUCGAGAUAUGAUUUUUAAGGUGACAGUGGCGCACUUAGCCAGCUUGUCUGGAAAUUUUUAAAUGAACUGUAUAAAUAAAUGAAUUAAGUCCGUUAACCCCUCGUGUCCGACUCCGGCAACGGUCUCGGGUACGGGGCGUUACAAUUUGAUUGGUAUCAGAGCUACGAUUUAGUCGAUUCUAGGACUACCGUAAUACGUUUAGGUCUAGCUAUACAUGCCAUUAUGUGUUUAUUUGAUAGUGUGGUGAUUUCUGACAGUUAAAAAUGUGUUUACUUAUAGAAAUGGAUCCCGAUCCCAACCGAGCAGUAGUUGAUGAUCUUGAGAGUGUAGCGCCUGCUCCCGUACAAGGGACAGUGCCGGUGGACUCUCAACCUAUUGCUAGUAAUCAGAAUGACGAAGCUAGACAGGCUUUUUAUAGCGUGAUGAAUGAUUGGUUCAACCAAUACAUUCGAACUAAUACGGCUGUUCCACAACCUCCAUUCCCGACUAAUACAACCCCCGCACCUACAAUACCUCCAGUAACUGACCAAAUAAGGUCAAAUAAGCCCCCAGUUGACAGAAUCCGAAAACACGGGGCUAGUGAAUUUAAAGCUACAGACAGCGACGAUGCCGAGCAAGUUGAAUUUUGGUUGGACAACACUAUUCGGGUACUUGAUGAACUAUCUUGCACACCCGAUGAAUGCCUAAAGUGUACUAUCUCCUUGCUACGUGAUUCUACCUACUAUUGGUGGAAUACGUUGAUUUCUGUUGUGCCCAGAGAGCAAGUAACUUGGGAGUUUUUCCAAACCGAGUUUCGGAAAAAGUAUAUCAGUCACAGAUUUAUUGAUUAAAAACGGAAAGAAUUUCUUGAACUUAAACAAGGUUCCAUGUCGGUUACUGAUUAUGAACGAAAGUUUGUAAGGCUUAGCCGGUACGCUCGAGAAUGCAUUUCUUCAGAAGCUGUGAUGUGUAAACGUUUCGAAGAUGGACUGAACGAUGAUAUAAAGCUAUACGUUGGCAUUUUAGAAAUCAAAGAAUUUGUGGUACUUGUCGAGCGAGCUUGCAAAGUCGAGGAGCUCAGUAAGGAGAAAAGAAAAGCUGAUAUGAGAGCAAAGGAGUUUCGUAAGAGAUCUUCGGGAAAGCCCUUUCAAUAGUCAUCGAAGAAAUUUAAAGAUGAUUUAGGCCGAUCUAGAGACACUUCGGGCUUUUCUAGACGAGAUCAUGAUCGACCCCCUACGAGUACACGAGUCACUUCGGUCGCCAGUGCUGGAAAUGAUCGUCGAGACAGAACAGAGUGCUAGUAUUGCGGUAAAUGGCAUUCGGGGAUUUGUAGAUUCCAUGACUGCUCCUGUUAUAAGUGCGGAUCAGUUGACCAUUUUAUCAAGGAUUGCCCGAGACUGACUGAACAAAAUGUAAAUCAGAGUGGGAAACCAGGUGCUACUACUGCUCGAGGUAGACCAUCUAGAAAUAAGGGCAAUGCUAGUGGCGGUCAGAGAGGAUCUAGAGAUGCUACAACCAGAUCUGAGGCUCGCGCUCCUACUAGAGCUUAUGCUAUACGCGCACUCGAGGAUGCUUCCUCGCCAGAUGUUAUUACCGGUACUUUUACUCUCUUUGAUACUAAUAUGAUUGCUUUGAUUGACCCUGGUUCUACUCAUUCUUAUAUAUGUGAAACCUUAGCAUCCAGUAAGACUUUACCUGUUGAGUCUACUGAGUUCGUAAUUCGGGUGUCAAAUCCCUUGGGUCGUUAUGUGCUUGUCGACAAAGUGUGUAAGAAAUGUCCCCUAGUAAUCCGAGGUUCCUGUUUUCCAGCCGAUUUGAUGCUUUUACCGUUUGAUGAAUUUGAUGUUAUCCUCGGUAUGGAUUGGUUGACCGUACAUGAUGCAAUUGUAAAUUGCAAAAGAAAAACCAUUGAUUUGAAGUGUGUAAAUAACGAGAUAAUCCGAGUUGAGCCUACUGACUUGAAUGGGUUGCCAGCUGUAAUAUCAUCGAUGUUGGCUCAGAAAUAUGUAAGAAAGGGUGUGAAGCAUACCUUGCGUAUGUACUUGAUGACAAAGAGUUAGAAAAGAAGCCUGAAUCUGUGCCGGUGGUUUGUGAAUACCUGGAUGUUUUUCCCGAAGAAUUACCGGGUUUACCACCUGUUCGGGAGGUAGAGUUUGGUAUUGAGCUUGUACCUGGGACUACAUCGAUUUCGAUAGCUCUGUAUCGUAUGGCACUAACCGAGUUAAAAGAGUUGAAAGCUCAGUUGCAAGAGUUGACGGAUAGAGGUUUCGCUCGACCAAGUUUCUCACCUUGGGGUGCACCAGUAUUGUUUGUGAAAAAGAAGGACGGAACCAUGAGGUUGUGCAUCGACUAUCGUCAGCUGAAUAAAGUGACAAUAAAGAAUAAAUAUCCGUUACCGCAUAUUGAUGAUUUGUUUGAUCAACUAAAGGGAGCCUCGGUGUUUUCAAAGAUAGAUUUGAGAUCGGGUUAUUAUUAGUUGCGAAUUCGAGAUUCGGAUAUACCCAAAACUGCUUUUAGAACGAGAUACGGUCACUACGAAUUCUUAGUGAUGCCGUUUGGGCUCACUAAUGCCCCUGCGGUAUUUAUGGAUUUGAUGAAUUGGAUCUUCAGACCGUGUUUGGAUCGGUUUGUAGUUGUGUUUAUCGAUGAUAUUUUGGUUUAUUCGAGAAAUGAAACCGAUCAUGCUGAACACCUGGGAUUAGUGUUGCAAAUUUUACGGGAUAAGCAGUUAUAUGCUAAGUUCAGUAAGUGUGAGUUCUGGUUAAGAGAGGUUAGCUUCUUGGGUCAUGUGGUAUCUGCAUCGGGGAUUCGAGUUGAUCCGAGCAAAAUUUCGGCCAUACUUAACUGGAAGCCUCCGAGAAAUAUUACUGAAGUUCGAAGCUUUUUGGGACUUGCCAGUUACUACAGACGCUUUGUAAAGGGUUUCUCGAUGAUAGCCACACCAAUAACGAAACUACUUCAGAAAGAUGUUAAGUUUGAGUGGACAGAAAAGUGUCAGAAAAGUUUCGAUCAACUGAAAACUUAUUUGACUGAAGCUCCAGUACUAGUGCAGCCCAAAUCAGGCAAGGAGUUUGUCAUCUACAGUGAUGCAUCCUUACUUAGGUUGGGCUGUGUAUUGAUGCAAGAAGGUCGAGUUGUAGCUUAUGCGUCGAGACAAUUGAAGCCACAUGAGAAAAAUUAUCCAACCCAUGAUCUCGAAUUAGCUGCCAUCGUAUUCGCUUUGAAAAUAUGGCGACAUUACUUAUUUGGUGAGAAGUUCCAUGUAUAUUCGGAUCACAAAAGUCUCAAAUAUUUGAUGACUCAAAGAGACUUGAAUCUGCGACAAAGGCGUUGGCUUGAGUUGUUGAAAGAUUAUGAGCUUGUCAUUGAUUAUCACCCGGGAAAGGCUAAUGUGGUUGCGGAUGCCUUAAGUCGUAAAUCACUGUUUGCUUUACGAGCGAUGAAUGUACACUUAUCUGUUCUAUCUGACAAUGUGUUAAUAGCUGAAUUAAAGGCCAAACCAUUGUUGAUUCAUCAAAUUCGUGAAGCUCAGAAAGUCGAUGAUGAAUUGGUUGCAAAACUGGCUGAAUGUGUUCCGGAUAGGGAAUCAGAGUUUCAAAUUGAUGACGACGAUUGUUUGAGAUUCAGAAGUCGUUUGUGUGUUCCAAGAAAUUCAGAACUUAUUUCGAUGAUUCUGAACGAAGCUCAUUGUAGCCGAAUGCCAAUUCACCCGGGGAGUACGAAAAUGUACAACGAUCUGAGAUGUCAGUUUUGGUGGCAUGGUAUGAAACAAGACAUUUUCGAUUUUGUUUCGAGGUGUUUAAUAUGUCAACAAGUGAAAGCGGAACAUCAAGUGCCUACAGGUUUACUUCAGCCGAUCAUGAUACCUGAAUGGAAAUGGGAUCGAGUCACGAUGGAUUUUGUAUCUGGGUUGCCAUUGUUGGCAAGUAAGAAAGAUGUGAUUUGGGUUGUUGUUGAUAGACUGACUAAGUCGGCUCAUUUUAUUCCCGUACGUACGGAUUAUUCAUUGGAUAAACUAGCUGAAUUGUAUGUUUUUCAGAUUGUAAGAUUACACGGGGUACCUAUUUCUAUUGUGUCGGAUAGAGAUCCGAGAUUCACCUCGCGAUUUUGGAAGAAACUGCAAGAAGCUUUGGGUACCAAGUUGCAUUUUAGCAUCGCUUUUCAUCCACAAACUGAUGGUCAAUCCGAGCGGAUAAUUCAGAUACUUGAGGAUAUGUUGAGAUGUUGCAUCCUCGAGUUUAGUGGUUCAUGGGAGCGGUAUUUACCUUUGAUUGAAUUCGCUUACAACAAUAGUUUUCAGUCAAGUAUUAAGAUGGCACCUUACGAGGCUUUGUACGGUCGCAAAUUCCGUACACCAUUGUUUUGGACCGAGCUCGGUGAAAGUAAAAUUUUCGGAGUUGAUUUGAUUAAAGAUACCGGGCAGAAAGUAAAAAUAAUUCGUGAAAGUCUAAAGGCAGCAUCAGAUCAUCAGAAGUCGUACGCGGAUUUAAAACGAAGAGAUAUUGAGUAUCAGGUGGGAGACAAAGUAUUUCUUAAAGUUUCACCUUGGAAAAAGAUACUCAGAUUUGGCCGUAAGGGCAAACUGAGUCCGAGGUUCAUAGGGCCGUAUGAAAUAUCCGAACGAGUUGGUCCGGUGGCAUAUAGAUUGAUUUUACCCCCUGAUCUCGAGAAGAUUCACAACGUUUUUCAUGUCUCAAUGCUUCGACGUUACAGAUCUGAUCCUUCGCACAUAAUAAGUCCCUCCGAGGUUGAAAUUUAAGCCGAUAUGAGUUAUGAAGAAGAACCGAUUCGUAUCCUAGCUCGUGAAGUGAAAGAGUUACGAAACAAAAAAGGUUCCUUUAGUAAAAGUGUUAUGGCUCAAACACGGGAUGGAAGAAGCUACUUGGGAAACCGAGAACUCUAUGAAAGAACGAUACCCAAACCUAUUUACCGGUAAGAUUUUCGGGGACGAAAAUUUCUUAAGUGGGGGAGAGUUGUGACAGCCCUAAAGUGACCCUAGUCGGAAAGCGGUUUCGGGACUGCUAAACCGAGUCACCAAAUUAUUUGAAUAUGAUAUUUAUUGUCUAAAAUAUGUGAAUAUGAAUGUGUGAAAGUUUUAAGCUUCGAUUUAGUCGAUUGCAUGUGAAUUUAGUAGUAGGACUUAUGUGUGACACUUUUGAAAUGCGAUAGGUUAAUCUAUAAGGACCUAUUAAUGCAUGUUGUAUAAAAGAUGGGUUUGCAUGUCAAAUUAGCCAAAAAUCUAGAUGGUGGCCGGCCAUUCUAUGGGGUAAAACAUAUUAUAGACAUUUUGUGUUAAUAUGUGUGGGAAGAAUAAUAAAAUAUGAGGGGAGUGGGAGGAGAAACCAAAGUUGUUUCAUCCUUGCUCCCCCAUUUUGCCAUAACAUGAGAAAGGAAGAAGAAAGGAGUUCUCUUGCUUCAUGUUCGGCUGGGAUGAGGAUUAGGAAGAGCUCAAGAGCAAAGGGGAACUAAAUCCGAUAAAGGAAAGGAAAAGGUGAUCGAAUAGCCGUUGAAAUCGUUCGACGACAUCCGAGGUAAGUUUUCGAGUAAUGGAACUUAGUUUAUGAUUUGAUUAAGUCAUGACAUAUAGCAUAACUAAUAAACGGAGAUAUAAUGAUUCUACUUGAAUUAUAUAUAUUGAGGUGAUUAGUUUAUACUUGUGACGGGUAGCCGAAUGUGCAUGGAGAUCAUGUUAUAAGCAAAUCAAAAUCAUGCUCUUUGUAUGUAGCUAUUGAGCCGAAAAUGAUAAUGCUUGAUAAGUAACUUGUGUUUGAAUUCUAGUUAUGAAAAUGAAAUAUAGAUGUGUCAUGAUUUAUUGAUAUGUGCAUGAAUAUUCGGAUGAUAACCGGGCUAAGUCCCGAAGGCAUUUGUGCUAGUGACUAAUUCCGGGCUAAGCCCCGAAGGCAUUUGUGCGAGUUACUAUAUCCGGGCUAAGUCCCGAAGGCAUUUGUGCGAGUUGCUAUAUCCAGGCUAUGUCCCGAAGACAUUUAUGCUAGUGAUUAUAUCCGGGCUAAGACCCGAAGGCAUUUGUACGAGUUGCUAUAUCCGGGCUAAGACCCGAAGGCAUUUGUGCGAGUUGUUAUAUCCGGCUAAAUCUCGAAGAUACUUGGGUUUGGAAGUGAGCGAUCUUGCUGUAAUAAUUUCAAUUAAUACGCUCAUAAAAUCCAAACGAUAAGGUAUGUUUCGUAUAUGCAUCGGAAAGGUCGAUUCGUUUUAAAUAGUAUUCGUUCAAUUGAUUAACGAACUUUCGGCCUUUAGUUAGGUUUGAUACCUUGUGUAUGAAUAUGUUGAUUGAAGCGUGAAGUAAGUAUGAUUAUGAGAAUGUGCAUAUAUGAAGUUAUUCAUUUAGCCAUAUGAAUGUUAUACUUUAGUCAAAACUAAUUUCAUUACUCAAACUUACUAAGCAUAAAAUGCUUAUUCCGUUGCUUUGAUUCUCUGUUUUAUAGAUUUUGCUCGUCAGCUAUCGGACUCGGGAUUGUCAAAGUCGAAGCCGUCCACACUAUCAAAGCCCUUUUGGUACUCUUUUGGUUGAACCUUGAUAAUGGCAUGUAUAGGACUGCCCUUUGUUGUUAGUCAAGUACUUUUGGUAAUGUGUAUAUUUGGAUAGCCAUGCGAAAAUGGCUUAUAUAUAUAUUUUGAGCAUACCAUUAUAAUCAUUUUGUAUAUUGUUCAUUGAGUGGUAUGGAAAUGCUUGGUAAUGAUUAGCCAUUGGAAUGGUUAAUCACGAUCAUUUUGGUGCUUUGUAUGACAAAUGGCUAGUUGAUCCAUGAAAUAGGUAAAGCCUACCUUAAAAAUAGAUGCUGACAGCAGCAGUGAAGUAAAUUUGAAAAAUCACUAAAGAUAGUAGGAAUGGUAUUAAAUAGUUAAUAAAUUAUGUAAUUGAGCCUUGAUGAGUCUAUUUUCAUAUGAAAGUAACGAAACGAUCAUAUGAGCCGUAUUUUAUGAGAUGUUUAAGUUUUCGUGAAACCGGGCCAGAACAGUUACUGGAUCCCCUAUUCUGACUUUGGAAAUUUACCAUAAAUUAACCAAAGAUAAUUAGAAGUCAUACUUUAUAUGUACGGAUUCCUUUUUGAGUCUAGUUUCAUUAGAAACAAACGGCAUAUGUAUUGAAGCCCUGUACAGGGAGAUAUCUAAAUCGUAAUGCAUGAAGGUCAGAGUAGUCGAACCCUGAAACAGGGGAGACUUUAACUAAUAAACUGUACUAAUUGGCCCGACCAAAAAUUCUAGAAAAAAAUUUGUAGAUGGAUAUAUGAGUCUAGUUUCAGGGAAAAUUUAUAGAUUCAGUUUUUGAGUUUUGGAGCUCGAGAUAUGAUUUUUAAGGUGAUAGUGAUGCACUUAGCUAGCUUGUCUGGAAAUUUUUAAAUGAACUGUAUAAAUAAAUGAAUUAAGUCCGUUAACCCCUCGUGUCCGACUCCGGCAACGGUCUCGGGUACGGGGUGUUACACAAACCUAAGGGUUGGUAAUGUUUGAAAAAAAGGAGUCUAAAUUGUGACUAUCUCUUCGAGUUUUCUGUCAAAGAUAUCAGUUGAACAAGGAGACAAGAUAUUGCGUCGGUGAUACAACCUCGACGAAAAACGAGCAACACAAGCAUUAAAAUGGGAUCAUUCUUAAGAAAAACGAUAUUCUACAUUCAUGCAAAUAUCAUGCAUACACAUCUGGUCAUGAUACCCAGAGAAUGGUGUAACAGAUCAAAUUGAUUGAAGAAGAUACAAAUCCUAUACCCCCGAGUUAUAGUGGGAUGGAUUGAAGAAGAUAUAAAUCCUAUACCCUUAAGCUGUAGUGGGAUGGAAUAAAGAUGAUACAGAUCCUGUACCCCUGAGUUGCAGUGGGAUGGAUGGAAAAAAACACAAAUUUUAUUUCCCUGAAGUUGCAGUGGAGCAAACCAGCUGAGCAAAUGGUGAUUAUUUCUUCGAAUUUUCUGCCAAAGAUACCAGCUGAACAAAAAAGGCAGGAUAACACAUCAGUGACAGAACCUUGAUGAACAACGAGCAAUGACAACCCAAAUAUUAAUAAGCGAUCAUUCUCAUGACAUUCUACAUUCAUGCAAAUAUCAUAUAUACACAUCUAGUUAGGAGCAUUUGAUUCAUUCUGAUCAUAAUGUCCUAAUCAUUUGGCAUAAACAUAGGCCCAUGAAAUCGAUUUUACAAGUCAUGUUCCCCAGAGGACGGUGUAACAAGACCGAUGGAUCCAUAAAUCUCAUACCCCUGAAGUUGCAGUGGGACGGAUUAAAGUUAUAAUGGAAAAUCUUAUCUCCCUGAAGUUGCAGUGGAGUAGAUUAAAGCCACUAAACCUUAUCUCCUUGAAGUUGCAAUGGAGCAGACUAAAGAUAGCAAAUCUUAUUUCCUUGAAGUUGUAGUGGAAUAGAUUGAAACUAUAAAUUACAGAUCUUAUCUCUCUGAAGUUGCAGUAGAGUAAAUCAUAACAAACCUUAUCUCCCUGAAGUAGCAGUGGAGCAGGUUGAAGUUAAAGUCUUAUCUCCCUAAAGUUGCAGUGGAGCAGACUAAAGAUAGCGAAUCUUAUCUCCCUGAAGUUAUAGUGGAGCAGAUUGAAGAUAGCGAAUCUUAUUUCCCUGAAGUUGCAGUGGAACAAAUUGAAGCUAUAAAUUACAGAUCUUAUCUCUCUGAAGUUGCAGUAGAGUAGAUCAUGGCAAAGCUUAUCUCCUUGAAGUUGCAGUGGAGCAGGUUGAAGUUACAAGUUUUAUCUUCUUGAAGUUUCAGUGGAGUAGAUUGAAGUUAUCAUGGCGAAUCUUAUCUCCUUGAAGUUGCAAUGGAGUAGAUUAAAGCCACAAACCUUCCCUGAAGUUGUAGUGGAGCAGGUUAAAUAUAAAAAAAUCUUAUCCCCCUGAAGUUGCAGUGGAGUAGACUGAAGAUAGCUAUCUUAUCUCUUUGAAGUUGCAGCUGAGUAGAUUGAAACUACAGGUCCUAUCUCUCUGAAUGGCGGCGGAGUGGAUCGAAGCAACGAGAUGCAGUUUACCUGAAGAAGAGAAGUACCGAAAGAAGUCAAGAUUCGGCAGGUCCAGGAAAAUUGGCCCUUUUAAAGUCUUUCUCCAUUCUCGUUACAGGACAACGAGCAAAGAGGGGCAGCUGUAAUAGGCCUAUUUUUCCCAGCCCUGGCCCAAUACAUUAAACAGUCCAUUACAGUCCUUUUUUUUAAACAAGCCCAAACUAAACAUGGCCCAAUGGCCCAAAGUGUUAAACACUUUCAGAAAAAACCCUAACCCUAACCCUAAUGCCUUUGUGCCCCGCACCCCUCUCUGCCGCUACUUGCGCCCCCAUGUAAGUCUUCAGCGUGCCUACCACUCCAGUUCUGCCAUAGCCACUUGCAAACACGCAAAGCAAGAGAAAACAAUAAAGAAAAAAGAAGAGUAAACAAUAGUAAAAACUGGUUGUAAUCGGCUAUAAAGCCACACAAAAACUUUGAAAUCUGAACACUUUUGGAAUUAAAAAAAAACGAUUCAAGCAUACCAAACAAUCAAUAAAAAACAGCGAGCAGAUCGAAGAGAAAAGAAAAGUAAAAAACGUGCUAAGGUCUUUAUUUUUAUUUUAUUUAUUUAUUUUAUUUCUUCUCUUUUAUUUUCCUCCUUCAAAUAUAUAUACAUACACCUAUAUUUCUUUAUUUUCCUUCAAAAAAAUAGUCUAUAUAUAUAAAUAUAUCAAUAAUAAUAAAAAGAAAAAAUUACCUUUUUUUCAAGUUUCAACCGUCGUGCACGGCGGUCGGCGGCGGCGGUCGAUGGUAGUGGUCGCCGGAAUUCUCACCGGACCCUUGGGCUCCUUCAGAGAAAAACAAUGGGGGGAGAGGUUUUUUUUUUUUUGAAAAGUGUUAAAAGUAUUUUUUUUUAAAAUUUUGGCCUUAAAUAAACCUCCAAAACGAUGCUGUUUUGGGUAGGCCUUUUAAGCACCAAAACCACGUUGUUUUGCCCUGACCCAAUCCGACCUGAUCCGUCCGGCCUAGGAUUCGCGUGUUUUUAAGCGGAAGGGUUAUUUGCACUUUUGGUCCUUCCGCUUUUUCAUGGUUUUACAAUCAAAAUUUUUUAAAUUUUAAUUUUGGCCCUUUAAUUUAUUUCGUUUCCAAUUUUGUCCCCUUGAAGCUGUGGGUUUUGGAGGGAAGGGAUUAUUUCCCUUUUGGUCCCUUCUUGUUAUUCGCGCGUUCAAAUCGAUUCUUUUCUCUUUUAUUUAUUUUCAGAUUUCCCCUAAACUUUCUGUUGUAAAUUCAAAUUAAUUUUAUUUAGUUAUUUUGCCACUUUAUUAUUAAAAUUAAUUAAUUUUACUAUUAUUAUUAUUUUUACUAUUAUUAUUACUAUCAUGCUUAUUAUUACUAUUAUUAUUAUUAUGUUAUUAUUCUUUGUUUAUUAUUAUUAUUAUUAUUAUUAUUAUUAUUAUUAUUAUUAUUAUUAUUAUUAUCAUCAUCAUCAUUAUUUCAUUUGUUUUAUUUUACUUUCAAUUUUUAGCUCUUUUUUUGUUUUAUUUGUUUCUCUAUUUAAUUAUCCUUUUUUUUGUUUGUUUAUUUUUUUUCACUAUUGUUAUUUCAUUAUUUAUUUACUUAUAUAUAUUUUAUAUAUAUUUUUUCAAAAUUUAUAUUAUUAUUAUUUUAAUUAUAAUUCUUAUUAUUAUUGUUAGAAUUAAAUGACCCGAAUCCUUAUUUAAAUGAAAUACAGUAGUAAAAUAAAAUAAAAGUAAAAUCUAUAUAGAACUACACUUCUUUUGUUUUAUUUUAGAAUAAGGUUUUUUAAACCUUAUUAAACUCCAUUUAUUUUAUAUUGAUUAGAAUAAGGUGUUUCAGUCUUACUAGAAUAUGGCUUUACAAGCCUAUAAAUAGACAUAGUCUAUUUCUCUUGUAAUAAUUUGAAUUCGACAUAGUGAAUUUUCUUUUCCUCUACCCGUGAUUUUUUCCCGAAAGGGUUUCCACGUAAAAAUUUGUGUGUUCUUUAUUUUAUUUUAUUUUUUCACAAAUUGGUAUCAGAGCUUCCAAGUUGUUCAUCUCGAUCACGAUAAUGACGUCUUUAAAAUAUGAAAUGCUGUUGGAUCGCAACACCAGGUUUGCAUUGUGGCAGAUUAAGACGCAAGUAGUUCUUGCACUAAUAGAUCUGGAGGAUGCCCUGCUAGGGAUAGAUAAGAUGUCUUCGACAUUAAUAAAUGAAGAGAAGAAUCGUUUUGAAAGGCAUUAACACAAUUAUAUCUACAUUUGUCCAACGAAAUUUUGCAAAAUAUGAUGAAAGAGAAAACCAGCGCUGCAUUGUGGAAGAGGCUAGAACAAAUAUGUAUGUCGAAAACUCUAACAAGCAAGUUGCAUAUGAAUCAGCGUCUUUAUGCUCAUCGUUUGGAGGAAAGUGCGUCUGUACACGAACACUUAACAGUGUUUAAAGAAAUUGUCUCAAACUUGGAGGCCAUGGAGGUUCAGUAUGAUAACGAAGAUCCAGGGUUGAUUCUACUUUGUUCGUUGCCCCUGUCUUAUUCAACCUUUAAAGACACGAUUUUAUGUAGCCGCGAGUCUCUCACAGUUGAUGCGGUUUAUGAUUCUUUGACCUUGUAUGAUAAGAUGAAGCAUCUUGUGGUUAAACUCGACUCUUAGGGAGAGGGUCUCAUUGUUCAUGAGAGACAAGAUCAGAAUGCUGAUGAUGAUCGUAGAAGGACACAGGAAUGAAAUCCUCGUGGUAAAUCAAAGGAUAGAUCAAAGUCUUCAAAUAGAGGUAAAACUUGUAACUUCUACAAGAAAAAAUGGCUCAUUAAAUCUGAGUGCUAUAAGCUAUAGAAUAAGAUUAAAAGGGAGGCUACUAAUCAAAAAGGAAAACAACCAGAAAAUUUCAGUGAAGUUGAUGUUGUAGAAGACUACAGCGAUGGUGAACUUCUAGUCGCUUCAGUCAACAAUUCUAAAGUGAGCGAGGAGUGGAUACUUGAUUUAGGGUGCACCUUCCACAUGAGUCCCAAUCGGGAUUGGUUUACAACUUAAGAAACAGUGUCUGGAGGUGUUGUUUUGAUGGGAAAUAAUGCUUCGUGUAAAAUCGCAGGUUUUGGAACAAUUAAAGUUAAGAUGUUUGAUGGAGUUGUGAGAACACUUAGUGACUUAUGACAUGUUCCAGAAUUGACAAGAAAUUUAAUUUCUUUGAGUACUCUUGAUUUAGAAGGGUACAGAUACACAGCUGAAAGUGGGGUUUUAAAGAUUUCCAAAGGUUCCCUUGUUAUGAUGAAAGGGCAAAGAAAGACUGCCAAGUUAUAUGUUUUGUAGGGUUCUACUGUUACUGGUGAUGUAGCUAUCACUUUCUCUUCCUUGUCAGAUGAUGAUAUUACUAAACUUUAGCAUAUGCGGCUAGGGCAUAUGAGUGGGAAUGACACGACAGAAUUGAGCAAAAGAGGACUUCUUGAUAGGCAAGGAAUUUGCAAAUUGAAUUUUUAUAAGCACUGUGUUUUUGGGAAGCAAAAGAGAGUUCGAUUCACCAGAGGAAUCUAUAACAUGAAGGGAACAUUGGAGUAUAUUCAUUCUUAUCUGUGGGGGUCAUCCAAAGUGCUUUCAAGAGGUGGAGCUAAUUAUAAGUAACCUUUAUUGAUGAUUUUUCCAGAAAAGUUUGGGCGUUCUUCUUGAAGCAAAAAAGUGAUGUGUUUUCCGCAUUUAAGUCUUGGAAAAUUAUGAUUGAAAAAUAGACGAGAAAAAAAUAAAACACCUCCGCAUAGACAAUGGCUUAGAGUGUUGUUCUGAUGAGUUUAAUAGAUUGUGCAAGUCAAAAAGGAUCGUGAGACACUUGGCAAUUUGCCAUACUCCAUAGCAAAAUGGCGUUGCAGAAUGAAUGAACAGAACGAUCAUUGAGAAUGUUUGAUGUAUGUUGUCAAAUGCCAACUUACCAAAGUCGUUUUAGGCCGAAGUAGCCUCUACUGCAUGUUUUUUGAUCAUCUGAUCCCUAUCCGUUGCCAUUGAGAAAAAGACUCCGCAAGAGUUAUAGUCUAGCAAUCUUGCAAAUUAUUCUGAUUUAAAUAUUUUUGGGUGUCCUGCAUAUGCUCAUGUUGGUAAUGGAAAAUUGGAACCGAGAUCCAUUAAAUGUGUUUUUCUUGGUUAUAAAGCUGGUGUAAAAUGGUAUAAGUUAUGGUGUCCUGAAAAUAGAAAAGUUGUGAUUAGCAGUGAUGUUGUUUUUGAUGAAACUACUAUGCUGCCUAACUUAUCUCUUAAAGACUCUUCCAAUAAAGAAAAUCAAAAGCAAGUGGAGCAUCAGAUUAAUACAGAGCCAACUUCUCAAGCCAAUACAAAAAUUGAAAAUAGAGUCGCUUCUUCACCGUAAUACUCUAUCGCCAAAAACAGAACUAGAAGAGAAAUUAAACCUCUAAAGAAGUAUGCUGAGGCUGAUCUAGUUUCUUAUGCUUUAAAUGUGGCUAAAGAUAUAGAUGCAAAUUAAGAGCCAUCUAAUUAUUCUGAGGCGGUUAGCUGUGAAAACUCAGAAAAAUGGAUGUUUGCUAUGCAAGAGGAGAUAGAAUCACUCUACAAAAACAAAACAUGGGAUCUUGUGAAACUUCCCAAAGGUAAAAGGUUGUUCAUUGUAAAUGGGUGUUUAAAAAGAAAGAAGGGACUCUAGGAGUUGAAGAACCUAGAUAUAAAGCAAGGUUUAUUGCAAAGGGUUACAGUCAAAUUCCAGGAGUGGACUUCACAGAUGUGUUCUCCCCAGUUGUUAAGCAUAGUUCGAUUCGAACUUUGCCUGGUAUUGUGGCCAUGCAUGAUUUGGAGCUUGAGCAGUUAGAUGUAAAAAUUGCAUUUUUGCAUGGAGAACUUGAGGGGGAUAUUUACAUGCAACAACCAGAGGGUUUUACAGUCUCAGAAAAAGAUGACUAUGUUUGCUUACUGAAAAAGUCCUUUUACGGUUUGAAAUAGUCACCAAGACAGUGGUACAAGAGGUUUGAUUCCUUUAUGAUUUCUCAUGAUUUCAAAAGAAGUAAUUUUGACAGUUGUGUUUACUUCAAGAAAAAUAGUGAUGGUUCUUUUGUGUAUCUACUUCUUUAUGUUAAUGACAUUUUGAUAGCAGCAAAAGAUAAAGGAGAGAUAAGAAAGGUCAAAGCCCAACUAAGUGAAGAAUUUGAGAUGAAAGAUUUAGGACCAGCAAAGAAGAUACUUGGUAUUGAGAUUCUCAGAGAUAGAAAAGCAAGUAAAUUGUACCUAAGUCAGAAGGGGUACAUUGAGAAAGUUUUUUUGCAGGUUCAAUAUGCAGAGUGCUAAGUCUGUUAGUACUCCUUUAGUAGCCAUUUUAGACUUUCAUUGGCUUUGUCUCCAUAAUCAGAUGAUGAGAUUGAGUACAUGUCACAUGUUCCAUACUCUAGUGUAGUGGGAUCUCUCAUGUAUGCUAUGGUUUGUUCACGUCCAGAUUUAUCAUAUGCAGUCAGUGCAGUUAGCACAUACAUGGCGAAUCUCGGUAAAGAACACUGGAAAGCAGUUCAGUAGAUUUUAAGAUACUUACAAGGUACUAUUGAUGUUUGCUUACAGCUUGGAAGAAUUAGAGAUGGAGUCAUUGGGUAUGUUGAUGCUGAUUUUGCUGGACACCUUGAUAGAAGAAGAUCUCUCAUAGGUUAUGUCUUUACAAUCGGAGGUUGUACAAUCAGUUGGAAAGCCACUUUGCAAACUACAGUCGCUUUGUCUACCACUGAAGCUGAGUACAUGGCAAUUACUGAGGCUUGUAAAGAAGCUAUCUGGUUGAAGGGACUCGUUAGUGAACUCAAUGAAGACAUUCAAAUCAGUACUGUAUUUUGUGACAAUCAGAGUGCAAUCUUCCUUACAAAAGAUCAAAUGUUUCAUGAGAGAACAAAACACAUUGAUGUUCGAUAUCAUUUUGUUCGUGAUAUUAUUGCUCGUGGUGAUAUUGUUGUGAGCAAAAUUAGUACUCAUGAAAAUCCUGCAGAUAUGAUGACUAAGUCACUUCCUAUAACCAAGUUUAAGCAUUGCUUAGACUUGGUUGGUGUCUAUUGUUGAAGUUAAACCCUUAAGAGGUUUUAUGGAAGAGAUGGAGAACUUGUUCGUUAAGAGUUCGGGAUGAAGAACUUGUUUAUUGAGAAUUCGUGUCAAGGGGGAGAUUGUUAGAAUUAAAUGACCCGAAUCCUUAUUUAAAUAAAAUAUAGUGGUAAAAUAAAAUAAAAGUAAAAUCCAUAUAGAACUACACUUCUUUUAUUUUAUUUUAGAAUAAGGUUUUUUAAACCUUAUUAAACUCCAUCUAUUUUAUAUUGAUUAGAACAAAGUGUUUCAGUCUUACUAGAAUAUGGCUUUACAAGCUUAUAAAUAGACAUAGUCUAUUCCUCUUGUAAUAAUUUGAAUUCAACAUAGUGAAAUUUCUUUUCCUCUACCCGUGGUUUUUUCCCGAAAGGGUUUCCACGUAAAAAUUUGUAUGUUCUUUAUUUUAUUUUAAUUUAAUUUAUUUUAUUUUUUCACAAUUAUUAUUAUCAUCAUUUCUUAUUUUGUUUUAUUUUUAUUUUUUAUUUUUUAUUAGUUUACAAUUAGCUUGCUUUUUAUUUAUUCAUUUACUUUAUUGUCAUUUAUUUUCGCUUUAUUAUUGUCGCUCAUAUUAUCACAUCUAUUAUUUUGUUGUUACGCGUAUUAACACCAUGAUUUGUUUACACAUUUUUACUACAAAAUCGUGUUACAUUAAUCCUUGCUCGAUACAUAAAAUUUUGUUUUUUUAAAUAAGCAAUGUUUCAUAAUUCGAGAUUCGAAAAGUCAUUCCCUAACUUACGAGGUUUCAAUUUUCUCGAUAAAUCUGAAUAAACAAACGUUUUUAUAGCAUAAAUUUUUAAAUGAUCUUGGGAAUUAUGAAAAGAUCGUGUUCUAACUUACGGAAUAUGAUUUCCUUAUAAAACCGAGAUAAUCAAAUAUGUUUUAAAAUAAAUAAAUUUUUUAGCAUUUAUUCGCGUAUCGGGAAUUUAAGACAUUGUGUCCUAACUUACAGGACGUAAUUUUUUUUCUCGAUUAACGUGAAAUAUGCCAUUUUCUCAAAAUUUUCAAUCGAAUAAUAUUUUAACAAAGGAUUGCAUUUUUAAAAUCUUUUCAAAUUCUCAAUCUUCGGCACUAAGACAUUAAUUAGUCAACUAGGUACAAAUUUUGGGCGUUACGAGGGUGCUAAUCCUUCCUCGUACGUAACCAACUCCCGAACCUUUUUUUGGAUUUCGUAUACCAAAAUCGUUGUUUUAACAAACAAAACUGUUUAUUAAAAAUAACCACUUUUCGAGGUGACCCGGUCACACCUCAUCAAAAAGGAUUGAUGGCGACUCCCAUUUUUCAUUUUCAAAAUCAAGUCGACCCCGUUUUAUAAAAAAAUGGUUUUGACAGACUGUAUCUCCUGACUAAUAAUAUCGCCUAGCGAAUACGAUUCGUAACUACUUUCCAGAUUUAAUAUUUGUUGAAGUUAAUAUUCUUUUAGAAAGAAGAAAACUUUAAUACCUUCCAUGAUUUUCUCUAGAAGUAAAAGGGAAUUAUUCCAUUUUUAUUAUAGGUGAUUAAUAAAAGGAAAAAGAUCUCUGAUGAUGCGAUUGAGAAGUAAGGAAAAAUUCAAGAGGUCAAGCAGUCAGUCUUUGAAUUCUCUCUGAAAAGUUUAAAGAGUUUUGUUGUUCAUGCUUGACUAAGUGAACUAUGUAGAUGCCGAAACGAUUCUGUUACGUCUUGGAAUCGACACCACGAAGGAAAUUAGAUUGCUAAAGGUAUAUUUCCAAUUAUGUUUCAACCCGAUUCAUUCCUCGUACUUGGAUCCUUGGAUGAUGAUCAUCGAAAUAAUUUUUUCGUUGCACCACAUGGCGUACAUAAAUGACUUGAUAUAAUAUCCUCAAAUAUAUGGAUCCAUCGCUAAGUCAUAGAAGUAAUUUGAUUAUGCUAGCAGAAUACAAACAACCAUUAUUGCAGUUACUUAAUAUAAUGUUCAUUCAUGAAUAGAUUUAUCAACUUCACAUAGGACUUUUGGACUUGUAAUGGUCUGAAGCUUAAGGUUGAUAUGGAAUUCAAUAAAAAGGGCAUCAAAAUAAUUUCAAGCACGAAAGUAGUUUGGCACAUUGCAUUGUUCCCUAUUCUUCCCUUUAAUAUCCCUUGCCCGCUCACCUUUCUCAUUCUCUCACUUUUCUUAUUUCUCCAUGUAGCAAGUCACAGCAUAAUAAAGCAACUAUGGUUAGCUCACGAAUUAUUUUACAUUAAUUAUUGGGUUUCUAAUUUUGUGACUUUUAUUGUGACACCCCAAACCUGACUGGAACGGACCGACCCGAAUUCGAAGCAUUAUAUUAGCCACCUAAGUGACUUUCCAGCUAAUGACCACUCGAUGUACACCUCAACCUUAUAAUACCUUAUUUGACUAAUUAAAUAUCAUUUAUUAAUGCAGAAGAAAUUUGUGAACCAUUUUAAAACUUUUUCUAAGUAUUUAAACCUAAUGGUGUUUUGGUCAUUUUACCACCUAAGGUUAAACUAUCCUGAUUUAUUUCUAAAUAGUUAUCGACCUUCUUUUAGUCAAAUUAUGCAAGCCCUAAAAAUUUCAACUUAGUUCGAGUUCAUUUACUAUAUCUAAUUCAAGUUUCAUUAUUAGGGACUAAAUCGUAGCUUUUACAAACUUUUAGUACAUUUUUCAAAUUAAAAAUUAUGAGUGUUUCUACCAAAUAUUAAUAGUUGCAAGUCUAAUCCUAAAAUAUUACCAAGUUUCCCUAUCAUUAAAGGCUUUAAUUAAUCUAAUCAAGUUUUAGGACUAAAUUAUAAAUUAAGCAAAUUAGAAUACUAGAUUACAAAACCAAAAAUUAAACCCCCAAAAACCCACACUCCCGUGUGAAAAGACACAUGCCUGUAUGCAAACCACUGCACCUAUUUUGUCAAAAAUUCAUUUUAAUUACUUGAUUUUACAUAUUUUACUUACCCAUUAAACUUGAAAUAGCUACAAUUAAUCACCAUAAACAUCCACACAUCUCCAAUUUAAUUUAUUUACAACACAUAUGCAACAAUUAAUCAAAAUUUAACACCAGAUUACAUGCUUAGCAAAAACCAAUUAAUUCACACAAGCUACAUACCUUAGCAAGCAAUCCACUCUAUGGUAAGCUUCAAUUGAACAUUGUUAGUAUAAAAUACAUGCUUUAUUCAUUGUGUUAUCAACCACCAUAUGAACACUUAUCAAUAUAUCAUAAAUCAAACAUCAAUUAGACAUAAAAUCAUGUAUUAAAGCAAUUAUAAAAUUACCAAAAUUAAAGUCCAAAAUUUAAUGUCCAAUGUCCAUUACAAGUGAAAUAACACUAGUCCCAAAAGCAUCACAAAUCCCCUAUAUAGUCUCUAAAGUAAAUUUCUUAACCCACUACCGAGCCUUAUUUUUAGAUUGCCCUUGCACUCGCUUCUCGACUCCUUACGCCUGAAAAUUCUCUGCAUGAAAUGUAAGCGUGUGAGCUUAAAAAGCUUAGUGAAUGAUAGUAAAAACAUCAAGUAAUUUGUACCGAAUCAUGCAUAAAUCAAACCAAUUAAGCAUUAAAUUUUUAGUCACAACAUGUUAACAUUUCGCCAUAACAUCACAUGCUAUUUCAAGAAUUAAGAAUCAAUUUUUUUUUACAUGGCAUGUAAAAUCAUCUGUUAACACAUAAACAUUCAAUUAUAUUGGCACAAUCAAUCAAUUAUAUUUACAUAAUACAUCCAUGGCAAUAAGUAAACGUGUGAUCAUACAAUGGAUAAACGCAUCUUUGAAUUCCCACAAAUCAAAUAUAAUCCUCCGAAUUGAGUGAGCCGAAGCCACAUGCUCCUUUAUAGCGCUUCAAAUAACCUAGUGAGUGAAGACACAAGCUCAACACUACCUUAUCUACUCCAAAAAAAUCAAUCCACCAAGAGCCAUAAGCUCACAACAUCACAAAUAAUGGUGAGUACACACAAAUCCUAUGGCAUGCCAACUGUAUCCAAUGGAUCCACCAUGCAAUGUAUCCAAUAUAAUCAUACAUACAAGGCAUAAAAUCUGUUGUUUAAUCACUUAAUUUAGGAUGUUAAAAUGCAAGUAAAAGCAUGUCUUUAAGCAAUUUUAACAUCAACAAAAUUAAUCAUAGCAAAUGUCAUUUUCCUAAUAUUCAUAUACCAAUUGGAACACAUUUAUCAAAUGUUCAAUAAAUCAGCAAUUCAUGCUUCAAAUAUCAAUUUAUUCCAUACAAUUUAACCAUGUUAAAAGCAUAAUAAACAACUUACCAAACCAAUUGCCAUUUUGCUCUUUUAUAAAAUAAAACCUAUUUUUGCAAAUCCAACCAUCCAAUAUGUAGUUAAGUCAUUAAUAACACCAAUUAAACCUUUAAUUUAACACAUAAUUAGGCCAAUUUGCCAAAUUUCCCUUAAUAUCACUCACCUCCACACUUAGCCCUUUAAGAAAAAAAAAGCAAGUUUGAGCUUCAAUUUUGAUUUGCGCGUUCCUCCUCUUGAUGUAGAGCUUUAACAGAGACAAAGUAUGCAUUACAAACUAACAAUAGCAACAAGAAACAUGAAAUUUGAUAAAGUAUAUGAUUCUAGAUCAUUGCUCUAAACUUCCUUACCGAUGUUACACAACUAAGUCGAAAUAUGGAAUUCCUCAACUAAACUCUCUUUUCAGCACCUUAAACCACUUCUAAUCUUCAUUCCUAGUCCAAUAACAUGUAUUCUAAGUAUUAAUUUCAUCAUUUAAUCUGUUUCAUAAAUUUUCGGAAAAAUCAUCCAUGUUCUUGAUCAAAUUUAAAGUUCUCAAAAUUGAUCCAUAAAACAUGUUUGAUCUUUUGGUUUAAGAUUAAAAACCUCUUAUUCGACCUAUUUUGAGCUUACACAUCCAUUAAUAUUUGGAUUCUAACUCAAAAUUAAAGAUCCACUAUUGUUGAUCCUCAAGUUCAAAAAAGAAGUUAAAGUUGAAAAUCUAUUAUAAUCACUUUAAUUAACAAUUAAUGAAUGAAAUCAACUUAAAAAAAAGUUUAGAGAUGUGAAUUACCUUCAAUUGAACUUAAAUAAUUGAUUUGGAAGUUUGAAUCAAAAUGCUUGAAGAAAUUCGGAUGAUUUUUUGCCCAACUUUUAAAAUUAUUUUGAGAGAUUUUAGAGAGAAUUUUGGGAGAGAAAAGAUUUAAAUCUAUUAUCUGAUAUUUGGUUUAUGAAAACAAGAAAAAAAAAGAGAGAAAAGGCUCUUAGUUCGGGUGAAAAAUGAGUGGAAAGUGAGGUAGUUGCAGAGUUUUUAAAACUUAAAACCCCCACCUGAUUUUCAAAAUUUGGGGAAUUUGCCAUUAGGCCACUCCCCUUUUCCCUUGUUUUACAAUUUGCUCAUUUCCCUCCAAAAUUCUAAAAAUAUGGUUUAUUUGCUAUAAAACCUCUUACACAUUUCCCUUGCUUUUCAAAAUAGUCUCAUUUAAUUAAUAUUUUAAAUCACCCAAUUAAACCUCCAUUUUAAAUUAUUUUUAAAUCCCAAUUUAAGCCAAAAUAUUUAUUUUUACCCAAAAAUUAUUUAAAACCAUAAAAAUAAUUUUUCUAAAUUUUUUUAUUUUUCAGAAUAUUAUUUACCGAUUUUUAGAUAAAAUUAAGCUAACUAAUUGAGAGUAUAGAUCGCUAAUUAACCUAAUUAAUUCCCAAUUUUCACUUGGAACUCGGUAAACUUACUCAAAACUACUACAUCUAUUUUUGGGGCGUUACAUUUAUUUUUGGAGUCACUUUUGACCUUUUCAAUGAUUCUCACUCACAAUGAUUUUGUUUACAAUUGUUCAAGUACUUUUUCUACUCAUUUUGAUUUUUUUUUUGAAUUUUUCUUUUGUUUUACUCAUUUUGGCUGAACCUUAUAAUAACUAUAUCACACUACUCCUUUCUAUUUCACUCUUAUAUUUACAAAACCACCAUGAUGUCUCUACUUAUCCUUCAAUACAUUUGACCGGAUGUCUAAAUUUGUGCAUUUUAGGGACCAAAGAAAAGGGUAAGUACAAGUUCAUAUUUUGGCUUGGGUUUUGCAUGAAGGUUCAUUAAGAAGAGUUUUCCGCCUCAAAUAUGGGUUUUAAGGAUUCAUGAAUAAGGUUGGCUUUUUAGCUCUAGGUGUAUGCCAAACAAUGCCUUAGGUCAUCCCUAGGUACCUCAAUAUUUACAAAUUUAAUCAAUCAAGUAAUCACAAUUUAACCAUUUAUCAUUCAUACUAGCAUGCUCAUUUACCUAUAUUCUCUCUGUCAUUUGGUAUAUUCAAUUACUUGAUGCCUAUUAAUAGUGUAAUGUAUAAAACUUAGUAGUCUAAUAACUGAAAAUUUAAAAUCAUUCACUAUCAUGCCAAAUUUAUCAUAUAUACAAUCACCCUAUAUACAUGCUCUUAACCAAUCACUUGUAUUUCUACAAGCUCAAGCACACUUUUGAUAAGAAAAAUAAAUGAAAAAUCAUAAAAAUGAAACUAAAAUUUCUUAUGUUACCCCCUCCACUUUAGAUAGCACAUUGUCCCUAAUGUGCAACCCUUAAAUAGAUUAGGAAUGAAGUUAACCAAUUGAUCGUGACAUUGACGUAUUCUUAUGGUGGGUACUUACUUCCUUAUUCUUUGAAAGCUCAUAAAUGUAGUUUUUCCUUCAUGGGAGGUUCCUACAUAAAAAAAUUCAAAACCAAAAACAAGAUAUAUAUAUAAUUACUAUUACUAUUACUCCUACUCCUACUUUUAAAUAAAAUAAAAAAAUAUCCUAAUUAAUUUUUUUACAAAUCCACAAAAUUAAAUAGUUUGCCAAUCAUCAAAAUGGGGUGAUUGCCCCCUCCAUCGGUGCCUUCCCUUGACUUGAGACAUGGCACCAAGAGGAGCUUCCACUUGAUGAAUGUGUCUGUCGGGUUGGGCUACAAAUGACAGGCCCUCUCUGCGUAGAUCAUUGCAGCUAAAAUGCCAUCUCAUAGUCGUCUUCCUCCUUUUCUAGGGUAUCUUUUUCCCUAGAUUCCUCCUCCUUCUCUUCUUUUCUCUCGCAUUUUUUCUUAUUCUUCACUCUCCUACUCUUUAGAUCUACUAUGAGAUCGAAUGGGGCCAUAUUUGGGUGGCGGUAAUUUUGGUAUUCUCAUACCAUUUUUUUGUGCAAAUUCCUGAAUAACUGGGCUUGUUUCUUGCAUCCAUCGUAUCAUCCAUUCGUUACCUGCGAUUUCACUUCCUUUUCGAGCUUUUGAUACCUUUUUUCUUUUCAAAGAUGCCGAGACAUCCAUCUUUUGCUUUCUUCGCUGGUUCCAAUCCUUUAUUUGUUUCCACUUGAGCUUGAGCUACUAUGUAUACAUAGAGUCACCUAUUAAGCUUUUCGCUGGCCUCGUAAAUUGUUCAUUCACUUCCAUUGGAACUCUAGCCUUUUUACGUAAUGUCGUCACUAGGUGAGGUGUGACACCCCUAAUUUGACCCUAGUCGAAAGUGGUUUUGGAACCCCAAAACUGAGUCACAAAAAUAAUUAGAUGUUAUAUUCUGUGCUUAUUGUAUGUGGAAUUUGUAUGUGUGAAUAUUUCGUGCCUUGAUUUUAUCAAGGCGGUGUUAAUUUAUAAGAAAGGACCCAUGUGAUAAGACUUGGAAAUGUGAUAGGUGAAAUUUAAAGUGGCCAAAUAAUGCAUGAGUUAUUGACAUGAGGGACUUGCAUGUCAAAUGGACCACUUUUAAUUAGUGGCCGGCCAUAAUGAUAGUUGAUAGAUAUUAUAUGCAUUUUAUUUUAGCAUGAUAAUAGUUAAUGGCUUUAUAUUAUGGAAGAAAGAAUAAUUAAAAGAAGGAAAGAGUGAUAGAAACAAGGUAUGUUCAUCUUUCUUUUCCCCAUUGCCGUAACUAGUGAAAGAAAAAAAGGAGAAGAAGAAGCCAAGGCAUUCGGCCAUGGUUAGUUCAUAAAUCAAAGGUAUGUUAAUGUGAUUUUUAUGUAAUUGUUUAUGAAAUUAAAUUGAUAAGUGUAUUGUAUAGUUAACCCAUGGUUUAAAUUAAUGAAUUAUUGAACAUAUGUGCAUUCGGCAAUUUCUUAAAUUGUGAUAAUUUGAUAGCUUUUGGAAGGUGUUGUUUAUAUGUUAAAUUUGCUUGUAUAAUGGCCGAAUGAGUGUAAUGUUAAUGAAUUGAUGGAGUUGUGAGUGUAUAAAUUUCCUUAGUUGAGGCAAAGCAUGUAUUCGGCCAUGUGAGUAAAAUGUUAGAUUUUGAACUUUUGAAGUUUUAAAUUAUAAAUGGUUAUUAGAUGAGCACUAAGCUUGUUAAUCUUUGUUUGUGAAGUUGUCAAUUGAUAUCUUAAUUAGGGAAUUGAAUAUUGUUUAUAAUUUGAGGUUAUUGAAAGUCGAAUUAGAUGAUAAAUAACGAUCGGCUAUUGUGUUUAUGUGAAUAUAUAUAUGCUGAAUGUAGUCUUGGAUAAGUAAAUUUUGAUGUAUUAGAUUGGUAACAUGGUUUUGCCGAUUGUGAAAAUGUGAUAAAGGUGCCAAGAAAUAAUUUAGUAAAGUAAAUUGAAAUGAAGUUUUGCUGAAUGUGUUUAUUGGUGUGUGAAAAUUUGAAUUGUAACGUUAAAUCGUUAGUAUGUGUUCUAUGACUUCCGAAUGUGAAUUAAGGUAAAUAAUGUGGAGAAGGAUGAGUUGAGUUGUAAAAUUUAUGUAUAUGAAUUAGUGGUUAAUGGACAAUCGGUCAAAGUGGUUAAUAUGCAUUUGUAUAUGUUAUAAUGGCCGAUUGUAAUCAAGAAUAAAGAUGUGAAUGAAUGGUUGUUAAUGAGUUGUCGUAUGUUUCUUAUUAAGAAAAAUUAUUAAUGUUUGAAUCUAAAUAAAUUAGUUAAGUAAUUAAACAAACCAAUUUAUUUUACCUAGCUCAAGAGCGAAAGGAACUUAACUCGGAAAAAGGGAAAAGCGAAACAAAUGGAAUAGUCGAUUCGUAGUUGUCCGACGACAUUUAAGGUAAGUUCUUAAGUAUUUGAAUUUGAUUCCUUUGUAAGUCUUAAGUUUUAAAACGGGAUGAAUAUGGAUUAUGUAUAUACGUUAAGGUCAAUGACUUUUCUAAAUGACGGCAUAUAUGAUAUUAUGUUUUAAAUAUGUGAAUGAGAACUUUACAGAGUAAAUUGUAUAAAUCUGCUAGGGACAGCAGCAGUAGCGUGUUUUGGAAAAAUUACCAUAAAUUGUGGGAGUUGAGUUAAAAGCUGAAUAAAUUAUGUAAUUAAAGCUUGACGCGUCUAGUUUCGUAUAAAAGAAAUCGUGUAAGUAAAGGGGUUGCCGAUAAUGAGAUUUUCAAAGUUGUGUGAGACAGAGUCAGAAUGGCUCCGAAAUCCUCUGUUCAGUAUUUGGAAAAUCAUUAUAAAUCGUAAAAAAAUGAUUAUAAGAUAAAAUUUUAUGCUUAGACUCCUUAAUGAGUCUAGUUUCAAACAAAAUAAACAAAAACAUAUUUUGAAUUCUGUACAAUGAGAAAUUAAAUUCUUAGUGAAGAGUAGUCAGAGUAGUCAAGCAGUAAAAUAGGGGAAAUUUAAGAAAAAUAUGGUAUUGAUUGGCCAAACCAAAAAUUCUGAAAAUUUUGUGGAUAAAGGAUAUACGAGUCUAUUUUCAUGGAAAAUUAACGGCACAUAAUUUGGAAUCUCGUAGCCCUAGUUACAAAUAAUUUAACGACUAUUGCUCAGGAAAACAACUUGUAGAGAAAUUGUGGUCAUGUUGUAAACAUGGAUAAAACUUGUUUUAGUUGCUCAUAAGCUAUUGAUUAAACCCAUACGUGAAUUCUAAAUUGUGAUAUUAUAAAAUGAUAUAUGAGUGUUAGAUGGAUCUUUGAUAUUCAAAUUUGUGAAAUUAUAAGUUUAUAAGUAUUCGAAUGUGAAAUGAUAGUAUGGCUUGAAAUUGAAUUAUUCAUCGGAAAAUGAUAGAUGUAGAUUCAGCCAAGACAAAGUGUAUACAUGAAAGUAUAUGUGGUAUGUGAAGUAUAUUUGGAUAAUUGUGAUGUGAAUACAUGAAAAUUUAUAUUUUGAUUUAGGAUCCAAUGUGAUGAAUGUGAAAGUGUAUGUAUGUGAUAAGGCCGAAUGGCCAAUGUGAUGAAUGUGAAAGUGUAUGUAUGUGAUAAGGCCGAAUGGCCAAUGUGAUGAAUGUGAAAGUGUAUGUAUAUGUGAUAAGGCCGAAUGGCCAAUGUGAUGAAUGUGAAAGUGUAUGUAUAUGUGAUAAGGCCGAAUGACCAAUGUGAUGAAUGCGAAAGUGUAUGUAUAUGUGAUAAGGCCGAAUGGCCAAUGUGAUGAAUGUGAAAGUAUAUAUAUAUAUGAUAAGGCCGAAUGGCCAAUGUGAUGGAAGUGGAAGUGUAUAACUGUGAUAAGUCCCGAAGAACAUUUGUGUCAGUACUGUAUCCGGGUUAAAACCCCACAGACUUUAUGCGAGAAUAUUUUCCUGAUUAAUGUCCGUAGGCUUCGUGCUCGUACUAUAUCCGAGCUUUAAAGACCCGACGGCUAAAUGCUAGGAUUCAAGUAAGACUUUGAUAUUGAGUAUCUGCAAUAAGUUACCAUCAAAUAAGUAUUAUGUAUUUAAGAUGUUCAGGUACGUAUUACUUACUCAUCGGUGGAGUGAUUUCGAGGUGAAUUAUCAGUAUCAAAGAGGUAGGUAAAUGUGAUUAAUAUUAUAACUCCAAAUAUGAGAAUGAUCUAAUUGGUAAUGGUAUGCUUGUAUAAUGAAGUAUGUGAUGAAAUAUUCUUAUGUAUUAGUGCAUAUUCGGCCCAAAAGCCUUAUGAUUUGAGUAUGGGUUGGGUUCAGCUAGAUGCGCCAGUACAAGGUAAGGAUUAUGUUUUGUAAGCUUACGUAUAUGUGAUAAGGAAUAUGUUUGGUUCUUUAUGUGCCUACGGUAAUUUAGUACUUGUCAUGUUGAAAUACUUAAUAAUAUGGAUGUGAUUAUGAACAAGUGGAAAGGAUUAUUGAAAAUUGAAAAUUGAUGAAGAAUGUGCUUUGGAAAUAUCUGAUCAUCUAGGUCAUAUUAUUCGAAAGUAUAUAUGUGACAGCCAAGUGAUGCGUUUAUUGAUAUUAUAGUUCGAGAUGAAGCUCUAGAUUAACUUCAUUGAAUAGUUGAAAUGAAUGACCAAUGAUAGCGAAUGAGAACACUUUGUUUUGCUUAAAACUUACUAAGCUUACAAAAGCUUAUUCUGUUCGAUCAUGUUUUGGUUUAUAGGUUGUGGAUUCUGACUACCAGUUCGGGGAUCAUCAGCGCUUCGUCACACUAUCUACCAUUACGGCAACUAUGUAAUUAGACUUAGCUUAUGGCAUGUAUAGGAUAGACAAUAUAGUAGAAUGAUAUUUUGACUAUUGUAUAUAAGCCAUAUGAAAAUGGCAUCGUUUGAAUGUUUACUUAUAGAAUUUUAUUCUUCUGAUCUGAUUCCUAAUUUCUGGUAACGCCUCAUCCUAUUCCGGCAACGGUUACGGGAUAGGGGUGUUACAUGAGGGAAGAAAACCUCGACCUUCUGGCCGCUGAUACAAUGUUUCAUGCUCCAUUCCUCAAUGCAUAUCUAUUUAUUCUGCAAAUUACCAUAUAACAAAAUGGCUCAGAAAGUAUUUACAUUAGAAACAUUCAUAGUAAGGAACAUUAUUGCUUGAUUAAAAUUAAUCGGUAGUCCGGUAUGCUAUCAAUGAUUCCACUCACCCUCCCUUCAGUUAAGUAGUUCACAAUAUUAUCCAUAUUUAUGUCAUUUAAACUUGUUAAAUCUGUAUUUGCAAGGAAAUCAUUUUCAUAGUAUAGAGCAUUGUAAAACUCACAAAUUUCACAAAGGGUGAGUGCUCCUCUUUCCUUCGUUCUAUUAUGGUUUCCCAAAUAGCCGCAUACAAUCUCCUUGUCUCCUGAUCCCUAAAAAUUGCAUAAAAUUCUUGGACUAUGGGGAUUACCGCAUUUUCUUUGGGAGUCACGCAAAAUCUCUCCCAUCUAUGAUACCAAACUAACGGCCAAAUUUCUUUGUAAAGAAUCAUCAAUGGUUUAAAACCCCAUUCUUGAAUGAAUGUCUUUCCUUAUAGUUCUAAAAAGUACUUUUCGACAUUCGCAUUUGGAAAUUUCAAGAGAUUUGCAACCAUUGAUGGUUCUUGUUCCUUAGUACUUCUAGAUUUACUAGGGAGUAGAAGACCAGAACCACUAUACUUCCUUAGAUGUCGUGACAUAGCCAAGGGAUGUCAUGACACACCCCUGAAGUUUGCCUUGAACCAUGCAUAUUGCCUUCAAUGUCAUGACACAGGAAUUAGGGUGUCGUGACAUCAGUCCUGUACAAGAAGUAUUAACGAGCUAGAGGCAUUUUGGUCCACACAAUGGAAAUUAAAACACAAGAACACUAACCUAGAGUUGAGGACCGCAACAACCCUAACUCUAUACAUAUGCUCUUUAAACACUUGUUUAGGACAAAUUUUACAUUCUAAGAUUUUCUUUGUAAAUUUAGUCUCUAGUUUUUCCUUUAUUUUAGGCGUUAGGUUUAUUUUAGUUCUGUUCUAUUUCAUAUUUUUCAAAGAACGUGAGUUGUAACUAUGAUCAAACUACUGUGGAUUAUGCAUUUCAAUUAAUACAAUUCAGGAUUCUCUUUAACCUUUAUCUUGAUUCAUUAUUCAUGCUUAUCUUUAUUAUCAAGAUUACUGUGUUCAUGAGAUCCAUAAUGAACUAAUCCUUUUAUGGGGGAUUUGUGGUGGAGGUGUAAUUAAUUAAUUAUUAUGUAUGGUUUUCUUAAUGGAUCAUCUGGUUGGGAGAGAAAGAACUUAAAACCUAGGCUUGAUGAUCCUAGAAAGUCAUUUAAGUAGGAAUUAACCCAAAAUUGGUAUAGCCUAUCUAUGAACACCUUUACCUCGAACUGGUUUGAACUAUGAGGUUGAGAGAUAAGUAGUUAUUACCGACUCGUUAGUUUAGUGGAAGAUCGAGAGAUCCUUCUAGGGUAGCGACUAGUUGGUUGAGUAGAAACUCGAAAUAGGAAUUAGUUAUGAUCACCAAAGUGAACUAAUCAACCAUACUUAGAUCAAAUUAAGUUAGAAUUUAUAUUUCUGAAGCUCACUUUCCUUUUAUUAUUUUUAUUUCAUUCUUUAUAAAAUCCCAAAAAAUAUUUUUUUAUGUUUUAUCGUAUUAUAAUUUAUUUAAACUAUUAAUUACUUCUAUUUGCAUUUAAGUUGACAUUAAUUUAACACUCGCCUCCCUUGGAUACGAUCCUCGGGUACACAUUUGCUUCGUUGUAACUAUAUUACAACCUAACCCGUAUACUUGCAACGCCACCUUAAUUCCAUAUCUUUUAGUUGUAGUACUCAUACUCUAGAUGUUGGUACGUUGGAGGCAGUCAAGUUGUUGGACUAAAUUGAAUUUAAUUUUUAUGUUUUAAUAGAAUAAUUAGGAAAUAUUUGAAUUAUAGAUACGAUUUAUAAUUUGAAUUUUAUUAGUUUAGUUUACUAACUUCUUUCUUUUUCUUUGUUAAUUUCAGUAUAUGCUACAGAGGAAAGGAACAUCUAUUUAGUUAGUCACUAAUCCAUAGAGAUUAAUCCUGAAAAACCAUUUAAUUAUAGAUGAAACUGAUUACAUGUGGUUUAACGAUGACAUGAUUUUUGACGACGAAAUAUAUGAAGAGGGAGUAUAUAAAGAAUUAGAGAUUAUGAAGAAUAAAAGAAUUUUCAUUAUAGAGCUGAGCCAAUGUGGAAACGAAGCCUCAACGCACCAGAGGAGUAAUGAUUGAGGUACUGAUAUAGUUGAACAUCCACAUGAGUUCACUGGUAAUUUGUAUGAGGCACUUGAUGUUAGAUAUAUAGAGUAGAGAAGAUAGAUCCAAAGACGAUAUUGAAAUAAAUAGUAGACUUCGAGGCACAGGUGGCGUUUUCCAAAGAGAACUAUUUGCCCUCACACAAAGUUGCUAGAGGGUUAAGACAAAGGUCUUCCCGGGAUACAACGAAGUUUUUGAAUUUCCUUUAAUUAGCAAAAUCGAGGAAUUCCUUAACUUUUACUUUAAUUUCUGAAAAAUAGGAUUGAUUGUGAUUGUAAUUUGUGAGCAUCAUAGACCUUUUAUUUAUAUACACUCAAUAGACACUAUUUUGAAGAGUCACAAUCUUUUAUGCUUGAUUUCCAUUGGACAUAAUUCUUAAAAAAACAUGUCUCAUGGAUCAAAUGUAUCUUUUGAAUAAAUCAUCACUUUCUAAUAAGUGCUCAUGAAUAAUUAUGUAUUUGCAAUCUACAAUUUCUAACAAUCCCCUACUAGAUUGCUAAUUCUAGAAAAUAAGUACACAAUGAUUAUGCAUAAAGAAAGGUGUCUGUAGAUUGAACCUUCCUUUAGUGCAAACUCUUUAAAAUAUUAACAAAGUAAAUGGUGGCUAGUUGCUUGGAUCAUCAUUCUUAAAGUUAGUACCCAUAGUACCCAAAAAAUUUCACACAUAACCGUAAAGUAUUAGAUUGAGAGUUUAAUUUGCUUUAGCACCGUUAUGGCCAUGUGCUCAUCCCAUUUCAUGAACAUGUACGAGAAAAAACCAUAAAGAAAAUCUCAUUGAAGUGGCACCACUUCAUGUCCAUAUAGGUGGAUUUCAUGACAAUUAAUGUCCAUCCAUUAAGAGUAAAACUCAUCCUCCUAUAAUAUAAACACUAAAUCUUGGUCCUUAGUGCACAUUGUCAUUCAAUAACUUGUUAUUACCCUUUAAACCUCAAAACUAACUUUUAGCUAGAAUAAGGUAGGGCUUCCAUUAUCAAUGACGCGAUUAGAAUGGUUUUAGUCCCAUGUUAGUGGAUCUGCUAAAUUAUCAACUAACCUAACAUAGGUAACAUUUAUUACACCAUCCCUAAUCAAUUGUCUCACAUACUCAUGUCUCAAACAUAUAUGUCUAGACUUUCCAUUCUACAUCUUAUUGUAUGCUCAAGACAUGGUAGAUUCACUAUUGCAAUAUAGGAAAAUGGCGAACCUACGUUGUGACCAUAACUUUAUAUCUAGCAAGAGAUCUCUUAGCCAUUCCGCUUCCUUGCCAAUAGUCGCCAAGUCUAUAAAUUCAGCCUCUAUAGUUGAAUGUGAGAUGCUUGUUUUUGUUUAUAGGCCCAGCUAAUGGCUCCACCUCUGAUUGUAAAAAUCCUUCCCGAUGUGGACUUAUUGUCACUUAGACUUGUAAUCCAACUUGCAUCCGAGUAACCUUCUAGUACUGCAGGAUAAUCAUUAUAAAAUAAUCCCAAAUUUUUUUAUUUUUUUAAGAUAGCAGAAAAUCCUACAAAUUCCUUUCCAAUGAUCGGUACUAAGACAAUUUGUAAAUCUCACCAAUUUGCACACAACAAAUGCGAUAUCAGGUCUAGUGGAAUGCAUUGUAUACAUUAGACUUCUGAUUGUGCUGGCAUACUCAAGUUGCACUAUAUCCCUGCCAUUAUUCUUACUUAAAUUGAAGUUCCAAUCGUAUGGAGUGUUCAAAUCCUUGAUAUUCAAGUGUUUAAACUUUUCCAAUACUUUCUCGAUAUAGUGAGAUUGGCUUAGUCCAAAGCCCUUUUCAUGCAUUUUUAACCUUUAUACUUAGAAAUGUAUCUACCUCGUUGAGAUCUUUCAUCUUAAAAUUCGAGGCUAGAUACUCUUUGGUCUCACGAACACCUUCCAUGUUCGUACCAAAAAUCAACAAGUCAUCUACAUAAAGACAAAUAAUUUCACCCUAACUAUUGGUGAAUUUAGUGUAAAUACAUUUAUCCGCACCAUUAUGUAAAUAACCAUAUGGCAAGAUAAUUGUAACGAGUAGGUUUGUGCAAGUGUACACAGUUGUUAUCAAGUAAUAAGUAAGUAUCGAGUUAUCGUCUCCACAGGGAUUAUAUUUGGGUUAAAUCACUUAAUUGUAAAAUUAUACUAACAACUUGGCAAAUAAACACAAUAUGGUUGAGAAGUGAUGAUUAAAAUUAAAUAGAUUAAACUAAAUACAAUCAUCCCUAAUGCAAGUUAUCCUAAGCAUGCAAACUAUAUGAAUGGAAUAGAUUUUAGCGAAAUUAAACACAAUUUGCAACAAUUAUAACAUAAAUAAACUAGGAUAAUUACUUUAAUUAAACUCAAUUUAUUAUCAACAUGCUUAAUAACAUUCGCAAAAACAUUCAAUGGCAACUUAAUCUUUCAUGAGUUUGGAAACCACAUUAGGUCCUUUCGAAAUCCUUUACUUAGUAAAUACGCAUUUUACUGAUCCUUAUUUACUAAGGGUUUCUUAGCAUUCAUGUGAGGUAACAGGGACGUGUUAGGUUUGAAACAGUUUAAUCACACAAAUCUAAAAACUAUGCAAAAAACAGAGCUUGGUUAGAGUUGUUAUGCAACCUGCAAUUUAAUUGGGUUAGGAUCUAAAUUGAGCAUGCACAUUUCAAUUAUGUGUCCACUAGCCGUCGUUUGGUUAAGAUCGCUCAGCUAAUUCAGGUGCAUUUCAAUCACAUAUGAAUGGAAUACAGACUUAAUUUUAAUUGAAAACAUGAUCAAUUGAGGGACAAACAUUAUAAGCAUGAAUCAAAUAAAUAUUAUUUAAUCAAAGCAAUCAUCCUAGCUUAAAUAAAAUUAAGCUAACAUUGUUCUAAGCAAGAACAAAGAACACAUAGCAAACAUUUUUAGAUUAAAUUUAAGAAAAGAAAGAUUAAACCCAAAUCAAAGUGGUUGUCACCCAAGACUCUAACUGACAAGGCUCCUUCGCUUCUUCACUUUGCUCCUUUGCUGAUGGCUCUCCAAGAUGGCCGACCAAGGGCACUUUAAGAGGAUUUAAUUGCUAAAAUCUCUAUGAAAAGAUGAUGCUAGGAGUGGGGAAUGGAAAAUUCUAAGAGAAUUGAGAGAGAAGAGAUAAUGAUGAGGGAUGAGGGAUGAUGAAUGAGUGAAUGAAGGGGUCGUAUUUAUAGGUGAAGAGAGGUGGGUAGUUUGCUAAAAAUAGCUGGGUUUAGUCUCUUCAAACUUCUUCCAUGAGUGGCCAGCCACAAUUAGUGGAAUUUGAGCUGAUUUUUUCUUGAUGUUUAAGCAAUUUAGAUGCCAUAAUAACUUAGGACUGAGACUCGGUCAAAUGUAAAUCUUCGGGCAAAUAUCUAAUUUCUUCAACAAUGCAAGGACCUUGUGUAAUUAAACCAAAAAAUGGUUUAAGUGGGCAGCCAUGUGUAGCCGAAUUUGGGUUGACUUAGUCUUCAAUUUGGACAGUUUUGUAAUCCAACAAAGCUAUCAGACCUGUCCAAAAUAAAUCAAUAAGUUAAAGGACCGAAGAAUAAAAUUUAUCCAAUUUAAAUAAUUAAUUAAAACCCAAAUUAUUAAUGAAAUAUUUAAAAUUAUUUAUUAUAUGUAAUUUUAUAUUUUAUUAUUUAAUUUAAUCAUGCAUGACACAUUUUAUGUCUUAAAAAUAUAAUAUGUUCAAAUAAGUAUAAAAUAAGCCAUUUUAUGCAUGAAAACUAUAUAAUAAAGCAUAAAAUCACAUUUUAAUAAUUUCUAUAUCCUAAUUUCAUAUUUUCACAUAUUUAAUUAAGUUAUUAAACAAUUACUUAGUUUUAACAACAAAUUUAAGUAAAAAGGUGAUAAAUCACAUAGGAAAAAUCCUAUAUAUUUUUCAGUUUACAAUAAUCGAGUCAAAUUUCUCAUGCCACUGUUUAGACGUUUUUUUAAACCAUAUAAUGACUUGAUCAAAUUACACACCUUAUGUUCAUUCCCAGGAAGCACAAAGCCUUCUGGUUGCUCCAUGUAGAUUUCCUCUUCGAGAUCACUAUUCAAAAAAGUUGUCUUAACAUCCAUUUGAUGUACAUGUAACUUAUGGAUAGAUGCAAGUGCUAUAAGAAUUCAAAUGGAGGCCAUCCUAGCCAUUGGUUCAUAAGUGUGAAAAUAAUCUAGGCCUUCCUUUUGCCUAAAUCCUUUAGCCACCAACCUAGCCUUAAAGAUUGAAGAACCCUUUGUUGGAGUAUUUUUCCUUUUAAACACCCAUUUACACCCGAUAGGAUUCGAUCCUUGAGGAAGAUCAACUAGGAAUCCAAGUAUUGUUGGAUAAUAUUGAAUCCAUUUCAUCAUUGAUCGUCUCUUUCCGAAAUGCUGCGUCCCUAAAAGUUAUGGUUUCACCAUAGGAUUGUGAAUUACCAUCCACAUUAAACAUUAUGGGGAUCUUCCUAAUUACAGAUUCUCUAUUUCCCUUAACAUAUAAUGCUAGAGAUUGCGAGGAAAUGAAAUUAGGACCAAAGUUCUUUACUUUUCUCACUCUUUGACUUUUCCUCAGCUCCGUAUCCUUAUUGUCACAAAGACUUCUUUUGGUUUGAUCACUUGAGUUCAUUAAUUGAUAUUCUUUUUAUGAAUCUGUUGAAUCAUUGAAAACCUUAUUUUCAAUGAAUAUGACAUCUAUUUUUUCAAUUAUUGUAUUUGACACUAAGUUAAGAACAUGAUUAGCCUUAGAGUGUUGGGCAUAUCCAACAAAUUCACCCUUGACGGCUCUUGGACCUAACUUUGUUCUCCGUUGGUCGAGAACUCUAUAGUAAGCCAAACACCCCUACACUUUGAAAUAAUCUAAGUUUGGCAUCCGACCCUUCCAUAACUCAUAUGAAGAUACUUUGAAUUUUUUUUUUGUAUUUUGUUAAGAAUAUAACACGUAGUCAAUAAUGCUUCACCUCAUAAAUUAUAUGGAAGUUUAGCAUUUAACAACAUCGAGUUAACCAUAUCUACUAAAGUACAAUUCUUUUUUUCUGCCAAACCAUUUUGUUGCAGAGUAUAAGGCACGAAACACUCAUGUGCCACACCUUGUUCCUUACAAAAUACAUUAAAUUCAUUUGAAAAAUAUUUAUCACCUCUAUCACUACAAAGCACUUUGAUUUUCUUACUAAUCAAAUUCUCAAACUCAUUCUUAAAACGUUUAAACAUAUCAAAUGCCUCGUCGAUUCUCAUGAGAUACACAUAAGUAAAUCUAGAGAAGUCGUCUAUAAAAGUAAUAAAAUAUCAUUUUCCACAUUUUGCUAGAGUUCCAUUUAAUUCACAAACAUCUAAAUGAAUUAAAUCUAAUUUCUUUCACACUUAUUAGAAAACGACUUCUUGGUAAAUUUUUAUUGAAUACAAGUUCCACAUUUAUCCACAAACUCAUCAUUAAUUAGACUUAUAUAACCAUCACUUUGCAUAUAUUGUAAAGUUUUAAAAUUAAAAUGUGCUAAACGCGCAUGCCACAAAGGAUAAGAUUCAACAAUAUAAGCAAAAAAAUUAACUUUAUUCAUAUCAAUGCUCAACAUGAACAUACCCUCGCGAACAUUAAAGCAAGACAAACUUAUCAAAUUGCAAGAUAAUCUUGAACCCCUUGUUACACAGAAUAAUCGCGGGCACUAAAUUCUUUCUUACAUCAAGAACAUGCAACACAUUGGUCAAAGUCAAUUUCUUCCCAGAUGUGAAGUUGAGUUCCACCGUCCCUUGACCGAGAACCUUAAUCGAUUGAUAGUUUCCUAUAAGCACUUCAUGAUUUGCUACUAGUUCAUAACUCUUGAAUUGUUGUCGAUCAUUACACACAUAGAUAGUAGCUUUGGAGUCGAGCCACCAAUUACAAGACUUAUCAGUCAUGGCUAUGUUGAGUUCAGUAAUCAUACCAGUCUCCAAACUCUCGAUCCCUUCCAUAACCAUGGCCACUAAGUCCAUGUCCGCCACUAGGUUGGCUUUAGAAGUUGCGGCAUCUUGCUUCUUUUUGAGAAGUUUGCAAUACUUAAUAUAAUGUCCUUUCGUAUUGCAAUUAUAACAAUUGUGAGAUUUUUUUUCUUCUUGUCUUGCACUUCAUUGGUCUCGGAUGUGGCCUUUCUCUUACCAUUUCGAGAGUUCUUGGAGUCGCUCACAUGGUUCACUUUAGAACUUUGGGGAAGAUACACUGCAUCACGUUCUGAGUUUCUUCUUUAAUAUGAAAAUGCCUAAGUAUUUUCUCCACAGUGAAGUCCUCUACCAUAUGCAGAAGUUUCUUCCGAUAAUUGUUCCAAGACGAGGGAAACUUCGAGAUGAUAGCCCCGACUUGUAGCAUUCCAAAAUAAAAACUUUCAAGUCACGAAGCCUACUUACAAGGACUUGUAAUUCAUGGACUUGAUCCAUGAUUAGGAUACUAUAGGGCAUUUUGAAUUCAAAAUACUUCAUUUUUAAAAAUUUAUUAGUACAUUGUCGCUUGGUGUUCUAUUUCUCUUCAAGAGCUUUCCAUAUUUCCACCAAUGAUUGCAUUGACAUGUAGAGAUCAUACAAUCGAUCAGACAAGGUGUCGAGAAUGUGUCCUUCACAUGUGAACUUCUUUAUGCUUCUUCUUGAGUUCGACUACUUUCUCAAUUUCCUCGGGUUUGUAUUGAGGGUGGGGUCCUCCACGGUUGUAGGUUCGGACCAGAACAUAUGCUACAUUUAAGACAGUAAGAACGAACAACAUUUUUUCCUUCCAACAAUUGAAGUUUGAACCAUCAAAUCGGUCAAGUUUCACAAAUUCUUGGUUCUUCACUUUGAAUGUAAUGGUAGCCUCCGUCUCCAUAUCCAAAGUAGUUCUCUUUGAUUGUUAGAUAUAUAGAGUGUAACACCCAUUACCUGAGUUCGAGGCCGGGAUAGGGUAUGAGGCAUUAUCGGACUUAAACGUACAUAACUAUGUAAAAUCGGGCCAUAAAGAUUUCGUUCAAACUAAAAACACUCAUUCAUAUUCAUAAUGUCCCUUAUAUGGGCUUACGAGAUCCAAAACAUACAUCGAGGGUGGUUUGGGACUAAACUGAGAAAUUAUGAACUUCUUGCAACACUUAGAAAAUUUUCUAGUUUCGGAGAGUCACACACCCGUGUGGGUUAGGCCGUGUGGUCACACAUGCUUGUGUGGCUUGGGACACGCCCGUGUCCUCAGCCCAUGUAACUCUCUGUUUAUAACGUCAGCAACAAUAUAUGGUCACACGACCAAGUCACAUACUUGUGUGCUGGACAGUGUCCUCUACACGGAUGAGACACACGGUCAUGUCUCUGCCCGUGUGGCCUAGAAAAAUUGGCUAUUUACCAAGCCACUUGGCACCGUCGUUAGCACCUACUCAAACAUAACUUCAAUGGCACUUUUCGAGGAAAUUUCAUAUCGAAUUAUUCAUGCAUAAGGCACCAUACUUUUCCUAGUUUAAACUUAUCAACUUCAUGCCAUAAUUAUCAUUAGCACAUUCUUACACUUCAUACUUAUGCUAAGGCCUAUCCAUAGGCCAAUUUAGUCACUUUAAAACCAUCAAGUAAUCUAGGGCACAUUCACAAUUCAUCCAUACCAAACACACAUGACCACACCAUAUGAAAUCUUUAGCACAUGCAUGCAUAUAUGGAUAAGUUUACAACCCAAUAACCAAUAUGAGCCAUAUCACAUGACCACAUACAAAACGAAUCAUAUUCCCAUUAUGAACCAAUAAAUUUGGCCAAAUCAAAUGAAACAUACCCAAUUGACUAAGUCCCUAUACAUGCCAUAGACUUAAAGUGCUUGAAAUCAUUUAUACCCUUCAAUAGUUGGAUAGUGUGAUGGAAUCCCUAACGAUCUCCAACCCGAGCUAGCUAGUGACCCUAUAAAAUGAGGAAAAGGAAGGGGUAAGCUAUAUAGCUUAGUAAGUCCAUAUGAAAAUUAUAAGAGAUUUAUUGACAUGUUUUUUUCCAUAUCCUUGCAACAUGUUCUCAAGUUAAUACAAUCAUAAUUGCGCAAAAUUCUACUAUUUACUCUUGUUCAUCUCAAGCUGUCUAAUUGAGUCACAGUCACUAAAUUAUUUAUAUCUUGAUCUACGGAACUCUAAAUUAAGAUCUAAAAAUUUUAACUGAAACUAGACUCACAUAUCUUCUUACCAUAAAAUUUUUAGAAUUUUUGGUCUAUCCAGUAAGAAUAGUUUAUUCUUUAAACUCUUUCCUGUUCUGCUAUUUAACAGUUUCAACCAUUCUUCACUAAAAAUUAAUUAUAUCAUAGUACGGAAUUUGGAUAAUGUUCGUCUAUUUCUAUUGAAAAUACACUCAUUAAGGAUUUAUUCAUAUGAAUUCUAACCCAUAAUUAUUUUCAUACAAUUUUUAAUGAUUUUCUAAAGUUAAGACAAAGGAACCUGAAAUCACUCUAGCCUUGUCUCACAAAAAUCCAAAUAUCUCAUAACACAAAAUUCUUUUGCUUACAUUGUUUCUUCUACGUGAAACUAGACUAGAUAAGAUUUAAUUUCAUAUUUUAUUCAACUUCUAACUCAAUUUCCAAAAUUUUUGGUGGAUUUUCAAAUUUGGACUACUGCUGUUGUCCAAAACUAUUUUAAUGUAAAAUAAUGAUAACUAAGUUUAUAACACCUUUACCAAUCAUUUCAACCAUCAUGGUAAAAAUACAUAUUUAUACAUCAUAAGCAUAGACCCAUAACCACUAGGUCAUCACAAAAUAAUUCUCUUGGGCAUGACUUACUUAUUUGUAUCCUUACCCAAUGUGCAUCAUAAACCGAAAUCAUUUCUCAUGAGUUUUGCACACAUACCUAUAUCACUUGUAACAUCAUCAUAACUUUUCUCAAUCAUGACACAAUAUUUAAAUCACCUGUUGAACCACUUGGAAUACUAAAGGAUACUCGAUAAGCCUCAUACAAAAGGGUAAAAUGCUGAUGCCAUGUCCCAGACAUGGUCUUACACUAACACAUAUAACAAUGUUGAUGUCAAGUUCCAAACAUGGUCUUAUACUGGCUCGCAUAUUGAGGCUGAUGCCAUGUCCCACACAUGGUCUUACACUAGAUCACAUAACAAUGUCGAUGCCAUGUUCCAAACAUGGUCUUACACUGGUUCGCAUAAACCGGUGAUGAUGCCAUGUCCCAGACAUGAUCUUACACUGACAUAUAUCGAGGCCGAUGCCAUGUCCCAGAGAUGGUCUUACACUGACACAUAUCGAGGCUGAUGCCAUGUCCCAGACAUUGUCUUACACUGGCUCUCAUAUCGCCAUGGUCCAACCAAGGUCUUUUCUGUCAAUUCAGUACAAGUCUUAGUCCGAUAGUACUUGACCCUGCAUUUUUCUUAGAUUGAUAUUUCAAUUCAAUCUCAUAUUAUCAUGGUUUGAUAUCAAUUGUACAAAAUAAUAAUACAUUAUAUCAUUUCUAAUUUAAUAAUUGAUCACUGUCAACUAACCAUAUGAACUUACCUCGUUUGUUGAAACAACGAAUUGAGUCGACUAACCCAAUACUUUGUUUUCCCUCGUUCUCUAUCCAAAUCUCGUCUCUCCCCAAUCUAUAUAAUAACAAAUUUUACUUAUUUAGUCAUCAAUUUAUACAAUUUAGUCCAAAAAUUCACAAUAGGACAACUUUACACUUUUUCUCCUAAUGUUUCACAUUCUUGCAAUUUAGUCCCUAUAACAUAAAAGUGCAAAUUCAUUAAAUUAAACACAACCCAAGUUUAGCUGAAUUUUUAUAAUAAUUACUAGCUGCCCAUAAAACAUACUUUGACAAAUUUACAAUUUUGCCCCUAGGCUUUCACAAAAUUACGAUUUUGCCCCUAGGCCUGUAAAAUGAUUUUCAUCGAAUUUCCUCAUUAACCAAGCCUAGCCGAAACUGAUUUAAACUUGUAGCAACUCUCAAUUUCAAUUAUUCCACACAUUUAUCACCUAUUUUAUAACUUUUGCAAAAAGGUCCAUUUUAGGUGGUUUCAUGAAAAAUCCUUUCACAAAAGUUGUUAAUUAAACAACCUUCCUUUCACAAAAGUUGUUAAUUAAACAACUAAGAUUCAUUUUCUUUCAUAAAAAUUCAGCAAACAACAUGAAUAUUCAUAUGGCAAAACCCUAGACUCUCAACCUGUAACACCUCAUGCCCGUAACCCACGCUGGGUGGAGUACAAGGCAUUACCUCACUUGAUUUCAUGCUUUCACUUGAUUUCAUGCUUUCGGUCAAUCUCAAGUCAGCGAGAUUCAGUCAAAUUUUAAAAAUUUUUCUAUAUAUACUUUAGACUUCUUAUUAUGGGCAUAAGAUUCCCAAAUCGAUCAUUGAAAACUAAUCGGGACCAUUCCGAGUCCUUAAACCAACUAUGAAAAUUUUGUCCUUGAACAGGUCACAUGCUGGUGUGAAAGGGUAACACGCCCGUGUAACCAUUUUAUCAUGGUCGUGCUGAUGGCCCAUGUGGCUCACACGGACCAGGCACCUAGGGACAUGCCCGUGUCUAAUACCCGUGUGGAAUUAAAUUCUAAUUCACACCUACAGGGGUUUUCACAUGGCCGGACACACGUCCGUGUCAAUGGUCCGUGUCCCUCAUACGGCCAUGACACGCCAGUGUUCUAGCCCGUGUGUAAAAACUUGGACAUUCUGUUUCUGAUGUCAGCAUCCCUAAAAUGUCACACUGCCAUGGCACACCCCCGUGUACUAGGCCGUGUCCUCCACAGGAUUGAGACACACGGCUGUGUCUCUGCCCGUGUGUUUUAUACCAUACAUACUAACUUGAAAUUCUUACGUGCAGGGGACACACGGCCGAACUACACGCCCAUGGGGCAAACCGUGUGUUACACACGGCCUAGACACACUCCCAUGUGUCUACCCGUGUGGACAAUAUAAGGCUAUUUACCAAGCCUCAUUGCCACCCUUAUAUACCAAGUUCCAUGGAAAUACCAACCAAUACCAGGAUAAUACCUCUUUUAUAAAUCAAAAUGAGUGUUAGCCAUCAUUCAAGGCUUAAUACAAAAUGAAGGGUCCUAAACCCGAGUCAUUACAAUUGGCUAAUUCUCAAAGACACAAAAUGAUAAAGUCUAAGCCCUAUACAUGCCAUAUUCAAAAAUAUAAAUUCAACUAUAUCGGUUCUUCGGCUGAUAGUGUGAUCGAUAUCUCUGACUUUCAGCAAUCCUGGAGCUAAUUAGGCGGCACUAAAAGAAAAUGAAAAGGAAAGGGAGUAAGCAUUAAAGCUUAGUAAGUUGCAUAUAAGUAAUAUACAACAACAAUGCAUCAACAAUCACCAUGCUCAUGAUACCAAGGUAGGCAUAAGUAUAACCUACUCAUUGCCGUCCAUACAACCUACAAAUCAUGUAUAUAGAGUUUAUAUCUCAUACGUACCAAUUAGGUACCUGUACCACCCACAACACGGCUAUACUUUUCUUCAUUAAGCUAAAAUCACUACUCUCACCGUUGAACCAUUCAAAACACUAUCGGAUAUUCCAUAAGCCUCAAACACGGGUAAGUUACCGAUGCCAUGUCCUAGACAUGGUCUUACAUUGGCUAUCACCACCGAGGCCAAUGCCAUGUCCCAAACAUGGUCUUACACUCGCUCUCACAUAUCCUUGCCAACACCAUGUCCCAAACAUGGUCUUACACUGACACAUUUCAUAGCCGAUGCAUGUCCCAGACAUAGUCUUACACUGACACAUUUCGUAGCCGAUGCAUGUCCCAGACAUGUCUUACACUAGCACUCAUCUCAAUACCGAUGCGAUGUCCUAGACAUAGACUUACACUGGCUCUCAUAAUGUGGCCGAUGCAUGUCCCAGACAUGUCUUACACUAGCCCACAACAACCCAUAUGUCAUGGCAUGAAUAUCUAAUUUAUUUCCUAGGUUCAAAAGGGAACUCUACUAUCUCUAUUAUCAUCAUGCUUUCUCAAUUCCAAAAUGAAGCAAUUCAUGCUAUGUUAGUUUCAAGUAUAAUUCAGUACAUAUAUUAACAAUGUAGUUGUAUUAUUUAUAUACAACUUACCUUGGAUUACAAAACGUAUACGACUAGUCGAUUUAGUCGAUUUGGUCUUGGUUCGAAUUUGACAAUUCUUGAUCUAUAUUAGCAAAAUACACUCGUUUAGUCACUAAUUACAAUUAGGCAAUUGAAAAUUUACAUUUUCGGUAAAAUAACCAUUUUGCCCCUAGACUUUGGCAAAAUGACCAUUUUACCCCUAUGCCUGAAAAUCGAUUUUUAUCGAAUUUCUUCGCCUCUGAAGCUUAGCUAAACUCUUUUUUACUCUUAUAGAAACUCCAAAUUCUCUCUAUUUCACACACUUAUCACUUAUUUUGCAACUUGUGCAAAAUAGUCCCUUUAGGUGUCUUCAUGCUAACACAUUUCACAAAAGUUGUUUAUAAGACAACCAAGACUCAAUUUCUUCCAUAAAAACUCAGCAGACACUAAAAAUCCAUUCAUGGAAAAACCCUAAACUCUUAAUCGUUUUGCAAAAUAGACCCCUCAUUUGAAACAUUAUGCUUCAAGGAGUCCAAAAGUAUAAAAAUCCUUAAGAAAAACUAUCAAAAUCACUUACUUGCAAGUGCUUCAAGUUGCUGAAAAAUUUAUUCUUUCAAACCCCCUUUCAUGGUUGAUAUUUUCGGUGGAAAGAGAUGAGAAGAAAGGAAAUUGACAACUUUUUGUAUUUUAUUUCUUUUUGGUCAAAAUAGCUACCAAAUUUCCACCUAAUUUUGAAAAUUGUCUCCCCCAUGUCUCAUGGCCAGCUAUACUAUUAACUAAGGGUCUAUUUUCCCAUUAAAGACCCCCAAUUUUGGUUCUCUAACAAAAUAACACCUUUAGCUAUCAAUUUAGGACUUUUACACUUUAUGCGAUUUAGUCCUUUUUCGCAAUUGGGCUUGCAAACUGCAAAAUUAACUUACCAAAAUUUUCAUGUACUAAUAUAAAUAUGCUAUGCUCUAAAAUAAUAAUAAAAUAAUUCCUCAAAAUUUAGAUUUGUGGUCCUGAGACCACUACUCUGACUAGGCCCUAAAUCAGGCUGCUACACAAUCAUUUUAUAAACUAGUCACUCCAUUAGUUAGCUUAAGCUACAAGGGUCACAAAGAUACAAAAAUUAUCAAGAAAGACCUUAAAAAACACUUACUUGCAAGAGAACUAAGUGGCUGAAAUUUUGGGAUCUCAAAACCCUCAUGUUUGCUGCCAUUUUUGGUGGAUGAAGAAGAAAGAGGAAAAGAUGACAACCUUUUUCCUUUUUGUUUUAUUUUAUUACCAAAUAAGUCACCUAAUGCCCACCAAACUUUGACUUUUCAAUUUCUUUGUCUCCAUGUUCAGCCACUAAUUUUUAUUGGUCUAUUUGCUCACUAAGGACCUCUAAUUUAGUGUUCCAUAACUAUUUAACAACAUUAGCUUGUAGAACAAAUCUUUAGCACUUUAUGCAAUUUAGUCAUUUUUCAUAAUUAAGCACGAAAUCGCUAAAAUUAAUUCACCAAAAUUUUCAUACACUCAUAUAAUCAUUCUAUAACACAUAAAAUAAUAAAAAAAUAAUUUCUCUGACAUCAGAUUAAUGGUUCUAACUAGGCCCAAAAUUAAGGUGUUACAUAGAGUGAAGAAGAUAGAUCUAGAGACGAUAUUUAAAUAAACAGUAGACUUCGAGGCAUAAGUGACGCUUUUCAAAAACAACUAUUUGCCCCCACACAAAGUUACUAGAGGGUUAAGACAAAGGUCUUCCCAGGAUACAAUAAAGUUUUUGAAUUUCCUUUGAUUAGCAAAAUCGAGGAAUUCCUUAAAUCUUACUUUAAUUUCUUAUAAUUAGGAUUGAUUGUAAUUGUAAUUUGUGAGCACCAUAGACCCUCUAUUUAUAUACACUCAAUAGACACUAUUUUGAAGAGUCACAAUCCUUUAUGUUUGAUUUCUAUUGGACAUACUUAUUAGAAAAACAUGUUUCAUGGAAUCAAAUGUAUCUUUUGAAUAAAUCAUCACUUUCUAAUAAGUGCUCAUGAGUAAUUAUGAAUUUGCAAUCUAUAAUUUCUAACACCUAAGAACAUGAUAUGCCCAAACAUUUGGACAAGCCUCCCUGUGAUUCAUCUGAGAUGUUUUCAUCUAAAACCACAAAGAUGGUCAACUCUGAGGUCUUAUCAAACAUGUUAGACAUGAUGGUGCAAAUGAUAAAAAAAUCCAAAGUGCUACCUCAAAGAGGACAUGUUUGACGUUCACAACUUGGAUAAUGAGAACCUUGGUAUUACCGAUAGCUAUGAUGAGAAUCAACUUGAGCUUAGAACUAGAGAUUAUGGGGAUGAGUUGAACAUAGUUGAAACAGUCUCUGAUCCCAUUGACAUAGCAAUAGAUCUAAUCGUAGAGGUAUAAGUAAAAGAUGAAUUAAACACUAACAUGAAGGUUAAACCGAUAUUGAAUGAAAGUGUAGAAGAGUUAAUACACUUUUUGACAAUAGCAGAGAAGGUUCCAACUGAAAAAUUCGAGGGGUUUGACUCAUUCUUAUUCAACAGUGGCAACAAGGCUUGAGUAACCAAAGCCUCAUAUAACAGAGAGAGGAGGAAGCUCGAGGUAAUAAUACCUCAAAAAAUUUUUGGGGUUGGCUCAAAUUUGGUAUGAAAUGGCUGACAAUGUGGAUUUCACGACGGUCAAAAAUAAGACAAAAUCAUUGGAAUAAACCAAAGUGUCUGGUUCAUAUACAUCAACAGAAAAACAAACUUCAGAUCAAGGUGCUGAGAACCAACGAGAGGUUCUUUUAUGGUGGUAACACAAAAUGUCUCAAUCUUUAAAGAACUUGUAUUUCUUGUUUUAAAUUUUUUUUAUUUGUUUUAUUAGUUUAAUGUUUAUUUUAUUUCAUUUCCUUUAUACUAUAUUGCAUAUUUUUUAUUUCUUGUCAUAGUAUUUUCUUAUAGGUACUUUUUUCCCGCUUGGAGCAAACGAAUCCCAAUGUCAAGAUAACAACAAGGAUUCAACCUUCUCAAGAACAACCACAUUACGUUAGCUAGAAAUGUGCAAGGAAAUUUCACGAGGAAUGAAAAGAUUUUGACCAAGAAUAAACAGUUGUGCAUCGAGACAUUGAUCUACCAUUAUAUGAAGCAGUGCAUUAGUGGCCAGAAUGUUAGGGUCUUCUUCUCCUACUUAGUGAUGACCUUGUGCAAGAAGGCCGAAGUUCCAAUGAAAAAUACUAAGUAGUUCAUGAAGCCUUGUCUCAUAGAGGACUCAUUAUACAAGAAAUAAAUGAAGCUUCAAUGAAAGAAAAUAAGGGAUUAGAGAAAAUGCCGAAAGGAAAAGAUGGAUGUCCCAACUCCACUUAAACGAAAGGCUAAAUCGACAUCUCAUAAAGAAAUAUGUGAGAGUAGCAAUCCAAAGAUGAAAUGGAUGAUAAGAUGGUUGCAAGAAACGGGCCUAGUUCUUCAAGAAUUUGAGUAGCAGAAUAAUAUGAGAGUACCAAAUUAUCCGCUAGACAAAUGUGGUCUAAAGUAGAAGAGCAAGGAACCGAGAAAUGGGAAGGUAGUAAAGAGAAGGACGCUGAAGAGGUUAAUGAGAUGGAUUACUAGAAGGAGGAGAAGGAUUAAAUGAACUUUUAAUUUUUUCUAUUGUAAAUAAUUAGGAUGAUUUUUAUCUUUAUUUUAGGAGUAGGAGUAACAAUAGAUUUAUAUAUAUAGAGAGAGUAACAGUAGAUUUAUAUAUAUAUAUAUUCUAUUUUUAAGUUUCCUAUGUAGGAACUUCACAUGAAAGAAAGCACGACAUUUUUUAGCUUCUAACGAACAAGGUAGGAAGCAACCACCAUAAGACUACGACAAUGUCACGAUCAAUCGGGCAACUUCUUUCCUUAUCUAUAGAGAUGCACAUUAGGGACAAUGUGCUAUCUAAAGUGUGUGGGGUAACAUAGAAUUUUUUUUAAUUUUUUUUCUUCGAUUUUUCUUAUCAUCUGUGUUCUUGAGGUUGUAGAAGUACAAGUGAUUGUUUAGAAGCAUGUAAAUAGGUUGAUUGUGUUUACUAUAAUUUGCACGAUAGUGAAUGGUUUUAAAUUUUUAAUUUUUAGACUAGUAAGUUCUAUAUAUUACAUUGUAAAUAGGUAUUGAGUAAUUUAAUAUACCAAAUGAUAUAAAAAAAUACGGGGAAACUAGCAUGCUAGUAUGCAUGAUAAAUAGUUGAAUUUGUGAUUGUUUGAUUGAUUAAAUUUGUGAAUAUUGAGAUACCUAGGGAUGACCUAAGGCAUUGUUUGGUAUACACCCAGAGUAAAAAAGCUAACCCUAUUUAUUUAUCCUUAGUACCUAUUUUGAGCUAGAAAACACUUCUUGAUGAACUUUCAUACAAAACCCGAGCCAAAAAUGUUACAUUGUAUUUACCCUUUUACUUUGGUCCUGAACUGCAUGAAUAUAGACUUCUAGCCAUAUGUAUUGAGGGUUAAGUAGAUACAUCAUGACGGAUUUUGUAAAAACAAGAGUGAAAUAGAAAGAAUCAGUAUAGUGAUUACAAGUUUCCUAAUAUGUGCAACAAAAGAAAAAUUCAAAAAGAAAAUCAAAACGAGUAGGAAAAGUACAUGAAAAACAAAAGCAUUGUGAGUGAGAUGUAUUAAAAAGAUCAAAAAGUGACAAAGUCAGAAAAGUAGAAAAACUCAGUCAUUGAUGCACAAAAACUCGUGAGCUUGUCAUAAUUGCUAUAUUAUGUUGUGACUUCCUAUGUGGGGAAAUAAGGAAGGUAAGGGAAGGAGAAAUAAGGUGGUGAGCUGGUAAGGGUAAUUAAGGGGGCGAAUAGGGAACAAUACAAUGUGCCAUACUAUUUUCAUGCUUGAAACUAUUUUGAUGCUUGAUCUUCCAUAAUUUUUUGUAGUAGAUUAAACUAGUUUUCGCACUUUAGGAGCUUGAGCAUAAUCAUUUUAGUUAAGUUUUAAUUAUGUUUUUGUAAAUUUAACUAAAUUUAAUAAAGUGUGUAAUUUAAGCCUUUUAUUGACCUUAGGGGCCGAAAGAGGCCUAAGGUGAGCUAACACGAGGUAUUGGAUGUCACAACAUAGGAAGCAGAAUAGAAGAAUUCCAAGACUACUCUCAAUGUCGCGAAACAGGACCUGGUGUGUCCAAAAUCACCUUUGUACGGGAAAUAAUUACGAGCCAGGGGCUUUUUGGUUCGUACAAUCAAAUGUUAAGCACGAGAAUGAAAGCUAACCUUAGGUUAAGGAUGAAAACCACUGUAAAGUCUAUAAAUAGGCUCAUUUAACACAUGUUAGAAAGGGGCUUUUGUAUUGAAUAAUUUUCUUUCUAGAUUUAGUCUUUAGUUUUUCUCUUCUUAGGUUUUAGGUUGAUUUCAAUUCUUAUUAUUUGCUUUUGUCGAAAAGAUUAGAUUUGUGAAACACAAUCAAACCCUGUGAGGAUUCUAUACUCAAUUCUAAUACAAAUUAGGCUUCUUCUAAACUUUAUACUCUUGAAUUAUUAUUCAUGUUUACUCUUUUUAUCAAGUUUAAACUAUUUAUUAGAUCCAUGAGGAACUAAUCCUCCAUUAGGGGAUUAGCGAGUGAAGGUAUGAUUAAUUAACAAUUUUGUAGGGUUUUCUUAGCGGAUCAGCUGUUCAGGAAAAGAAGAACCUACCCUAGGCCUGACAACCCUAGGAAGUCAUUAAGGUGGGAAUUAACCAAAAUUUGAUAUGGCCUAUUGGAAACACAAAAAUUUAUAUACUUUUUCAUACCCAUUCUUACUUAAACUCAUGCAAAUCCGGUUAAAUUCUUCUCAAAAAAAAUUAAAUAUUAUAAAAUAAUUAAAUUAUGUUAAAAAUAUGAACAUGGUGAAUUUAGUUAAUUUUAUACUCAAUUUUGAUUAAUUUUGACUAUAUUCGACAGAUUCGCGCAAAGGGUGAAAAUUGGCUCGGCUGACACUGCUGAAAGCACAAAACUGAGGAGCAAUUUGAAGUAUCGAGGCACAUGAGUUUCCAGCCUAAGACGGUCCAAAAAAUGUGUAUUAAUUCAUAAUUUAAUUAAUUUUAAUUUAUUCCCCAUUUAAUUUGGGUUAAAUAAAUUAUUUUUAAUUAAUUAUGGAGAAAGGGUCCAGUUGAACCGCACUAGUCGAACCAUAUUGAAUGGACCGAAAAAGCCACUAAUUGGAAGCCCAGAACCGUCCAUAUGCUGACCCAAAUCAGCAUUUUUAGCUGAUUAAAUAUGAUUGCGAAAAGGCCCUCGAAAGACUUCUAAUUUGCAUUCAUACCCCACCUUUAAUUGUGGCUUUGUAGAUUUGCCCUAGGCCAUUUUUAGCAAAGUUGAAAGUCUCAACUCUUGCCAAGUAGAUGGCUGGCCAAUGGGGGGCUAUUUGGCUUCUGGAAUUUGCUAUUUUUUGUAUCCACAAUCAGCUAUAAAAGCUACCCUUUGCUGAUCAUUCAAACCAUCCUUCAUUCUCUCUUCUCCUCUCUCACUUUUCUCUCACUUUUUCCAUCCCAUUUCCCUUAUUGUUCGAGUGCCGAUUUCUUCUCUUGGAAAAGAGGCUCUCAUCAGCCAUUUUGGAGCAGCAAUUAGGUGUUCAUAAGCCACCUUGAUAGCCGAAGGCAAUGAAGAACGAAGAAUAGAGCAACUAGUCAAGCCACAGAGAAACACCGGAUUUGCUUCUUGUUCCCUAUCUCUUUAAUUUUUGUUGUUGUUUUGAAGAACAUGUUUAUGAAUAUUUAUGCUAUUGAAAUGGUUGUUUUAAUCAAUUUAUCUUAAAAUUAAGUUUGUGUUGGGUUGAUUAUAUUCUGCCUACUCGAAUUGUUAAAAUGAUGUUUAUGCUGUUAUAGGCCUCAGCAAUUGCUUGGUUAAGUAAAAUCAUGCCUAAGUUAUUUUUGCAAUAUAAUUGUUAAAUAACUAAUAAAUUAAUUAUUAAAAUGGAUUGAAAUUAUAAUUAAUUGACACAAUACUUAAUCAGUAAAUGUUUAUUCUUCUAAGGUAGCUGAAGGUUCAAUUAGCAAAGUAUCUGGCGAUAUUAUUGCCUUGCAUAACUUGCAAGAUUAUUAUGAUUAAACUGUCUCCAGGUAGGGAUGCCUUGCUACCUCACAUAGUCUUUUAUAUGCUUAUUAGAUUUAAUUAAUCGUUUGAAUUAACAUAGGGAUAUGUAAGAGAUUAGUUUAAUUUAAUGAGUAUGUAUGUGCAAUAACAUGUUUGCUUAUUAGAAUCUGUUUAGUCUAUUGAAUUGACAUAGGGAUAUGUCAAGAGAUGAAUGAAUUUUUAUAUGUGAGUAUGUUCAGAAGUUAGCCAAUUAUCGAGUUGCCAUGAAUUUAUUCGUAACAAUGUAAACAUGAGUUUAAUUAUUCUAAGUUAAAAGAAUAUAAUUAAUCCAACACAAGUAUGUUACCUUGACUAAAUCUUAUUUGAAAUUGUGCAUUAGAACUCCUUUGUUUUAUUUUAAUUUUUUUACUUAGUUUUUUAAAUAUUUUUUGACCAUCUUUUAAAACCAAAUUAUUUUUACCUCACCAAAGUGUUUUACAAUUAAUUUCAUAAAUAAUUCUUUUUACAGUCCCUGUGGGCACGAUAACUCGACAUUACUUGUUACUUUAUUACUUGUUGCGUUGUGUACACUUGCACAUUUUUCAGUUGUUCCAAGUUUUUUGCGUCGUUGCCGGGGAUUGUUUUAAAAAGCCAUUAUUUGUGAAUUUGUUAGUUUUACAUUUUGGUUUAUUUUUCUGUUUAAUUUUUAACUUAAUUAAUUUUUCUCUGAUAAUUUCAGGUGUUUAUGAAUAUUGGCUAGAUUAUUGACUUACUCCUUGUAGACCCUGAGAUAGAUUGAACCUUUUGACAGCGAAGAAGACAAGCGAACCAGAGAAGGACCGAAGAAAUGAACUUUGAAAAUUCGAUCCAAGGAACUGGAGCAAACCCUGCUCAAAAUCCUAUCCUUAUUGCUGAUGAUAGGGAUAGAGCCUUAAGACAAUAUGCUGUGCCAGUAUUUAACGAUCUUAAUCCAGGCAUUAGGAGACCUGAAAUCGAGGCACAACAAUUUGAGCUGAAGCCAGUCAUGUUCCAGAUGAUUCAGACUGUGGGCCAAUUCAGUGGAAUGCCUACUGAAGAUCCUCAUUAUCACCUAAGACUAUUUAUGGAGGUGAGCGACUCUUUCAAAUUAGCUGGAGUACCUGAACGAUUGAAGAUGUUCCUGUACACACUAAGGGACAGAGCUCGAUCUUGGUUGAAUUCAUUGCCACCAAACUCAAUUUCUACAUGACAAGAGUUAGCCGAAAGAUUUCUCAUGAAGUAUUUCCCACCUAGCAAGAAUGCUAAGUUGAGGAACGAGAUCACUGCCUUCCAACAAAUGGAUGAUGAGUCCUUGUAUGAGGCAUGGGAACGAUACAAAGAACUAUUACGGAAAUGUCCUCAUCACGGAAUCCCACAUUGCAUCCAACUUGAGACAUUUUAUAAUGGUCUCAAUGCUCACACGAGGAUGGUAGUGGACGCUUCUGCUAAUGGUGCUCUCUUUUCUAAGUCUUAUAAUGAGGCUUACGAAAUCAUCGAGAGGAUCUCCAGUAACAAUUAUCAAUGGCCAACCAAUCGAGCCGCAUCAAGAAGACGAGUCGCUAGAAUACAUGAAGUGGACACUCUCACUUCACUUGCAUCUCAGGUAUCUUCAAUAUCCUCAAUGCUUAAGAAUCUUACCACUGAUGGGUCUAACAGUUUUGCAGCCCAACCACCUCACCAAUUUGAAAGUAUAGCCUGUGUUUAUUGUAGGGAAGGACAUUUGUUCGAAGAAUGUCCAUCGAACCUCGAAUCCGUAUAUUACAUGGGUAACCAGAACCAAAAUCGAGGAAGGCAAUGACUGCAAUCCAGUUUAAGCUGAACCAUCCAAUAGCUUGGAGAAUCUGCUGAAGGCAUACAUGGCAAAGAAUGAUGCCUUAAUUCAAAGCUAAGCAGCUACAUUGAAGAAUCUGGAAAACCAAAUGGGCCAGCUUGCAACUGAACUUAGGAACCGACCACAAGGUGUUUUACCUAGUGAUACAGAGAAUCCAAGAAAUCCGGGGAAGGAACAUUGCAAGGCGUUAACAUUGAGGAGCGGAAAGACAAUAAAGCCCAACACUAUCGAAGGUGAAAAAGAGCCAGCUGAUGCUCAAGACUCAGAGGAAGUUCAAUCGAGUGUUGAAAUUCCAGUUUCACAAGAACCAGAAUCUACGAAACCCGAUGAGGUAAUUCUAGAACCAGCUAAUUCUGAUAAACUAACAACUCCGUUAGAUGUAGAAUUGCCACAGAAAAUGAAUCUACCAGUUCCAAUAAAGAAACCUUUACCACCCUACCCUUAAAGACUUCAGAAGCAGAAGCAGGAAAUUCAAUUCAAGAAAUUCCUAGAGGUACUCAAGCAACUUCACAUCAACAUCCCAUUGGUUGAAGCACUUGAACAAAUGCCGAACUACAUCAAAUUCAUGAAGGAUAUCCUGUCCAAAAAAUGAAGACUUGGAGAAUUUGAGACGGUAGCUCAGACGAAGGAAUGCAGCCAUAUCUUUAAGACAAACUACCCCCAAAAUUGAAGGAUCCUGAAUGUUUUACCGUACCUUGCAAUAUUGGAGCAAUGUAUUGUGGUAAGGCACUAUGUGACUUGGAUACAAGUAUAAACUUGAUGCCUAUGUCAAUAUUUAGAAAGUUAGGGAUAGGUGAAGUUAGACUUGCUACGGUUACCCUUCAACUAGCAGAUUGAUCUUUAGCACAUCCAGAAGGAAAAAUCGAGGACGUAUUGGUACGAGUAGAUAAAUUUAUCUUCCCUGCUGAUUUUGUGAUCCUAGACUUUGAAGCAGACAAAGAAGUACCGGUUAUCCUAGGAAUACCGUUCUUAGCAACCGGAAAGACCCUUAUUGAUGUGCAGAAUGGUGAGCUUACUAUGUGUGUUCAGGAUGAUCAGGUAACAUUUAACGUUUUUAAGUCUAUGUGAUUUCCUGACACAAUUAAUGAUUGUUCUGCAGUUUCCGAUUUAGAGGAUUUAAUAGUGGAAAAGGAGCUCAACUUUGUUGAGGAUCCGUUGGAACAAAUUUUGACAUCCGAUCCUCCAAAUGAUGAUGAGGAGGAUGAAUACUUAGCUUUGUUAGAUGCUAAUCAAAGGGGAUUUAAUCCGCAAUCUUGCUUUGAAUCUUUGGAGUUAGAGAAAAGGGAUUAUGCCAAAUCAAAAGCGUUAAUAGAGGAGCCACCUAAAUUAGAACUGAAGGUACUUCCUUCAUAUUUGAAAUAUGUUUAUUUAGGUAACUCUUCUACUCUGCCUGUGAUUGUUUCAGAAGAGUUAACUACUAAGCAAGAAGAGAAACUCAUCUUGGUGUUGAAACAAUUCAAAAAGGCUAUCGGAUGGACCAUAGCCGAUAUCUGCGGUGUCAGUCCAUCUGUAUGCAUGCACAAAAUUAUCCUAGAAGACGGUGAAAAAGGGACGAUUGAUGGACAACAAAUACUGAACCCCAUUAUGAAGGACGUAGUGAAAAAGGAGAUUAUCAAGUGGUUAGAUGCAGGUAUCAUUUAUCCCAUCUCAGAUAGCUCAUGGGUAAGUUCGGUCCAGUACAUGCCAAAGAAGGGAGGUAUCACAAUCAUAGAGAACGAGAAUAACAAGUUGAUACCAACUAGAACAGUUAUGGGAUGGAGGAUUUGCAUCGAUUACCAGAAGCUAAACAAGGCGACUAGGAAAGAUCAUUUUCCUUCGCCGUUCUUGGACCAAAUGCUGGAUAGACUCGUGGGGUAAGACUAUUACUAUUUUCUCGAUGGAUACUCGAGGUAUAAUUAGAUUACAGUAGCACCGGAAGAUCAACACAAGACAAUGUUCACCUACCCGUAUGGUACAUUUGCAAUUAGACGCAUGCCAUUUGGUUUAUGUAAUGCACCUGCUACAUUUCAAAGAUGUAUGAUGUCUAGUUUUACUGACAUGGUUGAGAAGUACUUGGAAGUUUUUAUGGAUGACUUUUCAGUAUUCGGAGAUACUUACGAUGAUUGCUUAGCCAAUCUGGCUAGGGUACUAAGAGAAUGCGAAGAAACGAACCUCGUACUUAACUGGGAGAAAUGCCAUUUCAUGGUAUGAGAAGGAAUUGUUCUAGGGCAUCGGAUAACGAGACAUGGAAUCGAGGUAGACAAAGCAAAGGUAGAUGUUAUUGAGAAGCUCCCACCUCCAACAUCUGUAAAGGGUGUUGGGAGCUUUUUGGGCCACGUCGAUUUCUAUCGAAGAUUUAUCAAGGACUUCUCCAAAAUUGCUAAACCCUUAUGCAAAUUAUUGGAGCAGGACACGACAUUCAAGUUUGAUGAUGAAUGCUUAAGAGCUUUCAAUGAUUUGAAGAGUCGAUUAGUUACGGCACCCAUAAUUGUCACACCAGACUGGGAUUUCCCAUUUGCAUUAAUGUCUGACGCAAGUGACUUUACGAUAGGAGCUAUCAUGGGCCAGCGAAGGAACAAAGUUUUUCAUCCCAUCUAUUAUGCAAGCCGGACUCUUACAGGAGCUCAACUGAACUAUACGGUAAUAGAAAAAUAGUUACUUGCUAUUGUAUUUGCUUUUGACAAGUUUCGAUCUUAUCUUGUAGGUACCAAAGUAACUGUCUAUACGGACCACUCGACAAUUAAGUAUUUCCUUGCCAAGAAAGACACUAAGCCGAGACUUAUAUGAUGGGUACUUCUACUUCAAGAGUUUGAUGUAGAAAUUCAAGAUCGAAAGGGGGUAGAAAACCAAGUAGCAGAUCACUUGUCCAAAUUGGAGCCGCAAGAAGGGAAUUCUCCUAUUAUACCAAUUCAUGAAACAUUUCCAAAUGAACACAUACUAAAGGUAAGUCAUGUCCACAAUACCCCUUGGUUUGCUGAUAUUUCUAACUAUUUAGCUUGUGGUUUGAUGCCAAUUGAUAAGACUUAUCAACAAAGGAGAAAGUUUUUUCACGAUGUGAAGUAUUAUUUCUGGGAAGAGCCAUAUUUGUUUAAAAGGUGUGUAGAUCAGAUGAUUAGGAGAUGCAUGGCAGAAGAUAAAGUACAAAAGAAUUUAUACCAUUGUCACUCAGCUAUGAGUAAGGGACACUUCAGAGGUACUUGUACGGUGGCCAAAGUAUUGCAAGCCAGAUUCUUUUGGCCAACACUAUUGAAGGAUGCAUAUGCGUACGUAAAGAGCUGUGAUCGAUAUCAAAGGGUCGAAAAUGUCACCAAUAGAAAUGAGAUGCCUCGAAAAAACAUCAUUGAGGUAGAAUUGUUUGAUGUAUGGGGUAUUGACUUUCUUCGUCCUUUCCCUCCGUCUUUUGGUCACAAGUAUAUAUUGGUAGCAAUAGACUUUUUCCAAGUGGGUCGAGGCUAAAGCUUAUCCGAAAAACGAUGCUAGGGUUGUAAUUAAGUUCUUGCAGAAACACGUGUUCACAAGGUUUGGAACCCUAAGAGCUAUCAUUAGUGAUGAAGGGUCCCACUUUCGUGAACAAGUGGUUAAAAUGGUUAUUAGACAAGUAUGGAGUGAAACAAAAGGUUGCAACAGCUUACCAUCUGCAGAUGAAUGGGCAAGCUGAAUUGGCAAAUAAGGGAAUCAAAGGCAUACUUGAGAAGGUAGUUUUUCCCAAACCAACGAGAUUUGUCCAAAAGGCUGGAUAAUGCUUUAUGGGCUUACAAAACAACAUACAAGACACCUUUAGGGAUGUCACCCUGCAGGUUGGUCUUUGGGAAAGCAUGUUAACUACCCUUAGAGUUAGAGCACAAGGCUUACUGGGCUCUUCGACAACUCAACUUGGAUCCUAACUAGAAACGGAUGCUCCAACUCAAUGAGCUAGAGGAACUCCAGAUGUUCUCCUAUGAAAAUGCCAAAUUACUCAAGGAGAGACUUAAAAAAUGGCAUGACAAGCACAUUCGAGUUCGAGAAUUUGAAGCAGGUCAACGAGUCUUAUUAUUUAAUUCCAGACUAAAGUUCUUUCCAGGUAAGCUAAAAUCACGUUGGUCCGGUCCAUUUACGAUUCAUCGCAUCUAUCCAUACGGAGUUGUCGAGCUCCAAGGUAAGGGAGGUAAUGUUCAAGUUAAUGCUUAGCGCCUGAAACACUAUUGGGGAGAUAAGAUUGAACAGAAUGAAAUUUCGUUCAUUUUAUCGGAUGUUUAAAAUUUUCUUAUUUUCCUUUUUAAUAAAUGAUUUAGGGUAUAUUUUUGAGAUUAGUAUGUUUAAAUAAAUUCUGUCUAGGAGAUUGGAACUUAAGCGGGAACGCUUGUGACCCCUCCAAUCUUUCUUGGGAAUUGAUUUUAACAUAAAUUUUCAAAAAAUUAUUCUCUAAAUAGAAAUUUCAAUCUUUGAUUUUUCAAAUAAAAUGGUCAAUUUUGAUCCAAGUCUUAAAUUGCAACUCAAUUCCAAAUUUUCAUUAAGUCUAGGGACUUAAUUGAAUCAUUUUUAAAAUUUGGUUGCUCUUUUCGUAAAUAAUAAAAACUAGAUGCUUCUUUUUGUAAAUAUUUUCAAAAGGCUUCUAGAAUAAAUGUUUUUAGUUUAAUAAAAAAAUGAUAAUUAUUAAUAUAUAAUUAUAUCCAUUAUAAUAUAUAUUAAUCAUUAUCAAUUUUAGGAUUAGUGUUAAUUUAAUCAUAUUUUAUUUGAUAAGUUUUUAAUAAUAAUAAUAAGAUGAUAAUCUUUAAUAUAUAAUUAUAUCUAUUAUAAUUUAUAUAUUAAUCUUUAUCAAUUUAGCAUAGAAUUAGGAUUGGUCUUAAUCAUAUUUUAUCUUUGUUUAAAUAAAUUAAAUAGCAAUUAAUAAUUUAAUAUGCAUAUAUCUAAUUAUUAUUUGUUGUUAUCUUUGUAUAGGAUUAGAACUUAAAAUUUUUAUUAAUUAAAUUGUUUUAAGAAUUCUACUCUAAUUCCUAUUUUUCCCUCUAUAAAUUCCACUCAUCUUCCCAUUCAUCUAUCACUCAAAACCCAAAGCACUAAAACACCAAAGUGCCGAAACCCUUUUCCCAGUAGCCACUCAGUUAGCAGCACAUGUCGCACGUCCUAGUAGGCUGCAAGUAUGUCUAGCUCCAUCACAUGCUUGCUGCACCAGCCUCAGCUCGCACCAGGCCUUCAUCCCGCGCGCUAUACCUACCUUUCGCACCAUCUUGCGAGCUCCCAAUUGCUACCUGUUGCCGAACGCCCGUGUCGUUGCCUGCUUCUAGCCCUGCUGCGCAUCACUGCUCCCACACGCACUACACUCGUAUGCCCUAACUGCUUGUGCGGCAUUCUUCAUUCAUCCAUCCUAAGCCACAAACCCUCCAACCCUCCUUUUAAAUUACCAUCUUUUCCUUCAUUAAUAUUAUUAUUAUUAUUUCCACACAAAAGGUGGUAAGACCUAGUUUUCUCUUAAUUUUUAAUUUUAUUCAAGUAGUUAAUUUUUUAAUUCAUUGAAUUAUUAAUAAUUUUUAUUAAUUUUUUUUGAGAAAAUAAUUCUUCUAUCUUAUGAUCAGGUUAAACAUGCCUCACAAUAGAACUCGUGCUUCCGCUCAAAUUGAUAAAACACAAAACAAGUUCCACUGUGAAGAAGCCAGAGUGAGAUACAAAAGUAUCUUCAAAAUCAACAGAUGCAUCCAGAGAAAGGCUUUACAUUAAAAGAAAGCAAUUACAGAGACUUUAUGGCAAGUAUUCCUCAAGUUGCUAAAACUCUCAAUUGGGAGCUAUUUUGUGAAAAGAGACCUAGUGUGGACGAGGAGCUAGCUCGUGAGUUCUAUGAGAAUUUAACUUUAAGCAAGAUGACAGAAGUUCUAGUUCGCGAAAUCAAAGUACCGAUAAAUUCAAAUGCUAUUAAUGAGUUCUUUGAAUUACCUAAUUUCGAAAACGAUGAAUAUUCCACAUUGAUGAGCAAUAUCAAGCCUGAAAAUUUGCAAGAAAUUCUCGAGGAACUGACAGUUUAGGGUUCUACAUGGACUAUGUCAAAACAAGGAAUCCACACUUGUCGAAGAGAAUAUUUGACGCCACUCGUGAAGGUAUGGUUUUACUUCAUCUGAUUUAGCCUUAUGCCUAGCUCACAUGGGACUACAAUCUCAUUAGAGUGAAUGGUCUUAUUAUACUUGAUCUUAACUAGUAAGACCAUUGAUGUGGGGAAGAUCAUCUUGAGGGAAAUACAAGAUUGUGCUAUUAAACGCUCUGUCCCUGCUCACUUCCCCUUUACAAUAACAAUUUUAUGCUUGAAAGCUGAAAUUCUUGCGAAUGUAAGGAAGACAGGGUAUAGCCAAGGCACAAUCAUAGAUUGGGACCUUUACUGAGUAGUUGGAGACUCAGUUCUACAGCAACGAGUUGAAGUAAAUGAGGAACUGGAGGACCCUGAUGAAGAAGAAGAUCCCACAAUGCAAUCAUUUGAAGUCCUUAAUAAGGUAGAAUCAGUGGAGCCAGAAGCUGAACCUGAUGCUAGAACUUCAAUGUUUAGAGCUCAAUCGCCUUGCCCAGACCUUUGAUAAGAGCUAUCAAAAUUUUUGGACUUAAUGCAACAUAUGCAAUGACAACAACAAGCCUACUGGAGAUACUAAAAAAAUAAGGGAUGACUCGAUGAGAAGUGCUUUUAAGAAAAUAUACAAUGACCCGUUUAUUUUUGUGUUUGAGUUUCUAGAUUUCAUAUUUGAACCAUGGAGUCCAUUAUUGAUAAACCGAAAAUUAUACAUAUUUUUACCCCAUGUUUAAUGCAUUUUAUGGAUGAUUUCUCAUUAGAAUUGGUGAAUUCGAUGCUCCUAAUGCUUUAAUUUCAUGUUUUAUACUUAGGAUUUUAUGGAGAACCUAAUGCUUAGAAUUGGUGAAUUCGAUGCUCCUAAUGCAUUUUAUGGAGGACCUCCUUACAUAGGCAGACCACACGGUCGUGUCAAUUUGGCAGGCUCGAGAACGGCCUGAAGUAAUCAAACACGGGCGUGUCCCUGUCGAGCCCAAGUUGAGUCUAAUUUGGAAAAGGCUAAUUUUGAGGGCUUCUAGGCAUUCCAAAGCCUAUAAAUACACCUUAGAGGAGGAAGAAAAGGGAGACAGAGAAGGGGGAGUAAGGAAUUACUCCAAGGAAGCCUAUUGAUCCAUCUCAGAAGCCGGAUUCAUCAUCAAGACUGAAGAUCUCUCCUCAAUUUCCUUUCAGGAGUUUUGGGUUUUCUUUAUGUUUUGUAUUCUUUAUUCUUUUGAGAUGUUUUCUUAUUUAGUUAUGAACUAAAACCCCUAAAUACCUAAGACGAAUCUUGUUAUUAUUUUCUAAAUCGUAUGAUAAAUAUUUAACUUGUUCUUAAUUCUUGUUUUGAUAUCCCAAGAUAUUGAUUCAAGACAUACUCUUAUUCAGAGGAGAAAUAGACCCUGUCUAAGAGUACAUUUGUCAUAAUUAAGAGGAGUUGAUUGUCGCCUAGACAUAGGGUGAUAAGAUUUUGCCGGAUUAGGGUGAAACCUAAUAACGGGAUCCAUAGAUCGAGUUAAUGCAACUCUAGAGUGUUAAUUAGAGAAAAGUCUCGGUUAUUCAAUCUAGGGAUUAGACGUUAUUAGUCUUGAAUAGGGAUAAUAACAUAACUUAGGGAUCUCUACGGAACAAGUUGAAUGAAUAAAUCGUCCGAUUCGGAGCCAGAAUAACAAGCAAAAUCUAGGUGGAUUUUUCCUUAGGUAUUGUCUUAAGUCAAUCGAUUUUUCCCAAAAGCAAUUCCCCAAUUCUUUUAUUUGUGCGUUCUUAGUUUAGAUAAUUAGUUAAUUAAAACAAAACCUCUUUAUGCUUAGGCUAGAUAAUAAAAAGACAGUCUAUACUAGUACUUUUAGUUCCUUUGGGUUCGACAAUCCGGUCUUGCUAAAACUAUACUAUUGUUCAAUAGGUACACUUGCCUCCAUUGCAAUAAUAGUUAGUUCAAGAAUGAGUAAUUAUAAAUAUUUAAAACCUAUCACGAAAUAACGCGAUCAAGUUUUUGGCGCCGUUGCCGGGGAACUAAGAUAUUAGGAACGCUCAAUUUUUAUUACAGUAGCCAUUUAUUUUUUCUUGCAAUUUAAUUUAAUUUUAUUAUUAUUUAUUAACCUACUCUUUCUUUCUCUUGGCAGGUUUUUAUAGUUUAUACUAGAAGAAACCCGUCGGGACCAUUACUUUUUGAUAAAGAAAUCGAUCGUACAGUUCGUAGAAACUAAAGAGAAAUAAGGCGCGGCUUAAGAUACACAGAGAACAAGCAAUAAGACGAUACUCAACCCCCAACCAAAGAGAUGUCUGAAAACCAAGGCAAUCAGCUACCUCCUGCAAUUGUGGUUAAUCAAAAUCCUGUUCCAUGCACUAUGUAUGAUUAUGCUAAACCUUCUUUAACAAGAAAUGAAUCAGACAUAGUUAGACCUACUGUAGCUACAAAUACUUUUGAAUUAAAACCUAACACUAUUCAAAUGAUACAGCAAUUUGUUUAGUUUGAUGGUUUGCAAGAUGAGGAUCCCAACGCUCAUUUAGCCAACUUCUUAGAACUAUGCGAUACAUUUAAAAUUAAUGGCGUUUCUAAUGAUGCCAUACAUCUUUGGUUGUUUCCCUUUUCAUUGAGGAACAAAGCUAAACAGUGGUUGAACUCGUUACCACGAGGGUCAAUUACUACUUUGGAACAAAUGACCAAAACGGCUAAAUUACGUAAUGAUAUCUCUUCUUUUGUGCAGAUGGAUUUAGAAACACUCUACGAUGUAUGGGAGAGAUAUAAGGACCUUUUGAGAAGAUGCCCCCACCAUGGGUUACUGCUUUGGCUCCAAGUUCAAAAUUCCACAAUGGUCUGAAUCCUUCGACUAGGCAAAUGGUUGACGCAGCGGCGAGUGGAACCAUCAACAGUAAAACACCGAAAGAUGCCUAUGAGUUUAUAAAGGAGAUGUCACUAAAUAACUAUCAGUGGCAAGUCAUGAGGACAAAGCCAACGAAAACAACUGGUGUUUAUAACGUCGAUUUGGUCACCAUGCUGUCAAAUCAGGUAGAACUCUUGAAUAAAAAGAUUGAUGGUUUUCUUAGUUCUUCACAGGUUCACCCAGUAAUGCAGUGCGAAGCAAGUAGCGGUGGAACAAACCAUUCGGAAUACAACCUUAUGGCCACAGCAUGGAUAUUGAGCAAUUAAACUACAUGGGUAAUAAUCCUUGACCUCAAAACAAUCCAUAUAGUAACACUUAUAAUGCAGGUUAGAGGAACCACCCCAAUUUCUCGUGGGGCGGUCAAGGAAAUCAAAGACCACAACAUCCUCCGAGCUACCAAAAACCACCCUACCAAUAGGAAAAGAAGCCAAACCUUGAAUAGAUGCUCUCAAAGUUUAUAUCAGUGUCAGAAACCCGUUUUCAGAACACCAAGACAGCACUUAAAAAUCAACAAGCGUCAAUCCAAAGCCUCAAAACUCAGAUAGGCCAGCUUUCCAAACUAAUUUCCAAACGACCACAAGGUAGUUUGCCAAGUAAUACCGAACCUAACCCAAGAGAACAACUCAACGCAAUUAAUAUUCAAGAUGACGAAUGAGUCGUUGAGCCUGAACCAGAACCGAGGCAAGAAACUGUGGUAAGCAAAGGUCAAGCUGAGGUAGAUCAAAAUACAAACAAACCAGUGAUGGUUGAAUAUAAACCUCGUGUGUCAUACCUCAACGUGACAAGGAAAGACCGCUCGGAUGAACAAUUUGGUAAAUUCCUUAAACUCUUAAAAAAAUUACAUAUUAACUUACCGUUUAUUGAAGCUAUAUCGUAGAUGCCAAACGCAAUGAAAUUUUUAAAGGAGCUUUUAGCAAAUAAGCGGAAGUUGGAAGAGGCAUCGCAUGUGGAGCUGAACACAUUUUGCUCAACCAUUCUCCAAAAUAAACUACCCAACAAACUAAAAGACCCAUGGAGCUUUACUAUUCCUUGCUUAAUUAGUAGUUUAGAUGUUAAUCGUUUAUUAGAUGAUCUAGGGGCUAGUAUCAACGUCAUGCCUUAGAAAAUGUUUAAGCAACUAGGUCUCGGGAAACCCAAACAGAUUAGGAUGAGCAUUCAAUUAGCAGAUAAAACUAUAAGAUUCCCUAGAGGUAUUAUUGAAGAUGUGCUAGUUAAAAUCGAUAAAUUUAUAUUUUCCGUUGACUUUAUUGUUCUAGACAUAGAAGAGGAUAGCAACACUCCCUUAGUUCUAGGAAGGCCCUUUUUAGUAACUGCUAAAACCAUCAUUGAUGUUGGCACAGGUGAACUCACACUCCGGGUGGGAGACGAAACAAUCACCCUUCAAGCUUGCAAUUCUGGCAACAUAUCAGGAAUUGAAGGUGAUCAUUUCAACCAUUCUACUAAAACUAACAAUAUGGUGCAACCUACUUUGCAAAAAGUGAAUCUGAAGGAAGCACACGAGUCGUUCUCAAGAAAUAGUAGAGGACCUGUUCAUGAAGAUCGAAGACUACAAAUCUAGGAACUCGAUGAAUGGCGGAUGCACAAACUAAGAACACCCGACAAACUGAAACUUUGCCAAAACGAGCCCGAUACCUCUCCAAAUCAACUUAAGGUUGGUGAUAAGAUCUUAUUAGAUACCGCAAAUCCCCACAUUGUCACUACCACACCAAAUGACGAAAUCCCUCUUACGGUACUCAGUAUUUUUCCAUUCGGUACGGUAGAGGUGAGUCAUCCCAAGUUCGGCAUUUUUAAGGUAAAAAACACCCGAUUAAAACCCUAUUUUGAUGAGAUUGAUAGCAGGAAUGAAGAGUAUAAACUUCUCAAACCACCAUGACCAUUCACUGGAGAGGUAAGCCAAGCUUAGACUAUAAAUAAAAGCUUUUCAAGAGGCAACCCCAGCACUAACAAUAUUAAUUUCUUUAAAUUUUGGUAUUUAAAUCCUAACUUACUAAUAAAAAUCUUGAAUACAGGUGUUUCCAUAGAGACACGGCCAAUCACACGGGCGUGCUUAAGGUCGUGUGAAAACAGGGCAAAAGAUUUCCCCAACACGGGCUACAAUUAAAUGCUACGGCCGUGUGAUAUGGCUGUAGUCGAGCCUACCAAAACAACACGGGCGUGCAACACGCCCGUGUGGAAGAACCGUGGGUGAACCUAUUAAAACAGCACGGGCGUUCGACACGCCCGUGUGGAACACCAGUAGUCGAACCUAUUAAAUUAACACGGGCGUGGGGCUUGCACACACGGGCGUGGGAGAAGCGAACGGAGCUAGACAUGGCUGUGCGACACGACUGUGUGAACCCAUAUGCCCAAGGAACACGGGUGUGUACUAAAUGUCAGACGCGCCCAAAUUUGAAAUUCGCGAAUCACACGGGCUGAAAUUGGGGGACACGGGCGUGUGCCCUUGCCUUGUGGCCCAAAAUCUAUAAAUACCUUGCACUAUUCACUUUCUUCCCCAUUCAAAAACCCUUACCCUAGCCGCUGCAACUCCACACGGCCUCCCUUCCACACCCGUGCACCGCUUCCUACUUCAUUUUGAUGCUCAAUCCCUCUUCCUUAGCGUUCGUUUACUCCUUUCACUUCUAUUUUACUUAUUUCUAAUGCUUAUUAUCAACAUAAACUUUAUAUCUUUUAAACUAUUUUUCAUUUUUCUAUCAUUUAAUUUGCAUUCUUAGGUUAGUUAUCAUACAUUUUGUGUUAAAUCAAGUUAGUAAGAACACUUCAUACCCAUGACAUUACUAUGUUUAUUCUCCUGCUAUUACCAUGGCAAUGUAUAUCAUUUAAUUUGCAUUCCUAAGUUAGUUAUCAUACAUUCCGUGUUAAAUUGAGAUUAGGAAAACCUCAUACCCAUUACAUUUCUAUUCUCAUUCUUAUCGUUAUUGUGGUUGAGUUUGCUUCAUAUUAAUAGUAUUGGCUGAAAUAGUUAGUUCCAAAUCUAUGCAUUUUAUUUUUUUGAAUUCGUUUACCUAUUAUUAUUAUUUAUAUUACAACCUUUUGAUGUCAUCUUCACGAGGAAAGAAAACUGCCGUACCUGCCUCAAAGAAGAGGAAGGGAGCGUCCUCUUUCGCGGGUCCCACCGCAAAAAUUCUUCACCCUCUCCUACAGUUCCCCCGAGGGCCUCAGGAAGAAUUGUUCCAAAUACUUCGAGCCCAACCUUUAAUUGCGGGUCGCUGCAUCGACUGGACUGCUGUAAAACAGGCUCAGUUGGCUGAUUCGAUUUGAGCCCUCCUAACCACCGACCCUUGAGAGCUAGUCUUUGGGAUUAUCGAGCCAACAUACCUUGAGCUCACGAUGGAACUAUGCUCAACAUUCCAUCUUCAGACCGUAAUGACGAACUAUGAUGAUCCCGGUAGGGUUCAAUUUCGCCUAGGCGGAUUAAUUCGCCAACUAAGUGUUUCAGAGUUUGGUGCUACACUAGGCUUAUAUACGGAGGAUUUCAAGGAGGAGAAUGAACUACAUGCUCUCAGUCGCCACAUACAUUUCUCUCCUUCAAAGUGCUAGCACAUUUUGGCCCCUAGCACGGCUUCCUACAAUCCUAGCCGUUCCAAGGCAUCAGUUUUCCCACCAUCCCUGAGGUAUUUACACGCUAAUUUAGCUCACACGAUUACAGGGAGGUGAGAGAGCACUGGGGUAGUCAACACCCACGACGUUUACUUCUUAUGGUGCAUGUCACAAGGGCACGUCAUCGACCUUGCCUAUUUCAUCACCCUUGCAAUUCAGCACCAGACGAAGCGGCAUCGGAAGGGGGUCAUCUCUAUUGGCCCCUACGUGACUCGACUGACGCGACACUUCAGGCUCCUUAACACCGCGGCCCAAGAAUCAUCCCUCACCCUCAUCGGCCAGAUGUCUCUACAAGGCAUCUCGAGCAAGCUUAGCAUGAGGAUGAUCGAGAGGCACCGAGGAACCUACCCUCCCCAGUAUCGUCUCGCCCAAUCUACCGAGGAGGAGGCCUACGAGGACAUUCCUGAUGAUGUCCCCCCAUAGCACGAGGGCCCACCAACUCAGCCACCACCACCCUCUCGUACAGUUCAUGUGAUGGCUUCAUAUGCUGACAUCUGAGCCCUCACCCGAUUCGAGCAGUAAUUUUUUCAACGAUUUGACAACAUUGAUGGUACUCUACAGCAGAUUUGUCAGCACCUCCACAUCUCAUCGCCAGCCCCACCUCGCUAACCAUCCAGCGAUGAAGAUGUUUAAAAAAUAUUUAUUUAUUAUUUUAUGUUUUUAAUUUUUAUUGAAACUACUUUUUAUUUUUAUUAGAUUUUAGAAAUUUUAUUUUUAAUUAUUAAUUUCGGUUAUUUCUUUUUGAGUAAUUAUUCUUCCUAAUCUCCCCUAAAAAGUUCCUGAUUUUAUCACAGUUAUAUAGAGCCCUUAAGCUCAUCGUCACAUAGGAACUAAAACUCCACCGAGAAAGGUUCUCCACGAUUGCCAUGUCCUGAUCGACCACGACCAUAGCUACCACUAGAUAUAAUAUUCUUUUGGCGCAGGACUUAUGGACUAAUGAACUUCUACGGCCGCCGGAGUAUCCUCCUCCACUCUCAAACCGAUUACUCUCCAAACCUAUAGUUCGAGGAAUUCAUCAUGCAGGAAGUUUCACUUCUCUCCCUAUCUUAUUUUUAUUCUAUAAUACCUAUCUUUGUACAUUGAGGGCAAUGUACAUCUUAAGUGUGGGGGGCAUUCAUGUCAUUAUCAGAAAAAUCCCUGAAUGGUUACCUUAUUCUCUUAAAAAGCUCUCAUAUCAUAUUUAGGAUAAAUUUUAAUUGAUUUAUGAUUUUGAUUGAUACAUCUUGAAUUAAAACAUAGGGAUUUAUGCAUUGAUUGUUUAAACUUUAAGACAUUAGAGAAUCAAGCAUGAUAAGUUGAUUUUUAAGAAUUUAAAAUUAUAGGUUGUUUCCCCAAGUCUAGGUAUUACUUUGAAUUGGAAUUCACGAGUCUAAACAUCAAAAACCCAUAAUUUUUGUGAGAUUUUUGAGCCUUUUGAGCAUCUAUUAAUCCUUUCAUGCUCACUUUUAUUAUUGCUUUGAGUGCGUCAGUAUUGAACUGUUAUUCUAGAACUUGCUUGAUUAUGCAUGUCGAGACCACACCAUUUGAUUUGAUAUAUCAAAAUGAUUAAGGCACUUAGGAUUAACCCACUCAUGCACUACAGGAAAAUAGAGCUUUAGUGGCGUUUUUAGCGGCAUUUUAUCAAAAAACACCGUAAAAAUUGUAAAACUCAUAGCAAUAGCGGCGUUUUACCAAAAACGCCACUAAAAACAGAGCAAUAGCGGCGUUUUAGUAAAAACGCCGCGAAAAACAGAGCAUUAGCGGCGCUUUUGGCAAAACGCCGCUAAAAACCAGAGAAUUAGCGGCGCUUUUGGCAAAACGCUGCUAAAAACCAGAGAAUUAGCGACGCUUUUGGCAAAACGCCGCUAAAAACCAGAGAAUUAGCGGCGCUUUUGGCAAAACGCCGCUAAAAACCAGAGCAUUAGUGGCGCUUUUGGUAAAACGCCGCUAAAAGUCAUAUAACCCUUAAAUCUAUAACCCUUAAAACAAUAAUUAUUAAAAUUUAUGGUUAUACAAUAUAUUAAAUAUUUUCUUAUAUAAUCAUAAAAGAGAUAGUAUUGAAUUUAAAAUAUCGAAUUAAUUAUCAUUAUAGUUUAUGGUUUAUGGUUUAAGAUAUAUGGUUUAGGGUUUAAGGUUUAUAAGUUAACUAUGGUUUAAGAUAUAUGGUUUAGGGUUUAAGGUUUAGGAGUUAACUAGUGUUUGAAGGUUUAUGAUGAAUUAUGGGUUUAGGGAUUAUGAUUUAGGGUUCAGGGGUUAGGGUUGGAGUUUAAGGUGUAAGGGUUUGUGGUUAAGGGUUAAGGGUUUAGAGUUUAGUGUUUAUGGGAUAGGGGUUAAAAGGUUUAGGGUUUAGAUUGAUUAGUAUUUUUUAAUUUAUAUAUUAAAUGAUUUCUUAUGUAAUUGUAAAAGAGAUAAUCUUAAUUUGAAUAUAUUAAACUUAUGAUUAUAGUUUAAAUUAUUUAAGAGAUAAUAGAUAUACUUUAUAUAUAUAUUAAAUGGUUUAAGAUUUAAUCUAAAAAUAUUUUGAUAUAUUAAAAAUAAUUCAAUUCAAAUUAAUUCAUCUACACUUAAUUUGAUUAGUUUUAGUCCCUGUAUUUUUCAAAUCGAUCAAAUUUAUCUUUUGUACUUUUCAAAAUUUAAAAUUUUAGUAAUGAUCACUCAAAUGAUAGCAAUUAUAUAUGUUUGGUUAAAUUCUGCUAUUAGUCUUGAUAUUGUGCGUAAAGUUGUAGGUUGAGUUCAUGUUAUCCAAUUAGAUCAUUCUUGGUCCCUAUACUUUUCGACUUUUGAAAUUUUAAUUUUGACACAAAUGACAACCAUUAAAUCCGUAACUGGCUUUUUGUGAAUAAUAUGUUUGUUACAUUAGAUUUUAGAAAUAGCAAAACUUAAUGAGUUUAAUAGCUACCAUUUAAUUAAUACUACAAUUUCAAAAUUUCAAAACUAUAAUGACUAAAAAUAAUAAAAUUAAAGUAAAAUGACUAAAUCCACAAUUUACAUAUAAUUCAAUGACUAAUAGAAAAAUAAUAAUAAUUAAAAAUAUUUAACUUGUUUAUAUUUAAAAAAUUAAUAAAUAUCAAAUGAAAAUAACAUGUAUAUAUUUAUAAAAAAAAUUAAAAUAAUAUCAUUAGGUUUAAGUAAAUUUACGUUAAGUAUUUAUAAAUUUAAUUGGAAAUUUAACUUAAACGGGGUCGUUUUCCAUUUACAUUUUUCGCCAAAACCCUAGCAUUUGCCUCGACCCAUUUUUAUCGCCUCAGACUCUCUGUGUAGUUUCUGAUUCUUCACUUUCAUUACUUCAAACUCUCGCAGUGAUGAGACCUCCAAGAGGUAAGUAACCAACGUCUCUUACGUUUCCUAUCAUUUUUAGUUAGACUCUCGUUAUGGCAUUCCUAAUAGUUUAAUCAUGUUUCAGGCCGUGGUGGUGGUGGGUUUAGGGGCAGAGGUGAUGGUGGAAGAGGGAGAGGAAGAGGAGGUGGUGGAAGAGGUGGUGAUAGGGGUGGUAGUGCCAUGAAAUCCCGCGGCGGUGGCUGUUGUCUGAGCAAAGAACGCAGGAGAUACUUUGUAUCAUUCAACCUUCUUUGGUUUCUGAACAAAAUCGACAAAAUAUUAUUGCUUACUUUCAGAGGCUAAUCAAAGGUUACUAUGGGAUUGAGGUAAACUUAAUUUUCCUUCAAAUUUUUAGCCCUGGGUUGUAAAAUGGUCUCAUUUCUGUGUGUUGGUGUUCCUUGUAUUACUGGACAAAUUCUAGAAAUUGUUUGCUUUGUCAAAUGCCUUUUUAGGAGUGAAGACUUUUAUGUGAACGUUACACCUAGGGAAAUUCAAUUCCAAAGUUUUCCACAUUGAAGCAUAAUAAACUAGCCUCUGAAAUUGGUGCCUUCAUAAAAGAUUGCUCUGUCAAAUGCCCUUGUAGGAACAUCUUCACAGGUAUCCGUUUCAAUUUUUCUGUCCCAAAAUACACAGAUAUCGCCGUCAACUUCACAGGUAACUCUUUCACACAUUUCAUCGAAUAGGUCAUGCUCUAUUCCGAUCUUUGUCUUCAAUUCAUCUUUCUUUCUCAAUCUGUGCUUCUUAUUCUCCACUUGGAUUAUCCUUUAUUCGCACACAGAUGGCAUGUUUAAAGGCAUUUAUAACGGCAAGCAACAUCACGUUUCUGAUAUUGCUACUGUUCUGAGUCGAGCUUGGAACGCUGGCGUCGAUCGAAUUAUCGUCAGUUACCCCAUCUUUCAUAUUCUCUUUGCAUUUUACUUUGUUUGGUUAUUGAAUUAUUGUAAUAGUUCAGUUCCAUUGGAAGCUUAGAGUUUUAGUGAGCUCGUGGACUCUUAAUAAAUUUGAGUUCAUUUCUUUAUGAAAUUAUUGAGAUGGUAUUUUAAUUUUCUGAACCCCGAAUGAAAGUAUUUUCUCUGAAGCGGCUGGAAAUAAUUUCGACUUGUACAAAAGAAUAAUGAGUUUCAAUUUUUUAUGUUGAUGGAAAUGUAUAAUUCAUGGUAAUAGAUUUGUUGUGCAGGUUACGGGUGGUUCCCUUGAGGAGUCAAAGGAAGCUCUUGCUAUUGCAGAAACUGAUGGUCUAUUUAUAGUGCUUUAUUUGUUGCAACGUCUGCCUUUUAUUUUGCUUUAGAAUGUGUUUUGCUCAUUGUCGAAGGUUUGAUAUUCAUUACAGGGAGGCUUUUCUGCACAGUUGGAGUGCACCCAACUAGAUGCAAGGUUAGUCUUAUUUCUAGAAACGUUGUCUUUGGUCCUUUUGUUUUUGGAUUACAUGUUUAACUGUGUGGUUUGUCAGCAAAAUUUGUCAACAUGGCUUCAUAUAUUUUAUUUAGGAGUUUGAAGAGAGUGGGGGUCCUAAAAAACAUUUUCAAGCUCUUUUGGCAUUGGCUAAGGAGGGAAUUCAAAAAGGGAAGGUGUGUUUUCCUUAUUGGUCAUUGAACUUUAAAUUUAGCGACAUUUUAGAUUUUGCAUUCUCAUUCUGGCCUGUUGAUGUGAGAUGUGAACACUUGUGGAAAUUUAUACAUUCAGAUGUUUGAAUUUCAGCUGUUAGCUGCUUUCUGUGCAGAAUUGUUGUUUAGACAAUUGAAAGAUCUUAGAACAUACUAGUGCUCUGUUUUCCCUUCUUUCUUUGCAUAUGUACUUUCUUCAUACCUUCUCGUUCAUUUAAUUGUUUCCCUAGCAUGUAUGUAGGAUUUCUGUUGGAGGAAAAAUAAUAACGCAAUUUAUGUUAUUAAUUGCUAGGAUAAAGUAGUUUUCUUUUAAUCAGUUUAUAUAGGUCCAAAAAGAUCUAGUAACCUAUUGCAUAUCUACAUUUUAUCAGGAUUGUAAUCUUAGUCUUACUAUAGUUAGAUACUAUGAAUUUUGCCUUAACUUAGGUGGUUGCAAUUGGUGAAUGUGGAUUGGAUUAUGACAGGCUUCACUUUUGCCCACCAGAAGUUCAAAAGAAGUAAGUGGCUGCCAUGAGAAAGGAUUAUGCUCCUUCUCUUAUUUUAUAUUUGUUUGUUUUCUUCUGUAUAAUUAAACAUUUCUAACUUUUCUUUGCCAAAACUAGGUAUUUUGAGAAGCAGUUUGAAUUAGCAUAUGCCACAAAGCUGCCCAUGUUUCUGCAUAUGCGUGCAGCUGCAGAAGAUUUCUGUGAAAUUAUGGAACGAAAUAUUAACAAGUUAGAUUUCUGAAUCUUUCCUACACUAGUGAAAAUCUCUUCAUUUUUGUGCCUGCUAGCACUGUAAACCAUCUUUGUUCUUGAAUAUGAAAAGAAUAUUAGUUAAUUGGUUUAUAGUUAACGUGUAAAUGCUGAAGUCUGCUGUUUUUUUUUGUUUUUUUUUUUCACUUUGAAAGGUUCACUGGUGGGGUUACUCAUUCAUUUACCGGUAGUGCUGAAGACCGUGAUAAGCUUCUCUCAUUUCAUAACAUGUAUAUAGGUGAGAAUGCAACUUAUACACGCCAUCUUCACCAAACAGGUCUUGUUGCUAUGCAUGCAGUGAUAUGGCAUCUGCUGGCUACCUUGUAUCUUCCAACUAUUGUCUUUUUAUUCAGGCGAUAGCUUUGAGCACACUUACAUUUCUUCACUCAGUCAAACAAGUUGAUUGAAAUGAUAUUUCCUUCUUGUUUGAAGUCAUUCAUUGCUAUAGAUAUAUUGGGCUCCUGUAAACCUAGCGAGUCUUUUAGCUUUGGUUAUUUUACAGGUGUAAAUGGAUGCUCUCUGAAGAUGGCUGAAAAUCUUGAUGUUGUGAGGGGCAUACCUGUUGAAAGAAUGAUGAUUGAGACUGAUUCUCCAUAUUGUGAAAUCAAGAGUACUCAUGCUGGGAUUAAUUUUGUGAAAUCCUUAUGGCCUUCUAAGAAGAAAGAGAAGUAUGACAAAGAGUGUCUUGUUAAAGGGCGUAAUGAACCUUGUUUAGUGCUGUGAGUGAAACUGCUUUUUCCAGUGUAGCAGAAUAACUAAUAAUUUUUUUCUUAACUUAAAAAUUUUUACUGAAAAUAUAUUAUUCAGGAAACUUUUUUGAAAAUAUAUAUAUGUGUACUUUUGCAUGAGUUAUAUAUAUAUGUAUAUACAUUUUUCAAAUAUUUAACACAAUGUUUUUGCAGUGUUAAAGCAACAAUUGAGAGGUACAAAAAGGCUUCUGAUUCCUCCAAUACUGGGUCAGUUGCUGAAGUUAAUGCUCAGGUAUUAACUCACUUAAUCUUCAUUGUUUUCUUUUAGCGAGUCCCUUUAAUUUCAAUUUGCAUUCAAAUAAGUCCUUAAUUUUAACAUUUCUCUAGAGAAGCUGUGAACCUUUAAUAUAAAUAGUUCUUUGCUUGACUAGCUUUUUACUACCUGGUUUUGUUAACUCCUUGGUUUACUUAAUAAAAUUUCUUUGGUAAUGCCAUGCGGAUGUAAAUCUCAGUUCUAUCAGCAAGAAGCUGAGAAACUCCGAAAUCAAAUCCGGAAUUUGCAGAAUACAAACAGGUUACUUCCUCAUGGCUUUAAUUCAUUUUCAUCAUAUAUAAUUUUAUUUCAAAACCCUUGUUGUUUGACAGAGCUAUAUGCAUAUAUGUAUAUGUUUGCAGGCACAUGCUGGGGGAGUCCGUAGGGGGAUUGCCUAUGAAAGAGCUUAAGAGCUUGGAGAGUCGUUUAGAAAAAGGAAUUAGCAGAAUCCGUUCCAAAAAGGUAUCUCAUAAUAAUUUAUGUAAUUAAAAAGAGUCCCUUUAAGAUGAUUAAUAAUUAUUAUUAUUAUUGCUACUGACAAAUUUUCCUUCUCCUUUAAUUUAUUCCCCUCUAAACUCUACCAGAAUGAGCUGUUGUUUGCUGAAAUAGAGUAUAUGCAGAAAAAGGUAAGUAUCUUUUUCCGUUCUUGUUGCUCUUCACAUCGCUAUUUAAUCCAAAACUGAUAUUUUGUGUUUUCACAAUUCCUAGCUGCUGCUAGUUUUCACUCUCACGCCUAAUAUUUCUUAUGCUUCUCAACACUCAAUAUCUAUUUCUCACUUAUACUUCUUUUUUCUUUGCUCACUUAUACACACUACACAUCUAAACGUGUAUGUAUAUAGGCUAUAUAAAACGACUUAGAGGCUUAACCUUGCUGCCAUACUUUCAGCAAGCUACCACCUUGCUUAGGUUCUUGCCACAUUGUUUCUAUCCAUGCAUUGUCAAUUUAAAACCAUUUAUAACUUUCCACCUAGCAAGCCAACUUAUCAACUUAUCUCUAUGAUUAGCCGACCUUGAAGUGGAUUUGACUUUUAACACUUCCCCUCAAAUCCAGCUUUUUCAUUAUAUGUUUUUCUUUUAAGUUUGUGGAAUAUGUUUGUCUUCAGUGAAUUUGUAAAAAUAUCUGUUAAUUAAUCUUUCAUCUUGCACUUGACUAGCUGAACGUUUUUAUUCUUCACCUUUUCCCAAAUAAAAUGUUAUUUUAUAUUAAUAUGCUUGUUUCGGCUGUAAAACACUAGAUUCUUUGUAAGAGAUAAUGUAGAUUUGUUGUCAACAUAAAUUGUAAUUGAAUCUUUUUGUGUAAGAGAUAAUUCAUUCAAAAUAUUCUUUAACCAAAUUGUUUGACAAGCACCUAUAUAUUCUACUUUAAAUGUUGAGAGUGCUAUUGUUUGUUUUUCCUUUGAUGACCUUGAAAAUGUUGCAAAGCCAAUAUGGAAUAAAUAUCUAAAAGUGCUUUUGCGAUCAUCCAAGUCUACCAUAAUCACUAUCUGAGUAAAUUACUUUGAUAUCAAAGUAAUUUACAAUAAAUUGGUUAUAUUAUCAUGAUUUUAACAUUCUUGUUUUAAUCAUACAGUUUAUAUUAAUUUUAGGUAUUAUUUUGAUUAACUUUAGUUUGUUUUAUGAUUUUUAAAUAUUAUUUGAUAAAAUUCUAAAAUAUUUUUCAUAAAUAUUUCCAAAAAAAAAAAGAAAAGUUUUUCAAUUAAACCCUCUUUUGUAUCUAAGAAAGCUGCAACAACAACUAAUUAAUAUUUAUUUUCUUUUAAUGCUGCUUGUUCCUGAAUUUUCCAGGAAAAAGGAAGAAAAAUCAUUAAACUGUUGUAUUUUUUAAAAAAUAUCUGACUUGCUGACUGCAGCAGUAAUAUAAUUAUUGCUAACACAAUCUCAGAAAAUUUUUCCUUAUUAAGAGGUAGAGUUAAUCCAUAAAUUAAAUUCGAAAUUGAAGUUAACUAAAAAUUAUAUGCUAUUAAGAGGUAGAGUUAAUCCACAUAAGUCAUAUGCGGUUGGGCACUUGGCAACAACUUCUGUUUGUGCUAUUAUACUGAUAUUAAAUUUUCAGCUGCAUCUUUGUCGUUGUUCCCGUGCAGUUAAAUGGUAUUUAUUGCAUAUUAGUAUAUGUACGUAAGCAGCAAAUAUACCUUAAAAUCAUCUUGAGCUCAUUUCGGUUAUUUUGGAAUUUGAUUUCAGGUUAAAAUAGUGAAAUGCACUGUGAAUGACAUACCGGUGGACAUCUCUUUCAAUCAAACGGCUGGUCUAUCUGCACUUUGCUUUCUGGAGAAGGUAUCAUCUAAUCAUAUCCAACAUUGAUAUGUUUAGAAUCCGUUUCCAUUCCAAACAUUGUGGAUGUGGUAAUCAUAAUUCAUAUAAUUCACUUGAUGCAAAAGAUGAUUCAAAAGUAUAAUUCUAAAUGGUACAUUGUUUCAUUUUCUGGCAUUAAAUUCUAAAUGGGCAUAUAAUUCACUUGAUGCAAAAGAUGAUUCAAAAGUAUAAUUCUAAGGAGCUUAAAUACUGUAAAUUCUGCAUGUAAUGAGGUAUAUCAUUAAUGUUGUUGAUGCAUGUAAAUACUGUAAAUUCUGCAUGUAAAUGGGCAUAUAAUUCACUUGAUGCAAAAGAUGAUUCAAAAGUAUAAUUCUAAAUGGUACUUUUGUCGAAACAAAUUCUAAUUCUUGCAUAUAUGAUUAAUAACAUGAUUAAUAACAUGAUUAAUGGUUCUUCAAAUUUUCCAAAUGUGUCUUCAAAGUGCUCGAAAAUGUCAUAUUAAUGUUGUCCAUAUAUGAUUUGAAUGCUGGAAAUUUACAGCAUUUAAUUCCCUGCUUGAAGUUGAUUAAACCAUGCUGUAAAUGCAAACAUUUAUAUGCUGUUCACAUGCUAAAUUAACCAUUAGUGAGCUUAAAAUUGAUCUAUUUGAAUGUGUUAAAUUCAUUGUUCAAUGCGAUGUUAUUUCUGCUAAUGUAUUGAGUAUAUUAAGUUGUGCAAUUUGAUGUUAUAUGUGGCGUUAAUAUUGACUUGUUAAUUGCAUAUUUUAUUAUUAAUUUGAUGUUAUAUGUGUCAUUCAUUAACUUUUUUUUCUUUUUUCUCAGGUUUGAGUUUUUGGUGGAUGCAUAGUUCAGGAUUAGCUGAAUUCAUGCAUAGUGACUUGUUUAAGCUAACUGAUUAUCUUAAAGUGUGCAUUCUAUCAUUAUUUUGUUCUAUUUGUAUUUUGUUAUAUUUCUGGUGUAGUAUGAUAAGUGCGGUAUUUUGUUUGGCGGGAUAUAUUUAUAUCAUAGAUUAUUAUUCUUUUCAAUAUUUUGAUAAUGAAUUUUAAUUUUUUUUUUAUAUUUUUCAGGACUUUUACAAUAUUUUAUAAUAUUUUAUUUUUUUUUAAUUUUUAUGACCUUUAGCGGCGUUUGCUGGAAAAGCGCCGCUAAUGGUCCUGACCUUUAGCGGCGUUUUUUCAAAUAAACGCCGCAAAAUUUAGCGGCGUCAUCUAUAGCGGUGUUUUUUGCGGCGCUUACAAAAACGUCGCGAAUAGUUUUAGUGGCGCUUAAAAGUGCCGCUAAAGGCCUAAAAAAAUGCCGCUAAAAGUUAAUUUUGCUGUAGUGAUGCCAUGAAAAGCUUACCUCCACGAUUAACCCUUAGUAAACCCAUUUGAGCCUAACAAGCCAUUUCUUGUAUUAACCUCAAUAUUAACCUUUAACCCAUUAUUGUUGAAAUCUCCUAAAUUAAUCCCUAUUUUUUUCGAGAUUUAAGUUAAAUGGAUUGCUUAGCUAUGUUUUGUUCUUAAUAUUUAGUCUAUAUUAUUUUAACUUGUUCUUAAAAAAAGAAAAAAACAACAUGUAUACACAUUAGUAGUUAUCUUUUGUUUGUAAGCUUCAAAAGUUAAAUUCCAUAGUCUGAGAAGAAGCUCUGUUGUACGUAAGUAAUGAUUAACUCUUUUUCUAGUUAGGUAAUUUUUCAAUUCAAUAUCGAUUCUAACCCUUUCUUUCAGCUUGUGACCACACCCCCUAACCAAGUCUUAUUACAACCCUCUAAAGACCUUUUGAUUGAUGUAUCAUCCUAAAUUAUAGUGGUGGAGAUUUGAUUUUCAUGCAAGCGUAUGGUAAUGACUUUUCAUUAUUGAAUGUUGAGUGCUUCAUUUAUUGUCCUUAAAAACCUCGAGUGAUUUGAGUGAAUCUUUAGUGAGGAUGUAAAACUCUGUGAUAUUAUGAAUCAAAGGUAAUUACUUAGAUGAGGGGAGACACCUAUGUUUGCAUGAAUAAAAUGCACAACUUAGAAUGUUUGGAACUUUUAUGUUCUUUUAGUUGAAUUCUCAAUGUAUGAUUACUUAUGGAUUAAUGUGAGAUAUUAUUGAUAGAAAUUAUAAGUUGAGAAGAAUUUAUUUUGAUUAUGAGUUGAGAAUUUUGCUUGAGGACAAGCAAAUGCUUGAGUGUAGAGGUAUUUGAUAAACCGUAAGUUAUACAUAUUUUUACCCCAUGUUUAAUGCAUUUUAAGAUGAUUUCUCAUUAGAAUUGGUGAACUCGAUGCUCCUACUGCUUUAAUUUCAUGUUUUAUACUGAGGAGAGCAUAGGAAAGAAAAAGGAACGAGAAACGGGCUAAAAAUGGAGAAAAUGGGUCAAAGUACGAAAUCAACACGGCCUGGACCUCUUCACACGGGCAGACCACACAGUUGUGUCAAUUUGGCAGGCUCGAGCAUGGUCUGAAGUAAUCGAACACGGGCGUGUGCCACGGGCGUGUCCCUGCCGAGCCCAAGUUGAGUCCAAUUUGGAAAAGGCUAAUUUUGAGGGCUUCUAGGCAUUCCAAAGCCUAUAAAUACACCCUAGAGGAGGAAGAAAAGGGAGACGAAGAAGGAGGAGUAGGGAAUUACGCCAAGGAAUCCGAUUGAUCCAUCUCAAAAGCUAGAUUCAUCAUCAAGACUGAAGAUCUCUCCUCAAUUUCCUUUCAGGAGUUUUGGGUUUUCUUUAUGUUUUGUAUUCUUUAUUCUUCUGAGAUGUUUUCUUAUUUAGUUAUGAACUAAAACCCCUAAAUACCUAAGGGGAAUGAAACCUAAGACGAAUCUUGUUAUUAUUUUCUGAAUCGUAUGAUAAAUAUUUAACUUAUUCUUAAUUAUGUGUUCUUAAUUCUUGUUUUGAUAUCCCAGGAUACUGAUUUAAGACAUGCUCUUAUUCAGAGGAGGAAUAGACCCUGUCUAAGAGUACAUUUGUCAUAAUUAAGCAGAAUUGAUUGCGCGCCUAGACAUAAGGUGACAAGAUUUUGUCGGAUUAGGGUGAAACCUAAUAAGGGGAUUUAUAGAUCAAGUUAAUGUAACCCUAUAGUGUUAAUUAGAGACAAGUCUCGGUUAUUCAAUCUAGGGAUUAGACGUUAUUAGUCUUGAAUAGGGAUAAUAACAUAACUUAGGGAUCUCUACGGAACAAGUUGAAUGAAUAAAUCGUCCGAUUCGGAGCCAGAAUAACAAGUAAAGUUUAGGUGGAUUUUUCCUUAGGUAUUGUCUUAAGUCAAUCAAUUUUUCCCAAAAGCAAUUCCCUAAUUCUUUUCUCUGUGUAUUCUUAGUUUAGAUAAUUAGUUAAUUAAAACAAAACCUCUUUAUUCUUAGGCUAGAUAAUAAAAAGACAGUCAUUACUAGUACUUUUAGUUCCUUUGGGUUCGACAAUCCGGUCUUGCUAAAACUAUGCUAUUGUUCGAUAGGUACACUUGCCUACCUCGCAAUAAUAGUUAGUUUAAGAACGAGUAAUUAUAAAUAUUUAAAACCUAUGACGAAAUAACGCGAUCAAUUAUCAAAGAAGGAGCGAAUUGAUUCAUGCGAAGGCAAUAAUGAUGGAGCAAAAGAUGAGUCCAGAACGGAAGGAUCUGCAAAUAAAUAAAAGGGAGGGAUCUUGACUUUACUUUAUUUUUGUUCUUAGACUAUUUUUAAGAUUAAGUUUAAUUAGGAAUUUUUUAUUUUUACAUAAUAAAACAAGAGAGGAAAAUCACUAAUGUGAGCAAGUCACAAAGUAUAAAGUGUGGUAAUAAAUAUAUACAUGUCUAGGAUUGGAUUUAGAAAGAGAUUGGUACUUAAGCAGUCAAAAUGACUCAUCUCCUCUUUUCUAAAAUCCUACCUAAUGUAUAGUAUCUAUUCACUUUAAGCAAUGAGGACAUCGUUCAUUUUAAGUUGGGGCAACCGAAAAAUUGAAUUAUUUCCACUCAGAAUAAAAUUUUCUUUUAAUUAGGGUUAGGAUAUUUUUUGUUCAAAAAUUUGAAUUUUGUUAAGUGUGCUCAAUUUGAGUAUGAAUACAGUUAUAUUAUUUCAAUAAAUUAUUAUGUUAGCUUAAUAAUGACUUGAAUAUAUUUUUAAUAAAGCAUGCAAAUUUGUACCAUAAAAUUUUUAGUUCUUUAGAAAAGUAAGGUAUGCAUGAAAGUUUAAGUCUUUAGAAUUGAUUUAGAAGUUUCUUCAGGCGAAAUCCUAGGGAGCAUGUAAAGUUGGAAAUGAUUUAGGCAACUAUUGUUUGGACCGUUUGAGCCUUUCAAGCCCUCCAUGGUAAAAUUUUAUCCUUUGAAACACAACUUUGAGACUAUAUGACCUAAUUUUAUUUUGACCCUUGCAAUGAUUAGCCAUUACUUUUCGCUUAAUGAUCUUAAAAUUGUCCCAAACACUAGACUCAGUAAUAUUCAAAAUGUACUUCGAAAAUAAGUUUGGGGGAUUGGAAAAGAAGUAUCAAUUGCUCGAGAAUUGCAGUACACAAAGUAAGUGCUCGUGUUAGCUAAAAAAAAAGAAGAAGAAGAAGAAAAAAAGAGAGGGCACAUGUAUUUGAAUGAGAUGUAUAAAAGAGCAUAUGAAAGUCAAGUUGAUGUAUCGAAGGUAAAAAUUUUGAAGGUUCGAAUGACGCUAAGUCUAGGGUUUUUAAACCAAAAUUUAUCUUUCACCUACCCCUAGCCUAGCCACGUUACAACCUUGAUAAAGACCUAUUGAUUCAAAUUCCUAAUGCUACGUAAAUUAGUGGAGAGAAAUUGCUACGAUCAACAUAUGAAGACAUAAGUUAAGCUUAAUGAUUGUAGCUUAGUCUUGAAUAAAGGAAUAAAAAUCAAAUUGGUAAGGGUUAACAUGCCUUUUUUACAAAAGCAUUUAGUCUAAAUUUUGCUAUUAUAAUAAGUUGUUGAAUUUAAUUUGAACAAUAUGUAUAUUUAAGUAGCAUAACUAUCAAAUUUUUUUGUCUUUGAGCAUAAGUAUUUUAAAUUCAUAAUUUUGGGAAAAAUGUUGUUCUGAAGGAAUUUUUCAAGGAUGUCUUCGAGAAAUUCUUUUCAAAAUUUGUGCAUUACUUGGGACGAGCAAUGAAUUAAGUUUAGGGGCGUGGAAAUACAAAAAUUUAUAUAGUUUUUCUUACCCAAUCUUACUUAAAUUCAUGCAAAUUCGGUUAAAUUCUUGUUGAAAAAUAAUUAAAUAUUAUAAAAUAAUUAAAUUGUGUUAAAAAUAUGAACAUGGUGAAUUUAGUUAAUUUUAUACUUAAUUUUGAUUAAUUUUGACUAUUUUCGACCGAUUCGCGCAAAGGGCGAAAAUUGGCUCGACUGACACUACUGAAAGCACAAAACCGAGAAGCAAUUUGAAGUAUCGAGGCACAUGAAUUUCCAGCCUAAGACGGUCUAGAAAAUGUGUAUUAAUUCAUAAUUUAAUUAAUUUUAAUUUAUUCCCCAUUUAAUUUGGGUUAAAUAAAUUAUUUUUAAUUAAUUAUGGAGAAAGGGUCUAGUUGAAUUGCAUUUAAAAAUUUUAAGUAAUAGAUUCACUGGUCGAACCAUAUUGAAUGAAUCGAACCAGCCACUAAUUGGGCAGCCCAGAACCGUCCAUAUGCUGACCCAAAUCAGCAUUUUUAGCUGAUUAAAUAUUCUUGCAAAAAGGGCCUCGAAAGACUUCUAAUUUGCAUUCAAACCCCACCUUUAAUUGUGGCUUUGUAGAUUUGCACCAAGCCAUUUUUAGCAAAGUUGAAAGUCUCAACUCUUGCCAAGUAGAUGGCCAGCCAUAGGGGGGCUCUUUCGCUGUUGGAAUUUGCUAUUUUUAGCGCAAAAAUUAGCUAUAAAAGCCACCCUUUUCUGAUCAUUCAAACCAUCCCUCAUUCCACAACAUUCUCUCAUUCUCUCUUCUUCUCUCUCAUUUUUCUCUCACUUUUUCCAUCCCAUUUCCCUUAUUUUUCAGGUGCCAAUUUCUUCUCUUGGGAAAGAGUCUCUCAUCAGACAUUUUGGAGUAGCAAUUAGGUGUUCAUAAGCCACCUUGAUAGCCGAGGGCAACAAAGAACGAAGAACGGAGCAACUAGUCAAGCCACGGAGAAACACUGGAUUUGCUUCUUGUUCCCUAUCUCUUUAAUUUUUGUUGUUGUUUUGACGAACAUGGUUAUGAAUAUUUAUGCUAUUGAAAUGGUUAUUUUAAUCAAUUUAGCUUAAAAUUAAGUUUGUGUUGGGUUGAUUAUAUUCUGCCUACUUGAAUUGUUAAAAUGAUGUUUAUGCUGUUAUAGGCCUCAGUAAAUUGCUUGGUUAAGUAAAAUCAUGCCUAAGUUAUUUUUGCAAUAUAAUUGUUAAAUAACUAAUGAAUAAUUAUUUAAACGGAUUGAAAUUAUAAUUAAUUGACACAAUACUUAAUCAAUGCAUGUUUAUUCUUCUAAGGUAGCUGGAGGUUAAAUUAGCAAUGUAUCUACCGAUAUUAUUGCCUUGCAUAACUUGCAAGAUUAUUGUGAUUAAACUGUUUCAAGUAGGGAUGCCUUGUUACCUCACAUAGUCUUUUAUAUGCUUAUUAGAUUUAAUUAAUCGUUUGAAUUGACAUAGGGAUAUGCAAGAGAUUAGUUCAAUUUAAUGAGUAUGUAUGUGCAAUAACAUGUUUGAUUAUUAGAAUCUAUUUAGUUGAUUGAAUUGACAUUGGGAUAUGUCAAGAGAUGGAUGGAUUUUUGUAUGUGAGUAUGUUCAGAAGUUAGCCAAUUACCGAGUUGCUGUGAAUUUAUUCAUAAUAAUGUAAACAUGAGUUUAUUUAUUCUAAGUUAAAGGAAUAUAAUUAAUCCAACAUAAGUAUGUUACCUUGAUUAAAUUUUAUUUGAAAUCGUGCAUUAGAACUCCUUUGUUUUAUUUUAAUUAUUUACUUAGUUUUUUAAAUAGUUUUUGACCAUCUUUUAAAACCAAAAUAUUUUUACCUCACCAAAGUGUUUUACAAUUAAUUUCAUAAAUAAUUCUUUUUACAGUCCCUGUGGGUACGAUAACUCGACAUUACUUGUCACUUUAUUACUUGUUGCGAUUGUGUACACUUGCACAUUUUUCCAUCGUUCCACCUAUCCAUGAACACCUUAACCCUGAACUGGUCUAGAUAGUGAGGUUGAGAGAUAACUAGUUCUUUCUGACUCGUUAUUUUAGUGUAAGAUCCGAAGAUCUUGCUGGGAUAUCGACUAGUCGAUUGAACAAGAAAACCUGAAGCAACAAUUGGUUAUGAUUACUGAUGCAAGCUAAUCACCCAUGCCCAGAUUUGAUAUAUUUUAUUAUUUGAUUUCUUGUGCUUAUUUAUUACUUUUAUUAUUAUUAUUAUUAGUAUAGAUAAUCAAAAUCUUUCUUUUUAUUCAUUAUAAUAUAAUCUAUUUAAUGUACUAAUUAGAUCUAGUUAUGUUUGGGUUAGAAUUAAUUUAGUGCUUGUCUUCCUUGGUUACGAUCCUCAGAGUACUCAUCUACUCCAUUGUAACUAUAUUACAACUUGACCUGCGUUCUUGCUGAUAUCGCCUUUUUCAUAUUUUUUGUGCAGGAUUUCUACUCUGGACGUGGGUACAUGAUCUGCUAUAAUUUGGUGUAGCAAAUUAAACUAGUUUUCGCAUUUGAGGAGCUUGAAUACAAGAACAUUUGUUAUGUGUUAAUCAAGUUUUCAUAAUUUCAUUUACAUUCAAUAAAAAAUUUAAUUCGUGUCUUUUAUUUACCUUAGGGGUUGAAUAGGGCCUAAGGGUGAGCUAAUAUAUUUUGUGAGUGUGCAUGAGACCAUUAGAAGACAUGCUAACUCGACAUUAGUCACUGUGUUGCAACACAGAGAGUUUGAUGUCCCAACAUAGGGAGCAGAAUAGAAGAAUUCCAAGACUGCCUUCAGUGUCGCGACACGAUCUGAGGAUGUCGCGACACAACCCUGAAGAUACCUUGAAUGUAAGCAUACUGCCCUUGAUGUCGCGACAUAGGCACUAGGGUGUUUUGGUCUUGUACAGGAAGCACUUACGAGCUAAGGCAUUUUGGUCUGCACAAUCAAGUGUUUAACAUGGGAACAUCAGCUGAACUAGGGUUAAGGACGACGACAACCCUAAAUCUAUAAAUAGUCCCAUUUAACACUUGUUAUAGAGAGCCUUUCAUAUUAUUAGUUUCUUUUGUACAAUUUAGUUUUCAGUUUAUUUUUCUUUCUUUUAGGGUUUAGACUUAUUUUCAGUUCUUUUCAUUCGUGUUCAUUGGAGAACUUGAUUUGUAGACGCAAGAAAACGGUUGAGGAUUUCAGCACUUCAUAUAUCAAAUACAAACAAGAUUCUCUAAACUCUACUCUUGUUUUAUUCUUUAUGUAUAUAUCCAAUAUGAAGUUUAUGGUAUUUAUUGAUUCCAUGACGAACUAAUCCUUCUAUAGGGGAUUAAUGAGUGGAGGUCUGAUAUAUUAACUAUUUUAUAAGGUUACUCAAUGGAUCAACUAUUUGGGAAAGGAAUAACCAAGACCCUAGGCUUGACAACCCUAAGAAGUCAUCUAGGUGGGAAUUAACCCAAAAUUGGUAUGGCCUAUCCGUGAACACCUUCACCCUAAGCCGGUCUGGACUGUGAGGUCAAAAAAUAAGUAGUUCUUAUCGACUCAUUAUUUUAGUAGAAGAUAAGAAGAUCCUACUGAAAUAGAGACUAUUUGAUUUAUGAUGAACCUGAAGUGACAAUUGAUGGGGAUCGCCGAAACGAGUUAAUAACCCAUACUCAGAUUUGAUUAAUUCUAGUUUUCAAUCUCUUGUUUAUUAUUAUUAUUAUUAUUUUACUAUUAUAAAAAUCCCAAAAAACCCUUUUAUUUAUGUUACCGUACUAUAACUAAUUUAAAGUACUAAUUAGAUCUAUUAACGUGUAGGUUAUAAUUAAUUUAGUACUAGCCUCCAUUGGGUACGAUCCUUGGAAUGCUUACUAAGUGUUUCAUUGUAAACAAACUAUAUUACAACCCGACCCGUAUACUUGCGGAAACUACCUCAAAUUCCAUAUAUUUUGUAAUAGUAUUCACACUUCGAACUUUAAUAUGUCUGGAGACAGUCAAGUUGUUGGCACUGAUUCUAGGGAGGCAAUGUCAUUCAUUUAAUUUAAUUUUUUUUUGCAUAUUAAUAGAAUAAUUAGGAAUUUUUUAGAUUAUAGCUAUGGUUUUAUUUUCUUAUUUUUUGCUAAUCUUUUAUCUUUUGGUUUAGUGUAUGACUCGUAGUAGGGGAACACCUAUAGAGCCAAUCAUAGAUUUAGAAUGAAUAAUCUUUAGAAAUUGUCAACAGCAAUAGCAGUAGUAGCCACAGCCAAUGCAAAAUCAACUACCUAUUGAAGGUAAUUUACCAUCAUUUGAGAAUCCACAGUUCGACGAAGCUAACAAUAACAAUCUAAACUGCCCAUCACCACCACCACAAUUACCUGUAAAUAAUCUCAAGGUGUAAUGAAAGGACUUUGAAGGAGUAUGUGCCACUGAAUCUGGAUAUGGUUCAAGGGAGUAUAACGAGGCCAACCAUCACGACCAAUAAUUUUAAGAUCAAGCCAGCUAUGAUCUAGAUGAUUCAAAAUAAUUUGCGGUUUUGAGGAACGAUGACAGAAGAUCCGAGUCAAGGUCUAAAAUAGUUCAUCCAGCUUUGUGAUACCUUCAAAUACAGUGGGGUCAUUGGUGACGCUAUUCUUCUUCGGUUGUUUCCCUUUUCAUUAAUUGAUAAUGUCUUUCCUUGAUUAGAUUCGUAGGCACCAUGAUUAGUCACGACAUGGGGCGAACUCGAAAGGGAAAUUCCUACAAAAGUUCUUCCUCAUUAGUAAGACGGUCCAACUAAGAACGGAAAUUUCUAUGUUUAAACAAUUAGAAGGAGAAAUUUUUCACGAAGCAUGGUAGUAUUUUAAAAAGUUGAUUCAGAAAUGCCUACACCACAGAUUGCCUGAGUGGUUACAACUACAAAUUUUCAACAAUGGAUUGGAUGUGCACUCAAGGUUAGGAUUGGACGGAGCAGCAAGAGGUGUUUUAAUGAACCGAAUGUACGAGGGUACGUACAAAUUAAUAGAAAAUAUGGCAAUGAACUCCUACCAGUGGCCAACUGAACGACACACAUAUGGCCAAAGACCAUCUACGGUAAAGGCUGUCCAGAAGGAUGAAAAAUAUCAAUAGUUAAUAGAUAGAAUCAACUAAAUAGAAUCUAAAAAGAAUGCACCACCUAUAUAUAGAGGAGACAAAUUGCUCUUCCACUAUAUUAACAAUCCCACUGAGGAUAUGAAUUACAUCGAUAAUAGGGGUAAAAAUCUUUAUUCAAAUACUUACAAUCUUGGAUGGAGAGAUCAUCUAAACCUAAGAUGGGGAGGAAAUCAAGGAGGAGAUAAUACUUUAAAUUAGGUUAAAAAUACUAACUAUCAACCUUGGAAAAGGGCCAACCCAAAUGAUCAUACUGUAUGUGGUUAAUGUUUGGAUCAAAUUGAAGGGGAAAUGUAAUCAAUGAGGACAGAAGUAAAGUAGGUGCAGUCUGAAUGCACCAAUUUAGCAAAAACAUUGACUAAGUUUGAAAAUCAGAUAAGCCAAUUGAAGAGCAUGAUGGGUGAUAUAAAAAGACAAAUUGGCACAGGUAUCCCUAGUAACAUCGAAGAUAAUCCUUGGAGAGAAAAGAAGGAGCAUGUGAAAGAAAUCGUGCUUCGAUCAGGUAAAGUACUGAAUAACCCAAAGAACCUUACUUAGGAGGAACCUAAGGGGAGUACAAGUGAUAUUAAUAAAGGAACCUUAGAGGCUGGUGACGAACCAAAACUAGAAAAAGUAGUUGCACUGGUAGUUGAAUUGGAGAAAGAGACAAUUAAAGACCCUGCCAUUGUAAAGAUAUUGUUCCUUUCAAGGUUGGAAGCUGAUGAUCAACCGAAACUAGAGGAAGUAGUUGCACCGGUAGUUGAAUUAGAGAAAGAGACAAUCAAAGAUGUUGUCAUUAUAAAGAUAUUAUUUCGUUUAAGGUUAGAAGAGAUAAAAACGGGAUGAAGACGAGUUUGUAAGGUUUUUAAACUUGUUCAAAACAUUCAAUGUGAACCUACCUUUAAUUAAACUAAUUGAGAAAGUUCCUGAGUAUGCGUAGGAGAACAAAUUAACAUGAGUGCUUCCUGUAGUGCUAUUAUUUCUAGACAGUUCCCCAAAAGAUGAAAGACCUGGGAAGCUUUACAAUUCCCAUAGAGAUAGGGAGCAUUCAAUUCAAUAGAGCCCUAUGAGACUUAGGAUUUAGAAUCAAUUUAAUGCCUCUAUCAAUAUGUGAGAACUUGGGUUAGGGGACCUCAAGAAUGCACAAAUUCCACUACAAUUGGCUAACAAAUAUUCAAUACAUCUGAAAGGAAUACUAGAAGAUGUGUUAGUCAAAGUGCGCAACUUUAUCGUUUCGAUAGACUUUGUAGUUUUAGACUUUGAAGAGGACCGUGAGACACCCAUUUUAUUAGGCAGGCAUUUUUUAGCUACAUCAAGCUCCACCAUUAAUCUGGAGAGAAAUCAAUUAACUAUGAAGAGUAAUGACAAAACAAAAUUUUUUAAAUGUGGUCACCAACAAAGUGAGAAAAUAAAAGGGACUAGGGGAGAAUUGUAAUGAAUUAUCUGCUUUUAACCCUAAUAAUCACGAAUCAAAGGACGUACUUCCUACAAUCAAUGCAGGUCAAAAGAAUAGGUUCUGAGAAAGAGAUAAAUGAAAGAAGGUGGAGUGACACGACGGGUGGUGGACUAACACUGAAAGAACCAAAAAAAGUCCUUAUAUGCAUUAAUGAUGCUAUUGGAUGAAUUUAAUAGUAAAACUUGAUAAUUUAAAUUGAUAUUUAAUUAUUUGUAAAUUAUUUUAUAUUUAAUUAACUGUUUAGUCUAGAUUUUAGUUUUUAUGAAAUUUAUGUUUUAUAGGAACUGUUACACUUUAGAAAUUGGAAGUUUAGGCAAAAAUAAGCCCAAUGUCGCAACACUGCAAUCCUGUGUCGCAACACCAAGGCUAAAAUCGUUGGAAUUAAGAAAACCAAUUCGAUGCUGUGACAUAAACUCUAUGUGUUGGGACACCAAAUAUAGUUUACCCAAAGUUCCAAAUUGUGUCACGACAUCGAACCUUGAUGUUGCGACAAUGGCUAACUGUUGGGGAUGUUUUGCAAGGUUGGCCCGACCCAACUGUACACACUAGCCAAAAACACCUUAUUAAUCCAAUUUUAACCCUAAAAAAACCUUAUUUAAAACCCAAAAACAUAUUAAACCACCACCUAAACCAAUAUUAACACUUUAAACACCUUAAAACCUCUUAAUUUUCAUAAACCCUAAAACUCCUUUCUUACUUUUUCUUACUAGUUUACUAUAAAAUUUCUUCUAUUCAUCUCUAUUUGAUAUAGAAAUAAAUGGGAAGAACUAAAAGGAGCGACCACAAAUGAAUAUUACAAGGAAUCCAACGCAUUAUUUUCCAAGAUUAAGGGCUUCUAACUCCUAUUUUUAUUGUUUCAUUGGAAAAUUUUCCUGUUAGUUCAUUAAUUAUUGAACUUGAACAAUAUUAAAAAUGCCUAAAAGUGAGAAGAACCAAUGAACCGAAACCAUCGACGGUUCUAAAACCCUCUAAUUUACUGAAUCUAAAUUUUGAAAAAUCUUUUUAGAACUUUAGGGAAAAAUAUUUAUCCAAGAAAGGGGAUUUGAACCAUUGAUGGUUCUCUGCCAGGAGAUAAGACCUUUAGUUAGAUAUCAAAGAUGGGAACAUUUUUGAACAAUCCCAAAGGACUUUGUCAUGGUCCCUGUAGUUCUAGAAUUUUAUGCAUCUUUACGGAACCAAGAGUCUAGGAAAGCUGGAGGUCAUACAUGGGAAACGAUACCUGUGCGGGGGAAAGAUGUAUGAAUUACCCCUCGGGUUAUUUGUGAAAUUUAUAAUGCUUCAUUUUAUGUAAAAUAUUUUACAGAAGAAAUUUAUUUUAAAUAUUUUCGAGAUAUAAGCAACAUUAUAAACUUCAUAACAGAAGGGAGGGGUAAAAGUAAUUGUCACCCAGAUACUGAUAUUCCAACCUCCUUUAAUCAAGUAAUAGUGUUUCCUAAAGAAAAAAUAUAGAUUCAAUUUCUGUGCACUAGAAUAGCUUCAGCUUUGAAUGUUUCUAAUGUCAAUACUUUUCGAUCGAUUUUGCAUUAUGCUAUUUUACAAAAAAAAAGGUACACAUCAGAACAUGGAUAUACCAAAAUAUAAAGUAAUGCGUUAGUAACUGGAGAGUCGGAGUCUUCUUUCUUCACUUAGUGAUGGCCUUAGGCAAAAGAGAAGGUGUGCCGAUGAAAUCAAUGCAACAAUCAAUGAAGCCAUCCCAAAGUAUAAUUGGUGACACAUUGUAUACAUAGUACAUUGAACUUCAGGCUAAACAGAUUAAUGAAUGGAAUAAACACCAGCAAAAGAUGAUGGUCUCUCCAAAUUCAUCUCAAAGGAAUGCAAAAUUGACCACUCAACAAGAAAUUGGCAAGAGUGAUCAUCCUAAGCUAGAUUGGAUGAUACACUGGAUGCAGGAGUUGGGCCUGAUUUUUUAGGAAUUCGUGCAGCAAAACAAUAUUAGGGUACCUAAUUAUACGUCGAAUAUGUUUGGGUUGACACGUCCAGUACAGGAAAAGGAAAAGUAGAAGCGUGAAAAGAAAGAAGGAACUGAGGAGGGGGAAGAAGAUGAUGAGACAAUCUUUGAGGAGGAUGAUUGAACUUAUAAUUUUUGUUUUUAAAGAUUGUAUCAAUUUUGGGGAUCAUUUUUUAAAUUUAAAUUGUUAGGAGUAGGAGUAAUAAUAGACUAGUGGUUGUUUUGUGUUUAAAUUUUCUCUGCAAGAACCCCACAUGGUAGAAGCGAAACGAUUUUGAGCUAUCAAUGAUCAAAGGAGGAGGUUGUAACGAAUUGUAAUGUGUUUAUGCAAGUGCACGUAGUUGUGCAAGUAAUAGGUAAGUAAAAAAAUGAGUUAUUAUCUCCACGGGGGCUGUUUAAGCUUAAACAACUAAUUACAGAAUUAUAAUUAACAAUUUGAUGUAAAGAAACUCAGUAAAUUUGGAUAGUGAUGAUUAGAUAAAUUAAAUGUAAGAGUGAUCCUUAAAGCAAAACUAAUCUAGAUGUAAUUUACCUAAAUGUAUGAAAUGAGAACUUUAGCAACAAAAACAAUCAACAUUAAAUAGGCUAGGAUAAUUAUAUUAAUCAAAUCAACUUACUUUUUGGAAUUAUUUUCAUGAAAACUCGAUCUCUUAUAGGUUUGGAAACCAAAUUAAGUCCUCUCAGAUCUUUUACUUAGUUAAAUAUGCAUGUUACCGAUCAUAUUAGACUAAGGAUUUCUUGGCAUUUAUGCAAGGUCACAGGGACAUUUAGGUUUGCAACAGUUUAAUUACAUAAAUCUAAAAACCAUGCAAGAUAAUAGAGCUAACUAAAUUAAAUAUUUCACUUUAUCAAUUAUAUGUCUACUAGCCGUCAUCUGGUUAUGAUUGCUCAACUAAUUUGAGUGCUCCCAAUAACGUAUGAAUGAAAUGCAUCAUGAUAUUAAUUGAAAACAUAAUCGAUUGAGGCACAAAACAUGUUAACAUGAAUUAAAUAAAUCUCAUUAAAUUAAUAUAAUCAUUCUAGCAUAUAUGAAUUAAAACUUCAUAGUUGAUGUCAAAAACAUAAAACUCAAAGCAAACAUGUUUAAAAUAAAUGACAAAAGGAAAUAGUAGACUCAGUUCAGCAGCCUUUUUGAUCUAUUUUGAUUGAUGUGCUCAACUCUGCUCAGUUCAGCAACCUUUCGGAUCUAUUCUGACUGAAGCGCUCUUCCUUUUUGAUUGAAGCUUCUUUCUCUAAGGAUUUAGAAGGUGGCUGACUAAAGAUUUCUUUUGAAAAAGCUUUUGAGGCUAGAUAUUGGAGAGGAGAUGGAUUUAAAAGUGAGUGAUGACAAGGUAUUUAUAGGUGAAGCUAAUGGUUUGAAUUUACUAAAAAUAGGUUUAAAUUAUCUUCCUUCUAUCUCUCAUGUGGCUGACCAUGCUUCAAGAAAAAGGGAUGACCAAGUCUUCUUAAUUUGAAUUUUAAAUUCAAGUUAAAAAUAGCUAUGUAGUGGAUGGUUUCAACAGGGAGGUUGUUGGGCUAAAUUCUAAUUAUUUUCCAACUGUAGGGAUCUUCCAUUAAAUAUUUCAAACAUAUUUUGGACAACCAUCUUCUAUUGUCGAAAUUGGGCUUUUAAUUCUCCUUUUUGGAUAGUUUUUUUUCAGUCCAAUAACUUAGCAGAUAUAUCCAUCAUUCUUUUUUUCUUUUAUAAAAAAGGACCCAAGGGUCAACUUCAAUUUAUUGCAUCUUUUAAGACUUACUCAUGGAUAUCCAAUGAAUAAUCCACAUUAAAAUCCAGAGUACAAUUCUUAUCCAUAGUCAAUUUACAAAGAUGCUCCACAAUUUUAUUAUAAAAUCUAGGAGCCCAAUUAAUUUUGAAAAAUAAAAAAACUCCAAUAGCCUAUAGGUCUCCUGAAUGAGAUGGCCCAUCGUAGUUAAGUCAUAAUUCAUCUUAUUAAAGCAAUUAACCAGGCUGACACAGUCAGAUUCAAAUUCCAGUUUAGUCCAAUUAUUAGAGCGACCGAACUUAAUACUUUCUUCCAGUGCUUGCAGCUUCGCCCAUUCAAUUUUGCAAGUCUUUGUCCAAAAAACUCACACGGCCUCCAAGAACAAACCCAUCAAAAUCCCUUGCCAAAAGCCUGUAGCUCAUUUUCUUUCCAUUAACAGCAGCGACAAAAUUUAUCUUAACCACACCUUGUGAGGGUUUCCUCCAAACUUUCUCCAUAACCAUUCUGGGCAACAUAGGUUUCUCCAACAUUGAUGAUAAUGAGUUAUCUAAAGUGUUGGGGGUAACAUAGAAAAUUUGUUUUAUUUUUUUUCUUCAAUUUUUCUUAUCAUUUGUGUGCUUGAGCUUGUAGAAGUACAAGUGAUUGGUUAGGAACAUGUACAUAGGUUGAUUGUAUUUACAGUAAAUUUGGCAUGGGGAUAAGUGAUUUUAAAUUUUUUAUUAAUAGACUAUUAAGUUCUAUAUAUUACAUUGUAAAUAGGUUUGAAGCAAUUGAUUGUACCAAAUGAUAUAGAGAAUACAAGGAAAGAAGUAUGCUAGUAUGAAUGAUAAAUUGUUGAAUUUGUGAUUGUUUGGUUGACUAAAUUUGUGAAUAUUGAGAUACACCCAACGUAAAAAAGCUAACCCUAUUUAUUCAUCCUUAGUAUCUAUUUUGAGCCAGAAAACACUUAUUGAUGAACCUCUAUACAAGACAUGAGAUAAAAAUGAUGAUUUGUGCUUACCCUUUUCUUUAGUCUUGAACUGCAUGAUUAUAGACACUUAACCAUACAUAUUGAGGGUUAAAUAGAUAAAUUACGGUUGUGUUAUAAAAACAAAGUGAUAUGAAAUAUUAGUAGAGUAUAGUGAUUAUAGGUUAGCUUAAAAGUGCAAAAAAAGAUAUACUUAAAAAGAAAAUUAAAAGAGUAGAAAAGGAUACGUGAAAAAUAAAAGCUAUUAUGAGUGAGUUACUAUGAAAAAGAAAGUAAAGUGACAAAGUCACAACUAUAGAAAAACUCGAUCAUUAUUGCACAAAAACUCUUGAGCUAGCUGUAGUUACUAUAUGAUGCUAAGAUUUCCUAUAAGGAGAUAAAAGAAAGGUGAAAGAAUGAGAAAUAAGGCAGUGAACAAGAAAAGGUCACUAAAAGGGAGAAUAUAGGGCAAUACGGUGUGCCAAACUAUUUUCAUGGUUGAAACUAUUUGAUGCUUACUAUUAUUGAAAUCCAUACCAAUCCUAAGCCUCGAAACGUUACAAGUCGAAAAACCCUAUGUGAUCUAGGUAGACUUAUUCACAAUUUGAAAUCAUACUAAAUAACUACAUGUAUGAUUGUCUAUAUUCUGCUAGGAUAAUCAAAUUACUUAUAUAAUUUAUUGAUGGAUUCCUACAUUUAAGACCUUUAAUGCUUGGAUGCUUUGUAAUAUACUGAACAUAGGUGUAUGAUAUCAAAAGUGGUAAGUCAGCUAUAUAUCAUGCCAAUAUUAUGUGUGAAUACGAAAUGCUUAUUCAUAUGCUCCAAAGCUAACAUUUCUACUAUGCUUGCUCAAGGGUCAUCUUUUCAUUUACUGUUUUUUGUUUGUUUUGCUCUAGGAUAAGCAACAAUUUAAGUGUGGGAGAGUUUGAUCUACUAUAAUUCGGUGUAGUAGAAUAAACUAGUUUUCACACUUUAAGAGCUUGAACAUAAGCAUUUCAGUUAAUUUUUAAUUACAUUUUUGUAAAUUUAGUUAAAUUUAUUAAAGUGUGUAAUUUGAGUCUUUUAUUAACCUUAGAGGCCGAAAGAGGUCUAUGGGUGAGCUAAUAUACAUUAUGAGCAUGAAGGAGACCACUAGAAGGUGCGCUAACUCGAUACUGGUCGUUGUGCUGCAACACGGAGCAUUGGAUGUCGUAACAUAGGAAGCAGAGUAGAAGAAUUCUAAGACAUCAUUCGGUGUCAAGUCACAGCAUGAGGAUGUCGCGACAUACCCCUAAAGAUACCCUAAAAAUGAGCAUACCACCCUCGAUGUCACAACACAAGACCUAGUGUGUCUUGACAUCACCUUUGUUCAGGAAAUAAUUACAAGUCAGGGGCAUUUUGGUCUACACAAUCAAAUGUUAAGCACGAGGAUGGUAGCUACCUAUGGUUAAAGACGAUGACUACUCUAAAGUCUACAAAUAGGCUCAUUUUGCACAUGUUAGGAAAGGGCUUUUGUAUUGUAUAAUUUUCGUCCUAGAUUUAGUCUUUAGUUUUUCCUUAUUAGAUUUUAGGUUAAUUUUAGUUCUUGUUAUUUGCUUUUGUGGGAGAUAUCAAAUUUGUGAAAGAUAAUCAAACCCUAUGAGGAUUUUGUGCUCAAUUCUAAUACAAAUCAAGCUUCUACUAAACUUUAUACUCUUGAAUUAUUAUUCAUGGUUACUUUGUUUUAUCAAGUUUAUAUUUUUUUAUUAGAUCCAUAAAGAACUAAUCCUCUUGUUGGGGAUUAGUGAGUGGAUGUAUGAUUGAUUAACUGUUUUGUAGGGUUUUCUUAGCAGAUCAACUGCUCACGAAAGGAAGAACCUAAACCCUAGGCCUGACAACCCUAGGAAGUCAUUAAGGUGGGAAUUAACCCAAAUUUGUUAUGGUCUAUCCGUGAACACCUUAACCCUGAACUGGUCUGGACUGUGAGCUCGAGAGAUAAGUAGUUCUUACCAACUCAUUAUUUUAGUGGAAGAUCAGAAGAUCCUACUGGGAUAUCAACUAGUUGAUUGAACAAGAAAACCCGAAGCAACAAUUGCUUAUGAUUACUAAAGCAAGCUAAUCACCCAUGCCCAGAUUUGAUAGAUUUUAUUAUUUUAUUUCCCAUACUUAUUUAUUUAUUUUAUUAUUAUUAGUAUAGAUCAUCAAAACCUUCAUUUUUCUUUAUCAUAAUAUAAUCUAUUUAAAGUGCUAAUUAGAUCUAUUUAUGUUUAGGUUAGAAUUAAUUUAGUGUUUGCCUCAUUUGGUUACGAUCCUCAGAGUACUCAUCUACUCUGUUGUAACAGUAUUACAACCUAACCCGUAUACUUGCAAACACGACCUUUUUCAUAUAUUCUGGCAGGAUUUCUACUUCAAUCGCUGGUACGUCUGAAGGAAAUCAAUGCUUCUUGUUCUUGAAUUUCAUACCUAUCCUACGCUUCAGAAUGAUAGAAGCCGAAAAGUCUUAUGUGACCAAGAUAGACUUAUUGAUCAAUUGACAUCAUACUAAGUAAUUGCUUUCACGAUUGUUUGUAUUCUGCUAGGAUAAUUAAAUUACAUAUAUGAUUUGUUGAUGGAUGCAUAUGUUUGAAAACCUUAAUGCUUGUAUACUUUUUAAUAUACUGAACUUAGAUGUUUGAUAUUGGGAGUGGUAAGUGUCACGUGUAAAAUGAUAUUCGAUUUUGUGCAAGUAUACACAUUGGUUCAAGUAAUAAAGAAAUGAGUGAGUAUCGUUCCCACGAGGAUCGAAUUGAGACACAAAAGUGGUCAAUUUAUUAUAAUUUGGUUAAUGCUAUGACAAGACUGAUGAAUGGUAAACUAAGGUAAGUAUGUAGUGAAGUAUGCGACAGAUGAAAUUGAUGAGUGAUUGGAAAUGCUAUGGAAAAAGUGAAAGCAAAAAUCUAAUGGCAAUAACGAGAGUGAUUAUCCAAACAAAAAUAAACAACAAAAUAUGUUGUGGAAAAGAUAAUACAAUAAAGAACAAGGAUAGAGUGUCAUUAAUAUGGAAGGUCGGGAUUACCCAGAAUUGACCCUUACUGUCAAUAAUGCCUUGGCAAAUUCGUAUCUACUUUACUGUACAGAAGAGUUAUAAAAUGGCUUGCCUCUCGUGAGAGCAAAACCUCAAAUUACCUUGCCUGUGUCUAUAGGCUGUUUAGAUAUCUUGCUUGGGUUCCUUCUGUAUGAUCGUGACUCUAUGUCUAGAGUCAACUACAAGUGUAUUAGAUAGUUGCUCAUUUCAUUUUAUUUUGAUCCAACCAAUCCAACCUUUCCGGAAUUAGAAUCGAUUUAUUGUAUGUCAACAGCCUUCUAUGUCUAGAGAUCAUUGCCUUUAAAUUAUGAAAAAAACAAUCAAAUGAAACAGUAAAAUAAAUCAGAUAUAUACUGCACCAUAAAAUAGUUAAAAUUUCAUCGAAAGUAAUCUCAACCCUAUGAGAUUUAGCUUAUGGGAUAGGAAAUAAAAUCCCAAAUGAAAAUAUUAUCUGACAUUGUGUUCCACUACUUUUAUUCAAUAUUUCGAUGGAACACUAAUGGAAAUAACGGAAGAACUUCAAGAAACAGCUUUUGCUUGCAGGACGAGUAUCCUAAUGCUCACUUGGUAAAUUUCCUAGAAUUUUACGAUACCUUUAAAAUUAAUGGCAUUUUUUAUGACGCCGUCCGUCUUCGGUUGUUUCCCUUUUCAUUAAGAAAUAAGGCUAAACAAUGGUUAAACUCAUUACCACGAGGGUCAAUCACUACUUGGGAACAAAUCAUCGAAAAGUUCUUACUAAAAUAUUUUUCACCGGCUAAAACGGCUAAAUUACGUAAUGAUAUUUCUUCUUUUGUGCAGAUGGAUUUAGAAACACUCUACGAUGCAUGAGAGAGAUAGAAGGACAUUUUGCGAAGAUGCCCUUACCAUGGGUUACCACUCUGGCUAUAGGUUCAAACUUUUCAUAAUGACCUGAAUCCUUCGACUCGGCAGAUGAUUGAUGCAGCCGUUGGAGGAACCAUCAAUAACAAGACACCUGAAGAUGCCUAUGCAUUUAUAGAGGAGAUGUCACUGAAUAACUAUCAGUGGCAAGUCACGAGGACAAAGCCAACGAAAAUAGUCGGCGUUUAUAAUGUCAAUUCGGUCACCAUGCUUUCUAAUCAGUUAGAACUCUUGAAUAAGAAAAUUGAUGGUUUUCUUAGUUCUUCACAGGUUCACCCAGUAAUGCAGUGCGAAGCAAAUGGAGGUGGAUCGAGAAAUUCUGAAUACCCACCUUAUGGCCACAACAUGGAGAACGAGUAGUUAAAUUACAUGGGUAAUAAUCCUCGAUCUCAAAACAAUCCUUAUAGCAAUACUUACAAUGCAGGUUGGAAGAAUCACCCAAAUUUUUCUUGGGGAGGCCAAGGAAAUCAGAAACCACCGCCCUUUCCAGGCUUUGAGCAACCACCAUACCAGUAGGAGAAAAAGUCGAACCUUGAGGAGAUGCUAACCAAAUUCAUCUCGAUGUUAGAGACUCAUUUUUUGGAUACAGAGACGACACUCAAAAAUCAAUAAGCAUCAAUCCAGGGGCUUGAAACUCAGAUUGGACAGCUCGCCAAGUUGAUUUUUGAACGACCACAAGGUAGCCUACCAAGCAACACUGAAUCUAACCCAAGGGAGCAACUCAACGCAAUUGCCAUUCAAGAUGAGGAACAGUUAGUGGCAAAACCAAGGCCAGAACCGGUGGUAAGCGAAGGUAAGAAUGAGGUAGGCCAAAAUGAACAAAAAUCGGUAAGUACAUAAUAUAAACCUCGUGUGCCAUACCCCAAUGCAACAAGGAAAGACCGCUCAGACGAAAAAUUUGGUAAAUUCCUUAAACUUUUAAAGAAACUACAUAUUAACCUACUGUUUAUUGAAGCACUUUCGUAGAUGCCGAACGUAGUCAAAUUUUUUAAAGGAGCUUCUAGCAAAUAAACGAAAGUUAUAUAAAAGGUCGCAUGUAGAGCUGAACACGGUUUGCUCAGGCAUUCUUCAGAAUAAGCUACCCAACAAACUAAAAGAUACAGGGAGUUUUACGAUUCCUUGUUUAAUUGGUAGUUUAGAUGUUAAUAAUGCGUUGACUGAUCUAGGGGCUAGUAUCAAUGUUAUGCCUUACAAAUUGUUUAAGCAACUAGGUCUAUAAAAACCCAAACAAACUAGGAUGAGCAUUCAAUUAGCAGAUAAAACUAUCAGAUUUCCUAGGGGCAUCAUUGAAGACGUACUUUUUAAAAUUGACAAAUUUAUAUUCCUAGUUGAUUUUGUUGUUUUAGACAUAGAAGAGGACAGUAAUGUUCCUUUAAUUUUGGGAAGGCCCUUUUUAGCAACUACUAGAACAAUUAUUGACGUUGGCACAGGUGAACCCACACUUCGUGUAGGAGAUGAAACAAUCAAUCUUCAAGCUCGCAACCCGAACAACACAUCGAAAAUUGAAGGUGAUUGUACAAAUUGUUCUACUAAGACUGAUCAUACAAUGCAACCUAUUUUGCAGGAAAUAAGUUCGAAGGACACACAUGAGCCAUGUUCAAUCCACAACAAAAAAUCUACCCAUGAAGAACGAAGGUUACGAAUCGAGGAUUUAGAUGAAUGACUGACAUUUAAACCGAGAAAACAUGAUAAACAUAAACUACGCCAGAACGAGCUCAAUGCCUCACCAAAUCAACUUAAGGUUGGAGAUAAAGUUUCAUUAGAUGCCGUAGAUCCUCACAUUAACACUACCAAACCGAAUGAAGAAAUUCCUCUUACGGUACUUAGCAUUUUCCAAUUUGGUACAGCCGAGGUAAGUCAUCCCAAAUUCGGCACCUUAAGGUAAACAAUACCCGCCUAAAACCUUAUUUUGAUGGGAUUCAUAGAAGGAAUGAGGAGUAUAAACUCCUCGAACCACCAUAACCAUUCACCAGAGAGGUAAGUCGAGCUUAGACUAUAAAUAAGUGCUUUUCGGAAGGCAACCCAAGCACUAACAAUAUAAAAUUCUUAAAAUUUUAGUUUUAACAUCUAACAUACUAACCAACUUAUGGAACACAGGCUUUCUAAAGCACACACGGCCAGGCACACGGGCGUGCCUUAGGCCGUGUGAAAACAGGGCAAAAUUUUCACCAACACGGGAUGCUAUAAGUCGCGACGGCCAUGCGUUACGACCGUGGGCGGAUCUUCCAAAACAACACGGACGUGCGACACGCCCGUGCCGUAGGACUGUGGUUGAACCUAAAAAAAUAGCACGAGCAUUUGCGAUGCCCGUGUCUAGAACCCGUGGUCAAACCUGUCAGAUUAAAACGGGCGUGGGCCUACAUACACAGGCGUGGGGGAAGCGAACAAAGACAAACACGGUCGUGCGACACAGCUGUGUGCACCCACACGUCCAAGAAACACGGACGUGUGCCAAAUGUCAGACGUACCCAAAGUCAAAAUUCGCGAAUCACACGAGCAAAAAUUGGGGAACACGGGCGUAUCCCCUGGCCGUAUGGCCCAAAAUCUAUAAAUACCCUUCACUAUUCAUCAUCUUUUUCACCCAAAAUCUUUAACCCUAGCCGCUGCAAGUCUACACGGUCUCCCUGCCACGCCCGUGCACCGCCUCCAACUCCAUUUUCGACUACCAUUCUCAUCUUUUUAGUGUUUGUUUACUCUUUUCUCUCUAUUUUCUUCAUCCCUUUUACUAACUUUAUGAUUCUUAUGGUUUUCUUUGGCAGAUGUUUUAUUUAUAUUCAUAGUUCUCACUGUAGUCAUGCUUAUACGUUUAUUCUUUGCCAUUUUAGUCAAUGCUUUCUGAUACAUUAAUUCUUUUCGUGUGUUCCCAUAAGAGUCUAGUUCAGUCAUUUUAUGUUGAAAAUAAUCAUGCUUUUAUUAUGUCAAUUGCUAUAUAAACUUCUAUCAUUUAGAUUAAACCGCUGAGUAUUGUUGGUUGGACUGGUUAGUUUAACUAUAUUCAUGAUUACUUCUUGAGUUAAUUAGUUAUGCUAUAUUCUUUGUUUUUCUUCCAAGUAUACCAUGUCAAGCUCACAUGGCAAGAAAACUACCAUUCCCAUUUCAAAAAAAUGGAAAGGGGCGUCUUCCUCGGGCCCUACCGUGAAAAUUCGCCACCCAAACCUCUAAUUUCCACCUGGCAAUCAGGAGGAACUAUUCCAAAUCCUACGGGCCCGAACUUUAGGUGUGGGCCGCUGCAUUGACCGGACAGCACUUGAAGAAGUCCAGUUGGUUAACAAUGUACGAGCACUCUUGACAAUCGAUCCAUGUGACCUUUUUUUUGCGAUCAUCGAACCGAAGUACCUUGAGCUCACACUUGAACUUUGCUCGACAUUCCAUGUUCAAGACGUCAUGACCAACUUUGAUGAUCCUGGGACAAUCCAGUUCCGUCUUGGUGGUUUAGUCGCCAAUUGAGUGUGCCCGAGUUCGGUAUAGCUUUGGGCCUGUACACAGAGGAGUUCAUGGACGAGAACGACCUAGACACUCUCCUUCGCCACAUCCACUACUCUCUCUCGAAGUGUUGGUACGCUUUGGUCCCCGAUUCUGCCACCUACGACCCGAGAUGCUCGAAGGCAUCGGCUCUCUUUCCCUCAUUGAGGUACCUACAUGCCAUCUUGGCACACACUUUGACAGGACAUCGAGAGAGCACUGACGUCGUCAACACUUACGACGCCUACUUUCUAUGGAGCAUGGCGAACGGGCAUGUACUCGACCUCACCUACUUUAUUGCCCUGGCCAUUCACCACCAAACGUAGCAUCAGAUGAGGGUCAUCUCUAUUGGCCCCUACGUGACUCAACUGGCAUGACACUUCGGGCUCCUCAACACAACAACCCAAUCAUCCUCCCUUACUCUUUUUGGCCAGAUGUCCCCAUAAGGCAUCUCGAGCAUACUUAGUAUGAGGAUGAUCGAGAAGCGCCGAGGAACCCACCCUCCUCAAUAUCGCCUUACCCAAUCAGCCGAGGAGAAAGCCCUUGAGGACAUUACUGAUGAUGUCCCUCCACGUCAUGAGGACCCAUCGUCUCAGCCACCACCACUCUCUCAUCCAAUUCAUGAGGCAGCUUCAUACACUGACAUCUCUGAGCUCCUAACUCGAUUCGAGCAGCAGUGUUUUCAGCCCUUCGAUCACAUUGAUGCUACACUACACCAGAUUUGUCAGCACUUCCACAUCUCAUCGCCACCACCACCUCGCGAACCAUCUAGCGAUGAAGAUGUUUAAAAACUUUUAUUUAUUAUUUUAUGUUUUUAUUUUUAUUCUACUUUAAGACUACUUUUUAUUUUUCUUUAAGCUUAUUUUUAUUAGGUUUUAUAAUUUUUAUUUAACAAUUUUGAAUUUCGGCUAUUUCAUAUCGAGUAAUUAUUCUUCCUUAUAUAUUCCCUAAAAAGUUCUUGUUUCUAUCACAGUUAUAAAGAGCUCCUAAGCUCAUCAUCACUUAGGAACUAAAAACUCCACCGGGAAAGGUUCUCCACGACUGCCAUGUCCUGCUCAACCACGACCAUAGCUACCACCAUAUAUAAUAUUAUUUUGGCACAGGACUUAUGGAUUAAUGAACCUCUACCACCACCGGAGUAUCCUCCUCCACUCUCAUGCCAAUUAUUCUCCAAAACUCCAGUUCAUGGAAUUCAUUUAUCAUUCAGGAAGUUUCACUUCUCUCCCUAUCUUAUGAUUAUAAAUCUAUCUUUUUCAAUAUAUCUACCUUUGUACAUUGAGGGCAAUGUACAUCUUAAGUGUGGGGGGCCUUUUAUAUCAGAAAAAUCCCUAAAUUUUGUUUUAUUCUCAUGCGAUCUUCUCAUAUCAUUAUUAGAAUGAAUUUCAAUUAGUCUAUAAUGUUUAUUGAUAUAUCUUGAAUUAAAACAUAGGCAUUCAUGCAUUGAUUGUUUAAACUUUAAGACAUUAGGGAAUCAAGCGUGAUAAGUUGAUUUUUGAAGAAUUAAAAACUUUUAAAUUGUUUCCCCAAGUUUAGGUAUUAUUUUGAGUUGGAAGUCACAAGUUUAAACAUAAAAAAAGCCAUAAUUUUUGUGAGAUAUUGAGCCUUUAGAGCAUCUAUUAUUUCUUUCAUGCUCACUUUCAUUAUGAGUGCGUCAGUAUUGAAUUGUUAUUCUAGAUCUUGCUUGAUUAUGCAUGUCAAGACCACACCAUUUGAUUUGAUAUGUCAAAAUGAUAAAGGCACUUAGGUUUAACCCACUCACUCCAUAAAAGCCUCCCUUCACAAUUAACCCUUUGUGAAACCCCUUAGCCUAACAACUCACUCAUUAAUUUACUCUCAAUAUCAACCUAUAACUCAUUAUUGUUGAAAUCCCCUAAAUUAAUUUGAUCCCUAUUUUUUUGAGAUUUGAGUUGGAAUAGUUGCUUAGUUAUGUUUUAUUCUAUUUUGUAAUUUGACUAGUUUGAUAAUAAAAAAUACAUGUUUACAUAUUAGUAGUAGUGAUCUUCUGAGCUAAAGAAGUUAAAUUCCAUAUUCUGAGAAAAAGCUCUGUUGUACGCAAUUGAUGACUAGUUAUUUUUCUAGUUAGGCAAUUUUUCAAUUCAAUCUCGAUUCUAACCCUUUCUUUCAGCUUGUGACAACACCUCUAACCAAAGCCAUGUUACAACCCUCUAAAGACCUUCUGAUUAAUUUUUCAUCUCAAUUUAUAGUGAUGGAGAUUUGAUUUUCAUGCAAGCCUAUGGUAAUGACUUUUUAUUAUUGACUAUUUAGUGCUUCAUUUAUUGUCCUUAAACACCUCGAGUGAUUUGAGUGAAUCUUUAGCGAGGAUGUGAAACUCUGUGAUAUUUUGCUCAUACUCCGUCACAGUCUUACCACCUUGCUUCAACUCUAGAAAUUCCUUCCUCUUCUAAUCCAAGAACCUCUGGCUAAUAUACUUCUGUCGAAACUCUUCUUGGAAGAAUUCCCAAGUGAUCCUCUCUCUCAGUACAACAAACACGAGUGUUCCACCACUGAUAAGCUGAGUCUCGUAGGAGUGACACGGCACACUUCACGCACUCAUCAAGUGUGCAUGAUAAUUCAUCGAAUACCCUGGUGGUAUUUUCUAGCCAAAGCUCCGCUCUCUCUAGGUCAUCAUCUACACUAGCCCAAAAUUCCUCAACCCCUUACUUCCGAAUCUUGUCUAUUGGAGGCUUUUCUCUCCUGAACAUGUCUGCACCUUGUGGAGCCACCGAGGCAUACUGAGGAAUCGGAGGAGGUGGGGGAGGUGGAGUGUUCAGGUUCGCACGAACGAACUCCGUAUACCAAGCAUCCAUCAUUCGAAGGUAGGCUUCUCUAGCCCCUCCGCCUUGGCCCAUACUUACGGGCUCACUCUCUACCGGCGCGGUACCUUUUGCGAGAGCCAGCGCAUUACUUUCCAUGUCAUCCUCCGUGGUUCUAUCAGGAUCCAUUACUAUAUAAAAACACAAUUCAUAGUUGUCAGGAAUCGUCACACUAUUAAUACAUAUUUAUGGCAUGUAUGGAUAGACUCGUACUUUAACUAUGUUAGUCCUAAAACCAACUAAACCAUGCUCUGAUACCACUAAAUGUAACACCACUCUCCCGUAUCCGAUGCCGGGACAAGGUUCGAGGUGUCACCAGAAUUAACUCAAGCAUAUACAUGUAAAACUAGGCCAUAAAAUUUUGAUCAAUUUAAAACUUUUCAUUUCAUACUCAAUCUAUCCCUUAAUAGGACUUAUAAGACUCAAAACAUACAUUUAAGAUGAUUUAAGUUUAAACUGAGAACUUAAGAAAAACCUGGAAAAAUUCAUGCCUUAGGGUUCCACAUGCCCGUGUGACUCGAGACACGCCCAUGCCCUUAGCCUGUGUGGAACACUGACAUUAGGGCACGGCCAUGACACACGCCCGUGUGGCCUACCUGUGGACAAAACUGACUUAAAAGUUUAAGUGCAGGGGACGCACGGCCAUAACACACCCCCAUAGGGGUGAGUCGUGUGUCACACACGGCUUAGACACACGCCCGUGUGUCUUGCCCGUGUGGAAAAACUAGGCUAUCUUUCAAGCCAUUUUAUCACUCAUUUUACACAACCUAUACAAGAUCAUUUCAAUAUACUAAUUCCAUUCCAAAAGACAUCAAUUCAUUCAUAGAAGAAACAUCAUAUACAUUUACCAAAAUAAAUAAUAGCCAUUAUCUAGGCUUAAUACAAAAUGAAGGGCUUUUAUCUUAUGCCAAUAUACAUAAACAAUUUCUCAAUAACACAAAUUCCUAGUCUAGCCCUAUACAUGCCAUAAUCAAAAAUAUAAAUCCAACUAUACCGAUUAUUACGGCUGAUAGUGUGAUCGAUAUCUCUGACUUCAAGGGAUACUUGAGAAAUUUGGCAGUACUGAAAGAAAAGAGAAAGGAAAGAAAGUAAGCAUAAAUCUUAGUAAGUUGCAUAUAAAUAAAUAUACAAAAACAGUUUCACCAUUUAUCAUCACGCUCAUAGCUCAAAGCUAAGCAUAACUUGACUUACUCAUUAUCGUCAACUCAAGUCACAUUUUCUAAUUGAGAUCAUUACACAUGUAUACCAAAAUAUGUACCUAUAACACUCAAAACAUUAUCAUACUUUCCUUACUAAAUCUAUUUCUUAACUCUUAAAGUUGAACCCUUUGGAAUACUACCGGAUAUUCUACAAGCCUCAAACAUGGGUUAAGUUGCCAAUGCCAUGUCCCAGACAUGGUCUUACACUAGCUAUCUUCAUCGAGGUCGAUGUCAUGUCCCAGACAUGGUCUUACACCAGCUCUCAUGUAUACGUACUGAUACAUGUCCUAGAUAUGUCUUACACUAGCACGAAGCUUAGCUGAUACGUGCCCCAGACACAUCUUACAUUGGCUACCAUCAUUGAGGCUGAUGCAUGUCCCAGACACGUCUUACACUGGCACUCAUCUCUACGCCGAUGCCAUGUCUCAAACAUGGUCUUACACUGGCUAGCGUAAUGUGGCUGAUGCAUGUCCCAGACACGUCUUACACUAGCCCUCGUCUCAAUGUCGAUGCCAUGUCCCAAACAUGGUCUUACCCUAGCUCACACAUAACACAAUGUUAUGGCAUGAACAUCUGGUUUGUUUCCUGGCGUUCUCACUCGAUCUUUCUACUUUCUCAAUUAUAAAUAUGCAUACUCAGUUCUAAAUCUAGAAUUUCAAGCUAUAUCAAAAUCAAUAACAAUUGAAUACAUGCAUUUAACAAUAUAGUUGUAUUAUUUACAUACAACUUACCUCGGUUUACAAAAAGUACAUGACUAGAUGGCUUAAUCGGUUGCUUGCCUUUGCCCCAAUCUAGGCUCAGUUUUGGUAAAUCUUGAUCUAUAAUAGCAAAAAUGUACUCAUUUAGUCAUUAAUUGCAAUUAGGCAUUCAUAAUUUCACAUCUUUGGUAAAAUGACCAUUUUGCCCCUAGGCCUUGGCAAAAUGACCAUUUUACCCCUAUGCUCGAAAUUCAACUUUUAUCGAAUUUCUUUGUAUUUCAAGCAUAGAUAAACUCUUUUUACUCUUAUAGCCACCUCAAAUCCUCACUAUUUUAUACACUUAUUUCCUAUUUUGCAACUUAAGCAAAAUAGUCCCUCUAGGUGUUUUCAAGCUAACACUUUUUUCGAAAGUUGCUUAUAACACAACUAGGAGUCAUAUUCCUCCAUAAAAAAUCAGCAUCUAUUAGAAUUAAAUCCAUGGUAAAAUCCUAAACUCUUGACCAUUUUUUAAGAUAUCACCCUCAUUUGAAAGCUCAUGCUUCAAGGGUCUCAAAAAUGUGAAAAUCUUGAAGAAAACUCAUUAAAAUCACUUACUUGUGAGAGGAAUAAGUUGUUGAAAAAUUUAAGCUUUCAAACCCCCUUUCAUGGCUGAAAAGUUUGGUGGAAAGAGAUAAGAAGAAAAGAAAUUGGCAACCUUUUUCUAUUUUGCUCCUUUUUUGGUCAAAAUAGCUACCAAAUUCUACCUACUCUUAAAAUUUUUCCCCUCUAUGUCUCAUGGCUGGCCAACCCUCUUAAAAAGGGUGUAAUUUCCCUUUAAAGGUCCCCAAAUUUAUUUAUCUAGCUAUUUAAUACAUUUGGGCACUAAAACACAACUUUUGCUUUUUAUGCGAUUUAGCCCUUUUUCGUAAUCGGGCUCACAAACGUUAAAAUUGACACACCAAAUUUUUCAUGCACUAUUAUAAUCAUGCUAUAAUCUCAUAAUUAUAAUAAAAUAAUUUUCCCAACUUUGGAUUUAUGGUCUCGAGACCACUGUUCCAACUAGACCCUAAAUCGGGUUGUUACAUUUCUCCCCCUUAGGGAUUUUUGUCCUCGAAAAUCUUACCUGUGAAUAAGUUCAGAUACUGCUCUCUCAGAGACUCCUCGGGUUCCCAUGUGGCUUCCUCGACUCCAUGUCUAAGCCACAAAACAUUUACAAGCGGUAUACUCUUAUUUCUUAACUGUUUGACCUCUCAAGCUAAGAUCUUGACCGGCUCCUCACCAUAAGUCAUAUCUGGAAGAAUUUCAACUUCAGUUGGCACAAUUACGUGCGAAGGUUCAAAUCUGUAUCGGCGUAACAUGGACACGUGAAACACGUCGUGAAUCUUUUCUAACUCUGGAAGCAAACCCAAACAAUAGGCAACAGGCCCUACUCUCUCAGUAACCUCAUAAGGUCCUAUGAAACGAGGACUCAACUUGCCUUUUCUACCAAAUCUGAGGACUUUCCUCCAUGGAGAAACUUUCAAAAAUAUCUUGUCACCAACCUCAAACUUAAUCUCCUUUCAUUUCAAAUCCGUGUACAAUUUUUUUCUAUCAGAGGCGGCUUUCAAACAGUUGCGAUUCACCUUAACUUUUUACUCAGCCCCUUGGAUCAAAUCAACCCCGUGAAUCUGACUCUCUCUCAACUCAGUCUAGAAUAAGGGUGUUCGGCACUUUCGCCCGUACAAAGCCUCAUAAGGCAUCAUUUUUAGACUCGACUAAUAGUUGUUAUUGUAGGCGAAUUCAACCAAUGGUAAGUAUUUUUCCCAAUUUCCUUGAAAUUCAAGAACACAGCACAUCAACAUAUCUUCUAAGAUCUGUAUUACUUUUUCUGACUGUCCGUCAAUUUGCAGAUGAAAUGCUGUGUUGAAACUCAACUUGGAUCCUAGAGCCUCUUGCAACCUUUUCCAAACCCUCGAGGUGAACCUCGGGUCUCGGUCGGAUACAAUCGAUAACGGCACGCAAUAAAGCCUCACAAUCUCAGAAACAUACAAGUCGGCCAACUUUUCAAGGGAGUAGUCGGCACACACUGGUAUGAAGUGUGUUGAUUUAGUGAGUCUAUCAACAAUAACCCUUACUGCAUCUUUUUUUUUCGGGGUUAGUGGCAAACUGGUCAUGAAGUCCAUGGUGAUACGAUCUCAUUUUCACUCGAAAAUCAUAAUAGGCUGAAGUAAACCCGAAGGCACUUGAUGUUCAGCCUUUACUUGUUGACAUACUAGACACUUGGAAACAAACUCUGAAAUGUCUCUUAUCGUUCCCGACCACCAAUACAUUUUCUUCAGGUUGUUAUACAUUUUUACGCUACCCGGGUGGAUGGACGAACAACCACUGUCUGCCUCUCACAAAAUCUUCUGAACGAGCUCACUAUCUUUGGUUACACAAACUCUAUCUUUGAACAUUAUACAACCAUCAGUACUAAUAUGAAAUUUUGAUUCAAUCUCUGAUUCAUACUGAGUUCUCUUGACUUGCAGUUUCUCGUCAUCUUUCUGAUAUUCAUGAAUUUCAUGAAGAAAAGUCGGUCUGGCCCUCAACUCCGCUAGGACCGAUCCAUCAUUACCUAUGGUCAAUUGAGUGUUCAAUACUCUCAAGGUAAACAAUGACUUUCUGUUUAGGGCAUCUGUAACUACAUUCGCCUUUCCCGGAUGAUAGUCGAUAACUAAUUCAUAAUCCUUUAACAACUCUAACCAUCGACGUUGCCUCAAAUUUAACUCAUUUUGAGUCAUCAAAUACUUUAAGCUCUUAUGGUCGGUGAAUACUCCACAUCUCUCACCAUACAAAUGGUGUCGCCAAAUCUUUAGUGCGAACACCACAACUGCUAGCUCUAAAUCAUGGGUCGGAUAAUUUCUCUCGUGAGGUUUUAGCUGUCUCGAGACAUAGUCUAUAAUCUUGCCUUCUUGUAUGAGCACACACCCUAAAUCGUUUAGGGAGGCGUCACUAAAAACUACAAAUUAUUUUUCUGACUCAGGUUGCACUAAAAUUGGGGCUUAGGUCAAUAAAGCCUUUAAUUUCUUGAAGCUCUAUUGGCACUCUUUUGUCCACUCGAACUUGACAUCUUUCUGCAGUAGCCUUGUUAUCAGUGUAGCUAUCAUGGAGAAUCCGUUUACAAAUCGUCUAUAGUAUCCCGCUAGCCCCAGAAAACUAUGAACCUGUAUUACAUUCUUCGGCGGUUCCCAUUCCACAAUAAUUGAGAUUUUACUUGGGUCGACUCUGAUUCCUUCACCCAACACAAUGUGUGCUAGAAAUCCGAAUUCAUUGAGCCAAAACUCGCUCUUACUAAACUUGGCAUAGAGUUUCUUAUCUCUUAAGGUUUGCAAUACAGUUCUCAAAUGUUCCGCGUUCUCACCCUCGUUACGCGAAUAAACCAAGAUGUCAUCAAUAAAAACGACGACGAACCUAUCCAAAUACGGUCAGAAGAUAUGGUUCAUCAAGUCCAUAAAUACCGUUGGGGCAUUUGUCAAUCCAAAAGGCAUAACAAAAAACUCGUAAUACCCAUAUCUUGUCCAAAAAGCAGUCUUCGGCACAUCUUGUUCCUUGACUCUUAACUGGUAGUAACCCCUCCUCAAAUCUAUUUUAGAAAAUACAGUGGCUCCUUUUAGUUGAUCAAAGAUAUCAUCAAUCAUUGGCAAGGGAUACUUGUUCUUCACUGCUACUUUGUUCAGUUGUCUAUAGUAGAUACGUAACCUCAUCGACCCAUCUUUCUUUUUCACAAAAAGUACUGGAGUACCCCAUGGUGAAUAACUCGGUCUAGCAAAACCCUUAUCUGUUAACUCUUGCAACUGUACUUUCAACUCUUUCAACUCAGUGGAGACCAUUCUAUACGGUGCAAUUGAGAUUGGUGUUGUACCAGGAACUAGCUCGAUACCAAACUCAAUUUCUCUUCCUGGAGGUAAUCCGGGAAACUCUUAUGGAAAAACAUCUAUAAACUCACAAACCACUGGUACUGACUCAAUCUUUGACUCGGACACUUGAGUAUAUAGCACAAAAGCUAGAUAAGCCUCACACCUUUUUCUCAAAUAUUUUUUAGCGUUCAGAGACGAUAUUAUCACAAUCGAUUUAUCCAAGUCACCUGGUCUAACCCGAAGUAUAUUCCUAUCUUCACACUUUAACUCAAUAAUUUUCAUCCCACAGUUCACUACAACAUUAUGAGAAGUCAACCAAUCCAUCCCGAGGAUUACGUCAAACUCAUUGAAUGGAAAUAACAUUAAAUUUGUUAGGAAACAAUGACCUCUAAUUGUCAAAGGACAACUCCUACAUACUUGGUCAACUAGAACAUAUCUACCCAAGGGAUUGGACACUCUUAUUAUAAAUUCAGUAGACUCCACUAUCAUGCUCGUUCGAGGAAUCAGUUCCAUACAAAUAUAGGAGUAGGUAGACCCUGGAUCAAUCAAAGCAACAACAUAAAUAUCACGAAUAGAAAAAGUACCCGUAAUCACGUCGGGAGACUCUGCCUCCUCACGAGCGCAAAUAGCAUAAGUCCUCGCAGGCGCUCUGCCCUCGGACCUCGCCACUACAUCUCUAGUCAUGCCCCUACUAUUAGCUCCACUACCUAGAUUCUUUCGUGAUCUCCCCCUCAACGGAGCACUACUUGCCUUCUUUUGUUGUUUCUUUUCUCUCUCUUCCAUCUCAGGGAAAUCACGAAUAAAGUGGUCUAGUGAUCCACACUUGAAAUUGUCCCUCUCAUUUACUCAACAUUCGCCUAAGUGGCGUCUCCCACAUUGCAGACACUCUUGACUAUCUGGCCGAGUACUACCAACACUAGCGACCCAAGUUGCCUGGGCUUUAGACGUCAUAUUCUGAUGAUUCUUGUUCCUCCUCGAAUAUCCCACCGAAACGUUCGAUAAGGUAAUAAAUUCUUUCGACCUCUUGGAGGAAGACUGAUGCGUCUUCCCCAUCUGUCUUCUCUUUAAAUCUCGCGACUCAAUGGCUGCCUUCCUCCUCUCCUUCACCAGCUCUUUUGCUUUACAUGCUCUCUCAACAAGCACCACAAAUUCUCUUAACUCUAGGAUGCCCACAAACACUCGAAUGUCUUCAUUGAGGCCACCCUCAAACCUCUUACACAUAUUAGCUUCAGUGGAUACGCAUUCUCGCACAUAUUUGCUGAGCUUCACAAACUCACACUCAUACUCCGUCGCAGUCUUACCACCUUGCUUCAACUCUAGAAAUUCCUUCCUCUUCUGAUCCAAGAACCUCUGGCUAAUAAACUUCAUUCAAAACUCUUCUUGGAAGAAUUCCCAAGUGAUCCUCUCUCUCGGUACAAUAGACACGAGAGUGUUCCACCACUGAUAAGCCGAGUCUCGUAGGAGUGACACGGCACACUUUACGCACUAUCAGGUGUGGAUGAUAGUUUAUCGAAUACCCUCAUGGUAUUUUCUAGCCAAAACUCCACUCUUUCCGGGUCAUCAUCUACACUAGCCCAAAAUUCCUCGGCCCCUUACUUCCGGAUCUUGUCUACUGGAGGCUUUUCUCUCCUGAACAUGUCCGCACCUUGCGGAGCCACAGGGGCAUACUGAGGAAUCGGAGGAGGUGGGGGAUGUAGAGUGUUCGGGUUCGAAUAAACGAACUCCGUAUAUCAAGCAUCCAUCAUUCGGAGGUUGGAUUCCUUAGCCCCUUCACCUUGGCCCAUACUUACGGGCUCACUCUCUACCGACGCAGUACCUUCUGCGGGAGCCGGCGUAUUACUUUCCACGUCAUCCGCCGUGGUUCUAUCAGGAUCUAUUACUAUAUAAAAACACAAUUUAUAGCUGUCAGGAAUCAUCACACUAUCAAUACAAAUUUAUGGCAUGUAUGGAUAGACUCGUACUUUAACUAGGUUAGUCCUAGAACCGACUAAACCAUAUCUUGAUACCACUAAAUGUAACACCCCUCGCCCGUAUCCGACACCGGGACAGAGUUCGAGGUGUCACCAGACUUAACUCAAGCAUACGCAUGUAAAACUGGGCCACAAAAUUUUGAUCAAUUUAAAACUUUUCAUUUCAUACCCAAUUUGUCCCUUAAUAGGACUUACGAGACCCAAAACAUACAUUCGAGAUAAUUUAAGUUUAACCUCGGAACUUAAGAAAAACCUAGAAAAAUUCAUGCCUUAAGGUUCCACAUGCCCGUGUGACUCGAGACACGCCCAUGCCCUUAGCUUGUGUGCAACAUUGACUUUAGGGCACGGCCAUGACACACGCCCGUGUGGCCUACCCAUGGACAAAAGAGACUUAAAAUUUUAAGUGCAGGGGACGCACGACCAUAACACACCCCCAUGGGGGUGAGCCGUGUGUCACACACGGCCUAGACACACGCCCGUGUGUCUUGCCUGUGUGGAUAAACUAGGCUAUCUUCCAAGUCAUUUUGUCACUCAUUUUGCACAACCUACACAAGAUCAUUUCAAUAUACUAAUUCCAUUCCAAAAUACAUCAAUUCAUUCAUAGAAUGAACAUUAUAUACGUUUACCAAAAUAAAUAAUAGCCAUUAUCUAGGCUUAAUACAAAAUGAAGGGCUUUUAUCUUAAGGCAAUAUACGUAAACAAUUUCUCAAUAAUACAACUUCCUAGUCUAGCCCUAUACAUGCCAUAAUCAAAAAUAUAAAUCCAACUAUACCGAGUAUUAUGGCUGAUAGUGUGAUCCAUAUCUCUGACUUCAAGGGAUCCUUGAGAAAUUUUGCAGUACUGAAAAAAAAGAGAAAGGAAGGAAAGUAAGCAUAAAGCUUAGGAAGUUGCAUAUAAAUAAAUACACAACAACAGUUUCACCAUUUAUCAUCACGCUCAUAGCUCAAAGGUAAGCAUAACUUGACUUACUCAUUACCGUCCACUCAAGUCACAUUUUCUAAUUGAGAUCAUUAAACAUGUAUACCAAAAUAGGUACCUGUAACACUCAAAACAUUAUCAUACUUUCCUUAUUAAAUCUCUUUCUUAACUCUUAAAGUUGAACCCUUUGGAAUACUACCGGAUAUUCUAUAAGCCUCAAACACGGGUUAAGUUGCCGAUGCUAUGUCCCAGACAUGGUCUUACACUGGCUAUCUUCAUCGAGGCCGAUACCAUGUCCCAGACAUGGUCUUACACUAGCUCUCGUGUAUACCUACUGAUGCAUGUCCCAGACAUGUCUUACACUAACACGAAGCUUAGCCGAUGCGUGUCCCAGACACAUCUUACAUUGGCUGCCAUCAUUGAGGUCGAUGUAUGUCCCAGACACGUCUUCAACUGGCACUCAUCUCUACGCCGAUGCCAUGUCCCAGACAUGGUCUUACAUUGGCAAUCGUAAUGUGGCUGAUGCCCAGGCACGUCUUACACUAGCCCUCGUCUCAAUGCCGAUGCCAUGUCCUAGACAUGGUCUUACACUAGCUCACACAUAACCCAAUGUUAUGGCAUGAACAUCCAGUUUGUUUCAUGGGGUUCUCACGGGAUCUUUCUACUUUUUCAAUUAUAAAUAUGUAUACUCAGUUCAAAAUCUAGAAUUUCAUGCUAUAUCAAAAUAAAUAACAGUCGAAUACAUGGAUUUAACAAUAUAGUUGUAUUAUUUACAUACAACUUACAUCGGUUUACAAAAAGUACUUGACUAGACGGCUUAAUCAGAUUGUUUGGCUUUGCCCUGGUUUAGGCUUGGUUUUGGUAAAUCUUGAUCUAUAAUAGCAAAAAUGUACUCAUUUAGUCAUUAAUUACAAUUAGGCAUUCAUAAUUUCACAUCUUUGGUAAAAUGACCAUUUUGUCUCUAGGCCCUGGCAAAAUGACCAUUUUACCCCUAUGCUCGAAAUUUUAUUUUUAUCGAAUUUCUUUGUAUUUCAAGCCUAGAUAAACUCUUUUUACUCUUAUAACCACCUCAAAUCCUCACUAUUUUAUACACUUAUUACCUAUUUUGCAACUUAUGCAAAAUAGUCCCUUUAGGUGUUUUCAAGCUAACACAUUUUUCAAAAGUUGCUUAUAACACAACUAGGACUCAUAUUCCUCCAUAAAAACUCAGCAUCUAUCAAAAUUACAUCUAUGGAAAAAUCCUAAACUCUUGACCAUUUUUUAAGAUAUCACCCUCAUUUGAAAGCUCAUGCUUCAAUGCUCUCAAAAAUGUGAAAAUCUUGAAGAAAACUCAUUAAAAUCACUUACUUGUGAGAGGAAUAAUUUGCUCAAAAAUUUAAGCUUUCAAACCCCCUUUCAUGGCUGAAAAUUUCGGUGGAAAGAGACAAGAAGAAAUGAAAUUUGCAACCUUUUUCUAUUUUGCUCCUUUUUUGGUCAAAAUAGCUACCAAAUUCUACCUACUCUUAAAAUUUGUCCCCUCUAUGUCUCAUGGCCAGCCAACCCUCUUAAAAAGGGCAUAAUUUCCCUUUAAAGGUCCCAAAAUUUAUUUAUCUAGCUAUUUAACACAUUUGGGUACUAAAACACAACUUUUGCUUUUUAUGUGAUUUAGUCCUUUUUCGUAAUCGAGCACACAAACGUUAAAAUUGACUCACCAAAUUUUUCAUGCACUAUUAUAAUAUGCUAUAAUCUCAUAAUUAUAAUAAAAUAAUUUUCCCAACUUCGAAUUUGUGGUCCUAAGACCACUAUUCCAACUAGGCCCUAAAUCGGGAUGUUACACAAAGACAAUACAAUAUGUCAAACUACUUUUGUGCUUUGCCAUUUUGUCAAGUCUAUUCCUUGAAUUCCAAACCAACCUAAGCCGCAAAAUGUUACAAGCCAAAAAUUCCUAGGUGACCUAGUUAGUACUGUAUACGGAUGGCAGUCGUGCCAAGUUUUGAUAUUUUUACCACAUGUAUUCAUUUGAACAUAAUUGUAUAUUUAUAUAUUUAUUUUGAUAGUUACUUAUACUUAAUAUUUUUUAUUUAUUUGAUUUGCAAUUUAAUGAAAUUAUCUAUCUAAGUUUAGAAAUUGUGAGUCAAUUGUGUAUCAUGCUAGAAUUAUAUGUUUAUUUACAUUAUCUUGUUAAUACGUUUCUGCCCAAUUUCUUCCAUUAAGCUAGUUCAAGUGCACUUUCUUUUCUUGCAUAUUUAUUUUUCAUUUUCAAUUUUUUUUACUUGCUUGAGGACAAGUAAGGACUUAAGUGUGGCGGUAUGAAACCUGGCUUCAAAUAUAGUAUUUAGUUUGAGUCAUUUCUACACUGAGCGAGCUUGUUUUCUAGGCGUCUUAUAAUUAAUUAUUGCAUUUUUAGUAUUACCAGGUUAGGAACUAAAUAUUAAUAAAAAUAAGUAUUUUACACAUUUUUUGCUAUUUCGAUGACUCAUAAGAUCAACUCUGGCCUCAUAAGUGACUAAUGGGCUAAUUAAGUGUGUAGGAUGUCAAUUCAGGUCCAAGAAUACAAGGGAUGAUGAUCGGGUCGCAAGACAAGGCAGUCUGAUAAAGCAACGAAGCUACCAAGGUCGGAAAUACUCUUGACGUCAUGACAAUAAACUUUCUUUAGUAACGACGACGCGAUGAAGAUGGGAAGGAUUUUCAAGGUGGCGACGUCGUGACGAGAAGUCUUCCCACAUCACAAUGAUGUGAUGAUGGCAGGUCAAAAUAUGGUUAAUUCUUUUAGACAACUUUUUUAGGAUAUUUCUUUAUUUGGACCCUAACAUUUAUCAGAAUAUUGUAUUAAUUGGUAUCUAAAUGUAUCUAAGGUUGAGUGGUCACCAAGUAUCCCGUAUCCUAUCUAAGCAACCUUAGAGUCACUGGAAUUGAGGGUGCAAACUUAGACAGUUUUUCUCAUUCAAUUUUCUUAGUCGAAACUUUUCUCUUUUGAUGUAAAGACAAUUGUGAGUGAAUAUUGCUCUGUAUCUACGCUUCAAUAUAUUCAUUCAUGAUCAUUAUCUUAUCUUUCUCUUCUACUCUUUUAUUUAUAUUUUAUUGUUCUGACCAAUUAAUAGUUGUAUAAAUAUUAGAAUAGAUUAUUGUGCUUUAUUCAUAUCUUGCAUGAUUCGUUUAUUCAACUAAUUAAUUCAUCAAGUCGAUUAAUUGACAAAAAAAUAAUGGUUCAUAAUAGGAUUAUUUGGCAUAGAUUGCGCAUUUCUAAACUCUAAGCUUGAUAGCCCUAAGAAGUAAUCAUAGGUUAAACGAGAUCAGGAGAUAAGUUUGACCAUGUAAAUCAUAGUUUAUCUUGGUGGAGAAAGUGAGGUCAAGAGAUAACCGAGUAUUCGUCAAUUAAUUAAUUAGUAGAGUUUGGGAAGUAACACUAGUUAAUUAAUAUCUAAUUCAUAUUAUAACCCAAAUUCUUUAAUUAGUUAAUCUUCUAUUUAUUAAUUAGGGAUUUAAUCGAUCAUAAGCUAGAGGCUCGCAUUGUUGACACUAGGAAUACGAAAUUUCAUUAGGUUAAUUUAGGUUAAGUAAUUUAAUUAGUUUAAUUAAUAUUUUGUUUUGGAUUAGCACUACAAAUUUAGGUCUCGAUUAGAUUAGUAAUUAUUUUUUGUAAUUAAUUUAAUAAUAGUUUCUCAAAUUUGCAAUCCCUUGGAUAUGAUACUUGGAAUACUUUCUGUGUUUCGUUGAACACAUAUAUAUUACAAUUUGACCCGUAUGCUUGCAGGCACCUCCGAUUUACUUUUAUAUAUUUUUGGUGUGAUAUUUAUACUAUAAACGAUAAGACGUUUAUAGAUGGUUAGUAUUCGUGACUUAUAUAUUUGAUGUAACUAAAAGUCUAUGUUUGAAUAGAUAAGGAAUCGAAAGCUAGUACAUUGGGUAUACAACUUUUGCAAUAUGUAGUAUCAUUCACAAUAGUGAAACUCAUAACCCAAGACAUGGGUAAAUAAUAUCCUCUCAUUGGCAUUACAUGAUAGAUGGAAAGUAAACAUGGUCACCGAUCUUUUGUCUUUGUGACGAAUGACUUAUUUACUAUUUGAUAGUAAUUGACAUUUCAUGAAUAAAGAUAUAAUGGUUACAUGAGAUAAGAUAGGAUCAAAUUGGGAGAAUGAAUUUAUCCCAAAUAGAUUGUAACACACUUAUGAUAAUGUCAUUAGACGAGCACUAAUCGAGUAGCUUUCGUAAUCGUAGGUUAUGAGGGAAAGCUCUGUAAUAGCCCUAAUUUGACCCUAGUCGGAAAGUGGUUUCGGGACCACAAAACCAAGUCAUAAAAAAUAAUUAACUUUUAUAUUCUAUGCUUAUAGUAUGUGUACAUGCAAGUGUGAAAGUUUCAUGCUUUAAUUUUGUCAUUUGUAUGUGAAAUUUAUUAAAUAGGACUUAGGUGAGACAAUUGUGAAAUAUGUUAGGUUAAUUUUAAAGUGGCCUAUUAAUGCAUAAAUACAAAAAGAUGGACUUGCAUGUCAAAUAUCUAUUUUGUUGUGUAAUGGUCGAACAUGAUGUGGUUUUAUUUAGAAUAUAUGUAUUGUUUAUUAGUGAAGUGGCUUUAUAUUUUAUAGUAUUAAUGUAUAUAGAAAAAAUAAUAGAAAAAGAGGUGAUGAAAACAAAGCUUCAUUUUUUUUUGGUUCUUCUUGGCCGAAUUGAAGAAAGAAAAAGGGACAAGAUUUUCGGUCACUUUAAGCUUGGGGAAGGUUAGUAAAUUAUGUUAGUUUUUGAAAUUUUAAGCUUGAUUUUAGUUAAUUAGAUAGUUUCAUACAUAGCCCAUGUCAAAAUUUUGAAAUUUGGUGAUGAUUUGAGCAUUCGGUUUUGGUUAUUAAAGGAGGAGAUUGGAUUAUAGUCUUUAUGUUUUAUGAAGAAUUGUUGAAGAGGAAGGUUGGAGUUAGUUAAGUUAUAAAUUUUUAAUACUCAUGAGUACUAUAGCCGAACAUAAAUUUACUUAAUGACUUGAACAAAUACCGUGUGGAUGUUUGAAAUGAAUGAAUUUGAGGUUUGUUCAUAUUAGGGAUUCGGCUUUGUGCAUAACUUUUAAGAGUUUGAUUUUGAAUAAUUUGAGUAUUGGAAUGUAAGUAAUGUUAUGCAUAGGUUAAAUUUUUGUAUUCGGCUUUUGUAGUAUAUAUGUAUGAUCAAUCCAUUUUUUUUCUUUUCUUUUGCAAAUGAUAUAUAUAGGGUGAUAAAUAUUAAGACUAUUGUUGCCUUGUGUUUAGUGAUAUUCAGCUAAGGACUAAAUGUGCUUGCUUAUUCGGUUUAAGUAAAGUAAAUGUGAUUGGUGGAUAUGAUUAGGUUGUGGUUUAUUAUAGACUUGUUUUGAUUGUAUAAAUUAGCUUAUAAAUUGGUUUGGAAAUAAUAAAUAAUGAGCAUGCUUUGUGGCUGUAAGGAUUAUAUGAUAGUGUGUCGUGAUAUUAACUUAGCUAGUCGAAUGGAUGAGGAAUGAAUUUGAUAUAUAUAUAUAGGUAACAUUGACGAGUUGUUUAGCAUAUGGGUUUUGUAUAUUGGUUCGGCAACUAAGCUAGAAAAAUAAUUUUCGGUAACAUGGUAUCUAUGCACAUAUAUAGAUAUAUAUAUAAGGUAUCUUAAGUAUAUUUGUUCAUUUGAUAAGGUUGACUAAUAGUUCAAGUAAGGAUUACUCCAUUCGAUAUGUACAUGAAUUGAAGUAAUAGGUUCGGUAAUCAGCUUAUGACAUACGGGUAAUAUCAUAUGUCCGAUUAUAAGUUAAAUACUCGAUAGUUGUGGUUCAUUGGAUAUAAUGUUUGAAUAUUGUUUUGAAAAAAAUUGAUAUUUGUAUUUAGUAAAGUUGAAUAAGUCAUUAAAUAAAUCUAUUUGUUUUAAUUAAGCUCAAGAGCAAAGAGGGUCUAAAUCAGAUAAGGGAAAGGAAAAAGAAGUCGAGUAGCCUAUCUGCAACUGUUCAAAAUAUCCGAGGUAAGUUUUGUGUAGUUUCCUUUAAUAUAUAAUUGAUGCUGGUUUAUAAGAGUAUAAUAGGUGAAUUGAAAUUCAGUUAGCACUUGUACAAAGUUGUUUAAUAAACAAUGUGUGUAUAUGACUUUGAGGUCGAUGGUAACUUUGAGUUUAAGCUUGAAUGGUGAAAUGAUUGUGUGAUAUUAGGUAUAAUUUUUGAGUUGAAAUGUUAAUGAUGAUGUGCCUAUUGAACUUAUAUCUGAAUGUAUUAAAUGAUUACUAAGUGAUAGGUUGAUUGAGAUGUGUUAAAUAUAUAACUAAGUAUGCAUGGUAUUGGAAAAAUAUCCAGACUUGAAGUCCGCAGACUUUAUGCUGGAAAUAUAUCUGGACUUAAAGUCCGCAGGCUAAGUGCUGGAAAAAUAUCCGGGCUAAGUCCCGAAGGCAUUCAUGCUAGUGUUAUAUCCGGGCUAAGUCCUGAAGGCAUUCGUGCUGAUAUUAUAUCUGGGCUAAGUCCUGAAGGCAUUCGUGCUGGUAUUAUAUCCGGGCUAAGUCCCGAAGGCAUUCGUGCUGGUGCUAUAUCCGGGCUAAGUCCCGAAGGCAUUCAUGCUGGUGUUAUAUCCAGGCUAAGUCCCGAAGGCAUUCGUGCUGGUAUUAUAUCCGGGCUUAAGGUCCCGCAUGCUUUGUGGUGGUGAUUUGAUUUUGGUUUUAAAUCUAGCAGACUUAAUGCUGAUGAUUGGAGUAAGAUUAUGAUUUUGAAUGUUCGUAGUAAACUACCAUUGAAUAUAUAUGUUCAAUACAUUAAGUCGGUCAGGUAUGUAUUAUAUACUUUUAUAUGUUAGAUUGAUCGGAUUUGAAUCAUGAAUGCGAAAUGAGAAGUAUAUGUGACAAUAUCAUAUGUGUAUGUGUGUAUUCGGUUAUGGUGAAAGGUUAUAUGAGAUUGAUUUGGUGAUAUACAUGUUAAAUAAUAUGAAUCCAAAGAAUGGGUAAUAAAUCUGCUUGGGACAGCAGCAGUAACGUGAUUUCGGAAAAUCACCAUAAAUUGUGGAAGUUGAGUUAGAGGCUGAAUGAAUUAUGUCAAUCUUAAUGAGUCUAGUUUUUAUAAAAGAAACCGUGUAAGCAAAAGAGUUGCCAAUAAUGAGAUAUUUGAAGUGGCGUGGAAUAGAGUCAAAAUGACUUCGAGGUCCCCUGUUUUGUUUUCAGAAAAUCAUUAUAAAUGGUACAAAAAUGGUUAUAAGAUAAAAUUUAUAUUCUUAGACUCCCUAAUGAGUCUAGUUUCAAAUGAAAUAAACGAUAACAUAUUUCAAAUUCGUUAUAAUGAGAAAUUUGAUUCGUAGUGAAGAGUGGUCAGAUUAGUCAAACAGUGAAACAGGGGAAACUUCAAUAAAAGCCUGGUAUUGAUUGGUCAAACCAAAAAUUCUGAAAAUUUGAUGGAUGGAAUAUAUAUGAGUCUAUUUUCAGGGAAAAUUAAUGGCACUUGAUUUGGUGUUUCUUAGCUCCAGUUAUAAAUAAUUUAGUGACUGUUGCUCAGGAAGACAGCUUGUAGUGAAUUUGUGAUUUUGUUGCAAACAUGGUUAAAACUUGUUAAUGAGAUGCUUUUCGAGUUCUUAUGAUCUUAUUUGUAAUUUCAAUAUUUGGUUUUAAUUGAGUUCAGAUUCAAGUGAGGUGAAUUUGUUAAAUAUGCAUUAUGUUCAUGGAUACUUGGCCAAAAUGGCAAUUAUCUAGGAAUGAUUUCUUGAAAAUUUGAAUAAUCGAUCUAUAAGUAAAUUAAUUGUUUGCAUUGCUUAAAACUUACUAAGCAUUGAAGCUUACUCCGUGUUCUCUUUUUCAUUUCUUAUAGGUAUAUACUUUAGCUCGAGUUGGAAGGGCCGGAGAUAUCAUCACACUAUCUAGUCAUUAUGUGAGUUGAGAAGAUUGUAUAUCAUCAUGGUUUAAGGCAUGUAUAGGAUAGACUAGGUAGAAUGAUAUUUCGACUUUGUAUACAUUAUAGCCAUGCGAAGAUGGCUUGCUCAUUUUGUUUAGAGAAGCCUUAUAAUUGAACUAAUGUGGUGAAAUGUUUUAGUUAUAACUUGAAAGUAGUUAAUUUGUUAUUAGAUAUUUGGUUAUGUUUUGAUAGUGAGUCAUUUUAGAAAUUUAUAAGAGUUCUUAUGGAAAAUCAAUGAGACAUGUGUGCAUUGUUGAUAAUUUAUGUCUGGUAAGUAUCUUUGACCUUAUAGAAGUUUUGUUUAGUCAAGUAAUACCUCAUAACCUUAUUCCGGCAACGGAUAUAGGUUAGGAGUGUUACAUUUAGUGGUAUUAGAGCUAUGGUUUAGUCGGUUCUCGGACUAACAUAGCAAGUGUAAGAGUCUAACUAGACAUGCCGUAAGUAAAGUGUGAUAGUGUGAGGUCUCUCGGCUCUAAUAAAUUGUUUUGCUCAGGUAAUGAUGUGUUCCAACCGAGUUAUUAUUAAUUGAUCUGAAAUUGAUAUUGAACUUAUUGUAAUAUAUAUGUGAUAUGAUGGAAUUGAAAAGGUAUGAAAAGAAUUUUAUGAUAUGUGUGCAUCAGUGUAAAGAUAUAUAUGAGAUAGUAUAAAGUAAAUGGUAAUGAAAGAUCAAAUUGGGUAGAAUGCAGGGAAUGAGUACGAUCGUUCAAUAAUGAAUUGACGGAAAAGAACAUGGUUGGACCAUGGCAAUACAUGAGACAGAUAAGCUAGUGUAAGACCUAUCGGAAAUAGGCAUCAACAUGGGCAGAGCAAAGUUAGUAUAAGACCAUAGUUGGACUAUGGCAUCAAGAAAGCGACGUACUCAAAACCGUAAGACGUUUUUCAGUGGGAUAAAUAUUGACAAAUGAUCAAGACUAAAUGUGGAAAUUUGAUAAGAAAUUAGUAAUUUGAGUAAUAGAAAUGAAAGUUUGAAUCGUGAUAAUUUCACUUAUGUUUUGUUAAUACUCACAUGAAAUAAAGUUGCAUGUGAAACUGAGAUAUGUGAAAAUGUGUUUGUAAUAAGAUGAAAAAAAAAUUGAAAUGUUUGAAUGAAGUGUUUGAAUCCAAGUGUGUAAUACUAUGAUGAUGAGUGAUGAGUUUAUCUGUGUAUUCGAAUAUGAAACUCCCUUUCGAGGCUUAACGACCUCCCCCCUUACCGGUGAUAUGAUUAUAAGGUUUCAAUGGAACGAAAUAGAACGAGUUUGCAAAGAAAGAUUAAAGAGUUAAAUAGUGAGAUAAUGAUAAAGUAAGUAAAGUUCAAAACGAUUUGGCAAUGAAUUAAGGCUGGAAGGACUUGUACAAUGUCCCAAAGGUUCUUCAGAUUGAAUAUUGUCAUUAGUAAAAGAAAGUUGGUCUGGUAAUUUAAUUCAAUCAGAUAUGAUGUCUAGGUAUGUAUCUGUUGGGAAUUCUUCCUGAGUGGUUUUCAUUAGUGAAUGAAAUAGAAUGGAAUUCGAAAUGACGAAUGAAUAGUAAGAGUGUCUGAAUUGGAUAAUUACAGUCAAGUGAAUUUCGAUGAUUUCUUUUGAAUAUUCUGUAUAUUUCUUAUUCUCAGAGACACAUGUGUGAUUGUUCCUUUUUCUGAUGAAAAUGCUAUAAAGUGAGAAUGUUAUCUGACUCCGAUGUUUAAUAAAAGUAUUGAACGUUAAGCAAGGUCUAUUCUUCUAGUGAAAUUGAGAAGUAUAAAAGUAUAUUGAUAUGUGAUAGUUCAAAAUGAGUUCAGAGUAACAGUUAUUCGAUUAUGGAUGUCUGGACAUAUGAAAUUUCUGUUAAUGUUAUUAUUGUUCUUAUAUGGAAUAAGUAUUUAGAUGGGUUAAAGGAUUUUUAUAUGAGCUCCAACUGUGAAAUUUUGUUUAUCUGAGUUAAAAUAAAUAAUACAGAUAUAUGGAUCAGGUGUAUAAGUGACUGUGUAUUGUAGCGUAUUUCAGAACUAUAUUAAGAUGACAAGUUGCUAUUUGUUAGAGUUGAAAUUUUGUGUAUAUGGAAUAAAAGCAAUCAGUGAUGUAUUAGAAGUGGUUAUGAGACAGAAUUGAUAUCCAAACCGAAUAAAAAUUUUAUUUGUCUUCUGAAAAAGAAAUGUCAUUGGGUCAUGAUCGAUCUUUUAACAAGGAAGAAUCUGUGUCUUCAGUUUAGUAUGUACAAAAUUCUUAUCGACAAAGUUGUUGAGAUAUUCAUAAUAUAGUCUGCCGAUGUGAUCUGUCAGUGUGAAUUAAAGUUUAGAGAUUGUUGGUAAAAGGAGAUAUAUGUGAUGAAUGGAAAUUUGUGAUUCCAAAAUUUUUGAAAACGUUUUUAGAAUGGAAAAUAUUUUUGUUGAUAAGAUUUUCGGGGACGAAAAUCCCUAAGGGGGGAGAGUUGUAAUAGCCCUAAUUUGACCCUAGUCGGAAAGUGGUUUCGGGACCACAAAACCAAGUCAUAAAAAAAUAAUUAACUGUUAUAUUCUAUGCUUAUAGUAUGUGUACAUGCAAGUGUGAAAGUUUCAUGCUUUAAUUUUGUCAUUUGUAUGUGAAAUUUAUUAAAUAGGACUUAGGUGAGACAAUUGUGAAAUAUGUUAGGUUAAUUUUAAAGUGGCCUAUUAAUGCAUAAAUACAAAAAGAUGGACUUGCAUGUCAAAUAUCUAUUUUGUUGUGUAAUGGCCGGCCAUGAUGUGGUUUUAUUUAGAAUAUAUGUAUUGUUUAUUAGUGAAGUGGCUUUAUAUUUUAUAGUAUUAAUGUGUAUAAAAAAUAAUAGAAAAAGAGGUGAUGAAAACAAAGCUUCAUUUUUUUUUGGUUCUUCUUGGCCGAAUUGAAGAAAGAAAAAGGGACAAGAUUUUCGUUCACUUUAAGCUUGGGGAAGGUAAGUAAAUUAUGUUAGUUUUUGAAAUUUUAAGCUUGAUUUUAGUUAAUUAGAUAGUUUCAUACAUAGCCCAUGUCAAAGUUUUGAAAUUUGGUGAUAAUUUGAGCAUUCGGUUUUGGUUAUUAAAGGAGGAGAUUGGAUUAUAGUCUUUAUGUUUUAUGAAGAAUUGUUGAAGAGGAAGGUUGGAGUUAGUUAAGUUAUAAAUUUUUAAUACUCAUGAGUACUAUAGCCGAACAUAAAUUUACUUAAUGACUUGAACAAAUACCGUGUGGAUGUUUGAAAUGAAUGAAUUUGAGGUUUGUUCAUAUUAGGGAUUCGGCUUUGUGCAUAACUUUUAAGAGUUUGAUUUUGAAUAAUUUGAGUAUUGGAAUGUAAGUAAUGUUAUGCAUAGGUUAAAUUUUUGUAUUCGGCUUUUGUAGUAUAUAUGUAUGAUCAAUCCAUUUUUUUCUUUUCUUUUGCAAAUGAUAUAUAUAGGGUGAUAAAUAUUAAGACUAUUGUUGCCUUGUGUUUAGUGAUAUUCAGCCAAGGACUAAAUGUGCUUGCUUAUUCGGUUUAAGUAAAGUAAAUGUGAUUGGUGGAUAUGAUUAGGUUGUGGUUUAUUAUAGACUUGUUUUGAUUGUAUAAAUUAGCUUAUAAAUUGGUUUGGAAAUAAUAAAUAAUGAGCAUGUUUUGUGGCCGUAAGUAUUAUAUGAUAGUGUGUCGUGAUAUUAACUUAGCUAGUUGAAUGGAUGAGGAAUGAAUUUGAUAUAUAUAUAGGUAACAUUGACGAGUUGUUUAGCAUAUGGGUUUUGUAUAUUGGUUCGGCAACUAAGCUAGAAAAAUAAUUUUCGGUAACAUGGUAUCUAUGCACAUAUAUAGAUAUAUAUAUAAGGUAUCUUAAGUAUAUUUGUCCAUUUGAUAAGGUUGACUAAUAGUUCAAGUAAGGAUUACUCCAUUCGAUAUGUACAUGAAUUGAAGUAAUAGGUUCGGUAAUCAGUUUAUGACAUACGGGUAAUAUCAUAAGUCCGAUUAUAAGUUAAAUACUCGAUAGUAGUGGUUCAUUGGAUAUAAUGUUUGAAUAUUGUUUUGAAAAAAAAUUGAUAUUUGUAUUUAGUAAAGUUGAAUAAGUCAUUAAAUAAAUCUAUUUGUUUUAAUUAAGCUCAAGAGCAAAGAGGGUCUAAAUCAGAUAAGGGAAAGGAAAAAGCAGUCGAGUAGCCUAUCUGCAACUGUUCAAAAUAUCCGAGGUAAGUUUUGUGUAGUUUCCUUUAAUAUAUAAUUGAUGCUGGUUUAUAAGAGUAUAAUAGGUGAAUUGAAAUUCAGUUAGCACUUGUACAAAGUUGUUUAAUAAACAAUGCGUGUAUAUGACUUUGAGGUCGAUGGUAACUUUGAGUUUAAGCUUGAAUGGCGAAAUGAUUGUGUGAUAUUAGGUAUAAUUUUUGAGUUGAAAUGUUAAUGAUGAUGUGCCUAUUGAACUUAUAUCUGAAUGUAUUAAAUGAUUACUAAGUGAUAGGUUGAUUGAGAUGUGUUAAAUAUAUAACUAAGUAUGCAUGGUAUUGGAAAAAUAUCCGGACUUGAAGUCCGCAGGCUUUAUGCUGGAAAUAUAUCCGGACUUAAAGUCCGCAGGCUAAGUGCUGGAAAAAUAUCCGGGCUAAGUCCCGAAGGCAUUCAUGCUAGUGUUAUAUCCGGGCUAAGUCUUGAAGGCAUUCGUGCUGAUAUUAUAUCUGGGAUAAGUCCUGAAGGGAUUCGUGCUGGUAUUAUAUCCGGGCUAAAUCCCGAAGGCAUUCGUGCUGGUGCUAUAUCCGGGCUAAGUCCCGAAGGCAUUCAUGCUGGUGUUAUAUCCAGGCUAAGUCCCGAAGGCAUUCGUGCUGGUAUUAUAUCCGGGCUUAAGGUCCCGCAUGCUUUGUGGUGGUGAUUUGAUUUUGGUUUUAAAUCUAGCAGACUUAAUGCCGAUGAUUGGAGUAAGAUUAUGAUUUCGAAUGUUCGUAGUAAACUACCAUUGAAUAUAUUUGUUCAAUACAUUAAGUCGGUCAGGUAUGUAUUAUAUACUUUUAUAUGUUAGAUUGAUCGGAAUUGAAUCAUGAAUGCGAAAUGAGAAGUAUAUGUGACAAUCUCAUAUGUGUAUGUGUGUAUUCGGUUAUGGUGAAAGGUUAUAUGAGAUUGAUUUGGUGAUAUACAUGUUAAAUAAUAUGAAUCCAAAGAAUGGGUAAUAAAUCUGCUUGGGACAGCAGCAGUAACGUGAUUUCGGAAAAUCACCAUAAAUUGUGGAAGUUGAGUUAGAGGCUGAAUAAAUUAUGUCAAUCUUAAUGAGUCUAGUUUUUAUAAAAGAAACCGUGUAAGCAAAAGAGUUGCCAAUAAUGAGAUAUUUGAAGUGGUGUGGAACAGAGUCAAAAUGACUUCGAGGUCCCUGUUCUGUUUUCAGAAAAUCAUUAUAAAUGGUACAAAAAUGGUUAUAAGAUAAAAUUUAUAUUCUUAGACUCCCUAAUGAUUCUAGUUUCAAAUGAAAUAAACGAUAACAUAUUUCGUAUUCUUUAUAAUGAGAAAUUUGAUUCGUAGUGAAGAGUGGUCAGAUUAGUCAAACAGUGAAACAGGGGAAACUUCAAUAAAAACCUGGUAUUGAUUGGUCAAACCAAAAAUUCUGAAAAUUUGAUGGAUGGAAUAUAUAUGAGUCUAUUUUCAGGGAAAAUUAACGGCACUUGAUUUGGUGUUUCUUAGCUCCAGUUAUAAAUAAUUUAGUGACUGUUGCUCAGGAAGACAGCUUGUAGUGAAUUUGUGAUUUUGUUGCAAACAUGGUUAAAACUUGUUAAUGAGAUGCUUUUCGAGUUCUUAUGAUCUUAUUUGUAAUUUCAAUAUUUGAUUUUAAUUGAGUUCAGAUUCGAGUGAGGUGAAUUUGCUAAAUAUGCAUUAUGUUCAUGGAUACUUGGCCAAAAUGGCAAUUAUCUAGGAAUGAUUUCUUGAAAAUUUGAAUAAUCGAUCUAUAAGUAAAUUAAUUGUUUGCAUUGCUUAAAACUUACUAAGCAUUGAAGCUUACUCCGUGUUCUCUUUUCCAUUUCUUAUAGGUAUAUACUUUAGCUCGAGUUGGAAGGGCCGGAGAUAUCAUCACACUAUCUAGUCAUUAUGUGAGUUGAGAAGAUUGUAUAUCAUCAUGAUUUAAGGCAUGUAUAGGAUAGACUAUAGGUAGAAUGAUAUUUCAACUUUGUAUACAUUAUAGCCAUGCAAAGAUGGCUUGCUCAUUUUGUUUAGAGAAGCCUUAUAAUUGAACUAAUGUGGUGAAAUGUUUUAGUUAUAACUUGAAAGUAGUUAAUUUGUUAUUAGAUAUUCGGUUAUGUUUUGAUAGUGAGUCAUUUUAGAAAUUUAUAAGAGCUCUUAUGGAAAAUCAAUGAGACAUGUUUGCAUUGUUGAUAAUUUAUGUCUGGUAAGUAUCUUUGACCUUAUAGAAGUUUUGUUUAGUCAAGUAAUACCUCAUAACCUUAUUCCGGCAACGGAUAUAGGUUAGGAGUGUUUCAAGCUCAGUCACUAUACUAUAGUGAAACAACUUCAUGACUAAAUGAUUUUAUAAUUAACAGGCAAAAAGCUAGAACUUAAUUAUAAAUCAUUUGAGUCUUAAUUGCAUAUAUCCAAUCGGUCCCUCUGCUAGCUUGUUGAAAUCAGAAAUGAAUUGCAUGUUGAAUCAAAUGAAAAUAAUUGGAUAGAAAUGAUAAAGUUAUAGAAAUGAGUUGCAUUUAGAAAUGGAUGUGGUUUCUCACUAAGUAUGAAAAUAAUCUGAAAAUUAAUUUAAGUUUUUCGAAUUAUUAUUUAAUUAAUUGAAGUCUGAAAAUAGAAUUAAAUUAAUUGGUUAAUGUGAAUCCGUUAAAUGUAGAAAUUAAAUAUAAUUUCUCUUAGUCUUUUACCUUAAAAUUGUCAUGAUUUUAACGAAAUUAGAAUUGGAUUGAGAAAAUUAUUUAAUUAAAAAAUUUAUUUAUUUAAUUAAUUCAAUAAACAAUAUUUAUUUUGAGAAAUAGAAAAACAUGUAUUAGGUUGGAUUAAAUUAUAAUGUGUUGGGCUAAAAGUUAAGAAAACACAUACAAUUAGACCUAAUAUAGGAGAGGACUGAAUCCCCAUCACAGUAUAUAUGAGGGGAGGCACACCUAUUAGUCACCCCUCACUCCUAGUUAAAAUAGGGGAUUGGUUUUUCUAUUAAAUAAUUAUUAUCUGUAUUCUACUAAUUCAACUAGAGUUCCCCUUCCUCUCUCUGUAAAUAGAUAGCACUAGUAGGGAUAAAAACACAACUUUAAGAUAUUGUUAUUCUGUCCGAAAAUAGUCAAAAUUUAUUUCUAAGUAUAAUUUUUUUUUUGUGGAAUAACAAUUCUAUUGGCUUCUGUAAGAGUGAGAGAUUUACUUUUUUACUGGAAGUAAAGAAAUUAUUUGUGGUUUUGUGUUUGAUUCAUAAUUGUUCGAGCCCAUACUCGAAGCAGUUCGUGGUUGAGAAUAGCGGAGAAGGUCAUUUGGUUGAAAACUAGGAACAUCAAGAAUCCAUCUUGCACAAAACACAGGUACUUUUCAAAAAAUGUUUAUUGUUAUAAACAUCACAAACCGGCCUGGUUUUCAAAUUUUUAUUUUUCUGUUGUGUAAAAAAAUAAUUUUCGAACUAGAAUUUUUUUUUCAACAAUUGGUAUCAAAGCCAGGUUGUGCUAUAUUUAUAGUAUAAACUAAUACCAAAAUUUUCCCUCUUCUUCAUGUUCGGUUGAGAUUGUCAAGGCAGUUUGGUCUUUCAAACCUAAAAAAUCUCCUGGACCAAAUAGUUUACACCCUUUCUUUUACCAACCUUGUUGACAAAAGGUUCAGCAUAAAGUGAUUAACUUAGUUUUGAAGGUGUUUUAUAACUCUACGAUCCCCGAUUAGCCAAACAAAACUUCAAUCGCGCUUACUCAAAAAUCUAGGGAAGUUGCGUCGAUCUCACAAUUCUGACCAAUUAGCUUAUGCAAUACUUCCUAUAAAAUUAUCACAAAGAUCCUUGUUAUGUGUCUUCAACCCAUCCUCAGUGACAUUAUAUCCUCGGUCCAAGGCAGUUUUCUCCCUAGGUGCUUAUCUUCGGAUAAUACAGUGAUAGUGCAGGAAAUUUGCCAUUCCCUUUCUCGUUUUAAUGGGAAAAAGAUCUUAUGACUAUUGAAUUAGAUCUAGAAAAAUCUUACGAUAAGCUGCAAUAGAGCUUUAUUCAUAAAGUUCUUAUAUUCUUUGGUUUUCCCCCUAGUUGGGUCAAGUUGAUAAUGAGUUGUAUUUCGACGACAUUCACCUCGGAACUGUUGAACAGAUCUAAAUUGAAUAGCUUCAAGCCAUCUAGAGGAAUCCGAUAAGGUGACCCACUCUCCCCUUAUAUAUUUAUUCUAUGUAUGGAAUUCCUUAGCCUGUUAAUUUCAAGAGUGGUGGAUCAACAAGUUUGGUCUCUUAUCCGACCCUCUAGGAGUGUACCUUGGUUCUCUCACUUAUUAUUUGCAUAUGAUAUCAUUUUGUUUGCAAAAAAUUUUGCUACAUCGGUGUCCUCUAUCCAAAGGAUCAUUUAGCUGUUCAUGGCAAAAUCUAGACGAACUAUAAACUUUGAGAAAUCCCAGGUGGCUUUUUCCCCUAAAUGUGCGAACUCUUUAAAGGCAAGCAUAUCCAAUGCUUUAGGGAAAUAUCUUGGGUUCUCUAUGCACAUGAAGAGUCACUAAAAACAUGACUAUGAUUUUAUUGUUGAUAAAAUCCAUAACAAGCUAAGCUAUUGGAAAGCCAAAUUUUCUAUCAGUUGGAAGGUUGGUUCUUAUCCAGUCAACAAUGGCCUCCAUCUAGAACUAUUACAUGCAGUGUUUUUUACUCCCCUCCAGUAUUCAUAGUCAGCUAGACCAAAUCAACAAGAACUUUCUUUGGGGAAGUUAUGAUGACACAAAUCAUAGACAACUUCUAAAGUGGGAUUUAGUCGUACAACCUAAAGCCUAUGGAGGUUUGGGUACAUCAAAAGCAAGAAUUAAAAAUCAAACUUUGCUAGUAAAGCUUGGUUGGAGACUAAUCCAGGAGAAGGCUACCCCUUGGGCUAAAAUCCUUAUAUCAAAAUGCAUCACUGACCCUAGUAAUCCAAACCUUGUACGGAAUACACCCUUUCGAAGAAGAUUAGCCACUUCAUUGAGCUAGGGAUGAGAUGGGCUAUUAUGGUAGAACUAUGAAAUUUUUAGUGAUAAUUGGUCAAGACAAGGCCCUCUCCGCAAUACUGUACAAGGCCCCCUGUCGCCAUUGGAGGAGUUUUGGUCUUUCGAGCAAGUCUGCAAUAGCUAGGAUCGUAGUGGUUUUUAUUCGAUAUUUGUCCAAUUCCCGCAAGAUUUAAUUGAUGUGCUCUUAAGCACUCUAGGGAUCGGAUUUUGUUGGUUGGGGGCUUACGAAAUCUAGAACAUUUACCUUGGCUAAUGCUUAUUCUUUCAUCCUAGCAUUUAGUACUCCCUAAUGACACUUCCCCGGGUAGUCAACUAACUCUCUGGAAUUUGAUUUGGAAAGCUCGUCUUCCUUCAAAGUUAAAGCUCUUCCCUUAGAAAUGUGGGUGGACAGCUCUCCGAACCCAAUAUUUUAUUAUCAGUCGAGGUAUGAACUUAGUGGAUCCUGUUGUUUUCGCAAUGUUGAACAUGAAACUAUUGCUCAUUUGUGCUGGGAAUGUCAUAUUGUCCAGCAAUUAUGAAAUUCUGCUCAUUUUCACUUUUGAGUUAGACCUCAACUGAGUAGUUCGGGGGAAUGGGCCCAAGAAAAUGUCACUUCAGAAGUGUGAGUUCACCACCCGACGAUUCCUUAGUCCAUUGUUUUUACCUUCGCCUUAUGGAAAAUUUGGCUGCGUCAUAAUGCCCUAGUCUUUUCCAUGUCUAGACCUCUAAGAGUAUUGAUCGAAGAACUUGAAAGUUGGGUGGAGCUCCUCGUCGCAAGUACUUAUAAUAGCAUAAAAUGUAAAGUACAGUACACACAAGCUUAGAAAGAAACUUGUAUAUAACGUUAUAAAUAAUGGGUCCUGAAAUAAAAAGAAAAAAGAAAAAAAAAUGAAGUUAACAUCUUCACAUUCCUUGUCUCUACACCAAACACUUACAUCACUUGAUUAAGAAUAAAGGCGGUAGAGUUUUGGGGGGAGGGGAGGGGGAACAUGAACGACAAUGGACCCAAAAAACGAAAGAGAAAAUGAUAUUGUACUUCCCCUAGUCAUUUCUUUUACCAACUCAAUCCUGAAAAUCAUGCAUAUGAUCUAAAAGGUAGUUGGCUGCAAGUUCCUCAUUCUUGUUGCACGCAAAGAACACUUGGAGCACAGUUGCACGAUCAAACCCCAUUGCUUCAAGCUGCAAGAGAUGGGGAAUGAACAAGAGAAUAAGGAGACUUCAAAAGUAUUUGUAGGCACAAGAUCAAUGCAACAAAUUUGAGUUUAUUAAUCAUCUAAAAGUAAAACCAUUUGCCUAAAAUAAAGAUGUGAUGCAUAUUUCAUAACUCAGAUAAAGGCCAAGGAAAUGAAAGCAUUUCCAGAGGCAGUGGGGAAGAUAGCUAAAUAAUCCACGAUAACAGAGAAUAGUGAACACAUCC